This 182879-nucleotide long non-coding RNA is filed under the name Brassica napus (rape). RNAcentral's name for it is "long non-coding RNA (BNAP_LNC023668)". The stretch from base 115927 to 116051 matches the Rfam family "MIR9563 microRNA precursor family". The record is from RNAcentral. Lineage: Eukaryota; Viridiplantae; Streptophyta; Magnoliopsida; Brassicales; Brassicaceae.
CUGGGGGAUGCUGGUAUGUUCUUGCAAUACAGCGUGUUGCUUCUUGUAUCAGACAGCAAUGCAUGAGGACCGCGAACUGUAACCUGAGUCUGUCUUGCCAAGAAGAGGUCUGUUACCAAUUCGUGUCACCCACUAGCACAAUUGGGUUUCCAUGCGUAUCUGGAAACCUCACCAGUGUGGUUAAGAAGCCUAUGUGCUUAGACUCUGACGGACCAUUCCGAUAUGGUAUCUACGGUUGGGCGCUUCCGGUCAUCUCUAGCAACUCUCUUGCCGUUAAGAUACUUUACCCUAUCUUCUGGGGGUUAACCUCUGGCACGUGUGGCUUCAGUUUAGGCUGGCUUACGUCUCGAGAGAGUCACUCGUCGUUGGGUGUGGGAAACUCGUUUGGGAUCCACGCGCCAUCGCGUCACACUACGCACGCUCCCUCACUGGCUUCUGGUUUGAUGUUAUAGUCAUCCUCCCGGUUCCGCAGGUUAAAAACUUUUUCAGAAAAGCCUUCAAACUAUUCCGAUAUUAUUGAAAUAACCAUAAACAUUUUAUUAGAGUCAAUUAAGCCCCCACGAAUCAAUCGAAAGUGUUAUUGUUUGCUUGCAGGCUGUGUUUUGGUUAGUGGUGCCAAAACUGAUAAGAGAAGAGAAGGUUAAGCUGAUAAUGACGAUCCUUCUGCUGAUCUUCUUGUUCCAGUUCCUCCCCAAGAUUUAUCACUGCAUCUGCUUGAUGAGAAGGAUGCAGAAGGUCACUGGUUACAUUUUCGGAACUAUUUGGUGGGGUUUUGCUCUUAACCUCAUCGCAUAUUUCAUCGCUUCUCAUGUAAGUCCAUGCUAAGAAAAUGAUUAUGCACAAAAUCAACAACUAAAUAUCAAAUUCCAUGCUGAGAAAAUGAUACUAAAGCUUGUCUAUUCAUGGAAUCUUUUUGUGUGGUUACAGGUAGCUGGGGGAUGCUGGUAUGUUCUUGCAAUACAGCGUGUUGCUUCUUGUAUCAGACAGCAAUGCAUGAGGACCGCGAACUGUAACCUGAGUCUGUCUUGCCAAGAAGAGGUCUGUUACCAAUUCGUGUCACCCACUAGCACAAUUGGAUUUCCUUGCUUAUCCGGAAACCUCACUAGUGUGGUUAAGAAGCCUAUGUGCUUAGACUCUAACGGACCAUUCCGAUAUGGUAUCUACGGUUGGGCACUUCCGGUCAUCUCCAGCAACUCUCUUGCGGUUAAGAUACUUUACCCUAUCUUCUGGGGUCUCAUGACUCUCAGGUAGUUUCUUGGUUUCAGGUUUCAAUGCUUAAUAACCUUUUAAGUGUUAUAUACUGACCCUGUUUUGUGCGAUUGCGUUUUACAGCACAUUUGGGAACGAUCUUGAGCCCACAAGCAACUGGCUUGAGGUUGUUUUCAGCAUAGUUAUGGUCCUUAGCGGGUUAUUACUCUUCACUCUCUUGAUCGGAAACAUUCAGGUAAACUAUGCAAGGAUAAGUCUCUCCUUAUAUGAUAUUGUGUUUUGAUGGAAUCCAAAAUCUUUAACAACCUGUUUGCUCUCUUUUAAAGGUGUUUUUACACGCGGUGAUGGCAAAGAAGAGGAAAAUGCAGAUACGGUGUAGGGAUAUGGAAUGGUGGAUGAAACGUAGGCAGUUGCCUUCUCGGUUAAGACAGAGAGUUAGGAGAUUUGAGAGGCAGAGAUGGACUGCCUUGGGUGGAGAAGACGAGCUGGAACUUAUACAUGAUCUGCCUCCUGGUCUUCGAAGAGAUAUUAAGAGAUAUCUUUGCGUUGAUCUCAUUAACAAGGUACUAGAAAACAAACCUUAGAUGAAUCCUUUUCAGACAGGUCAAGUAUCUGAUAAUAUGUUUGUUUCUUUCUUAGGUACCAUUGUUCAGGGGCAUGGACGAUUUGAUCCUAGACAACAUUUGCGAUCGUGCUAAGCCUCGUGUCUACUCUAAAGACGAAAAGGUACUCUUCGCAUCAUAAGAGUGUUUUUUUUUUGUCUUUAGUUUUUAAAAUAAGAGUUCUUUAUUGUCACACAGAUCAUCCGGGAAGGAGAUCCUGUACAGAGAAUGAUAUUCAUCAUGCGUGGAAGAGUCAAACGUAACCAGAGCCUAAGCAAAGGCGUGGUAGCCACUAGUACGCUCGAACCAGGCGGUUACUUAGGCGACGAGCUACUCUCAUGGUGCCUCCGACGUCCAUUUAUCGACCGUCUUCCUCCUUCCUCCGCAACAUUUGUCUGUCUAGACAACAUCGAGGCGUUCUCCCUGGGAUCAGAAGAUCUAAGGUACAUAACCGAUCAUUUCCGUUAUAAAUUCGCAAACGAGCGUCUUAAGAGGACUGCAAGAUACUACUCCUCAAACUGGAGGACGUGGGCAGCGGUGAAUAUUCAAAUGUCGUGGCGCCGGUACAGGAAGAGAACCUGUGUAGGCGGUUCGAUGAGUCCUGUGUCGGAACAUAGCGUUGAAGGUAACAGUGAACGCCGUUUACUUCAGUAUGCCGCGAUGUUCAUGUCCAUCCGACCGCAUGAUCAUCUUGAGUAAAACCAAAAAGGUUUUUAAAUUUAUCGGUUGAAAAUAAUUCAUUGUAUCCAUUUUGUCCGUCCUCGAUUGUUUUUUGUUGUUCCAAUUGCUGUGUAAAAUAAAAUCGCUCUUUCGAUGAUGUAUAUGUGCCUUUAUUUGAGUUUAAAACUAGCAUUUGAGUUUUCUCUUAAACUUCAUCUGUUAAUAAUGGUACCAUCUUUACACUACUAAAACAUAUCUUAGGAAGAAUAUUAGACGCCACUAAAAACUUGCACAUUGUUAAUUUAGAAAGUCUUGACGAUUAUCAAUGAACAUUGAAUACAAGUCAUAACAGCAAAGAUUAUUUCUCUUUUUCAACAACAAGAUAAAUGUAAAUGGAAACAAAAAAAACUGGAUGCAAGUCGAUCAUCAAUUAAUCUGAAUUCUAAACAAGGCUGCAAAUGAUUGUGAUAUUUAUGGAGGAAUGUGUAAUAUGUUGAAUCAUAAUGAUCAGGCCGAAGACCCAAAGCCCAAAUAUGUUAAAUACUGUAUAUAUUUCUUAGCUAACAAGUUUGUAAAAUAAAUAUUCUUUCCUUGAUCAAGUAAGAACGACCACCAAGGACGACACUGCAGAUCGUAUUUAGAGUAGUUUCGUGUCCUUCGGAUUCGUCUUAAUCUUCAAUAAUCUCAGCGAUGGCUUCCCUCUUCUUUCGCAAAUUUUAAUUUCGUUUUUUUUUUUUUACAAAUAAUUAAUUCCACUUAAACUCGAUUAAGUUCAAUAGAUAAUCCUCUGAAGUGAUUCAUCGCCGAUCAAAGUUCACAACCACCCGAAACCGAGUCUCCGUUAUCGAUCCAAUCACACCCUCAAUGUCGACGAGCAAGCCCCAAAGAUCUCCAUCCGAAAUCGAGGACAUAAUCCUCCGCAAGAUCCUCUACGUAACCCUAGCCGAUUCCGCCACCGAUCCUCGAGUCGUCUACUUGGAGAUGACAGCCGCCGAGAUUCUUAGCGAAGGCAAACCCCUCCUCCUCUCCCGCGAUCUGAUGGAGAGAGUCCUCAUCGAUCGCCUCUCCGGCAACAACAACUUCCCCUCCUCCUCCGCCGCGGAGCCGCCUUUCCCGUACCUAAUCGGCUGCUACCGCCGCGCGUACGACGAGUCCAAGAAGAUCCAGUCGAUGAAGGACAAGAAUCUGAGGUCGGAGAUGGAGACUGUCACCAGGGACGCGAGGAGGCUCGCGGUUUCGUACUGCAGGAUUCACCUGGCGAAUCCGGAGUUGUUUGGGGGAUCGGAUGAUGCCAGGAAGGCGAAGAAGAGGAGGAACGUGUCUCCUCUGCUUCCGUUGAUCUUCUCCGAGGUUGGUUCUGGCUCGUUGGAUAUGUUUGGAGGUGGUGGUGGGAGUAGUGGUGGUGUUCAGAGUCCUCCUGGGUUUUUGGAUGAGUUUUUCAAGGACUCGGACUUUGAUAACUUGGAUUUGAUUCUCAAGGAGUUGUAUGAGGAUUUGAGGUCUUCGGUUAUUAAUGUGUCUGUGCUUGGAGAUUUCCAGCCGCCGUUGAGGGCGCUUAAGUAUCUUGUUAGCUUGCCUGUUGGAGCUAAGUCUUUGGUUAGUCAUGAGUGGUGGGUUCCGCGUGGGGCUUAUAUGAACGGUCGAGCUAUGGAGUUGACGAGCAUUCUCGGUCCUUUCUUCCAUAUUAGCGCAUUGCCUGAUAACACUCUCUUCAAGAGUCAACCUGAUGUUGGGUGAGUUCCGACUUAUUUCUGGGCUUCUGUUGUUAAAAAAUCUGUAAUCUUUGGGAUUGUUUGGUUAUCAAGUCAGUUAGGACAAUAAGCAAUUUUGUUUAGCACUACUCAAAGUGGAGACUUGAUAAAAAAAAAGAAAGAAGCAGAUGCUUUGGUUUAUAAGAUGACUCUGUUACUGUUAGGUGACGUAUAUUUUAAGCAUGGUUAUACAAAUCCAGCAUAGUUACCCAUAAUAGUUCGCUCUCUGUUUGUUUUUAGAACACCGUGGAUAAAAUCAAUUGUUUUGAGGAUUUUUUUGGUCUUUUCUGAAGAUUCUUGACUGUUCAUUGAACAUUGACAAUUGAAAAGGAUAAAUUGUGCAAAUGAAAAGGUUAUCCUGAUAUACAUGAGAUAAGAUUCUUUGUCUGUUAGGGCAACUCUAAUACAUGUCUAUGUUUUUUUUCUGAAUGUCAGUCAGCAGUGUUUCUCUGGAGCAUCGGAACGUCGUCCUGCAGAUUUGUUAUCAUCCUUCUCUACAAUCAAAAACUUUAUGAACAUUUUGUACAGUGGGCUGCAUGAUGUACUGAUGAUUUUACUUAAAAGCACCGAUACACGUGAGUGUGUUCUACAGUUUCUUUCGGAAGUGAUCAAUGCAAAUGCGUCGAGAGCCCAUAUACAGGUGAUCAUCCCUAAGUAGGAUGUAUAUUUGCUUCGGAUCUUCAUUCAUACCUUGUUAUUGGUCUCCUCCUGGUUUCAUUAAGUUGGUAUUUUUAUUUUCUGCUUAAUCCGGCACUCUUGAAUAUACUGUUGUGUAUGACAGGUUGAUCCAGUUUCUUGUGCUAGCUCAGGCAUGUUUUGUAACCUCAGCGCAGUCAUGCUCCGGCUCUGUGAACCAUUUUUGGACCCGCAUUUUACUAAAAGGGAUAAGAUCGAUCCAAAAUAUGCAUUCGCUGGGCAUCGCUUAAAAUUAAGGUAUGGGCCUCGAGAUAAUUCUACGGCUAUCUCCUCACUGGAUUUUAUAUAUUCUUGAUGAUUUAACAUUAUUUAAUGAUCUACGCCAGCGACUUGACUGCUCUCCAUGCAUCAUCCGAGGAAGUUUCUGAGUGGAUUGACAAGGGUAAUACGGCAAAAGCAAAUGACGCUGGAAACGGAAAUGAAAGUCGCUUGUUACAAUCCAAAGAAGCCACAAGUUCAAGUAGUUCUUCUCAGCAGAAUGCAAAGUCAACAACUAAAUACACUUUCAUUUGUGAAUGCUUCUUUAUGACUGCAAGAGUCCUCAAUUUGGGUCUCUUAAAAGCACUCUCGGACUUUAAACAUCUUUCUCAGGUAACCAUCACUAUUUUUCCCGAACUUAAAAUAUUAUGGAGAAACAAUUAUGAUAAACUAUCUUGGAGACACCUCUUGUUUAAUUUGGUUGCUGACAUAUUUUCUGGACAAAGCAUUUGGUAGUAAUUGCAAAGAAAAUAUGAAUUUACUUCGUUUAGAUUAUGAAAGAGUCAUUAAUGCCUGGAUUUUCAGAAGAUAGUUAUUGUACUGUUCUUUACUGUUAACUUUUUUUGCAUGAUGUAGGACAUCUCGAGAGGUGAAGACAAUCUUGCAACAUUAAAAGCCAUGAGAGAUCAAGCACCGUCUCCACAGUUGGAGCUUGACAUAACCAGAAUGGAAAAAGAAUUAGAGUUGUAUUCUCAGGAAAAGCUUUGCCACGAAGCUCAAAUAUUAAGGGUUUGUAAUAAUAUUCUCUGCUCUGAGAACAUCUUUCGCUUUUUCUCUGGACCAAGAACAUGAUAGUAAUAGCUGUUUAUAUCUGUAUACUGUUUUGAAGGAUGGAGACUUUAUCCAACGAGCUAUCUCUUUCUAUCGAUUAGUCAUUGUUUGGUUAGUUGGACUUGUUGGUGGCUUUAAGAUGCCUUUACCUUCAGCUUGCCCCAUGGAAUUCUCCUGUAUGCCGGAGCAUUUUGUUGAAGAUGCGAUGGAGUUACUGAUAUUUGCUUCAAGAAUCCCCAAGGCUUUGGAUGGAGUGCUGCUGGUAUGUUUAGUCUAUUCUCUCAUCCGUCUGCAGAAAUUCGAUUUCUUGUACCUGCAUUGAUGAUCGUUGUUCUCUUUCCUUUAGGACGACUUUAUGAACUUCAUAAUAAUGUUCAUGGCAAGUCCAGAAUAUAUUAGAAACCCGUAUCUCAGAGCAAAGAUGGUUGAAGUUCUGAACUGCUGGAUGCCACGUUCAAGGUAAUUUUCUUCCCAUGAAAGAAAGCUGUAAAAUCCUCAUUUUCUUUUGCUAGUGCAACAAUUAUUCCAUUAAAGCAGACCACUAAUCUCAAACCAAAUUUUUGUCUGUUUAUAGUGGUUCUUCUGCUACAUCUACUCUCUUUGAAGGCCAUCAGUUAUCCCUUGAGUAUCUUGUCAGGAAUUUACUGAAACUAUAUGUUGACAUUGAGUUCACGGGUUCUCACACUCAGGUGAUUGCAGGAAAUUUUGUUUUUGGUGGCUAUAACAUAUCUGGACUAACAUGCUCCUCUCUAUUGCAUAGUACUUCAUAAUUUGUUAGCUUUAAAAACCUGAAUGGCCAUUGGCUCUCGCUUUUAAUGUGACUGAAACCGAGUGAUCAAAAUGCAGUUCUAUGACAAGUUCAACAUUCGCCACAACAUUGCCGAGCUUCUAGAGUAUCUCUGGCAGGUGCCUAGUCACCGAAAUGCGUGGAGACGGGUAAUUUCUUAGUGUCCUUACCAUGGCUCUGAGUUUCCAUCAACAUGUGCCAGUGUUAUAGUGUUACCAAACUUUGAUUGUUUACAGAUUGCAAAAGAGGAAGAGAAGGGCGUGUACUUGAACUUCUUAAACUUCUUAGUCAAUGAUAGCAUCUUUCUUCUGGAUGAAAGUCUUAACAAAAUUCUCGAGAUUAAACAAAUCGAGGCAGAGAUGUCAAAUACUGCAGAGUGGGAGCAGAGACCAGCGCAAGAGAGACAGGAUAGAACGAGACUCUUCCACUCUCAGGAGAAUGUUAGUGGAUUACACUUAUUAUAUCUUAUUUCUGACUCGGUUCAUAAUGCCUCAAAAGAGUUUUAUUUUAAUCUGCAGAUUGUUAGAAUUGACAUGAAGCUGGCUAAUGAGGAUGUGACUAUGCUUGCAUUUACAUCUGAGGAGAUCACCGCCCCAUUUCUACUCCCUGAGAUGGUUAAUCUGACUCUAUACCUGAAACUAUUAUCUGCUCGAUUUGAUUGCACAAUCAAAAAUUCUUACUGAAUAGUUUAAUUGUGUGUUGCUUAUCAGGUUGAGAGGGUUGCGAAUAUGCUUAAUUACUUCUUGUUACAACUGGUGGGUCCACAGCGUAAGUCUUUAAGCUUGAAAGAUCCUGAGAAGUACGAGUUCCGUCCAAGACAGUUGCUUAAACAGGUUAGUGAUUACUAUUCUUACUCAGACUCCUCACCAACAUGUGUGAAAAAAGACUAACGGAAUCUCUGGUGAACUUUGAAGAUUGUUCGUAUAUAUGUCAAUCUCGCAAGAGGAGACUCAGAAAACAUAUUUCCCAGUGCCAUAUCCAGUGAUGGACGAUCAUAUAACGAACAGGUCCUCCUCCUAAACCGGAUCCACUUUCAUCAUAACUUGUCGGUCUCUCUACUGAACAAAACAAGUGCUUGUUUUUGCAGCUAUUCGACGCAGGAGCAGAUGUUCUUAGGAGAAUAGGCGAAGAUGGAAGAAUCAUUCAAGAGUUUAUGGAGUUGGGCACAAAGGCCAAAGCUGCUGCUUCUGAAGCUAUGGAUGCUGAAGCUGCACUUGGUGAAAUACCAGACGAGUUCCUCGACCCAAUUCAGGUAUUAUUCUCUCUAAUUUGACGGAGAUACUAAAUCUUGUUUCAGUAAUCCUACUCUCAAUGUCUCUUCCUGUUCUUUUUUCAAUAUUGAUUUUGCAGUGCACGCUUAUGAGAGAUCCAGUGAUACUCCCAAGCUCAAAAACCACAGUUGAUCGAGCCAUCAUUCAACGUCAUCUUCUUAGCGACAAUGUAAGCAAGUAUUCACUUAUAUAAACAGUUGAUCGCCAUCAUUUAACGCUGGCUUUUGAUCUGAUCAUGCUUGCUUCUGCUGCAGCACGACCCGUUUAACCGGGCACAUUUGACAUCGGAUAUGUUAAUACCGGACAUCGAGUUGAAAGCGAGAAUCGAUGAGUUUGUGAGGACGCAUCAGUCUAAGAAACGAUCGAGUGGAGAAGAUAGCAGCAAUAAGGAGAGGAUACAGACUACGAGCAGUGAUAUGUUAAUCGAUUAAUUGUGUAUUCCUAAAGGCGAACAAAAAUAAUAGCAGCAACACUCUUUUUAUUACUUUCUUAGGCUUUUCUCCGAUUAGAUUUGUGGCUUAUUUUCCUGUCCUGUCUUAGAUGUACUAAGUUGAAAUAUUUCCAAAUUUAUUAUAAAUAUCUUAUUUUAACAUUAAAAUUUCAUUUAAUAAUUGAUUUACAGUUUUUACUAGUGUAUUCAAAUAAUGUAAAAUUUGAUAAAUAUCAAUGAUUCAGUAUUUUAACUAAAUUUAUCAAUCAAUAAAAUGGAGGUAGAAAAACAAAACUAAUGUUACGGUGACGUAAAAACAGAACCGUCGUUACAUUUGAAAUAGAAAUGUAAAACUAGAGAGUGUUGGGAAACUAGACGGUAGGAGAGUGUUGUUGUUGUCUACGUUUAGCGAACUCGGACGCAAUAAAGAGUGAGCUUCUACUGUGGCGAAGUGAAAACUCAGCCAUCAAUAUCUCUUUCUCUUGUUCCGACAGAUCUCCAUGACUUCCCUGUUCAAACCAAUUAUAAAUGUUACUACAAAAAAAAUAAAACCAGAACUGAACUGAAAGCUGGUUUAUUACCAGACGAGCGGCUCUGUCACAGACCGCGUGGUGCAUCAGAAUCCCUGCAGCCACUGAAACAUUGAAUGAAUCAACCAUCCCGUUCAUUGGAAUACUGCAAUACAAAUCAGAUAACUCCAACGCUUCUUCACUUAUCCCACUCCCCUCGUUCCCAACAACUAUUGCUGUUGGUUGUGACCAGUCCAUGUCGUAAACGGAAACCUAUUAGAUAUUAACCACCAACAAAAGUCUCAAUGCGCAUGAUGAGAGAGAAAAAAAAGAUCAAGACAAAAAUCUUCAAGGAGUUUACCGUGUCCAUUCCCAAAUGAGUUGUGGCAAUCCUGUAACCACGAGACUUCAAGACUUUGAAACAAUCUUUAGGUGUGUCCCAAAGCUCAAUGUCGAGCCAUUUCUCAGCUCCCAUACUCACAUGUCGAUUGUUCCUAUACCUAAACACAUAGACCAACAAAUUAAUUCACACAAUGCAAUCAAAUGGUUAUACAUUUUUUUCAUUUCUAUCCAAUCACUUUAGUGACAAUGCACAGUUCAAGAAUCUGACAUUUAGCUGAAACAGAAAUUGCCAAACCUCAGAGGGGGCACCUUUUGUAGCUGUCGGAUGCAACAACGUGCACGGACUGAAUCCCCAACGCAUCCGCCGAGCGAAACGCAGCAGAGAUGUUUCCUAUAUCAGACAGACCUUCAACGACAAGACAAACCGAGAAGCUUCGAUUCUCCACCACACGCCUGAACCUAUCCGACCUCUCCUCCAUCAUGUGAGGACUCACCGCCUCCAACACCUCACGGCUGCUAAGGUGCACGUCACCGCACCUGAACCUGUCCUCGUAAGGGAACCACGAUCCUCUACUACGCUCGCCGCUGAAGGAGCUCCUCCGCUCCAUCUUCAUCAUGCUCGACGCGUCAUUUCGAUUGGUUGUCAGCAGUUCCUUCACACUCACGGUGAGAUCUGUAGGGGAAGUCUCUGUGAACGUUUCUAGUGGAAGAGAGGCAGCUUCGUGAAGAGCGCAACGAGGUGGUCCGAAGCUGUGUGUAGAUGGAUUUGGACGGAGAACGGAGAAGGCGCGAAAGGAGACGAGAGUGAUGGAUGAUGAAUUAGGGUUUGGGAGAUGGACGAAUGGAGAUGAAGAGAGGGAGGCGCGGAAUAGGGUUUUGCAGGAGUUCAUGUGUUGUAUUAGCUUACUGUGUUUGCUGCAAAGCUUGAGAUUUAGAGAGCGAGCUCGAUGAGAAUACUGAACUGAAAGAAAUAAUCACAGAGCAAAGAGACAGUCGAGGAAGGAUCCAACUGAAGACAUACUGUCCGAUUCGACGACCACUGGUUGUCUCUCUUGUCUUGUCUUUUUGUCUUGUCUUGUCUUUGUCGAAUCCAACCAAAGAUAAUGUUUAGUUGCUCCACGGAUUGUUAAUUCUGGGCCAAAACGAGGCUUUUUAGUUGGGCCUGAAGCUAAAUGGGCUAGUUACAUAAUUGUUGGCGAGUUUUGGGCUCGCGCGCGUGCAUUCGUAAUUAUGUCGCGAAAUCAGUGAGUAGCUUUUUGACCUUUAUAGAAAAGCUCAUCAUCAACAACGUUAACGGUUAUAUUCACAAACAUUUUUUAAAAUAUAGUAUCCUCUCUUGAACCAAUCCGGUUAAAGAAAACUUAAGUUCACUUUCUAAUUUUUUUGUAUAUUAUAUAUUAUACAUACCUGUGAAGGAAAAUCAAAUCCAUAAAAGAGUGGUACGUUCAUGAAAACCAGAUAUCAUCACGACAUCACAUGCAAAAAGCGUAUAAUAUGUGUCUUAUUAAUUUGAAAUAAAGUAGCAUUACAAUGGUCAUAAACGAAUAGAUAAAUAAUAAAAUUAUAGACAUACAGCGUUAUGUUCUUGAUAUGUCUGGAUUUAAAACGAAGCAUAUACUUUUGUCAGCUCAAUCUUGACUGUGGCUUUUUUCCCCUCUUUUUCUUUUCCAUAAUCGGUGCAUUUCAAAUACUUAAUUUAAAUUAUGCAAACUUAAAGCUCAUUUAACAUUUGUAUUCGACUAUUGGUUUAGUAUGAUAUUCGAAAUACAACAACAUUAAAACUAAAAAGAUAAUAAAAAAAAAUAAUUCAAGGCAAAUCUAUAAUAUAACGAGGCAGUUGCCUCAUUCCUGAGCCACCACAUCAGCAGGUAAGUGGAGUCAGUAGGUAAGUAGGUCUCACUUUAAAAAAAUGUGAAAAAGUAUCAAAUCUUUAGUUCAAACCCGGGUUAUUGAAUCGUAAACACCAACAUUUAUACCACUAAACUAAAGGAUACUUUGUACAUUAGUGGCCGAAACUAAUAUAUAUUUAUGAAGGUCGGAAACAUUUGCUUCUUCGGUUUUUUCUGUGGGACCCACACUUAAUUUUUUUUAUCUAAUGAUUUAAUAAAUACUUUAUAACUCACUUUUUGAAAUGAGUUUCGUUAAAAAAGAGGCCCAAUAGACCUCUUUGGUCUGUAAGCAAUCUCUUCAAUGGAAGUUUAGGGCUUUCAAUUUUUAAUCAUCAGUUCAUGACUCAUCUAAGAAACACAGAUUGGUUCUUUGAGUUCCAUGAAUCUGUUUAUCUUCUUUAGUCUCAACAUCUCCCCAUCUUUAAUAAAUUCAUCAUCGGUUCUUUUAUUUUGCCUGAUAAAUCAUGAUUGUGUGGUUUUAAUUUUCUUUGGUCAUCCUUAGCUUGCACCCUUUGAUCUAACCAAGAAGAAGAAGAAGACAUUUGUCGUUCAGGAUGCCAUCGAGGACUCAGCUGAGUCACACGGGAGACAUACUAUCCGUUGCCUGAUUGUUCAAGAAGAGUUUAUGUGCUGUGAAACAUAUUUGUUUCUUUUCAUCAGUUGCUUUGUUUAAUCUUUUUUCCUGCAAAUAAUGAUGGCUUUGACAGUUCAUUCACGGGAGCCAAGAAGUAAAAGAAGAAGAAGCCAGUGAGUGUUUGACAUUUUCUGUCUUCCUGGGUUUUUUUUUCCAUUCAUUAAACUUGGAUUUUGAAGAUUAUGUGCCUCACAUUCUUUUUAUUUUGAUGGUUGUUAGGUUGAAUGAAGAUCAUUGAAUAAAAAAAAUGUCGAUGCUCCAGAAGAUUUGGAGGGUACUUUAUAUUUCUUUCUCUGAUAAUUCUAGCGACAUAAAUUUAAACCUUACAGAGGGUAUAUUACAGAGCAUCCUAAUGAUGAGGAAGAGGUGGAGGGAAUUGAUCUGCACCAGCAACGUUACCCGUGGGAGGGAAGUGACAUGGAUUACUUAUACGACGAGGUAAGCAUAUCAUUAGAUGGUUUGCGGUCCAUCUUUGAGAGCCGUCGAUUGUAAGUGUCUAUCGUUUUGAAGUUGCACGACACUAAGAUGUAAAGAAUUACUAAUCACGAUUACCUUACUAGCAGAGUUCUUUUGCACAGCUAUUGUCAAUGGAAUUAACACUUGAAAUUGAUGGUGUAUAUUUCAUGUUUCAAAUGCUGACACAAGCUCCAAUGUUGAUUCUCAGCUUUAACAUGCCAAAAUCACAAAUGCAGUGGAUGUUGUAAGGUAAUUCAGUAGUCACAAAUGUUCAGUUGAAAAAAAUUCUAAACUGUAUUUAUGCAUCAAACUUAUCAUCCGUAACAUAAUAAUAUGUUUUUUUUGUGCUAGGAACCGUUUGUAAAUAAAUGUCUCGGAUGUAUAUGACUGCUGAGUUUGUUGCUUUUGACAGUGAAAUCACUAAGCUUGCAAUGUGUUAGGACGACAAAAGCGUCUCAGCUGAUGGUUAGCUUUACAAUUUCGUUGGUUUCUUUUUCCUAUUAUGUUGGAUGGAUUAUUUUAGCUAACAACAGAGCGCUGGCAAUAAAUCCAAUAGAUUUAUAUGUACAUUUAGAAUUGGAAGUUUGAUGAGAACAUAAACAAGUACUUCUGUCACGCUAUUGGAUAGUUAUACGCCAUUUCAAGAUAAUUGAUUUCUUAUAUUUCCCACUAUCAGUAAAAUAUUAACUGUUUUGUCUACUUUGCAUUCAUACCUCAUUCUCCAUCUAACUUCUCGGUGCUACUAUAUAAUGAUCAAGUCAUUUUCUGCACAAAUAGGCAAGUGGGGAUGUUACGUUGGGUGCUUUUUAUUGGGCUUGGCUAUACAAAGUCUGUUGUGACUCUAAAACUUUUACCUCAUUUAACAUUGAUUCUGGUUCUUGGGAGAAUUGCAGAUUGUGAAUGAAAGGCACAAGCAGGGAACAUAUGUGUAGCUGCGUUCGACUCGACAUGUAGCGGUAUCUGCAGAUCCGCUGAUCCCAUUGUGGAGGUUAACAUGCAAUGUGUUGACCUGGAAAUCAUUAUUUGGAAGCUACAUUCCGAGGCCUUUCCUCAACAUAUAAAUAGACCAUUGACAGAGUUUGAUAUUUAUAAUACUCAGUGAUCAUGGAGUCUGCAGAAAACAAUCCUUUUGCAUGUUCUAUAUGGAACCAAAAGAUAUAUCCUUUGUAUGAUUAUUAUAUUAUGAUAGCUACUAACAUAGAAGAUGACUAGAGAAAGAAAAAUGAGUAUGAAUCUCUUAUAUGGGUAUCUUUUGUAAACACAUUUGGGCUUAUUAACAGUUGUGACAAGCAAUUAUGUUUAUAGUAAAGGAAACCCGCCGCAGCGUCAAUAACAAAUGCGCCUGUUUUUUGGUUGUUUGGGAUUGAAAUAGCUUAUGGGUUUUCUAAAUCAAUAUAAUUGAUUUGACUAAAGCUAUCUUGGAUGACAAAAAGAAGGAUUGCAAGUUUAAUAACUUCUACUUUAGACUUUAAUUUCAACUAAAUUAUAAUCAGUCUUUUAUCCAUAUCAUCUUAGUUAUAAACGUAAGGAUUUAUUAGAAUAAAUAAACAGUUUCAACAAUAUUUAAUAUGUGAUUUAAUAAACAAAAGAACACCUAUGAUUUUUAGGAUUUAAUGAGAUUGGAGACAAUAGUUAAUGAAUACGAAAAGAAUACAAAGCAUAAUGAUUCGAGUAAAUUAGUGGCAACAUAGAGCUAAGCGAGAUAAAAAUAUCAAUCAAUAAAGAAUGAAAGAAGAAUGAGCAUGGUUAAGUUAUUACACAAGCCAAAACUAAGACAAAUUUGUUAUACCAUAGUGGGAAAAAAGACUGGAGAGAGAGGAGAAAAAUGGCGACGGCGGCGACUAGGGUUCUGAAAGAAAAUCCAGAGCUUUCUCGCUAGAUCUACGUCGUGCCUUGCAAUCAGUUUCGAUUGACCUAAAGAUUUGAAGCUGCAAACUUUUCACCGAGAUCUCCAUUACGUAAAGUUGACUCCUUUCGAGCAAGUGAUGGGAGAUCAAGGGGAUACAUUAGCGAGUAUAGUCUCUGGGAAGGUCUAAGGUGUAGAUCCAACCAGGGGUGAGCUUUCAUUAAGUCCUAGUGACUUCUUUUCUUUGGAAUAGGGUGUGAAGAAUCUCGGGGUAAAAACAAGAGAAGGAUGAAUAGAUUUCGCAAGAAGAAAGAGCCGUCCUUGAUGGAAGAGCUAAAGGAACUGGAACUUCUGGAUGAAGGCGAGAUGGUGGAUAUCCCAGAUCUGGAGGUUGAGGAUCUGAUUGAGGAAAACACACUAAGCAUUAUAGUGAGAUGCCUCAGUCCUUUUGUGCACAAGGUAGGAGGUCUGGUAAAGGCAUUACCACCCAUAUAGGGGAUGGAGGAUAGAACUCAGGGAAGGGUUGUAAGAGAAGAUAUGGUUCAGUUUACCUUCAGAUCGGAGAACGACCUAAAGUUUGUUCUGUCAAAAGGUCCAUGGUUUGUCAAUGGUUGGAUGGUGGCUAUGGAUCAAUGGACACCAAACCCACAGGAAGAUUUCUUAAAAAGGAUAACUUUCUGGAUUCGAAUCAGAAGACUUCCCAUCCACAUGCUGAAGAGGCAAGUGGUAGAAACAUUACUGGAUCCUUUGGGGAAGGUCGAAACAGUGGAGUUGCACGCAAAGAACUCUAACUCCCUAGAGUACGUAAGAGCCUUGGUCAAGAUCAAUACGGAAGAGCCACUGCAGUUCAGAAGAAUAACCAGAUUCAAAUCAGGAGCCACGUAUCCAACGGAGUUGGAGUAUGAAAAGCUUCUCAAAGUUUGUUAUGGAUGCAAAAGGCUAACGCACGACCAGACCAAGUGCCCCCACCAGAUCCUCGCAGUGGAAGAAGGGGAGUUGGAAGGUAGAGAUCGAGCCAAGGAAUCCAACCUAAGGAAAAAACUAAAGGAAAAGGAAACAAAAGCCAAAGAGAGUCUCCAGAGACCUUCAACAAAAGGAGCUGCUAAAGGAGUGGUUAUUAGUGGCCCCUCUCCCUCUACAAGCCAAGCAAGGAAUAGUGUGAAAGGCCGUGGAAAUCUAAAGGAGGAUAAGAGUAAGGGGAAGAAAAUAGCCUCAAAACCUCGGCUAGAGUGGAAACAGAAAGGAGGUAAGGAGGGCUCGGAGAAAACGAGAAGCACUGAGGAGUCCACAGCAAACCCGCGGAGCUCAGGAGAAUACAGUGGGACCAAAAGUGCUAAUGCAGAGGUAGGAGGCCAGGGACUUUCACCUGCAACCAAUGCGUCUAGCUCAGUUUUCAACAGAUUGGGGGGUUUGGAGGAAGUGUGGGGUUCAAAAAGGAACAGAGGAAAGAGAGAAGAACCUAGCUCUCCAGCUGAUCUGCGUAUGAAACUAAGUGGCGCUUCUUCAGGAGAAAAGGGUGAUGGCAAAUCGAGUAAAGGAAGCCGUAGUCCUCCCUCUAUUUUCGAACGUCUGGGGAGUCAGGGAACUACCACACCUGGUUUUACCCGAAGCAUAGAAGACUCCCGUACAUCAAAGAAGAGAAGACUAAGCAGUAGUGAUGAGAGAAACCCAAAGAAAGCUAGGAGAAACUCAUCUGAGAAGAAGAAAGUAUCUCCCUCAGUAUUUCAAAGGUUGGGAGAGACAAGGUGUGAUAACGAAGGAAACAACCAGGAAGAAGCACAUCACUCUGCUCUAGUAGCAGUGACCACUCCGGUCCAUUCUGCCAAUAUGGCAGCCAAAGUCCCAAUCCACUCUGUCCAAAGGAUAGCAUUGGAAAGUGGAACUGUUAGGGGUUGGGGAAUACCCCGACAGUUCGACAUCUACAGGGAAUACAUGGUCAGUAUUUCCCUGAGAUAAUAUUCCUCAGUGAGACCAAGAGUAGAAUGUGUUAUUUGGAGUCUAUAGUGGAGAAGAUGGGGUUCCAUGAUGUGAUAACUAUAGACGCCAUAGGAAAGAGCGGAGGUUUGGCAGUUAUGUGGAAGAGUUCAUGUACGGUGGAGGUUUUGCAGGCAAAUAAGAGGGUGAUUGAUUUGAAGGUGCAGUGGCAGGAUCAAAUUUUUUUCCUUACCUGUGUAUAUGGCGAUCCGGUCAAGAGUAGAAGGGGAGAAGUAUGGGAACGGAUUUCACGGAUUGGAGCAAAUAGAAAGGGGGGCUUGGAUGCUGAUAGGAGACUUUAAUGAGCUGAUUGAUCAAUCUGAAAAGUCAGGAGGAGCAGUAAGGGAAGAUCGAGAAGGGCAAGAAUUCAAGCAGCUACAAACGUCUGGGGAGUCAGGGAACUACCACACCUGGUUUUACCCAAAGCAUAGAAGACUCCCGUACAUCAAAGAAGAGAAGACUAAGCAGUAGUGAUGAGAGAAACCCAAAGAAAGCUAGGAGAAACUCAUCUGAGAAGAAGAAAGUAUUUCCCUCAGUAUUUCAAAGGUUGGGAGAGACAAGGUGUGAUAACGAAGGAAACAACCAGGAAGAAGCACAUCACUCUGCUCUAGUAGCAGUGACCACUCCGGUCCAUUCUGCCAAUAUGGCAGCCAAAGUCCCAAUCCACUCUGUCCAAAGGAUAGCAUUGGAAAGUGGAUACAAACUGAAAGAAGGGUUGAUGGGUAAUACCAACCCUUCGAGGUCAAUAUGAGAAUAUUAAGUUGGAACUGUCAGGGGUUGGGGAAUACCCCGACAGUUCGACAUCUACAGGGAAUACAUGGCCAGUAUUUCCCUGAGAUAAUAUUCCUCAGUGAGACCAAGAGUAGAAGGUGUUAUUUGGAGUCUAUAGUGGAGAAGAUGGGGUUCCAUGAUGUGAUAACUAUAGACGCCAUAGGAAAGAGCGGAGGUUUGGCAGUUAUGUGGAAGAGUUCAUGUACGGUGGAGGUUUUGCAGGCAAAUAAGAGGGUGAUUGAUUUGAAGGUGCAGUGGCAGGAUCAAAUUUUUUUCCUUACCUGUGUAUAUGGCGAUCCGGUCAAGAGUAGAAGGGGAGAAGUAUGGGAACGGAUUUCACGGAUUGGAGCAAAUAGAAAGGGGGGCUUGGAUGCUGAUAGGAGACUUUAAUGAGCUGAUUGAUCAAUCUGAAAAGUCAGGAGGAGCAGUAAGGGAAGAUCGAGAAGGGCAAGAAUUCAAGCAGCUACUGCUUAACUGGGGUCUCUGGGACAUUAAAUACAAGGGGAACCCGCUAUCGUGGGCAGGGAAAAGAAACAACAUGUUGGUGAAGUGCAGACUGGAUAGAGCAGUAGCAAACCAGGAAUGGUUGGAGGCUCACCCACAAGCAGCUACCUUCUACCUCCCAAGAGUUCAGUCGGAUCACAGUCCGAUCAUUACCUCCUUGGAUGGUCAUCAAAGGAAGAAAUUCACAAACUUUAAGUAUGAUCAGAGGUGGGUUAAUAAGGAAAAGUUUGUAGAGACAGUUGAGAAAAGCUGGAGAACACACAGCAGUGGUCAGGGGAAUCUCAUGGGUAGAAUCUCAGCGUGCAGGAAAGACAUAUCCCUGUGGAAGAGGCAGGUGAAGCCUAAUUCAGCGAUGAGAAUCAAGGAGCUAAGCUUUAAAAUAGAUGAAGCGACUAGGCAGGAGAACUUCAAGAAAGAGGAGCCGGAGAAUCUAAGGAAGGAACUGUCUGAGGAGUAUUACAACGAGGAGGUUUUCUGGAUGCAAAAGAGCAGACUCACGUGGCUGAGAUCGGGAGAUUUAAACACGAAGUUCUUUCAUGCAGUCACGAAGAAUAGAAGAGCACAAAAUAGAAUAAAGAGCUUGACUGAUGAUGAGGGAACGGAGUGGUUUGCUGAUAAGGACCUGGGGAGAGUCGCUGAAAUGUACUUUAAGUCUCUCUUCCCGUCAGAGGAUGUAGGAUUGGACCUGAUAGAGUGGCAGGAGAUGCCGAAGCUAGUUACCCCGGAGCAAAAUAUCCAUCUAAUGAAGCCAGUGCUGAUGGAGGAGGUCAAGAGAGCUGUUUUUGAUAUAAACCCAGGCAAAUGCCCGGGACCUGACGGGAUGACUGGAUAUUUCUUCCAACAGUUCUGGGAAACAAGCGGAGAGGAGGUAACUGCUAUGGUUCAGAAGUUCUUUAGAACUGGGGUUUUGGAGGCAGAGAUGAAUGACACUAACAUCUGCCUGAUCCCCAAAACAAUAACAUCAAAGAAAAUGUGCGAGUAUAGACCGAUAAGUCUGUGUAACGUGGCUUAUAAGGUGGUCUCAAAGCUGAUGGCAAAAAGACUAAAGAAGGUGCUGCCUAAUGUUGUAUCAGAAACGCAGGCAGAUUUCGUGGAAGGACGCCUUAUUUCAGAUAACAUUCUCGUUGCACACAAGUUACUGCACGCACUCAGCUCAGAUAAUAAGUGUGCCUCAGAGUUUAUUGCAAUCAACACCGAUAUCUCUAAGGCUUAUGACCGCGUCGAGUGGUCUUUCUUAGAGAAAGCAAUGGAGGCAAUGGGAUUCUCAGAAGAAUGGAGAAGACUUAUUAUGUGUUGUGUGUCGUCUGUGAGGUAUAAAGUCCUGAUCAAUGGAUCACCGUUUGGACAGAUAACGCCUACAAGAGGUUUGAGACAAGGCGAUCCGCUCUCGCCGUAUCUCUUUGUGAUGUGCACAGAAGUUCUAGUCCAGAUGCUGAAACGCGCUGAACAGAUGAAGAAGAUCUCAGGACUACGUGUUGCAAGAAGAGCCCCCUUGGUAUCUCAUCUUUUGUUUGCUGAUGACAGCAUGUUUUAUUGCAAGGGUUCAGAGGAGGAGUUGAAUCAGGUCUCUCAGAUACUUCCGAACUAUAGUAUGGCAUCAGGGCAAAGAAUCAAUCACCAGAAGUCUAACAUUUAUUUUGGGAAGCACAUACCAAGCUGCAGAAGAGAAGAGAUUAAGCAGAAGAUGGGAAUAGACUCAACAGGAGGAGAGGGAUUUUACCUAGGCUUACCUGAAGCUUUUGGUGGAUCCAAAGUGUCCAUACUAAGUUACUUGAAGGAGAAGUUAAGUCAACGAGUCCAUGGCUGGCAAACAAAAUUCCUCUCUCCAGGUGGAAAAGAGAUUCUCCUCAAGGCAGUGGCCAUGGCGUUACCCACAUACACUAUGGCAUGUUUCCUUCUCCCCAAGACGAUAAUCAAACAAAUCAUGGCAAUGAUGUCUGAAUUUUGGUGGAGGAAUGGACAGGAGACGAGGGGUAUGCAUUGGAAGAGCUGGGAGAGUUUAUGUCGACCAAAAGCAAGUGGGGGUUUGGGUUUUAAGGACUUGGAGGCUUACAAUCUAGCACUACUUGGGAAGCAGCUGUGGAGAAUGAUUAAAAACCCGAAGUCCCUAAUGUGCAGAGUGUUUAAGAGUCGAUACUUCAGGAACACAGACCCUCUCAAUGCCUCUUUAGGUUCCAGGCCCUCGUACGCUUGGAGAAGCAUACAUGCAGCGCAGAAAUUGAUUCAACAUGGAGCAAGGGUGGUCAUAGGUAAUGGAAGAGAUACAAAGAUCUGGCAGGAGAGAUGGAUAGGAGCAGCUCCAGCCACAAUGAUCAAGUCAGUGAGACGACCUGAAGGUAAUGAGAGGAUCAGUCUGGCUGAUGAUAUGAGGGUUAGUGCUCUAAUUAGGGUAAACGGAAAGGAGUGGAACCUGGAGCUGAUAGAGAGACUCUUCACAACGGAGAUACAAGAGCAAAUUCUGAAAAUCAGACCAGCUGGGAAUUAUAGUAGAAAUACCUACUCAUGGGAGUUUACCAAGACGGGGCACUACACUGUUAAAUCAGGUUAUUGGGUCCAGACCAACAUCGUUGCGCCGGAUAAAGAAGUCCAGGAAGUCAUUCAACCGAGCUUAGAUGGUAUUUAUCAACAAAUUUGGGGGUUGGAGACGAGUCCAAAGAUCAAUCACUUUCUAUGGAAAUGUUUAAGCAACGCGCUGCCGGUAAUGGAAAAUAUGGCAUAUAGACAUUCUCCCCAAGACGAUAAUCAAACAGAUCAUGGCAAUGAUGUCUGAAUUUUGGUGGAGGAAUGGACAGGAGACGAGGGGUAUGCAUUGGAAGAGCUGGGAGAGUUUAUGUCGACCAAAAGCAAGUGGAGGUUUGGAUUUUAAGGACUUGGAGGCUUACAAUCUAGCACUACUUGGGAAGCAGCUGUGGAGAAUGAUUAAAAACCCGAAGUCCCUAAUGUGCAGAGUGUUUAAGAGUCGAUACUUCAGGAACACAGACCCUCUCAAUGCCUCUUUAGGUUCCAGGCCCUCGUACGCUUGGAGAAGCAUACAUGCAACGCAGAAUCAAAGAAAAUGUGCGAGUAUAGACCGAUAAGUCUGUGUAACGUGGCUUAUAAGGUGGUCUCAAAGCUGAUGGCAAAAAGACUAAAGAAGGUGCUGCCUAAUGUUGUAUCAGAAACGCAGGCAGAUUUCGUGGAAGGACGCCUUAUUUCAGAUAACAUUCUCGUUGCACACAAGUUACUGCACGCACUCAGCUCAGAUAAUAAGUGUGCCUCAGAGUUUAUUGCAAUCAACACCGAUAUCUCUAAGGCUUAUGACCGCGUCGAGUGGUCUUUCUUAGAGAAAGCAAUGGAGGCAAUGGGAUUCUCAGAAGAAUGGAGAAGACUUAUUAUGUGUUGUGUGUCGUCUGUGAGGUAUAAAGUCCUGAUCAAUGGAUCACCGUUUGGACAGAUAACGCCUACAAGAGGUUUGAGACAAGGCGAUCCGCUCUCGCCGUAUCUCUUUGUGAUGUGCACAGAAGUUCUAGUCCAGAUGCUGAAACGCGCUGAACAGAUGAAGAAGAUCUCAGGACUACGUGUUGCAAGAAGAGCCCCCCCCCGGUAUCUCAUCUUCUGUUUGCUGAUGACAGCAUGUUUUAUUGCAAGGGUUCAGAGGAGGAGUUGAAUCAGGUCUCUCAGAUACUUCAGAACUAUAGUAUGGCGUCAGGGCAAAGAAUCAAUCACCAGAAGUCUAGCAUUUAUUUUGGGAAGCACAUACCAAGCUGCAGAAGAGAAGAGAUUAAGCAGAAGAUGGGAAUAGACUCAACAGGAGGAGAGGGAUUUUACCUAGGCUUACCUGAAGCUUUUGGUGGAUCCAAAGUGUCCAUACUAAGUUACUUGAAGGAGAAGUUAAGUCAACGAGUCCAUGGCUGGCAAACAAAAUUCCUCUCUCCAGGUGGAAAAGAGAUUCUCCUCAAGGCAGUGGCCAUGGCGUUACCCACAUACACUAUGGCAUGUUUCCUUCUCCCCAAGACGAUAAUCAAACAAAUCAUGGCAAUGAUGUCUGAAUUUUGGUGGAGGAAUGGACAGGAGACGAGGGGUAUGCAUUGGAAGAGCUGGGAGAGUUUAUGUCGACCAAAAGCAAGUGGGGGUUUGGAUUUUAAGGACUUGGAGGCUUACAAUCUAGCACUACUUGGGAAGCAGCUGUGGAGAAUGAUUAAAAACCCGAAGUCCCUAAUGUGCAGAGUGUUUAAGAGUCGAUACUUCAGGAACACAGACCCUCUCAAUGCCUCUUUAGGUUCCAGGCCCUCGUACGCUUGGAGAAGCAUACAUGCAGCGCAGAAAUUGAUUCAACAUGGAGCAAGGGUGGUCAUAGGUAAUGGAAGAGAUACAAAGAUCUGGCAGGAGAGAUGGAUAGGAGCAGCUCCAGCCACAAUGAUCAAGUCAGUGAGACGACCUGAAGGUAAUGAGAGGAUCAGUCUGGCUGAUGAUAUGAGGGUUAGUGCUCUAAUUAGGGUAAACGGAAAGGAGUGGAACCUGGAGCUGAUAGAGAGACUCUUCACAACGGAGAUACAAGAGCAAAUUCUGAAAAUCAGGUCAGCUGGGAAUUAUAGUAGAGAUACCUACUCAUGGGAGUUUACCAAGACGGGGCACUACACCGUUAAAUCAGGUUAUUGGGUCCAGACCAACAUCGUUGCGCCGGAUAAAGAAGUCCAGGAAGUCAUUCAACCGAGCUUAGAUGGUAUUUAUCAACAAAUUUGGGGGUUGGAGACGAGUCCAAAGAUCAAGCACUUUCUAUGGAAAUGUUUAAGCAACGCGCUGCCGGUAAUGGAAAAUAUGGCAUAUAGACAUAUUGCUAAAGACAAAUCCUGCAGCAGAUGUGGGGGAGAGGCAGAGAGCGUGAAUCAUUUACUCUUUCACUGCCCUUAUGCUCGUCUGAUCUGGGCAGUGGCAAACGUACACAUACCUCCAGCUGGUAGAUGGUCUGACUCCUUUUAUGCUAAUCUCUAUUGGGUUUUGAAUCUAAAAAAAGAGUUCCCUAGAGAGGAUGUUGAGGAAGGGUUGGUACCAUGGCUGUUGUGGAGAUUAUGGAAAAAUAGAAAUGAGUUCAUUUUCAGAGGGAAAGACUAUGAUGCUCGCACAACAAUUAAGAAAGUCUGGGAGGAUGUCAUGGAAUGGAAGAGCAGAAAUGAGGUCCAACAUGAGGAGGUUAAACAACCCGCAGCAGACACGCCUGAAGUGAAGUGGUCACCACCUGAUUCCAUGACACUGAAAUGUAACACAGAUGGUGCGUGGUCAAAGGAAACAGGAGAGGGUGGUGCGGGCUGGUUAUUGAGAAAUCAUCAAGGGCUGCUGCUGUGGGCAGGGGCGAAGAAGAUGGUGGCUCUGAGGUCAGCGAUAGAAUCUGAAGCAGAAGCAAUUAGAUGGGCAGUACAGACGGUUGCUGGGUUUGGAUAUAGAAGAGUUCUUGUUGAAACAGAUUCACAAAUGUUGGCAAGAAUGCUCAACGGAGAGGAGGAAAUAUGGCCGGUACUUGCUCCCAUCAUACAAGAUAUCCCGACCUCAUUGAACGCAAAUGAAGGUUUCAAAGUGCAGUAUCAUCCGAGGAGUGGUAAUAAGUCAGCAGAUAGGAUAGCGAAGGAGACUUCUACGUUUACAUCCUUUGUCCCUAAGUUAUAUUCUAUGGUGCCUAUGUGGUUGAAUUCAUGUGUUGAGGCUGAUAAGCCCAAUGUAAGACUCUGAAGUUUGGAAUUAAUAUAAAGUUGUUGUUGAGCAAAAAAAAAAAAAACAAGCCAAAACUAAGACAAAUCAAACGAUAGAACGUGAAAACAAAUGUAAACAAGACAAGAAGAGAGAGUGAAGAUAAAAUACAUUGAAAAACUAAAUGCUAGAUUAGUAAGCAAAAGUCAAAAAAAGAUUAAAAUGCAAAAACUAAGGUGCGGGGUAACGAUCCCUAGUUUAGUUAGUAAGAAAAUUCACAACUUCAUUAGUUAAAAAAAAAAAAAUCGCAACUUCAUUGAAUAUAAAGACUGGCGACGCGUUUGUGGCGCGCCAAAAGUGGUUAAAGCAGCAAGUCUUCCGCAACAAACGCGGUUAUAUUAUUAUUUUUAUUUAAGGAUUAUUAUAAGUGUUAUGGUUCAUGUAUUUUUAAAAUAAUUUAAUUUAUUUAUUAUACAGCAACAGCAGUUGAAAAAAAGGAAAAAAGAUGGGCUAUGAAAACCCCACCAGUCCACCUCUAAAUCACAAAUUGCGCAACUAAACCCACAAGUCUAGAGAGAGAGAGAGAAGAGUUCUAAUAGAGAGAGAAAAAAUGGCGAGAUUGACGGUGCUGAUUGCUGCGGUGAUACUUGCUUUUCUAGUGGCAAUGCCGGUGCCGGAAGUAACGGCCAAGAAGUAUACAGUCGGAGACAACAAGUUUUGGAAUCCAAACAUUAACUAUACCAUAUGGGCUCAGGGAAAGCAUUUCUACCUCGGUGACUGGCUCUGUAUGCUCUCUCUCCCUCUUCUCUACUUUUCUCUCGCAUCUGUUUACAUUAGAUCUGUUUUUUUUUAAAUGGUCUUUGCUAUAACUCUAGUGAUAAUUUCAAAAGAUUUCAAACUUUUUACCAAAGUUCUUGGCUUUCUGAAUUUCGAACAAUGCCAUUUAAGGCUCAUCAGUUUUGUUGUUUUUUUUUUUUUUUCAUAAAUGUUUACUGAUUGGUCCAGAUCUGGUUUCCCAUAAACAGUAACAUUUCUUUGUCACACUUUUGAAAUCUUUAAUCAGACAUUACCAAAUAGCUCAAAUUCAAAUAAUGGGCUUUUUUUUUUGCUUUUUCUGAUAUGAUGUCAGAUUUCGUGUUCGACAGAAACCAACACAACAUUCUCGAAGUAAACAAGACCGACUACGAAAACUGCAACUCCGACCAUCCUCUCGUAAACUGGACACGUGGAGCUGGGAGAGACGUUGUCCCUCUCAACGUGACCAAACACUACUAUCUUCUCGACGGAAAGGGUGGCUGUUAUGGAGGCAUGAAGCUCGCUGUUAAAGUCGAGAAGCUUCCUCCUCCGCCAAAAUCUGCACCUGUCAAGAACAUUGGAUCAGUUUCAGUGGUCACAGGUCUCGCUCAGUUCAUGAUUCCGUUUGCCCUGUUAAGGAUGUGGUAAGUGACACCAAUCUCACAGUUAUUUGGAUCCAAUCCGAUGUAAGAAAAAAACCUAAAAUUCUUUUCAGGGAAAGCAUUUAAAUUAGAAAGUCCAAUCAGUUAAGUUUAUUUUUGUAAUGUUUGGUUUGUAACCUUUUUAUUUGGUUUUGUUUGUGUCUUUGAAUCAAUUGUCUAAAAAAGCGCUGUACUUGAUUUAUUUGCUGAAAUUAAUUGUUGAACAAAGAGAGUGUAUUAUCUGGAUCAUGUGUGAAUGAAAAUAUAUAAAAAUAUAAAUUUUUAAUAUAAUUUCGUAUUUUUGGCUUAUCUGUUCCAUGUGAGUAUAUCUGAGAUUGUACGUAAUUCCAGUAUUGAAAUCCAACCACCACAUGUCCCUUUUCGUAAACCUGUCAAUGACUCAAAUCUAUUACCAAAUAGAUUGAAAUUAAUAUGUUUCAAGUAUGAAACAAAAGAACAAUAUUUAGUUACGUGUAUCUAUGUAAUGUGUGUUUUUGUAUUUUGUAUGGAGGGGAUGUAAGUAGAUUUCACAUGGACCCCCUAAAUGAAUAUGAAAUGAUGAUGAUGACUGGUGGGGACGUCGAGAAUUCUAGAUUGAUAAUAUAACGAAGAUUCUGGACAAUCUUUUUUUUUGGGCUGCAUGCACUUUAGCCAGGAAUAAAGGCCCAUUAAGGCCCGUUACGUGAAAGUUUGAUGCAAGGAAUAUUUUUUCCCGGGAAAAUUGAACAGAAGACCAAAAGUUCGAACCGUUGUCUGCAAAGAUUCCAUCAGUUGCUGGAAUUGAGAGGCUAGAAAAUAAAAAAAACGAACAUUUGAUCAUUUUAUUACCUUAUGAAAUGCUUAUCGAAUCAAAAAGUUCGUUUCAUUCUCCGACAGUGUGCGCAGCACCGCUCGUUGCUCCGUUCCGGCAAGGAGCUGCACGGCGUUUUGACUACUUCUGGAUUGAAGAAAGCUCCGAGGUCUUACCUUAGCAACUCGCUCUUUCAGUUCUACGCUGCGUCCGGUGAUAAGGCUACUGCUCAGAAGGUGUUCGACGAAAUUCCUCUGACAGAAAAAGACAAUGUGGAUUGGACCACUUUGCUGUCCUCUCUUUCCCGGUGCGGAUACUUGGUUGAUUCUAUGAAGCUCUUCGUGGAGAUGAGAAGGAAAAGAGUAGAGAUCGAUGACGUGGCUGCGGUCUGCUUUUUUGGCGUGUGUGCCAAGCUAGAAGAUCUUGGUUUCGGUGAACAAGGACAUGGGUUUGCUGCAAAGACGGGACUUUUGACUAGCGUAAAGGUUUGUAAUGCUCUUAUGGAUAUGUAUGGAAAAUGUGGGUUUGUGGGUGAAGUCAGACGCUUAUUCGAGACGUUAGAGGAGAAGAGUGUUGUCUCAUGGACGGUGGUUUUGGACGCGGUUGUGAAAUGGGAAGGGUUGGAGAAUGGAAGAGAGGUUUUCGAUGGAAUGCCUGAGAGGAACGCUGUUGCUUGGACGGUUAUGGUUGCUGGGUAUGUGGGAGGUGGGUUUACAGGUGAAGCAUUGGAGCUUCUGGAGGAGAUGGUGUUUAAAUGUGGGUAUGGUUUGAAUUUCGUCACCCUUUGCUCGGUGCUAUCGGCUUGUGCGCGAUCAGGAAACCUGGUUAUCGGAAGAUGGGUUCAUGUUUAUGCGUUGAAGAUGGAGGAGGAGGAAGAGAGUUGUAAUGAUCAUGUCAUGGUGGGAACGGCAUUGGUUGAUAUGUAUGCCAAAUGCGGAGACAUAGACUCUUCCAUUAAAGUCUUCAGAUCUAUGCGGAAGAGGAAUGUGGUGACGUGGAACGCUUUGUUUAGUGGGUUAGCGAUGCACGGGAAAGGUAAGACGGUGAUUGACAUGUUCCAAGAGAUGGUAAGAGAGGUGAAGCGGCCAGAUAACUUAACUUUCAGUGCUGUCUUAAGUGCUUGCAGCCACUCCGGGUUGGUAGAAGAAGGGUGGCAGUGUUUCCACAGGCUUAGAUCCCAUGGUUUGGAACCUAAGGUUGAACAUUACGCAUGUAUGGUUGAUCUUUUGGGGCGAGCUGGUCGUGUUGAAGAAGCAGAGAUGUUGAUGAGGGGAAUGACAGUGCCUCCAAAUGAAGUCGUCCUCGGUUCGCUUCUAGGCUCGUGUAGCGUCCAUGGGAAGCUGGAGAUAGCCGAACGGGUUAAAAGAGAGCUUGUUGAGAUGAGUCCAGGCAACAUGGGAUACCAAAUAGUUUUAUCCAACAUGUACGCUGCAGAAGGAAGGAGUGACGUUGUAGAUAGGUUAAGAGGAAGUAUGAGAAACAGAGGAAUCAGGAAGAUACCUGGUAUGAGUUCAAUUCACUUGAACGGCUCAGUUCAUCGGUUUAUCGCGGGAGAUAGAUCACACCCGAGAACGAAAGAGAUUUACUUGAAGUUGACUGAAGUGAUUGAACGGAUUAGAUCAGGUGGUUAUGUCCCUCAUGUUCCUCCCUCGGAGGUUGACUUGGAGGACAAAGAGCAGGCUUUGAGCUGCCACAGUGAGAAACUUGCAGUCUGUUUCGGGCUUCUAGUAACUAAACCGAGGACAACUCUUUAUGUAUUCAAGAAUCUGAGGAUAUGUCAGGAUUGUCAUUCAGCUAUGAAGAUUAUAUCAAUGGUUUAUGACCGAGAAAUCAUCAUCAGAGAUAGAAAUAGAUUUCAUCAGUUCAAAGGAGGCUCUUGUUCUUGUUCCGAUUACUGGUGAACAUAUCAAACGGCUGUACAAUGUAUCGAUUCUUGAUUGUAAACCAAUUUGCAAAAUGAGACAAGGUUGAGACAAUGAAGAACAAAAUUAUUGAAGAUCUUAUAAAGUGCUGUUCUUCUACAAUUCGGAAGCAUUACAAAAGCUGUGAGCUGUAAAAUGUAAAGAAACCUAAACAGGGAUCCGGACAGGUGUUGAAAUGUGUUAAUAUACUUUAGGACACGUCAGGGUGAUAAGAAGAAGCAAAAUCUUGAUCACAAGGAGGCAUGGUCCUCUUCUAAAUCAAGGGGAAGGUCCAUUGUCUUCCUUCUCUGAUUCAUCUUUGCUCUGCAGAUUCUCAGAGUUUGGAGAGUUCUCAGCUGUCACCGUCUCAUCAUCCUCGUUCUUGAGAAGCGAAGAGAAUGAUAGAGGAUUGUAGGUCGAGCUGGCCUUUUGCAACCCUCUUAUUGCUCUCAUUGCAGCGAGUGUGCUCCUGUAUAUAUCAAGAUUUUCAUCUCCAAGAGUUGAAGAAGUCUGAGCAGAGAUCCUUGGUGAGUUGUUUUGAUGCGAGGUUGAGACUGCGUUGGAAGAAGACUCCACAACUUCGGCUUCUGAUGGGAAGAGAAGCUCAAGAUUGGCCUCGCAUUCACGGACCAACCUGGUAAGUGGCUCAGUAGUGAAGAAGGGUUGAUGGAGAACCACCUGUGUGAAAGGCAAACGAAGAAGUCCUCCUGUCCUCUUAUCGUACUUCUUCAAAAUUUUGACAAGUCCUGCAAAGUUUAGGGAGCUGUAGUUUUUAAGGAGCACCAUCUCGCCAUGAAUACUGACAAGGUCUCUGCGAAUAUCCAUCAUCUCUUCACUGAACUCGCUUUCUGAUGCGAACUCCCCAUUCUUGCAGUUCUUCUCCUUAAUCUUCUCGAUUCUUUCCUUCAGCUCCUGUUUACAAAACAGAUUAAUAACACACUGAUGAACCUAAUAAAACACACGAUUCAAUUAAAGCUUAAGAUGAACCACAUGCAUGAAAACUAGUGUGUUCAAAACAAGACCAUAAAAAGCCUCUGCACUACUAGUGAACUAAAAUUAGAAGCCCAUCUUCUAGAAACUCAAAUUGAUUAUUACAAGACUCGAAAGUCCUGUCCUUUAGACACGAAUCAGAGAUACAGAAUCUACAUGGAUCAUCGCUAGAACUAUUAGGUUUCAGUUCUUUACCUAAGAUUCAAGAUUAAUCACCCUAAAGUUAUAAACUUUGGAAUGUCGAUUCAAUUCUACAUACUCAAUUAAAACUUAAUCAGAUAGAAUAAGCGGAGGAGAUUCAGACAAAACCUGUAAUCUGAUGACAAAGUCUUCUUCUUUAUCAACGUAAAAGUCGUUAAACUUGUCAAGCUCCUCAUUCAAUAUCCUCACGAACGAGCCCUGGAGAUCCUCCGCGGCCCUUACACCGUCGUCUUCCGCGGAAGAUAAGUUGGUUGUGUCGGCAAAGACCUGACGAGAGUCGAUCUGAUCGGAAUUAGAAGAAUCGUCGGCGGGGGGAGGGUAAGGGUAGUACUUGAGAAGCUUCUUCAAGGGUUUGUAGCAGAGGAACUUGUCUCUCCACUCUGGUAAGGUUUCUUCGAGGUGGGUUCGAAACUCUUUUCCGAAUUUCAUGAGAGAAAAAACUCGUUUGGAUCUGAGAGAGAGAGAGAGAGACGAAGAUGGUUGUUGUUGGAUAAGAACGAACGGUGAGGGAUUUGGGUUUUUAAGUUAUUUUCUAUAGAGAGAGAGAGAGAGAGAGAGAGAAGAGGGAAUCUUUAGAAAGCGCGAGGAAUCUUUAUGAAAGUGGACGUGGAUGGUUCUUACUCGUAUUUUAAAAUACUCUGACCCAUUCAGUGUCUCCCAUCUAAAAAACAAUUAAUUAGAUGCUAGAGUCAAAAAAAAAAAAAAAAAUCUUUAUAAUAAAUAUUCUCUUCGUUUUUUAAUAAGUGUCAUUUUGACAUUUUCCACACAGAUUUAAAAAGUUGUUGUGAUUGAAAUAUAUUUAAAUUGUUAUUAAUUAUACUUAUUUGACCAAUAGUAUUUGAGAUAAAUAAAAUUAUUUAUAAAAUUAAUACAGUUUGUAAAUAAUUUUCAGCUAAAAUAAGUAUAAUUUGCAUUGAAAUUCUAAAUCAAUAUUUUUAUGUAACAAGAAAAAAAGUUACGAAACAAAUAGAAUAAUAUAAUUUCAAUAUUAAAUUGUUCCAACAAAAAGGAAAAUAUUAAAUUGGCUGGACAAUAAAAAUUAGGCAUUAGUGAAUCUUUAAAUAGUCUAAUAUAGUUUGGUUUACUUCUUCUCUUUUUUAUAUUCACCAACUUAUACUAUUUCCAUCAAGGCCCAUCAAUUAAUUCAUAUUAUAGUAUUUACAUCAUUGUUAUAACUUUCUCCUUUUUUUUUCUCUCUUUUUUUUCUCUCUUUUUUUAUCAAUGUUAUAACUUUUUUUUUGGUAAAAAUGUUAAAAAAUCAAUGUUAUAGCUUUCUCCUAAAGUGGCUCUUUAACAAGACUGUCCACCUGAGAUGAGCCUUUCACGGGCUUGAACAGGCAUCUACGACUACAAUACAUAGAAAACUAAUAAUGUGCGUUUUAUAUUCGGAUUUAUAAGAUUCGUCUUACUUAUUACAAGAUUCCUUCUAUAUUUAAAGUAUAAUUAGUACUGGAUCCACAGCAUUAAAUUCUCUAAUUUUUUAUUAUAUCAUUAAGACACUUUUUAGUGUAUGACCAAGAAUAACAUCUUAUUUUUUGUUAAUAUACUUCUUUCAAAUAUUUACAAGUCCUGAACUCCAAGAUUUGUUUACCAUGUGAUAAGAUUUUUUCAAAAAAAAGAGAGAAGAAUAUAGCAUAUCAUUUUUAAUAAAUUUUGACAAAUCCUGGAAGCCAAGUUGUUUUUUUUUUUUUUUUAAUUAACUUUGGGUAUCCCAGACUCAUGGAGAGAGGGGAGGUGCAGCCCACGAAUAGACUUUCUCUCCGGGUAUUCAAAUGGACCCUAAAGCAUAGGCUAAUAUCCGUGUUAGAUGACCAGGAUAAUUGUGACUUAGUUUCGCGCAGCAGGUGGAUCGAACCUGAAACGUGUUGGCGUCUCAGUCCCGUCUCCUUACCACUCGACCACAAUCACCCGGUCGCCAAGUUGUUAUAGCAUGUGAUAAGAUUUGUUUAAAUGUUUUUAUAAACGAUAUUAUUAUUCAUAUCUGGAAGUGCAACAUUUAGGGAGGUGUAGUUUUUAUUACAAGUAAAAGGGUUUGCGAGACGAUUUCAAAGGCUAGUUUUUGUCGGAAACCACACCGUUUUGGUGGGAAUACAAUGAAGUUUUGGUUGGUAUGGUAUCAAGAGCCUGAAGAAUGUCAGCCUUCAAGUCAUCAAAGUCUUCAACACCAAAACUAAAGCGAACUAAGUUGUCUUUGAGUCCAUAUUUGAGCCUUUCAUCUCGUGGUACAUCCCUAUAAAUCAUAACCACCCAAACAUUUAUAAAUGACCAAAAAUAGACAAAACUAUAAGAAAAUGUUUUUUUUUUUGACUAAAAAAAAAAAGUUUUAGAUGGGAAUAUCACACCAGUUCCUUGCAGCGGGUUGGUCCACGAAGCUCUCGCAUCCACCAAAAGAUGUUGCAAUGUAAGGGAUUUUGAGAGAAUCGAUGAACUUGAUCGUAGUCUCUAGAUCUCAAUCAAUCUAUUUGCAAAUAAAAGAAAAGAACCAAAACACAUUUCAAGAUUGUAUCAAAAUUUCAAAAAAUGUGAUGCAUAUUUGAUUAUUAUUUUCACCUCGAAAGUGACUAGACCACCAAAAUCAGUCAUUUUUCGCUUGGCUAUGUGAUGCUCGGGAUGCCUAGGAUUCUAGGAAGGCCAGGGUAGUAGACACGGCUCACCUAUCACGAUCAUAUUGCAUGAUAAUUCACAUACAAAAACUAAUAUAUAAUGUGGAAAUGAGAAAAGGGUCGUAGUGAAAAAAAAUAUAAAAAAACUUUGGGAUGUGCUUCUAAAACAUGGGCCAUUCUCAAAGCGGUUGAGUUCUGUUGUUUUACGCGAAGAUGCAUCGUCUUAUUGCCCCGGAUGAGUAAAAUACGCAGCGUUCUGUUUUGCAAAAGACCCCAUUAUCCAAAGUUUAGAACUCUCUGAUGAUAUACGACCUAUUCUAAUUACUAGGUGAUUCUCUCGUGCUCAUGCACGAAUAUAAGUAUUUUAGAAAUAUAUAGUUUAUAAUAUUUGUAUGAUAUUUUUUUAUUAAGUUUUAAUUUUUUUUGUAAUUUAUAUGUAUGAAAAAUGGGUUAAAAAAAAGAAAUGCCUGAUUUUGCUUAUACAUAAUUUGAUCAAUCAUUUUUCGGAUAUAUAAGAUUGCUUGUUUUCAUCUCAACUACAGAUUAAUGUUUCGUGUUCUUAAAAAGUUAAAUCCGAUUAAAUUUCUUAGCUGCAUUUAAUUUGAUUUAUUGUCUUGUAUUCAUAAUAUAUUUUCAUAAAAUUAUGCCUAAUUUGAUAUAUGUUAUUUUAGGAAACAAAUAAAAGAGUGUUGUUACUCCGAAGUUGCAUAAGUGAACAUAAUAAGUAUUUUUUAAAAAUUUUAUGCAUGUAAAUAAAUAUUUUUAACCAAAAUAAAUCGUAAUAACUCAUUAAUAUAUUUUCACUUGAUUAUUAGUUUUGAAUCGUUUGUAAUUUACAUGGAUAAAAAUAAAUAGAACACUAUUUUAAGUAAUAAUAUGUCGCUGACUUAAAUGGGUUUUGAUUUUGAGUCUAUGAAUCAUGAUCAAUUCACUUGCUCAUUGUUUAAGUAUAUUAAGUUUAUAUAUUUGUCUAAAAUAAAAAAAACAAUAAUUUAUAUUCUAAUUACGUUUAAAUUGAUUAAUUUUGUUGCAUAUACUUUAGUUUUAAGUUUGAGGUAUGAAAAUAUAUUGUUUUCUUUUCAAAGAAAAUUAUCUAUACUAUUUUUGUGAACCUAUGUUUUGUGUCUAAAACUCUAUAUAUUUUAAAACUUAUAGAUAUUUACUUUUUUACUUAUGUUGUUUUUGAAAAUAUGAAAAGAAAGAAAACUAAAACUAAAAUUCGUUAUUAUAUUUAUAAAUGUUAUAAUUAUUAUAUAUAUUUUCUUUUUAUUAUUUAUAUGAGUUUUGUAAAGAAAAUUAAAAGAAAAAGGAAAUAAAGUGAAAAGCUCAAUUAGAAAUUUAUCAAUGAAAAAGAAAAUAGAAAUAAUCUUAAUAAUGUCAAUUAUGUAUAAUACCUAUGUUUUGUGUCUAAAACUCUAUAUAUUUUAAAACUUAUAGAUAUUUACUUUUUUACUUAUGUUGUUUUUGAAAAUAUGAAAAGAAAGAAAACUAAAACUAAAAUUCGUUAUUAUAUUUAUAAAUGUUAUAAUUAUUAUAUAUAUUUUCUUUUUAUUAUUUAUAUGAGUUUUGUAAAGAAAAUUAAAAGAAAAAGGAAAUAAAGUGAAAAGCUCAAUUAGAAAUUUAUCAAUGAAAAAGAAAAUAGAAAUAAUCUUAAUAAUGUCAAUUAUGUAUAAUUUAUAAUUUAUUAAAGUUAUGUUUGUAAUUGACCACUCUAAGAAUCAACGUGAGAGCGACACGUAUGAAACUGACUUUUCAAAUAAUAUUAUAGAGAUAUCUUAAAGAACCAUACUGACACAAACAAAAUUUCCUACAUAAAUAUGAGAAGAGAGAUAGAUUACGAGAGCCUUAAACAAUUCAGUAACGAUUUUAGUUUUAAUUUUUUUUAACAAUUUGGGGGCCUAUUUUUCAUUCGGCUAUGCCAUGACCGGUUCGGAGAAAUAGCAUGAGAGGAUUUCCUCUAAAGAUAUGUACCGGACUAAGCGUGCCUCCCAAGAGAUUAUGCAUAAUACGGAUCUCAGAAACCAACUUCAUUGAACCAGAUAUGCAUCCAGCGAGAACCUAGAAAGACAGAAGGAACACAUAAUCAUUUUAUCACCUUUUUUUUUUCCAAGCACGGUUCUGUAUUCUUAUUUACGCACAUCGUUGUGGCCUCCAAUAUACUUAGUAGCAGAUUGGAUCACGAGAUCAGCACCAAGAGCAAGUGCCUUUUGAUUCAAAGGUGUUGCAAUGGUACCAUCUAUACAAACAAGAGUUCCUCUUUUGUGACAGAUUUAUCAGUAGCGUCAAUUAGAGUCGGCUGGAAACACACAUAACAAAUGGUUAAUCGGUGGACUCACACUAGGGAACAAGAGAAAAAACAAAGUGAUGAAAUUUGGGAUAUUCUUACAGUGAUUCCCAAUUUGGGAAGAAAAGUCUCAAUGAACAUCCUUGUCUCCUUGUAACAAUCCGUAGUUGUGACAAUAUGUCCACCUCUUGGAACCAUUGCUAACAGCACAACAGUACUUGUACACAUACCAGAUGCCAUAACCGAAGUUGAUUCGAGAGAGAGAGAGAGAGAGAGAGAGAGAGAGAGAGAGAGAGAGAGAGAGAGAGAGAGAGAGAGAGAGAGAGAGAGAGAGAGAGAGAGAGAGAGAGAGAGAGAGAGACCUUAUCUUCUCUUCGAGUACUAUAUUCGUUGGACUUCCUUAACGAAUAUACUCUUGAGAUAUAUACAAUCCGUUUCUCCUACAACAAUGAAAGUAGAGUCAUCUUUUUAAACGAAUAUUACCCUUUUUGGUUAACCAUCAUUAGAAUCACAAGUGGAUUAGUUUUUAAUCAAAUUAACGUAACAUACUUCUUUUAGAAAUCUUAAGGACAAGCAGAUAUUUAUAUAAACGGACCUUGGAGUCGAUAAGCUCGGAGGAAUUCUUGUAGAAGUAAGUCGUUGUGCUUACUGCAGGGGUCCUUAUCGAAUUUGUGACUAUUUCACGACCUAAUCUUUCACCUGACGAUAAACCAUCAAACCCAUUCUCCAGUCACGAAAUUGACAUUCUUAUCAAAUGAAUGAAAGGAAGAUAAAACAAAUUAAAGGAGGCAAGCACUUCUGACUAUCCCCAUAAUUAAAGGCUUGUCGGAGAGUUAACACGAAAAGGAUGUAUAAGAACAAGAGGAAGAAUUGUUUUACUAUGCACGUAAGCGAGGACAAAAAAUAAAAUAAAAGACAAGCUUAAAAUAAAUUAUUAUUAUUUUAUUAAUAAUUAUUUUAUAUAUUAUUUUUAUUAAUAACAACUAGAUAUGGGCAUAGGAGCGAAGCCACCUUGGAACAUCUCCAAAAAAAAAAAUUGUGCAACAGAACAUCUCCAAGAUAAAACUGAUUUUUUUCUUUAAAAUAGAUUAACCUUACAAUAGAGUUGAAUUUUACUCUAAAUAUAUACUCUAUUUAAAAAUGAAAAAAAAAUAGUGAACAAAAAGUAAAAGUAUUAUUUCAUUUAUGGAGUAAACCUAUUUUUAUUUCCACUAUUAGUGAAAAACGGAGAAGAAUUAAAAUAUUUCUUACUCUAAAUUUUAUUUUAAGUAAAGUAUGAAAUGAAGUUUGAAAUGAUCUUAUACAUUGUGGGUGCACAUGCACCUGUAAUUUUAUUUAUAUUCCAUUUUUUGAGAGACUAAACUCCUAACUUCGCAGCUGGAUGCAUUGCAUGAGUUUUGUUUAAUGUUUAAUUUUAUGAAAAACUUAAGAAAUGAAAAAUAUCUUUUACUGUAAUUUUAUGAAGUUUUUUCAUAUGUCGUGUGUAAGAUUUAUUUUAGAUUUUUUAGGAUCCUGGUAAGUUUUUUUCAUUAAAAAGUUAUUAUCAAAUAAGUUUUACAGUUCUCUUUUAGUUAGGAUUUAUAAAAAUAAAUAGCUAAUGAUUUAUUUUAGAUAAUUAUUGUUAUAUAUUUAUAGAUAAUUUUUAAUACAUAUCACAAUUUUAAUUUUUUAUUCACAUGUGUCGAUCAUGUUAAUUAGGAAUAAUGAGGAACCAAAUUUUUUAUAUAAUAAAAUUCUAAAUAUAUAUAUGUUUAACGUUGAAUAUAGAAUAUAAUGAAUUUCCAUGAAACAGAAAAUGUUUAUCUUCUAACGGAUAUUAUAUUUUGGUAAUUUCUUCAGGUUAUCUGAACUUUCAGAAUUUAGAUCAAAGCGGAUAACACAACAAACUAAUGUAUUUUUGUAUGAACUUAUAGCAAAAAAUAUAUUACAUAUGCUUUAUCCAAACCUUAUAAGCCUAUAACAGAUUGCUAGUACAUAGUUAAGAGGUGAUAAGAAAAACAGAUAAGUAGUAACAAUCCUAAAGGGAAAAUGGAUAUGUAUAGUUAACGUACGUACCAGCAUGAACAGCCAGACUCUCAUCGGAGCUCAAGAACGAGGGUUUCAACUUGUUCACAUCUUCCAUCUUAACAAUAAUUUAGAAAUAUAGAAGUAAUACUUGGAAAUUUUAUAAGAAAAAGGGAAUUUCUGAUUCCCUCUUUUGUUAUUUGAUAUAUAUAUAUAUAAAAUGUUAUUUGAUAUAUGUAGUUAAAUUUGAAAGUCUAUACAAUGCACCUAUUUAUAGUUGAGAAGUGAAAUGAGUUCCUUCUUUUUAUUAUGUUACGAAAGAAGAGUGUUGGUGUAAGCAAUACCUAUAUUUAAAUAUGACCAAACCUUGGUAUUCAAAAAAAAAAUAUGACCAAACCGCUUGAUAUGAUCGGCAGCUCGCGUCUAUUCUAUGUUUCUAAUCCUAGGGCUUUGAAGAUAACUCAGUUGUCUAUUAAAAUGAACGUCCCAUCUGUGAAGUUUAGCCUCAUAAUAUAGAUUAGCAUUUCGCAUGAAACAAUAAUUAGCAAAAUGAACUUCAUCCCAGUAUAUUGUGUUUCGCGUAUAUAUCUUACAGAUUUUUCAUAUUUUUAGCGUUACUAAAGCAUAGCUAGAAACACCUGCAUAAAUUAGGGAAUGCAUGGAAUUAUUUCAUGACGUUAGGUUUUCUCUUAUCUUAAAACCUAGUUUAUAUAUAAACAAAAUCACUAGAUGAUGCAGCGUAGAAUUAGAAUAAUUACGAUUUAUUUGUAUUAUCUUUAUUUUAAUAGUUUUCCUAUUUUAAUUAGGAUUAGGGUUUUCAUGGCUUUUAUGUUUUCAUAUAUAUAUAAGCUUCUAAUUAUGCCUAGAGUUGUAUUCAGUUUAUAAUUUGAUUAAUAAAAAUUGAGAAUUCUUCUUUUGUUCUUUGUUUUCGGUAGAUCAUUGGUGAUUUUAACGAAUUUAAGAAGACAUUGAUCUUAGGCAUUCUUAGAAUAAAUAAGAUAUUUGUAAUUAUUCUAGUUUUUCGGGUAUUUUCAGAAUCUACGGAUCUCUAGCUUUAUCUCUAUAAAAGCUUCCUCUUCGUCACUAGACCACGAAAGCAAUAACAUUAUCAAACACACUGACUUUAUUAAAUACCUCUAUUUGAUUCUUCAUUUCUUCUUAUACGAUUUCCAUUCAGUCAACUUUUAAUCCUGUUUUUUCAUUAAAAAAUUAUCUGUUUGGUUUGUGCCGACAUACAUGUGUCUACAAGCAUAUAAAUCGGUCUAAACUUAGAAGGUUCAAAACCUAGUAAAAUUUCUUACAAGAAUAGAGUUUACUAUACUCAAGGAAAAAAGAUAAGAAAACAAAUUUAUCUCAAGGAGAAAGAAGAAGAACCGAAGUAGGCAAUUAGGGUUUCUUUAGGUUUAUACUGCAUGUGAAUGUUAUGACUACAACAUAGUAGUUGUUUUAGUAUAAAAAACAUAUGCUGCCUUUUAAAUACCCUAUAGUACAAGAGUCAAUGGUCUUGGAUAUACACAUAUAAACGAAGGGUAUUGGUGGAUGGGUCAUCAUCAUAAACAAAAAGCAUAACAUGACAGUAGCAAAUUAGAAGGUUUUAUCGUUACUAACUUACGUGUUCUUCCAUCAAAGAUCUCGAUUAUACAAUUAGUAUUUAUGCUCAAAUUUCCAUAAAGUUAUCCAACCAGUCGCUUUCUCCCUUCAGAAUAUAGUUUUUUCUUCAGACAUAUUUUAUCAACCAUGCCAAGUCGGAUACAUGAAGAACCAACAUUAACUUACGUAACACAAGACAUAUAUAUCUAUACUAUAUAUUUUCCUUUGAGAUGACUUAAAGGCCAAUGGCCAAUGGGAUAUAAAUUGUUAACAGGUUUAGCUUAACAAUCCUCUAUCACGUCACUACAAGAAAACGUGCCCAUAACAACGAACAUUUACGACGAAAAUAUUUCGUCGUAAAUUUACAUGAUGUUUACAACGCAAUUACGAGGAAUCCAACUUUCAUCGUAAACGCAAUGUAAAUUUACGACGAAUAGAUUUCGUCGUAAACUCCAUGUAAGUUUACGACGAAUGUACGUGGAAAGAGAAAUACGUCGUAAUCAUUACAUCGACAUUACAACGAAACAUGUUACCGUUAUAUUUAGGUGAAAACGUGUAUUCAAUGUGCUUUAACUUACCUAAUUUCGUCGUAAAGUCGUUGUAAAUAAUAUGUUAAAACCAUGUAAAAUUCAUGUAAAAUAUUCCUUGUAAAAUCGUUGUUAUAUUUCAACUACCCAACUCGAAAAUUUCUCUAUAUAUAUGUCAUUUCCCACAACUCUCUUCCUCACAACACACAAACGGGAGAAAAAAAAAUCCGAAAAAAAAAUCAGAAAAAAAAAGAUUUCAAAAAAAAAUCUAAGAAAAAAAUGGCCGGUGGCGGUAGUAUUUACGAGUUACGGAGUUGGAUGUAUUUGCACAAAGAUUCCGACGGGAGGGUGACAAACGCAUUUCUGAGCGGGCUAGAGACAUUCAUGCACCAGGCGGGCUGUACACCGAUCACACAGGAAAGCGGUAAGAUGUUCUGCCCCUGUCGGAAAUGCAAGAAUUCAAAAUUUGCACGUAGUGAAACUGUAUGGAAGCAUUUAGUAAACAGAGGAUUUACACCACAGUACUACAUUUGGUAUCAACAUGGAGAGGGUUAUGGGGGAAAUGAAGCUAGUAGUAGUAAUAAUAAUUUUGAGGAUGGUCAUCAUAGUGAAGAACCGAAUCAUUUGCAUAAUGAAUAUAAUUAUCAUCAAGAUCAUGAGCAGAUGGUAGAUCAUGAUAGGGUUCAAGAUAUGAUUAGUGAUGCAUUUUUAGAAACAACUACAACAAUAGCUGAUGGAACUGGAAAUGUAGAAGAACCUAAUUUGGAUGCAAAAAGGUUUUAUGAAAUGCUAGAUGCUGCAAAUCAACCAAUCUACACUGGUUGUAGAGAAGGUCUCUCUAAAUUGUCUCUAGCAGCUAGGAUGAUGAAUAUUAAAACGGAUCAUAAUUUACCUGAGAAUUGCAUGGAUGCAUGGGCGGAGUUGUUUAAAGAGUAUUUGCCAGAAGACAACGUGUCUGCUGAAUCUUAUUAUGAGAUUCAGAAAUUGGUUUAUAGUCUUGGGUUGCCUUCGGAGAUGAUUGAUGUUUGCAUCGACAACUGCAUGAUCUACUGGAAAGAAGAUGACAAGUUAGAAGAGUGUCGAUUCUGCAAAAAACCACGAUUCAAACCGCAAGGCCGUGGGAGGAAUAGGGUACCGUACCAAAGGAUGUGGUACCUACCAAUUACAGACAGAUUGAAAAGAUUAUAUCAAUCUGAGAGGACUGCUGCGUCGAUGAGGUGGCAUGCGGAACAUGUCCAGAGAGAUGGUGAGGUUGCACAUCCAUCAGACGCAAGAGCGUGGAAACAUUUCAACAAGGUACACGCAGAUUUUGCUACAAAUAUUCGGAAUGUCUAUCUUGGGUUAUGCACCGAUGGAUUUAGUCCAUUUGGAAUGUCUGGUAGACAAUAUUCUUUGUGGCCAGUCAUUCUUACGCCGUACAAUUUACCGCCGGAUAUGUGCAUGGAACAAGAAUUUCUAUUUUUGACCAUAUUAAUCCCUGGGCCGAAGCAUCCAAAACGGUCUCUUGAUGUUUUUCUUCAACCGUUGAUAGAAGAGCUAAAGCAAUUGUGGUCAGAAGGGGUGAGGACGUACGAUUGUUCCUUGAAAAACAAUUUUACGAUGCGAGCAGUUCUGCUGUGGACGAUAAGUGAUUUCCCUGCUUAUGGGAUGUUGUCUGGCUGGACAACACAUGGAAGAUUAUCUUGUCCAUAUUGUCUUGGAUCGACGGAUGCUUUUCAACUGAAGAAUGGUAGGAAGAGUUGUUGGUUUGACUGUCAUCGUCGCUUUCUUCCACUUGCCCAUCCGUACAAAAGAAAUAAGACAUUGUUUUGGCACAAAAAAAUUGUCAGAGACGGUCCUCCUCCAUAUCUCACCGGCCAGUAGAUCGAAGCAGACAUUGAUUAUUCCGGAGCUCAGGAAACAGUUAAAGUUGGAGGAAAUUGGCAUGUUCCUGGAAAUAUGCCUGAUGGGUAUGGUGUGUCUCACAAUUGGCAUAAGAAGAGUAUAUUUUGGGAGCUACCCUAUUGGAAGGAUCUUCUCUUACGCCACAAUCUGGAUGUCAUGCAUAUUGAGAAGAACUUUUUUGAGAACAUCAUGAAUACAUUACUUAACGUCCCUGGGAAGACAAAAGAUAACAAAAAGUCAAGGAUGGACUUACCUGAUAUUUGCUCAAGAAGUGAGUUACAUAUCAAGAGCAAUGGAAACGUUCAUGUUCCCAUCUUCCGGUUGUCAUCAGAAGCCAAAACAACCUUGUUUGACUGGGUUGCAUCAGAAGUUAAGUUUCCUGAUGGUUAUGUUUCAAAUCUGUCAAGAUGUGUUGAACGAGGUCAAAAGUUCUCCGGAAUGAAGAGUCAUGAUUGUCAUGUGUUUAUGCAACGACUACUUCCAUUUGCUUUUGCCGAGCUCCUUCCAGCAAAUGUCCAUGAAGCACUUGCAGGUAAUUAUAAAACGUUAAUAUAUAUACAUAUGUUAUGAAAUGUUAUUAAUUUGAUUACUUUUGCAAUAUACAGCCAUCGGCGCUUUUUUCAGAGAUCUCAGCACACGUACGUUCAAGGAAGAAGUCAUCGAACAACUUCAUCAUAACAUUCCGAUCAUAUUGUGCAACCUGGAGAAGAUAUUUCCUCCUUCAUUUUUUGACGUCAUGGAGCAUCUAGUUGUCCACCUACCGUAUGAAGCAUUGCUUCGUGGACCUGUUCACAACGGAUGGAUGUAUCCGUAUGAGCGACAGAUGAAACAUUUGAAGGGGAAAGCAAGAAAUCUUGCAAAGGUGGAAGGUUCAAUAGUUGCGGGAAGUUUGACAGCCGAAACAUCUAACUUCACAUCAUACUACUUUGCUCCAACUGUUCGUACGAGGAAAAGAGUUCCUAGAAGAUAUGAUGAUGGUGGAGUACCGACAUCAUAUCCAAUUGAUGGUGUUCCUGACAUUUUCUGCGAAAUUGCACGGUUUGGUGGUAAAACGAAAGAAGUAUGGUGGUCAUGUGAAGAGGAUAAACAUAGUGCCCACACUUAUAUUCUGCUCAACUGCGAGGAUGCAGUGACCCGUUACUUUGAAAGGUAAAUAUUUUUGUGAAUGUUAAUUAUAUGAAUUGCAGUUAAUUAUGUAUGACUUGAUUAUUUGUUUAAUUUGCAGCAUGUUUGUAUCUCAAGUUGAAGAAGCAAUACCAGGAAUAUCUGCAACUGAUGUGGACACACGUAAAGAUAAGCACUUUGUCAAGUGGUUAAAAUCACAGGUACGUAAUAUAUCUCAUACAUUGAUUAAUUAAGUAAGUGUUUUGAUACUUCAAUAUUAAUUAAGAAUAACUGCUUUUUGCAGGUUGAUUAUGACGAUCCUUAUUAUCCCGUAUGGUUUCACGAAUUGGUUCAAGGUCCAGUUGCAAAGGUCACCACAUCACCUAUGUAUUUCACACGAGGAUUUACCUUUCACACAUACGAGUAUGGGAGACAUCAGGCAACGAGUAACUACGGAAUAUGUAUGAAAGGUGAAAAGGACUUUUACGGGAUCUUGCAGGAGAUUAUUAAAGUGGAAUUUCCGGGGUUAUUGAAGCUAAAAUGCGUCCUCUUCAAAUGUGAAUGGUUCGAUCCUGUUGUGAACCGAGGGAUUCGGUAUAACAAAUUUGGUGUUGUGGAUGUCAAUUUUGGGAGAAGAUACAACAAAUUUGAGCCUUUCAUUUUAGCUUCACAAGCCGAGCAAGUUAGCUUCCUUCCUUAUCCUCGGCUUCGAACUUCCGGGAUAAACUGGUUAGCUGCUAUCAAAAUUACACCUCGUGGACGCAUUGUCGCUGGAGAAGAACCGCCCUUGCAAGAAGAAGACGCUAUCAAUGAAGUUGAGGUACCAGAACAACCAACUGAUGAAAUCCUUUUGAUCGACCCGCAAAACUUUCAAUAUGAAGAUAUUCCCGAAGAUGCGACAGAUGAAGCACGUGAAGACGAGUUCGAGAGAAGCGACGAUGAUGAUUGUAAUGAUAGUGAUGAGAACGAAAACGAUUUAGAGUGAUGUAAUAUUGAUGAGAACGAAAACGAUUUAGAGUGAUGUAAUAUAUGUCUCUGAUGUUGUAUUUCUCUAUUGUAACGUAUGUUUAAAGAAAUAUUGUUUUUUUACCAUCCUAAUGUAUGUGUAACAAAUGUUGUUUUAUAUAAUAUGUAUUUGUGUUAAUUUUAAAAAAAUUAUUUGGAGUUUUAGGGUUUUAGAGUUUAAGUUGGAGAAAGAGCACAAAGUAGUAGAGAAGAGAUAUGAUGUUAGAUGAUAUGUGACUUUGGGGUUUAGGGAUUUCAUUCUCGGUGUUUAGGGUUAAGCGUUGUAAAAUCGUCGUAAAUGGUUAUCUAUUCCACGUAAUUUCGUCGUAAAUGGAAAAACGCGGGCCUGGUAACUUCGUCGUAAACGUGGGCCUUGUAAAUUCGUCGUAAACCGAUGUUUCGACGUAAUUUCGUCGUAAAUCGAAAAACGCAGGCCUGGUAACUUCGUCGUAAAUGAAAAAACGCGGGCCUUGUAACUUUGUCGUAAUAUUACGUCGUACGACGAAACCUUUUUCUAUAUAUUGGGACGCCGAGACGAGGCUGUCUUGUCCAUUCCUCCCAAACUCCUCUCCUCUCUCUCUAAGGUACAUUCUCUUUCCUCCUUUUUUUUUUAAGUUAGUUUAGGUUAUUAAUUAGUUAGGUAAUUAGUUUAGGUGAUUAUUUAGAUAAUUAGUUUAGGUGAUUAGUUAGAUGACGGAAUACUAUAGUUUAGGUGAUUAGUUAGGUAACGGAAUAAUUUUUUAAUUAUGUCGUCAUAAUUGAUUAAAUUUAUUUAAAUUUUUUUUAGAUGGCUCCUAGAAGGAAACCAGCAGCACCUACUUAUGCCCAGUUGUUUGGCGAUGGUUCCGGUACAUCUUCUUCCGGUCCAUCGUCUUCCGAUGCAGUUCCAGACUCUCAGACUUCUCAGAGAGUUUUUUCGAGUCCUCCUCUUCCACCGCAGAUGCCUCCACCUCCUCCUCCAGCGGCUGCACCUGAGCCUGUCCCAGAAGGUGCAGUUCAUCCGGAUUUGCGUGUGCCUUCAUAUGCUCCCUUCGCGAGAUAUACGGUGGAGGAUUUGCUUGCCCAGCCUGGACGGGAGGGUUUGGAUGUUCUAGACCCCGAUAGACCCCGAGGAACUUAUUGGUAAGUUAUUAAUUUUUAUUACUUUAAAAUUUAAUUAAUUUUUAUUUUGUAACGGUUAAAUUGUUUUUUUUUCAGGUUUGGGGCUAACAACCGUGUUAGCCGGAGCGUUUCGGCGACGAUUAAGGGUUACUACGACGGGGCAUACCCGAACUGGAGCAAGACACCAAAUCACGUUAAGAUCACGUGGUUUAAAUGUUUUGCGGUAAGAUUUUUAAAUUUAAUUAAAUUUUCACUUUUAAAUAUAUAUAUAUAUUUUUAAUAUUUAUUAUUAAUUGUAAUUUUUUCAAAAUUUUUAUGUUUCAGCAAAAGUGGCAUUGGUCUUUGGGAAUCACCGAGAGGGUGAAGGCGGAAUUCGUUGCAAAGGCAAAGAUACGCCUCUGCAACACAGUCUCUGAUUGGAAGGACAAGUGGGAGAUCUACGGGUAUGAGGGAAAGCCCACUGAGCUCACGACGGAUGUGUGGGAUGGCCUCAUCGCCUAUUGGGAGCACCCCUCUUCGAUCAGAAAGGCCAAUUCGUGCUCGGCUUCUCGAAGGACGAAGGAUAAAGAUGGUCAUUUGCCCAUGCUUCACAGAACCGGACAAAAACCUCAUGCAGGAGUCCGUCUAGAAGCUGUAAGUUUUGUUUUAAAUAUAUAUUUUAAAAUAUUCAAUUAAUAUAAUUUAUAAUAUUUAAUUUAAUUUUUUUUUGUAGUUCGAGAAGACGGGAGUCUUACCUUCUCUGUCUGACCUAUUCAAGAUGACUCACGCCACAUCCGACGGAGUUUUUGUGGAUCCUGCAUCUGAGAAACUCUUCCGAACAGUGGCUGGUCGGAUUGAAGAACGGGAGACGCAACUAACCCAGGAGUCUCCCGAUGGAUUACCAGUCACAUUGUCCACCGAAGAGGUCGACAGAAUCUUCGAAGAGGUAACUUAAAAUUUUUGUUUACAUUAUUUUAAAUAUUUUAACAUAAUUAACUAUAUUAAUAUAUGUUUUGAUUUUAUAGGUGGCUCCUAAAAAGAAGGGACGGAUAGUCGGUAUAGGCUCUGUUAACGAAGUUGCAAGGGCAACUUCGUCAUACACUUCGAGACGGGAUGAAGAGACUGCUCAGAUGAAGGCUCGAAUGGAUAGCCAGCAGGUUCGUUUAGACUCUCUUGAGGAUUUGCUAGACGUGAUGGCCGUGGGAAACCCGGUUAUGCAGAGAAUGUUGAGUGAGAGACGAGCCGCUCUUGGAAUGCCACCACGAGAUCCCCAAGAGUCCGAUCCAACCCGUCAACAGCCGAGCAACCCCACCAACUACUUCGAGAAUAUGUAGUUUUUUUUUUUUUUCUGUUUGUAUUAUGAAUUUAAAUAUUAUUGUAUGACUUUUUAAAAUAUGUUUUCCAAUUUCAUAUUUUGUUUUAAAAUUUAAAUUAUUUUAAAUUCUGAAUAUUAAAUAUAAAUUAAAAUCUAUUAUAUACUAAUUAAUAAUAAUAUAAUAAGAAACUAUGUAAACUCCUCGUAAACAUUACAUGGAGUUUACAUCGAAUGUUUACGAGUGAUUAACAUCAAAAUAUUUACGAGGGUUUUACAUCGAAAUGUUUACGAGUGAUUUACAACGAAAGUAUUUACGUGUGCUUUAUUUCGAUACGACAAAUCAUUUCCCUGCGCUUUACGAGGAAUAUAUUUCGUCGUAAACGUAACGAGUCGUUUACGACGAAACCUCCGUUACGACGGACGUUUAACAACGAAACGUCUUUCGACGUUAAUUCGUCGUAACACCCGGUUUACGACGAAUUUACAACGAAUACUGCCCUAGUAAAAAUUAUGUUUUCUUUUAGUGCGUGAAUGUAUAAUACAAACGUAAAACAAUAUUAAAAGUCACCACGCGAUAUUGCAACCAAAUAUACAACUAUUUAACCAGUGGUCCAGUGGUGACGCUGGGUAUGAGUUCGCGGUUGCAAUUUACACGCUGCUGUCAGCCUGUCACACUCGAGAGGCAGAUACAUGUGUGAAAGUGUAGAUUAGAUGCUUAAACAUAAUAAUCUAUUUUGUAUGGACAAUAUAAGCUUAGUACGUAGAGAAAGAGAAUAGUGAGAGAGGAGGUUAAUUACUUGUCUACUGGAUUAGAUAUCACCCUGUUCGAAAACGCGGCCGCCUAGCCGCCUAGGCGGCCGCUUAGGCGUUGCUCGGAGUCCAACCGCCGCGAUUAUGACCUGAUCGGUCACACUAGGCGCUGGACCGCGUUAACACGCUUUGACCGCGUAUUAUCUGCGUUGACCGCGUAAUAUUACCAGUCUUAAACGCUUAAAACUUAAAAAAAAUUGAACUAUUGGGCCUACAACAGGUUUAUGGAAACCCAAUUGCAAGUUAUAAUGAUGACAACUCUAAAUGAGUAUUUAUAGGCGUCUUCAGCAUCACCCCUCCUUGUGUUUAACCGAUGUGGGACUUUGUUUCAUAGGUGUUUUUUUUUUAAAAAAAAUUUAAUUAAAAACACUCUAUUGGUGAAUCGAUCCCUGUACCUCAUAAGAGGUUGACAGCAUCAAACACCAAUAGACCACAACGUCUUUUGACAUAUGUACAUAUACUGACACAUAUAUAAACAUUAUUGUAAUAAAAAUAUGACAUUAACAAUAACUUUUGUUAAACCAAUAAAUUAAAACUUCAAUAAUAUACAAAAAAACUAUUACAUUCUAAUAUAUUUAUAUUAUAUAUUUAAUUUAAAUAUUAUUAUAAAUAUAAUAAUAAUAAAAACUAGUCCCCGCGUAUACCCCGAUUAAUCCCCGAUUUUUCGAUAACUCGCUAGGCCCGGGGUCACCGCCCGACUAGCGCCUAGCGUAAUUUCGAACAUGGGAUAUCACUAGUUGACUGGUCCACACCAGUUCUUUUUAUAUAUAUAAAUGCGCAGUAUCGUGUUUCUUUCUGUGUAUGCGACAUAGAUAAAGUUAAAAAAUGUUGUUUAUGUAUAACAUCAAUCAAUGAUGCUCGAUCUUUGACAACCAAUCAGGAGGAUAUGGGAAUGCAUUUUGGGAACAAAUAAAAAAAGUAUACUUGAGCUAGACUGGGGUAGUGAGGUUAACAGGGAACCAUUCAUAUACAUCUCAAAAACGAUGGACGUUAUAACAGCGAUCAAAAAUCAAACGGUCGAAAGACAUACAACUAAGACAAUGUUAUAAAUAUAAUGGCACUUGCAAAACAAAAGGCAAAUCCGUGAGAGAUUGGGCUGAUCCUUAGUGUUGUAAUGAAUUUGAUUUGAGAGGUUUAAGUGAAUUUAGAUGGUGACAACAAAUGUUAAGAUGCUCUUGACUUGGGUUUUGGCUCCAAAAAAAAGGGUCUUAAGAACCGUAUAAUAAGCUUUAAACAAACACAAAGUUGUUUCUUUUUAGUGAUGAAAAAUGAAUAACGAAAAGAAGAAAAAUUGAUAACCGGGGGGAGACAUGACCUCGUCCCCCCCCCAUCUUUAUUGUAAAGGGAAAAAAAAUGGUUUAAUGAUUAGCUUCAACCUUGUGUGGCUUUGUCAUCUGCAGGUGCAAAAAAAGCAAUUUGUUAGUACUUAGCAUACAACAAAAAGGAAUAUAAGAUUAGAACUCAGGAGUUGCAGAAACAAAGUAACAAAAGGAGCAAAUCAAUUCCUAUAUAUAGAUUUGUGUAGCCACCAAUUAUAAUCUGACAAAUCAUCAAUCAAUCAGAUAUACUGAAUUUUGAGAAUCAUAGGAGAUACAUACGAGCACUAUAAUCAAGUUACCUUGAGGAACUUGAGCUUCAUGCUCCCGUAGACGAGACCCACGCUAAAAGCCGAAGCACGAGCCACCUGGUCAAUGAAGCGACAUAGAGACUCAGAUCAAUCACAUGAACUCACAAAUAAAAAGAUUUUUUUAAUAGACGAAUCGGAGAGAAAGAGAGGAUGAUACGUACAAGAGCGAGAGAGCUGGUGCCGGAGUAAAGACCUGGAGGCAGAGUCAUCGCCAAAUCUUAUGUCGUAGUCUUCGCAAAACCCUAAAUUCCCAAAUCGAUUCUCCAAGCUUCUCACAUCACAAACUCGCGACUCGUGAUGGUGGCGCGAUCCUCUUUUACUAAGAGCUGAGUAUUAGGCUCUUAAUGGGCCUUAAUUAAGCUUUGUUCAGGAGAUGCCAAAAAUUAUAUUUUACGAGUUAUCUGAAAUUUUGGAUGCAUAAAUUUGAAAGAACUGGAAAAGAUUUUUUUUUUAGUUUAUGUGUGUUUCCAAAAAUUCGAAUCAAAAUCUAUUUCAUCUAAAAUUUUGUUAGUCAUUUAGCUAAAUAUUUUUUAAAAGAAUUAUUGAGAUUUUUAAUACCAUCAAAUUUCAAAUAUAUUAUCAUAUAAUCUCUAUUUCUAUUAUAUACGAUAAUUAACUAUAAUGAUUAACACUUCGCAAACAACCUUUCAUGAUAGAAUUAUCCCUAAUUGACAGUUUGUUAUGUAUGUACAAUAUCUUUGAUCAAAAUAUUUUUUUGGCACCACACGACCACAACUAACAAUUCUAUUUGUAUCUCUCAAUAAAUUAUAUAUCUUAUAAUAUACUAGAAAUUGAAUCAUUUGGUAAUUAAACUCCACACUUUAAAUCCCAAAUUUUAUUGAGGUUAGAUUCAUACAAUUGAAAGUUUUUUUUACUUCAAAAAUCAUGUAUUACCUUGAAUGACAACACAAUAAUUAAUAUAUUUCUGAAACCCUUGGGAUAUUUUUUUAGGUUCACUUUCAUGGGGUUCAUAUCCAAAUAAAUAGUAGUAUCCAAUUAUCACCACGAUCAUAUUUAUUAUUUCAUUAAAUAAUACUAGAGAUUUUGUCCGGGCUACGCCCGGAGCUAUAUACAAAUAACAUAUAUUUUAUAUGUAUAUUACAAUAUAUUACAUCUAUGUUAUAAAAUAUAAAUAAUAAAUUAAAUUAAAAUGAGUAAAACUCACAAUUUGUUGUCUUCUACUUUCUAAAAUAUGUAUGGGAUAGUGAACAAAGUGAAAUUAAUAAAGAAUUUUUUAAACCUAAGUUAUUCUCAAAAAAAAUAUUUUUUACACAUUUAUUUUAUUAUAAAAUAUAUUAUUAAUCUCAACAUCACAUAUUUUUUUGUUAUAUGUGUUAUUUAUAUCAUGUGUAUGUUUUUAUAUGUCUUUUAUAAUAUUAUAAGUUGGAUGAUGAUUUUCUGGUAUCCUUGGCUUUUGAAGAUGAUAGUUUGUUGAUUUCUUCAUGAUCAGUGUUUGGUCGACGACAAAGAUUUAGCGUUGGAAAUACAAAUCCAAAAAUCAACUCGAUAGGUUCAAUCAUCAGUCGAUUCAAAAUAAAUAGAAACACCCCAAAAAAUUCAAAUAUCAGAUCCAAUCAAUCUUUAAACUACAACUUAAUUUGGUUUUGACCAAAAAACCUAAUAUCCAUAUUUUCACUGUAUUAUUGUGAUAUAUAUAACCAUAUUAUUGUAUAUUUUCACUGUAUGUGUUUUAUGAUGAUUUGUAAGAGGUGUAUAUAACAACUUUGAUGGUCUUAAAGUAUGUUUGGGCGUGAAUGGUUUAUAAAUGUUAAGAUUGUUUAAUACCUUAUUCACAUAUAAAAAUAAAAUUGAGUUUUUAGUCAUACCCGAAACUUUUGUUUUGAAAAAAAUACAUAAAAACAAUUUAGUUUUUUUAUCAAAUUUAAAAUAAAUUGGAAACAAUCAAACAAAUGAAAGAAAUUUAAAUAAAACAAAUCAUCAACGAAGAUGCCAGAGCUAUAGAAGCUUCUAACCAUAUUCUUGGAUCUACACAAAAAUACAUUUUUAUGGUAAGAGUGUUUUUCGUUUUCCACGUGUUAAAAUAAACAAAAAAAUAUUAACAACUAAUUAUUUGAACCAAUUGUAAUAAUACUUACAUUUAAGAAAUAUAUUUUUAGCGACUUAUAUUUAUGUAAUUAUUUUAAAUUUCACAGCUCUUCUAAAAAUAGGUGCUGAAAUUUUUGAAUAUCAAACUAUUCAAUGUUAAAUUUUUAGUAUUUAUAAUUAUUAUUCAAAAAUUAUAACAUUAUAAACAUAUCAUGUAUUUCUCUUAUAAUAUUAUCAUCCGCAAAAUCGCGGGCAAACACCUAGUAUUAGUUAAUCAAGAGUUCCGCGGAGUGGGGUAUACUAAAUAAUAUUUCUUCUUUAAUUCUUGUUACCAGUUAUUAAGUUCAAACUAAAUUUGCUCAAUGGAUAAUAUACACGCACCCCUGUUCGAAAACGCGGCCGCCUAGCCGCCUAGGCGGCCGCUUAGGCGGUGCUCGGAGUCCAACCGCCGCUAUUGUGACCUGAUCGGUCACACUAGGCGCUGGACCGCGUUAACAUGGUUUGACCGCGUAUUAUCCGCGUUGACCGUGUAAUAUUACCAGUAUUAAACGCUUAAAACUCAAAAAAAAUUGAACUAUUGGGCCUACAACAGGUUUAUGGAAACCCAAUUGCAAGUUAUAAUGAUGGCAACUCUAAAUGAGUAUUUAUAGGCGUCUUCAGCAUCACCCCUCCUUGUGUUUAACCGAUGUGGGACUUUGUUUCAUAGGUGUUUUUUUUUUAAAAAAAAUUUAAUUAAAAACACUCUAUUGGUGAAUCGAUCCCUGUACCUCAUAAGAGGUUGACAGCAUCAAACACCAAUAGACCACAACGUCUUUUGACAUAUGUACAUAUACUGACACAUAUAUAAACAUUAUUGUAAUAAAAAUAUGACAUUAACAAUAACUUUUGUUAAACCAAUAAAUUAAAACUUCAAUAAUAUACAAAAAAACUAUUACAUUCUAAUAUAUUUAUAUUAUAUAUUUAAUUUAAAUAUUAUUAUAAAUAUAAUAAUAAUAAAAACUAGUCCCCGCGUAUACCCCGAUUAAUCCCCGAUUUUUCGAUAACUCGCUAGGCCCGGGGUCACCGCCCGACUAGCGCCUAGCGUAAUUUCGAACAUGGGAUAUCACUAGUUGACUGGUCCACACCAGUUCUUUUUAUAUAUAUAAAUGCGCAGUAUCGUGUUUCUUUCUGUGUAUGCGACAUAGAUAAAGUUAAAAAAUGUUGUUUAUGUAUAACAUCAAUCAAUGAUGCUCGAUCUUUGACAACCAAUCAGGAGGAUAUGGGAAUGCAUUUUGGGAACAAAUAAAAAAAGUAUACUUGAGCUAGACUGGGGUAGUGAGGUUAACAGGGAACCAUUCAUAUACAUCUCAAAAACGAUGGACGUUAUAACAGCGAUCAAAAAUCAAACGGUCGAAAGACAUACAACUAAGACAAUGUUAUAAAUAUAAUGGCACUUGCAAAACAAAAGGCAAAUCCGUGAGAGAUUGGGCUGAUCCUUAGUGUUGUAAUGAAUUUGAUUUGAGAGGUUUAAGUGAAUUUAGAUGGUGACAACAAAUGUUAAGAUGCUCUUGACUUGGGUUUUGGCUCCAAAAAAAAGGGUCUUAAGAACCGUAUAAUAAGCUUUAAACAAACACAAAGUUGUUUCUUUUUAGUGAUGAAAAAUGAAUAACGAAAAGAAGAAAAAUUGAUAACCGGGGGGAGACAUGACCUCGUCCCCCCCCCAUCUUUAUUGUAAAGGGAAAAAAAAUGGUUUAAUGAUUAGCUUCAACCUUGUGUGGCUUUGUCAUCUGCAGGUGCAAAAAAAGCAAUUUGUUAGUACUUAGCAUACAACAAAAAGGAAUAUAAGAUUAGAACUCAGGAGUUGCAGAAACAAAGUAACAAAAGGAGCAAAUCAAUUCCUAUAUAUAGAUUUGUGUAGCCACCAAUUAUAAUCUGACAAAUCAUCAAUCAAUCAGAUAUACUGAAUUUUGAGAAUCAUAGGAGAUACAUACGAGCACUAUAAUCAAGUUACCUUGAGGAACUUGAGCUUCAUGCUCCCGUAGACGAGACCCACGCUAAAAGCCGAAGCACGAGCCACCUGGUCAAUGAAGCGACAUAGAGACUCAGAUCAAUCACAUGAACUCACAAAUAAAAAGAUUUUUUUAAUAGACGAAUCGGAGAGAAAGAGAGGAUGAUACGUACAAGAGCGAGAGAGCUGGUGCCGGAGUAAAGACCUGGAGGCAGAGUCAUCGCCAAAUCUUAUGUCGUAGUCUUCGCAAAACCCUAAAUUCCCAAAUCGAUUCUCCAAGCUUCUCACAUCACAAACUCGCGACUCGUGAUGGUGGCGCGAUCCUCUUUUACUAAGAGCUGAGUAUUAGGCUCUUAAUGGGCCUUAAUUAAGCUUUGUUCAGGAGAUGCCAAAAAUUAUAUUUUACGAGUUAUCUGAAAUUUUGGAUGCAUAAAUUUGAAAGAACUGGAAAAGAUUUUUUUUUUAGUUUAUGUGUGUUUCCAAAAAUUCGAAUCAAAAUCUAUUUCAUCUAAAAUUUUGUUAGUCAUUUAGCUAAAUAUUUUUUAAAAGAAUUAUUGAGAUUUUUAAUACCAUCAAAUUUCAAAUAUAUUAUCAUAUAAUCUCUAUUUCUAUUAUAUACGAUAAUUAACUAUAAUGAUUAACACUUCGCAAACAACCUUUCAUGAUAGAAUUAUCCCUAAUUGACAGUUUGUUAUGUAUGUACAAUAUCUUUGAUCAAAAUAUUUUUUUGGCACCACACGACCACAACUAACAAUUCUAUUUGUAUCUCUCAAUAAAUUAUAUAUCUUAUAAUAUACUAGAAAUUGAAUCAUUUGGUAAUUAAACUCCACACUUUAAAUCCCAAAUUUUAUUGAGGUUAGAUUCAUACAAUUGAAAGUUUUUUUUACUUCAAAAAUCAUGUAUUACCUUGAAUGACAACACAAUAAUUAAUAUAUUUCUGAAACCCUUGGGAUAUUUUUUUAGGUUCACUUUCAUGGGGUUCAUAUCCAAAUAAAUAGUAGUAUCCAAUUAUCACCACGAUCAUAUUUAUUAUUUCAUUAAAUAAUACUAGAGAUUUUGUCCGGGCUACGCCCGGAGCUAUAUACAAAUAACAUAUAUUUUAUAUGUAUAUUACAAUAUAUUACAUCUAUGUUAUAAAAUAUAAAUAAUAAAUUAAAUUAAAAUGAGUAAAACUCACAAUUUGUUGUCUUCUACUUUCUAAAAUAUGUAUGGGAUAGUGAACAAAGUGAAAUUAAUAAAGAAUUUUUUAAACCUAAGUUAUUCUCAAAAAAAAUAUUUUUUACACAUUUAUUUUAUUAUAAAAUAUAUUAUUAAUCUCAACAUCACAUAUUUUUUUGUUAUAUGUGUUAUUUAUAUCAUGUGUAUGUUUUUAUAUGUCUUUUAUAAUAUUAUAAGUUGGAUGAUGAUUUUCUGGUAUCCUUGGCUUUUGAAGAUGAUAGUUUGUUGAUUUCUUCAUGAUCAGUGUUUGGUCGACGACAAAGAUUUAGCGUUGGAAAUACAAAUCCAAAAAUCAACUCGAUAGGUUCAAUCAUCAGUCGAUUCAAAAUAAAUAGAAACACCCCAAAAAAUUCAAAUAUCAGAUCCAAUCAAUCUUUAAACUACAACUUAAUUUGGUUUUGACCAAAAAACCUAAUAUCCAUAUUUUCACUGUAUUAUUGUGAUAUAUAUAACCAUAUUAUUGUAUAUUUUCACUGUAUGUGUUUUAUGAUGAUUUGUAAGAGGUGUAUAUAACAACUUUGAUGGUCUUAAAGUAUGUUUGGGCGUGAAUGGUUUAUAAAUGUUAAGAUUGUUUAAUACCUUAUUCACAUAUAAAAAUAAAAAUGAGUUUUUAGUCAUGCCCGAAACUUUUUUUUUGAAAAAAAAUACAUAAAAACAAUUUAGUUUUUUGUCAAAAAUAAAUUGGAAACAAUCAAACAAAUGAAAGAAAUUUAAAUAAAACAAAUCAUCAACGAAGAUGUCAGAGCUAUAGAAGCCUCUAACCAUAUUCUUUGAUCUACACAAAAAUACAUUUUUAUGGUAAGAGUGUUUUUCGUUUUCCACGUGUUAAAAUAAACAAAAAAGUAUUAACAACUAAUUAUUUGAACCAAUUGUAAUAAUACUUACAUUUAAGAAAAAUAUUUUUAGCGACUUAUAUUUAUGUAAUUAUUUUAAAUUUCACAGCUCUUCUAAAAAUAGGUACUGAAAUUUUUGAACAUCAAACUAUUAAAUGUUAAUUUUUUAGUAUUUAUAAUUAUUAUUCAAAAAUUAUAACAUUAUAAACAUAUCAUGUAUUUCUCUUAUAAUAUUAUCAUCCACAAAAUCGCGGACAAACACCUAGUAUUAGUUAAUCAAGAGUUCCGCGGAGUGGGGUAUACUGAUCAAAGUUACUUGUUCUCAAGGGUACAAAUUCUUACUUUUGUCAUUUUUUCCAGAAAUGGUUAAUCUGAACAUUUUCAUAUAUAUAUAUAUUGAAAUAAUAUAUUUUUUGUUUGUAAAUUCGUACUAUCGACUUAUAUUUAUGUAAUUAUCUUAAAUUUCACAGCUCUUCUAAAAAUAGAUACUGAAUUUUUUUAAUAUCAACUUAUUAAAUGUUGAUUUUUAAUAUUUCUAAUUAUUAUUCAAAAAUUACAUCAUUAUAAAUAUAUCAUGUACUUUUCAUAUAAUAUUAUCAUUCGCGAAAUUGUGGGCAAACACCUAGCAUUACUGUAUUAGUUAAUCAAGAAUUCCGCAGAGUGGGGUAUACUGAACAAAGUUACUUGUUCUCAAGGGUACAAAUUCUUAUUUUUGUCAUUUUUUUUCCUGAAAUGGUUAAUCUGAACUUUUUCAUUUAUAUAUAUUGAAAUAAUAUAAAUUUUAUUUAUAAAUUCGUAUUACUUCUUUUCUAUUUAGUUUAGCCAUAUUUUUAAAAAUGUGUAGAUCUUUAAAGUUUUAUGGUUUUGGUUUAUUUUAUCAUGUGUUUUAACUGUUUAAUAAUAAUUUUCUCUUUUCCAGCCCAUAAUUUUAAUAGUAAAUAUAGUAUAUCAUGUUGAUUUUGAGCCUCUUUGUUUUAAUUAAUUGAAUUAAUUAUAUGAAUAUAUAUAUAUAUAUUUUGUAUUGUGUACAUUUAAAAUAUCUAUUUAUCUAUUUAUACUAUUAUUUACAAAUUGAUUUUCUACAUUAGAUCUCUCACAUCAAAAGUUAGAUUGGUUACUUUGGUUACUGUUGUUGUUGCACAUAAGAAUAAUUAUAUUUAUUAGUUUUUUAUUCUAAAAUAUAUUAAUAAUUUUAUAACUACAGUAUGACACAAAUAUAUUAUCUCUAUAGUUUUCGUUGUUCUUAUUCAUCCAAGUCGUGUUGGUUUUAUUUUUGUUUCAUCCUAUAGGUUAUAGGUUACACUGUUUGUUUUGUUUGCUACCAUUCCCUUCUCCACUUUCGUGCUGAUAUUGGAUGUUCUCUUUUCAGUGGUUCAAUCAUUUAGUGCAAAUCAAACAUAUUACUGGUUAGAGAUGCUUGCGUGAAGGAUAAUAUCGACAACAACAAAGCUUGGUUGCGUAUUAUUUUGUUGUGUGUUUCUUUUUUUUUUGUUCAAAUGUGUGUUUCUUUCUUUAAAUGUAGAUAUUCUUUGGGUUCUUGACAUCUAUUUAGAUUUUUUCAGUGCAUGACUAUAUGUACUCUUUUAUUGUAUUUUUAUUACGUUAAAUGGUUUUGUAAAUUCAAAGUAUAUCUUCUAUGCCUUACGUAAUGUAUGGAUGGUUCGUUUCUUAUUAUUCAACUUGGCUUUUUUUUUUGUUUGUUCUUUUGUGCAGUGGGAAUGAGUCAGAACCAUUAGCAGUCAGUCUCUGUUAUCAGUCGCGGUUAUAUUUGUAUAUAUUUGUCUCUGUUCGAGUUUCUUAUGAGAGGAAAUUGUAGAUGUUGCAACUGAUAUAUUUAUUGAGGUUCUCAAGAAAAAGAAGUAGAAUCACCAUCAGGACGCCAUAACCAGUUGUAAAACCACAUGGUGCCAGCCUUGACUACGUAAAUUGUUCCUGUCCCAUGUAUCCAUACUGCGCAUAUGUACAUUUCUCUGUCGAGAUUAUAGCAUGUCCAAAACUUGCUUCUCUGUGGUAGAGUACUUAGGCUGAGGCUCAGUCAUUCUGCAGAAAUCAUAUAACACACCUAAAAUCUAAUAAAAAGGUUGUUUGCAAUGACCAUAAGUCCUUUAUUAUAUAGCUGACUUGGUAGCAAAUCCUUCAAUGUUUCCUCCAUCACAAAUGAUGUAGACAUGAGCAGAUUGAUCUUUUAGUGGACUGGAAAUGUCAUUAACCAUGGUGUCUGCUAUGUUUGAUAUGAGUUCAUGGUAGUUGAUCAAAAAAAAAAGAGUGCAUGGUUUCGCAGAAGCUCAAAAAAUUGUCAUAAUCUAUAGUUUAAACGGAGGCAUAAUGAGCUAAAGUUUUGUGUACUUACUGACCUCACGUAUGCGUGAACAUGACUUGAGAAAAAAACAUCUAAUCUGUAUUUUUCAUUAAAAAAAAAAGAUUUUCAACUUGUCAGUUUGUUAUUGUUAAUAAUAAUUUGCUCUUUUCCAGCCUAAAUUAUUUUUAAUAGUAAAUAUAGUAUAUCAUGUUGAUUUUGACCCUCUUUGUUUUAAUUAAUAUGAAUUAAUCAUAUGAAUAUAUUUAUUAUAUUUAAUAUUUCGUAAUGUGUAAAUUUAAAAUAUAUAUUUAUACUAUUAUUUACGAAUUGAUUGUUUACAUUAGAUCUAUAUAAACAUAAAGAAAACAAAUCAUUAACGAAGAAGCCAGAGCUAUAUAAGCCUCUAACCAUAUUCUUGGAACUACACAAAAACAUGUAAGAGUGUUUUCGUUUUCCACGUGUUAAAUAAACAAAAAGGUAUUAACAACUAAUUAUUUGAACCAAUUGUAAUAAUACUUACAUUUAAGAAAAAUAUUUUUAGCGACUUAUAUUUAUGUAAUUAUUUUAAAUUUCACAGCUCUUCUAAAAAUAGGUACUGAAAUUUUUGAAUAUCAAACUAUUAAAUGUUAAAUUUUUAGUAUUUAUAAUUAUUAUUCAAAAAUUAUAACAUUAUAAACAUAUCACGUAUUUUUCUUAUGAUAUUAUUAUCCGCAAAAUCACGGGCAAGCACCUAGUAUUAGUUAAUCAAAAGUUCCGCGGAGUGGGGUAUACUGAUCAAAGUUACUUGUUCUCAAGGGUACGAAUUCUUACUUUUGUCAUUUUUUUUCCAGAAAUGGUUAAUCUGAACUUUUGCAUAUAUAUAUAUAUAUAUAUAUAUUGAAAUAAUAUAUUUUUUGUUUAUAAAUUCGUACGUCUUAUUUUCUAUUUAGUUUAGCCAUAUUUUUAAAAAUAUGUUGAUCUUUAAAGUUUUAUUGUUUUGGUUUAUUUUAUCAUGUGUUUUAACUUUUUAAUAAUAAUUUGCUCUUUUCCAGCCUAAAUUAUUUUUAAUAGUAAAUAUAGUAUAUCAUGUUGAUUUUGACCCUCUUUUUUUUAAUUAAUAUGAAUUAAUCAUACGAAUAUAUUUAUUAUAUUUAAUAUUUUGUAAUGUGUAAAUUUAAAAUAUAUAUUUAUACUAUUAUUUACGAAUUGAUUGUUUACAUUAGAUCUAUAUAAACAUAAAGAAAACAAAUCAUUAACGAAGAAGCCAGAGCUAUAUAAGCCUCUAACCAUAUUCUUGGAACUACACAAAAACAUGUAAGAGUGUUUUCGUUUUCCACGUGUUAAAUAAACAAAAAGGUAUUAACAACUAAUUAUUUGAACCAAUUGUAAUAAUACUUACAUAUUUUUAGCGACUUAUAUUUAUGUAAUUAUUUUAAAUUUCACAGCUCUUCUAAAAAUAGGUGCUGAAAUUUUUGAAUAUCAAACUAUUAAAUGUUAAAUUUUUAGUAUUUAUAAUUAUUAUUCAAAAAUUAUAACAUUAUAAACAUAUCACGUAUUUUUCUUAUGAUAUUAUUAUCCGCAAAAUCACGGGCAAGCACCUAGUAUUAGUUAAUCAAAAGUUCCGCGGAGUGGGGUAUACUGAUCAAAGUUACUUGUUCUCAAGGGUACGAAUUCUUACUUUUGUCAUUUUUUUUCCAGAAAUGGUUAAUCUGAACUUUUGCAUAUAUAUAUAUAUAUAUAUAUAUUGAAAUAAUAUAUUUUUUGUUUAUAAAUUCGUACGUCUUAUUUUCUAUUUAGUUUAGCCAUAUUUUUAAAAAUAUGUUGAUCUUUAAAGUUUUAUUGUUUUGGUUUAUUUUAUCAUGUGUUUUAACUUUUUAAUAAUAAUUUGCUCUUUUCCAGCCUAAAUUAUUUUUAAUAGUAAAUAUAGUAUAUCAUGUUGAUUUUGACCCUCUUUUUUUUAAUUAAUAUGAAUUAAUCAUACGAAUAUAUUUAUUAUAUUUAAUAUUUCGUAAUGUGUAAAUUUAAAAUAUAUAUUUAUACUAUUAUUCACGAAUUGAUUGUUUACAUUAGAUCUAUAUAAACAUAAAGAAAACAAAUCAUUAACGAAGUAGCCAGAGCUAUAUAAGCCUCUAACCAUAUUCUUAGAACUACACAAAAACAUGUAAGAGUGUUUUCGUUUUCCACGUGUUAAAUAAACAAAAAGGUAUUAACAACUAAUUAUUUGAACCAAUUGUAAUAAUACUUACAUUUAAGAAAUAUAUUUUUAGCGACUUAUAUUUAUGUAAUUAUCUUAAAUUUCACAGCUCUUCUAAAAAUAGAUACUGAAAUUUUUUAAUAUCAACUUAUUAAAUGUUAAUUUUUAAUAUUUCUAAUUAUUAUUCAACAAUUACAUCAUUAUAAAAAUAUCAUGUACUUUUCAUAUAAUAUUAUCAUUUGCGAAAUCGUGGACAAACACCUAGUAUUAUUGUAUUAUUUUAUCAAGAAUUCCGCAGAGUGGGGUAUACUGAACAAAGUUACUUGUUCUCAAGGGUACAAAUUCAUAUUUUUGUCAUUUUGUUUUUUCUGAAAUGGUUAAUCUGAACUUUUUCAUUUAUAUAUAUUGAAAUAAUAUAAAUUUUAUUUAUAAAUUUGUAUUACUUAUUUUCUAUUUAGUUUAGCCAUAUUAUUAAAAAUGUGUAGAUCUUUAAAGUUUUAUGGUUUUGGUUUAUUUUAUCAUGUGUUUUAACUGUUUAAUAAUAAUUUUCUCUUUUCCAGCCCAUAAUUUUAAUAGUAAAUAUAGUAUAUCAUGUUGAUUUUGAGCCUCUUUGUUUUAAUUAAUUGAAUUAAUUAUAUGAAUAUAUAUAUAUAUAUUUGUAUUGUGUACAUUUAAAAUAUCUAUUUAUACUAUUAUUUACAAAUUGAUUUUCUACAUUAGAUCUCUCACAUCAAAAGUUAGAUUGAUUACUUUGGUUACUGUUGUUGUUGCACAUAAGAAUAAUUAUAUUUAUUAGUUUUUUAUUCUAAAAUAUAUUAAUAAUUUUAUAACUACAGUAUGACACAAAUAUAUUAUCUCUAUAGUUUUCGUUGUUCUUAUUCAUCCAAGUCGUGUUGGUUUUAUUUUUGUUUCAUCCUAUAGGUUAUAGGUUACACUGUUUGUUUUGUUUGCUACCAUUCCCUUCUCCACUUUCGUGCUGAUAUUGGAUGUUCUCUUUUCAGUGGUUCAAUCAUUUAGUGCAAAUCAAACAUAUUACUGGUUAGAGAUGCUUGCGUGAAGGAUAAUAUCGACAACAACAAAGCUUGGUUGCGUAUUAUUUUGUUGUGUGUUUCUUUUUUUUUUGUUCAAAUGUGUGUUUCUUUCUUUAAAUGUAGAUAUUCUUUGGGUUCUUGACAUCUAUUUAGAUUUUUUCAGUGCAUGACUAUAUGUACUCUUUUAUUGUAUUUUUAUUACGUUAAAUGGUUUUGUAAAUUCAAAGUAUAUCUUCUAUGCCUUACGUAAUGUAUGGAUGGUUCGUUUCUUAUUAUUCAACUUGGCUUUUUUGUUUGUUUGUUCUUUUGUGCAGUGGGAAUGAGUCAGAACCAUUAGCAGUCAGUCUCUGUUAUCAGUCGCGGUUAUAUUUGUAUAUAUUUGUCUCUGUUCGAGUUUCUUAUGAGAGGAAAUUGUAGAUGUUGCAACUGAUAUAUUUAUUGAGGUUCUCAAGAAAAAGAAGUAGAAUCACCAUCAGGACGCCAUAACCAGUUGUAAAACCACAUGGUGCCAGCCUUGACUACGUAAAUUGUUCCUGUCCCAUGUAUCCAUACUGCGCAUAUGUACAUUUCUCUGUCGAGAUUAUAGCAUGUCCAAAACUUGCUUCUCUGUGGUAGAGUACUUAGGCUGAGGCUCAGUCAUUCUGCAGAAAUCAUAUAACACAUCUAAAAUCUAAUAAAAAGGUUGUUUGCAAUGACCAUAAGUCCUUUAUUAUAUAGCUGACUUGGUAGCAAAUCCUUCAAUGUUUCCUCCAUCACAAAUGAUGUAGACAUGAGCAGAUUGAUCUUUUAGUGGACUGGAAAUGUCAUUAACCACGGUGUCUGCUAUGUUUGAUAUGGGUUCAUGGUAGUUGAUAAAAAAAAAAAGAGUUCAUGGUUUCACAGAAGCUCAAAAAAUUAUCAUAAUCUAUAGUUUAAACGGAGACAUAAUGAGCUAAAGUUUUGUGUACUUACUGACCUCACGUAUGCGUGAACAUGACUUGAGAAAAAAACAUCUACUUUAUUAUUGACAAACUACGGCUCACGACUCUCAUGGUUUCAUGGGAACUUACGCAGUGGUUUCUUGGCUACCACCUUGAGAGCCAGUGCUGUAGAAGAUCCAGCUGGUUUACCAGCAAGUGACUGAGUUCUCCGGAGUCCACCGGUAGUGUCCAAGAAGACUUUGAACUGAGCAGCCAUCAUGCCGUACCUUGUUGGGAAUCCAAAGACGAACCCAUCAGCUUCAGUUAGUUCGUCAGGUGUGAAAAUUGGUGAUUCACUCUUUGGUGGUGUGCUCAUCUUAGAGAGUGCUUAUUCUGGAAGCGUCUCUGGUACCUGUGAAACAGCAAUUCAUCAGGGUCAACGAUUCACAUGGAUUCGUGUAGCCAAGCCUAACUAUAUCUUGUGAAUUGGAAAUUCCUGUGUCACAAAACAUAUAAACUAAAACUGCAACACAGGUUAUUGAAAAGGAUUCACAGCAAGAAUAUCACCAAAACGACGUGAUGCCAUAAGAAGGGGUCAGUCCUGAGAUUUAUGGAACUUGAAACAGUUACUAAAUAAUCAAAACAUAUAUCUUUGUUAAACAAUCUGGAGGACAAAUGAUAAAACUUUGGAGGCCAAUGUUUCAUCUUGUUAUGCCAAUGACCGGUUCAGUUGGCCAUAAACCAGCUAAAAAACCUAGACAAAAAUUAGAAUCUAAACUUGCUAAGCUAAAAGAAACCAUCAGCCAAGAAUCGAAAAUUAAGAAACUUGGAUAAUGGCAAUGGUCCUAAGAUUGCCUAAAGCUAUUGUCAGAAUGUCUAAUAUAUCCUUAAUUAAAGAUUCACAAACUAUUUAUGACUCAAAUCCUAGUGCUGGGUAGAGGACUUGGUAGCCACUUAUACUACCCAUUUACAUAGUUUCUCACAGGAACAUAACGAAAUACAAAGCCAUUAUGGAGGGGAAGACAAAUCUUACCUGCCAUAGUUUGGUUUCAACGCCUUCAACAGAAACAGCUACUUUAUUAAGGGUAAUGGUAGAUGUUGUACCAUGGUGAAUGAUUGAUAACAAUCAACAAUGCAGUUUUUGUUAUGUUAACCUUUGGGACUCCUCUACCUGCAGCCAAAUUAGGAUUAACAUUAGAAGGCACCCGUGACUCCACAGCAUACAUAAAGUUAAAGUAAAACAUAAGAAUCAUUAACCUGGCCAAUUGCUUUCUCCCCAUUAACCUCCAGGACCUGACCAUGUCUCAUAGAUCCUUCUCCUAAGGGAAUUUUAGCAAUCUCUUGGUAAGUUAGACCCUGUUACAUUAAGUACAGAAAACGAUUGAUAUGUAAUCAACAAAGAAAACCAUCUACACCCUCCGUUAGUUAACCAACGUUUUAGAGAGACUGCCAUACAUGAUUGGUAUCUACAGAUCAGAAUCAAAUCAACAUACCCAUUCCGAUCACGGGAACUCCUUCAUCGAUGUUGAUACAGCCGCAAUCGUUGUCACUGUGAACAAAAAAGGAAUCACAAACGCGAAUCGUGAAUAAACAUAUCCACAUCUAAAAUGAAACCAAAUCAACUCAAAAUUCAGGAGAUGGUUCUCAUAGUAGGAAACCUUACAAUUUUACAGUCGCAGUUCCACCUCCUUGCAUGAGGGAAAAUCGUAGAUCGUGGGUGAUGGAUUUAAUAAGGACUUUAAGAAGAUGAAUAUGUAACUGGUAGCUUUUAGGAUUCUAAGGAAGAAGAUGAAACACGCUCUCAGAACUCAGGUUCCGUGGGAGAUGAAAGCAAGCUCAAACCUAAUAUCAAAACGACAGCUUAAGGCCCGGCUAAUCUCAGAACUCAAAAGCCCAAAACGUAACUGAGGUGGACAAACAAACACACUCCAUUGGUUGAAUUUAUCUAUCUAUAUUGGCCGGUCUUUUAUUCCGGUUCGGCUUUGAUGUUUCUUAAAAAUCAAAUUUCUCACAUUUAAUUGGAAAAAUCGGAUUCAAGAGAGGCAAGAAAAGGACAUGAAACAACCAACAUUUAUUAUAGUAUAGUCGACAUGUCAACGUGCUGUUUUCACCACAGCCACACUAUCACUAUGUAACCAAUAUACUAUAGUUUCUAGUUUAGUGGUGUUUGUCCAAGUAAAUUGUCUAAGUGCUUGUACUCACCGGUAUACGGUUGGACACGUAACCCUAUUAUGAACUGUAUUCAUUCUUCUGAAAGUUCUCAUAUGAAAGAUCGAUCAUAUGAUUGGGUUCAUACAACUACUAGAAACUAAAAAAAAAUCGAAAACAUUCCCGGAGAAAUAUCAACCCUUUGAUUUAAAACAUGGGCGGAGCAUCGGACGGCGAAGGACCAACAAAGUUGAAAAUGCUGUCCAAAUAGUUCUUGUUGUCCUCGAAAUAGUUGUUGCACUCACCACCACUAUUCUCUCCGUCCCUCUCGUUUUUAUCGGCGGAGAAACUCCGUCCUAGUGUAUCGCCUCCUAGCAAGAGACCCGUGAAGCCUUCUUCGACUCCUUCCUCCAUCUGCGUGGCUUCGAAAAUCGUUGUACUGAUCCAAUCAUUUUCGUGUUCUUUCAUCAGAGCCAGACCCGUGGAUGAUCCAGUGAACUCCAUCUUCGCGGACACUCUGUUCGAUGGUUCUUUCAUGUCAGAGAAUGACACUGUUGAUGUCGGAGAUUCAAGUUGUUGUUGAUCUGCAUUGCAUACAAAAGAUAGAUAAUCAAAAUAAUGUCUAUGUUUUUUUUUUUUUGCUUAAAAAAUAUAAUAAUAUAAUGUCUAUGUUCUGUUUUGUUCUACCUUGGUUUGUUUUUGUUGUCCAAGUGGUUAACAAUGUCUUAUGAGUGAAUCCAUGAUGAUGAUGGGAUGAUGGUUUGGUUUGGUAGUGAAGAAGCUUAGAUUCUCUAGCAAACCUUGCUUCAGCUUCAAGCCUAGCACUUUCCCACUGAGCCAUGUGGCUAAGCGUCGCUGCGUUCUUGGAUAAACCAAGAGGAGUCUCGUUUUUAGGUUUAUGAGUCACUGGAUCAAUCCCCAUUUUUACCAACCGUUUCUUCAAAUGAGUGUUCCAAUAGUUCUUGAUCUCGUUGUCUGUUCUCUUCGGCAGAUGAGUCGCAAUCGCCGACCACCUGUUUCCUAAGAGAGCAUGGAGUUGAAUGAUGGUUUGUUCUUCUUGCAAGUUGAAUUUGCCUCUUUUGAUGUCUGGUCUCAAGUAGUUAGUCCAUCUUAGUCUGCAACUCUUCCCGCAUCGAUGUAGACCUGAGAUUGAGAAUGAAGGAAGAUAAAUGAUAAAGAAUGUUUUGAAUAUUUAGAGCACAAAGAUGAAUAUAAGAGUUUCAUUUUACCAGCUUUCUCCGGCAAUGAACGCCAACUUCCAUGUCCAUGUUCUUCAAUAUAAGCCAAAAGUUUUUGGUCUUCUUCUGGGGUCCAAGGCCCUUUCUUCAAGCCCAAUUUGUCGCAGUACGGUGAUCUACCCAUUUUGUCUUCCCCAAGAAAACCAAAACUCUCUUAGUCUUUUAUCACAGAUCAAAGAAGAAGUGUAUAAUAAAAGAUAAUCUCAUCCAUCACCAUAAGAGCACAAAGGAAUGGUCUUCUGGCUACAGUUGUAGAAAUGUUACAAGUUGAGCAUAUCUGAGUGAUGAAGGAGGAUGAUAUAUAGCGGAGAGAGAUAGGCACACACGAGAAAAAUGAAAUGAUCCCCUGUUCUCCCGGCUCUCUCACAUGGAUGAGCAUUUAUUAACAAUGGGGUCUCCAGAAGUUAUUACCCUUUGUGGCUCAAAGACCUGGAAUAACAAGUCCCCCUCUCUUACAAAACUCUCAGAGAGAGAGAGAGAUGUCACACACACCAAAGCAAAAAAAGGCGGUGACCUAUUAUUACCUGCCACUGUGUGACUUCUUUAUAACAUAAGUUCAAAGCGGUUAUUUCUUGUGCUAGAAGUAAAUUCAGGUCACUAGCUACUAUCUAGCCCUCAUCACUUUGAUGAUCUUGUUCUUGUAUAUCAAAACUCAAUAACCCCCUUAGAAUUUAUGGGUUCUAGGACUCUAGUUUUAUCAUUGAUUCAUUUGGUAUUGCUAUCAUUGUUUAUCCCCAUUGAACUUGCCUAUAAAGUUAACACUAGGGCUGGCAAAAAAAUCCGAAUCCGAAGAACCGAACCGAACCUGACCCGAAAAAGUAGUACUGAAUCAGAACCGAAAUUGAUUAAAUAUCCGAACAGGUUCAAAAUUUUGGUAUCUAAAGAACCGGAACCGAACCCGACCCGAACUGAAAUAUUCCGGGUACCCGAAUGUAUCCGAAAUUGAUUUCUAUACCCCCCUUAUAUAAAUAUAUUUUAGAUUUAAUGUCUAUUAAAAAUAUAAGAUAUUUUUAAAUUGUCCAAAAUACUUGAAAAUAUAUACUAGUAGUCAAAAGUAAAUGUCUAAAAUAGCUAAAAAGUACUCAAAACACCAAAAAUAUUUAAAAUAUCUAUUGAUUAUCUAUCCAAAUAUUCAAACCAAAUCACAUUAUACGUUAAGUUUAGGUAUUUUGACAUAUGUUAUUCAAAUUUGUUUGUCAUAUAAUAUUUUGUUUAUAGUUUUUGAGAAAUUUAAAGUAUAUAAUGAAUUUAAAAAUUUAAAAAUAAUUUUAAUGAUUUACCCGACCCCGACCCGACCCCGCAAAGAUCCGAACCAAACCCGAACCCGAACCGAAACUUAGAAAUAUCCGAAUGUGGCUGAAAUCUUUGAUCCCGAAAACCCAAAACUCGAAUAGACCCGAACGGAACCUGAAUGGGUACCCGAACGCCCACCCCUAGUUAACACUAUGGUUGAGAAAAAAAGAAUAAGAUGCCUUUGGUUUGUUUUAGUCACCCUUAGGUUACUUUUGCAAGUCUAAGGUCUUAAAGUCCACAACUUUAUCAAUGUAUUACCCUAUAUGUAAAUGUCUUAUUAAGUCACACUACAUUAUUGGUUUCUCUUUUCACUUUUCUUACUCUCAUCAACCUUCACUAAAAGGAGUAGAUUACUAAAUGCUGUUAAAAAGGCGGUGACUAAUAGGAAACUGACACUAGAGAAACAAAUCAAUGAGACAUAGAGCAUGAAGUAGGAGAAACCUUUGUAGUUGCAAGUAAAUUCAUUAUUGCAAAGACUUUCUUCACUCAUCUGUUUCGUUUCUCUGGAUAUAGUAAAAUUCUAACCUGUGUAAGCAAACGAACAGAAACAUUAUGACUGCAAUAAAACUCACACGCAACACUAUAUUUGGAAUGCACAAAAUCAACUUAUACAAUAAUAGUCUUGUCAAGAAAAUACACGGCAUUAUGCUUCCUAAAUUAUUUAGUCAUUUAGGAAGCAUUUUGUGGCUGUAGAGAAACUAUGUACUUCUUGCUGAAAAGACUUCUCUUGUGCAGUGGUUUCUUCAUCAUUUAAUGAAAUGUUCAUUGGCUUCUACACCUUUAUUGGCGUCAAGUCAGUGACUCAUAGGGUAUCAAAAUUUUCACAUUAGAUAAAAGAACAAUAACAAACAAUAUAUUCAGAAACAUUUGGACAUCCUCUGAUAACACAAUAGCAUCACAACUAUACAUCAGUUCAGUUUAAAACAUAGACUUCUGGUGUAAACUCAAGAAUUCAUACCUUGAUUUGAUCUUUAUGUGGUUAUGGUACUUUGCAGGUAUACAAAUGUUAUCAGCAAGGUAAAAUUUCCUACCAAGAAAGGUAGAUGAUUUAUGAAAGGUGAACGGUGACAUUAAAGAGAUUUUUACUAGACCAUACAAGGAUGAGUAGCUUAAUGUUCCAUGAAGGCUAUGAAAGAUGGAUUUAUUGAGGUGGGCUCCAAGCUUGCGAUUUUGUCUUUAUUGUUCUCUUAUUUGAUGAAGAUACUUGUUAUAUACCCCACAAGCUUGGUGUGGUUCAAGAACAUGGUUCCAAAACAUGCUUUUAAUUUCUGGGUGGCUAAUCUCAAUAGGCUCCCACUAAAUGAGCGUUUGCACCAGUGGGGUUUGAUGGACUCAGGACUUUGUACCCUAUGUUCCACUGACCAAGAAUCAAGAGAUCAUCUGUUCCUAAAGUGCAGGUUCACAGCAGACGUUUGGGACCGCGUUAAACAGAAACCUGGCUCUCCAGGGAUUCGAAUUACAUCAUGGAAUGACUUGAUUGAAUGACUUCUUUCGAGGACUGGAUCAGCAAGGCGAAGAUAUCUCAAGAAAAUUAUGUGUCAAACAGCAGUCUACCUUAUUUGGAAGGAGAAAAAUGACAGGAAACAUGGGAGGCCUCCUUCAACAUCCAUUGUCAUAUUCAACAAAAUUAACAAGACAACGAAGGACACUCUACUAGCAAGAAGACAUAACAAAGGGUGUGGGAACAUGCUCUCUUUGUGGUUUUCUUAUAGCUAACUUUAGUUGAAUUUGGUUGUUCCAAUCAUAUAGCUUUUCACUGGUUUUUCAUUUUUUUUUUGGCCAUAGAAACCAAUUUUCUUUUGGUAAUAUAAUUUACAGUUAUCAAAAAAAAAAAAUCAUAAAGAUUUGUACAAAUAAACACAAAAAGAAAUCAGCUUUUUUUAAUGAAUAAAUGUGAAAGCUGAAAGCUGAAGCAGAAGAAGAGAGAGAGAGAGAGAAGUGAUCAUGGAUCAAAAGAAAAUCAUAAUGGCUACAAAUGAUGUAAAGGACAAUGGGACAAACCUCUAUAAAUGUCAUGCUGACUCCAUAUUGCCAGCUUCUACACUCUGCAUGGUCCUAACAUACUUCAAUAUUGCCUUCAUAAAUGGUGCCACUUGUCGAUAUUCUAUCGAUCCACGCUUCACACAACUGUUGUUACAAAUAUCCUGCGUAAAGUGUACUUGAUCAGACAUUGUAAAAACCAAUAAGCCACACACCUAUGUAAUCAAAAACAGAGCCUUGAAUCAUGCCAUCUGAGCAGAUACUACUUUGCAUCAUGCUCAAUCUGCAACAUCGUACUGAAAAGGUUCAAACACUUGUAGCUUGGUUUGGUAGUUGGUGCAGCUUUUAGGCUGGUACAUAACAACUUUUACAGUAAAAAGCUUAUAACGAAAUCAUCAUAAAAUGCAAAUAAACUCGGAUAUAAACAAGGUCCCCAUAAAAAAAAAGGUCCCUUUUCGACAUAAUUAGAGAAAAAGACAUUAGAUUAGCCAAGUUUCUUUUUGCUACCGUUCGAUAGUGCAUGCAUCACCCUGACAAGAAGAUUAACUCCAUAUGCCCCUUUAACUCACUAAAAAUGCUCAAAUCUCCCAUCAACAAAAUAUAGUUUUUUAUUUAUUUAUUUUAAAAUACGAAAAUAGGCUAAAUACAUCUAUAACCCUAACAAAAUCACAUAAUUACAUGACCCAACCACACGAACCCGAUCCACCCAAACAUGAACCCGGCCCACCCAAACACAUACGGGUAUAACCUUUUUCCUAAACCUAAACUCCGCGUUUGGACAGAAAAGAGACAGAAAAAAAAUUGUCGUGUCUUUCCCUUCUCUCCUCUCUUUCUCCUCGUGUUCUUUAUGAUUUCCAGAAACGGCGACAAAAUCGACGAACUCAUCGUUUCUUCUUCUUAUUAUUCUUCUUCUUCUGUUCUCAUCAAGACUUCAUCUUCUGAAUCGACAUCCUUCAUCCUGGUAAGUGAUUUCUUGACCUUGAUUUCCUUGUAUUUUGUAUUUAGGUCAGAUAAAAAUUGGGGAAAACUUGUAAAUUGUAGACGAAAAGUUUAGUAGGAUCUUAGUAAGCGAGAUUGUGGUUUGAAAUUGGGGAAAACAUCUUGAAACUGUAGAAUUGGUAUAAAUUGGAACAAAAACCAAGAGCUCGCGAUUUUUAUGGGUUCUUUCUUACUGGAUCCAAUUGGUUUUCCUGGUUUAUUGUUUGUGAUAUGAAACCGAAAUCUCUUUGACUGUUAGGAUAAAUGUAAACUGAAAUGGAGUAGGUGAUUUAUUGAGUGAAUGAAAGGUUUAAGAUUAGGCAAAGUAAUAAUUCUAGUUGAAUAAAGUGUCACUGGUUGUGUGUGUAUUGGUUUUAUUUUAGUUAAGUGCUACUAUUGUGUAUUAGUUUUGAAUUGAAGCUUUAUUGAUGUUGGUAGGAGUAAUUGAGUUGUUGUGAUUAACAUCUUGUACAGGGAAUGAAGGGCCUAAAAAUAAAGCGUCCAUCUACUGGAGGUGGAGUCUCCAGUAGAACUAGAGGUAGCAAGGCGGUAUCAAAUGGGAAUGAGCCGGUUAGAGAAGAGAGUAAUCCAGUGAGAGGAACGACUGUAGUUUCGCUCUCAUUUGAUACCGAAAGUGAAGGCAUGUCUGCUGUUUCCUCCAAGGUAAUUUUUGCAUUCAUUUUAAUCAUUCAUUUUAUUAGUCUUACUAGUAAAAAAUGACUGAUACAUAUAUAUUUUGACUGCAGGAAAGGCAACCACCAUAGCCCCUUGAAAUGUACUUCGAGAACACAUAGUACCUGAAGACUUGCAAGAUUCAGACCAAGUGCCGUGUGAAGAAGACAGUUGAUGUGAUUAACGAACUUAAGGAGGAGGUCGGCUGGUUCACAAGCCAUCCUUAGUUUUGUCAUUUCUUCCACAUGCCUGAUGAAGAAUUCCUGAAUCUCCAAGGAAUGUGGAUGUUACUGCUGCACACCAUUCGUAUUGAAGGAGAAGAUGCUGCAUGGUUUGCGGUGAAUGGUGUGCCCAUCCGCUACUCUAUGAGGGAGCAUGCCCUCAUCUCUGGCUUGGACUGCCAUGAGUAUCCGAGUGGACAUUUGAAGCUCGGGGGUACUAAGUUUGUGGAUUAUUACUUCGGUAAUAAGAAGAAGAUCACCAUAGAAGAUGUGAAGCAGAAGCUGCAAUCUAUGGGGACGGCAUGUAAUGAUAGAUUGAAGAUGGCUGUCCUGUUCUUCCUUGGUCGGGUUAUCAGAGGAACGACGAAGGAUUCUGCAGCAUUAGACCCAUUCAUCUUAAGGAUAGUGGACGAUUUGGAUGUUUGCAGAAAAUUUCCUUGGGGUCGUCUAACAUUUGAGGAUGCAAUAAAGGUGAUUAAGCAUGUAAUGGAGCUUCUGAAGGGUGAAUUGCACCAUGCAAUCGGCUUUAAUGGAUUCAUAAUUCCAUUAGAGGUAAAGCAUAUAAUUUAGCAUGAAGUAAAUUUUUUGUUAUUUAUAACCGAAAAUCUGACACUGUGACACUUCAUUUGUGUAGUUUUUGGCUUUUGAGUGUAUUCCUAAUCUGGGGAAAAAAUUUCGAAUCUCUUCAGACAGCGCCAGUGGAGAUUGUCCUAGGAUGUGCAAGAGUCGGUUUACAAAGAGUAGCAUGAAGGGUUAUCCUUUGGAAGAUAUAUAUGAUGCGGUUGGAAAGACAAAGGUAUAUCUUUAUUUCAUUUAGUAGAAAAUAACAGAAUAUUUAAACUGAUAUUUCUGAAUGUUUUAUUUUCAGGUUAUUAACAGUGUGUUGGUUCCAACGAUGGAUGAGGAAACUUUGUUGGCUCGUAUCACUGAUCCGGAGUCAAAGUAUCACCGUGAGGGUAGCACAAGUGAUAGGUGGAACUACUGGCUAAAUGUGAAGCAGAAAAAGAUUUGGUGGAAAGAACUUUAUGAGUCAGAUGUUGCUGCACGAAAGUUUACAAAGACGGAAGACAAAGAAAAGGUGACGAUUGUAGAAGGUUCAUCUUCUAAUUCUGGUUUGGAGUCGAUGUUGAAAGGUGUGGAAGAGAGGAUUGUGAAGGCCAUGGAAGAAGGAUUUUCUGGAAUUAAUUUAACGGUAGAGACAAAGUUGGAGGCUAUGAACUGGACGAUGGGUAAACUUGAGAAGAACCAGCGAGUUUUGAAGAAAAAAGCUAAGAAAAUAGAAGACAGGUUGACUUCUAUUGAAAGCAAGGAAAAUGAGGAUGAAGAAUAUAGACAGUGGAAUGAUUUUGAUUAUGAUAGAGAUCAUGGGAAGGAUAGAGAGAUGGCUGAGGCAGAGAAGGAUAAAGAGAAGGCUGAGACAUGGAAGAAAAACAGUGAGAAGAGUGAGGAAGACGAGGAAAACAGUGGGAAAGAUGAGGAAGACGAGGAAAACAGUGAGAAGGGUGAAGAAGAGGAAGAGCAAGAACCUGAAAAAGACAAAGAAAAUAGUGACUCUGUUGAGAAAGGCGAAGAAAACAUGGAGGAAUCAGAUGAAGAAGAUUCUCUGUUAAGGCUUCAAGAAAGAGUGAGAGUACAAGCAGAAGAAUUUUGGAGGACAAUUGAUGAUGAGUCUGACGCUGAGAAAGAGGCUGAGAAAGAGGCUGAGGAAGAGGGUGAAAAAGAGGGUGAGAAAGAUGGUGAGAAAGAGGCUGAGAAAGAGGUUCAAGAAGAGAAAGAGGCUGAGAAAGAUGGUGAGAAAGAGGCUGAGAAAGAGGCUGAGAAAGAGGUUAAAGAAGAGAAAGAGGCUGAGGAAGAAGAAUCCAAGGGAACUCGUACCACUACCGGAGUAAUAAUCAUUACACCACGUGGUAGAACUAAGGCAGCAGCUGAGAGGAAAGCUAUUCAGACUGAGAUUGCUGAGCUAGCUGAGAAAGAGGCUGAGGUAGAAGCUAUUCAGACAGAGCAAGAAGCUAUUCAGACUGUGAUUGUUGAGAAAAAAGCUGAGGUUACUGAGAAAGAUGCUGAGGUAGCUGAGAAAGAGGAACAAGAUGUGGAUGAAGAGGAGGAAAAAGCAGAGGAAAGUGACAAGAAUCCUGAUGUCGAUCAAGAUGUGGAGGAAGAGGAGGAAAAAGCAGAGGAAAGUGAAGAUAAUCCUGUGGAGAGUCCCUCUGAGAAACAGACUGAGCUAGCUGAGAAGUCAGUUGAGGUAGAAGUAAAGACUAAGCGCAAGCCUAGGGUCAAAGUCAUUGCAGUGUCGUAUGGCAUUCCCAAAGCUGAGAGACUAGCAAAAAUGAGAGCUGAAGCUGAAAAAAGAAAGCUAAAGCUGAGAGACUAGCAAAAAUGAGAGCUGAAGCUGAAAAAAAAGAAAGCUAAAGCUGAUGGUACACCUAAGAAGAAAGGCAGGCCGAAGAAGACUGAUGUUACAUUGAAGACAUGUACACUGCUGCCGGAGAAGAGAAAAGGUGAACCAUCACGGUGGGUGCAGUCUCCUUUCACUGAGGAAAAGACCGAUGAGCUAGAAGUGCCAAAGAAGAAGCUUAAAACAAAAACUUAAAAUACUUAUGUUAUGUAUAUGUAUUAUUCAAGUUAUGAUGUUAUGUUUCUGCUUAAAAUGCUUCUCUUGAACUUGUUAGGAUGUUAUGUUUCUACUUUUGGAUGUUAUGUUAUGUUUCUGGAUGUUUUAUGUUUUUUAAACAGGUGUGGUAACUCAAAAUUACAGGGGAAAUUCUGCUCAAAAUUUUGGAAAAAUACUCCAAUUGACAAAAUAAUUAAAAACUGUUUACAUGUAAAAUGCAAACCACAUGUAAAACGUGCAUGGAUAAAAAAUGCACAUGUAAUACGUGCAGCCGUCAUAUAUUUUGAUAUUAUAUUUUGAUUACACUUAGUAAUUCUUGGUAAGCUUCAAGAACAUAGUAAUACUACCUUACACAUAGUAAUCUUUUGGCAAUUUUUAGGUUUAUCUAGUAAAAUCCUGAGAAAAUGAGUUUUUUUUUUGUACUAAAGCUGAUGCUUUUACACUAUAAUAAUCAUUAAAGAAGACAUUUUCAGCAAGCAUUUACCAGGAAUACGUAUUUUUUUAGAUUUUCCUUACUAUGGCCUAAUCAUUCAUACAAUAACAAUGAAAGUUAAGAGAGUUUUUUGAAAAACUGAAAAGAUUUUUCUUAAACUGCUGAAAUAAUCAUAAAAAUAGUCUUAAUAUAUAUUUAUUAAGUAACUAGUCUACAAAUUGAUAAUAAUCAUAAAAUAUAUAACGAUUCUACAUACUAAACAUAAAUACUCUUACUAAUAUAUAUGUAGUCCAAAUAACACAUAGUAAUCUCAGUAGUCAUCGUAGUUCAAAUAACACAUAGUAAUCUCAGUAGUCCUAGUAGUUCAAAUAACACAUAGUAAUUCCAGAAAUACAGGUAGUCCAAAUAAUACAUAGUAAUCUCAGUAAUCCUAGUAGUUCAAAUAACACAUAGUAAUUCAAGUAAUACAGGUAGCACAAUAAAACAAUCAAACACCUGAACCUGAACCACUUCCACAUUCAAAAUACGCUACCAUACCUCUUCCUCUGGCUCUGCCUGUGCAUGUGCAUGUGCCUGUGCUUGUGGCUCUCCCUCUUCCACUCCCUCUGCCUCUUUUUCCUCUUCCACGAGCUUCUCCUGCUAAUGGUUUCCUUGUUUGUUGUGGUUUUCCUUUCUUGACUUCAAAUUCUGGAGGAAGUACUUUCUUUGCUCUAAUUUCUUCUGGUAUAACCCAAUCAGACAUAUGAGGAACAUGAUAUAUUGUCCUGUGAUAAGCCAAAGCCUAUUGCUCCACCAAAUAGUACUUAGAACAAUACUCAGAUAGAUGGAGUUCCCUUCCCGCUUUAUCAGUCAUGAAUGUGGCAGCAGCUACUACAUGAACACAUGGAUAUUUGUCUUUAUCAAAUUACCCACAGGUGCACGUGUUCAUGGCCAUGUCCAUGGUAUAACGCUUCCCAUCACUACCAUGCACACUGUACUCGAGAUGGAAGCUGUUUAACUCGUCAACCCGAAGAAACCCUGCAUCAACACAUCUUUUAGACAUUUGCUCCUCCACAAUAAGCACAAGCUUUAGUGCGGGUGGCAUUUCAGUUGCCUCUUUCAUGUGCUUGUUAAACCAUUCAGCAAUUUUUCCAAUGAUAAAAUCAAACAUUGGAAGUAAGGUAAACUUUCUUGCGUCCUUAAUAACACCGUUAAAAGAUUCUGCUGAAUUGGUGGUGUCAACAUUGUACCUAACUCCUUCAAAGUAACAUCUAGCCUAUUUCUUUUAUUCACAACUUUUGUCAAGAUACUCCGCUGCACUAGGAUAUUUCCUGCCAAAAGCGUCAUAAAGGACCAAGAACUCAGCCUCUGUAUAAGCGUGUGCGCACUCCAUAAACUUAAAUGCACAUGUUUCUCUGUUGUUACGGACGUAGUAUCUUCCCCUUCAUCAUCUCCUGAAAUCCAUUUCAUUUCAGCCCCAUCUUUAAUAUAAUAUCCUCCAUAGGAACACUUGAUGUACUGCCUUGAUCAAGCAUUUGUUUCUGUCCGAAAGAAACACCAAUCCAGGGAGAUCCGAUAUUAAAUAAAAUGAAUCAUAUUUAGAAUUAGCAUUAUUAAGAAGUUUAAAUUUAAUUCCCAGGCUGUACAUUCUUACUAAUCCUAAUUUUUUUCAAUACUAUAUACAUAGUAAAACCAGUAAUACUAUGCAAUUGGGUAGUGGUGAUGAUUGGGAUCCUGAGCAGUCACAAUAAAUAACACUCCUCCAUAAACAGUCUUCAGGUGUGUUGCAUCCACAAUGAAGACUUUUCUCAUCGUGCGGAAUCCUUCUAUGCUAGCUCCCAAAGCCCAAAACAGAAACUUAAUUUUUUUGCCCUCAUCCACAACCACACGAGUUAUUGUGUCAGGAUUCACCUGCUCCAGCAUGUGCAUAUAACAAUAUAAUAAAUGCUCAAAACGUACAUAAAAUAUACUCUAAAACCAAUAAAUACAUUUUACAAAAUCCUUUUAAAUCUCUUAAAAUUUGCAUUCAACCUUUCUUUUGUUACACUAGCCGAUAUAUACACUUAUUUUUAUAAGUAUUCCAGCAAAAAUUUCAUAAAAAACGGACAUAAAUUAAACCCGAAAUUCAUAUACACAGUUUUCAAAUUCGUUUUUUCUCUCUCAAAUUUCAUCAAUUCUUACUGUUUUAGGUUACCCAUGGUUUACACAAACAUUUAAAAGAUAUUUCAUGUUAACUUUGCAACACACACAAACCACUUGCAGCCUUCUUUGGCUCCUCGACAUUUUAUUACAUAUCUCUUAGUAUCCGACUUAAUUACCUCAUACUAAAAACACUUCAGAUGUGACGCCGCCUGAAUAUGAGUUUGCGCUUCUAAAAUUUCAUGAAAAACAGACAAGAAUUACCUGAUGUUUUAGCUUCAAAAUCGCCAAUGAAGGGUGGGGAAGAAUAGCUCUUCACGCGGAGAGAGGAGAGAGGAGAGGAACAUGAAGACAUGUGAGCCAAGGUAAAUCUAAUUGGUUAAGGUUGUUUGUGGACUCCAUUUGGUUGUUGUGUUUGGUUGAGUGUAUUUAAUUGAAAAAUUAAAUGAAUUAAUGAAGUGGAGAAGAAAUAUAUUAAAAAAAGAAAUGUUAGUAUAGGAAAUUCAAAGACAAAUGGGUAAUGAGAACAGAGAUGGGACAAGAAGAAUGAAAAUUUUUCCAGUAUUUGGAGUUAAAACCCCCCUGACAAGCGAUAGCAAUUAAAGGCGUGGUCCGCGUGGAAAACAAGUCACUGAUCACUACCUUAAGCAACUCUCUCAAUGCAAAAAGUAAAAAAAAACAAAUUUGCUUUUCUUUAAUACUGAAAUUCAUGAUAAUUAAAUAUCCAUAACUCCCAAUUAUUUACAAACUCUCCAUGCUUCAUUAAGUUAAUCUAAACUAACUUGAUGGUCUCAGUCACAUCAUCUCUUAGUAAUUAAGCUCACAUCCAUAAGUUCGUCUUUAAUCAUGAUCAAGCAAUCAUACAACUCGUCUUUAAUCAUGAUCGAUCAAUCAUACAAACUUGUACAAAACAGAGUCAAUUGUCAAAAGUCACUUUCAAAAGAGUUAAGCAACAAUUGAAGACAUGUCAAACCAAGAAGAUACGAACAAACUCACCAAGACUAGUAACUGAGCAAUACAGACAUUAGUGGUUCCACCACCAACAAGGAGCAGCUACGGUACGAGUGUUUUAACUGUCUUUUAUUCACCGCUCAACAAGAAAACCAGACUAGUCUACAAACCGGUUAGCAUGAAUGGAAAUUACAUCAAUUGAUUUUGGUUCCGGUUCGAUUUUACUAAACCGGAAAUCAUAUAUUCAUCAUACCGAGCGAAACGGAGUGAUGUGAAACGGCGAUGAUCAGGAAGCAAACCAACGACCGAACCGCUACUCGUCACCGUCCAAAACUAUGGCAGAACUGCACAAAUCUCCGACCUUUGAAGCAAAUUCACGCUUUCAUGAUCCUUAACGGACUCAUGUCCGAUCUCUCCAUUGUCGGAGAGCUAAUCUACUCAGCCUCCUUGUCUGUCCCCGGCGCGCUUACGUAUGCACACAAGCUGUUCGACGUAAUUCCAAAACUAGACGUAUCCAUAUGCAACCACGUGCUGCGCGGCUCUUCUCAGAGCAUGAAACCAGCAAAGACUGUCUCUUUGUAUAAAGAGAUGGAGAAACGUGGCGUGAGGCCUGAUAGGUACACGUUCACGUUCGUUCUCAAGGCCUGCUCGAGGCUUGAGUGGAGGAGUAACGGUUUUGCGUUUCAUGGGAAAGUAAUGAGACAUGGGUUUGCUUCCAACGAGUAUGUCAAGAACGCUUUGAUUCUUUUUCACGCUAACUGCGGAGAUUUGGGGAUUGCGAGCGAGCUUUUUGAUGACUCUGCUAAAGCUCAUAAGGUUGCUUGGUCUUCUAUGACCUCUGGGUAUGCUAAGAGAGGGAAGAUAGAUGAGGCUAUUAAGGUUUUCGACGAAAUGCCGGAGAAGGAUCAGGUUGCUUGGAACGUGAUGAUUACUGGUUGUUUGAAGUGUAGGGAGAUGGAUAGAGCGAGAGAGCUUUUCGAUAGGUUUAAGGAGAAAGAUGUUGUGACGUGGAACGCAAUGAUAUCAGGUUAUGUGAGUUGCGGGUGCCCUAAGGAGGCUUUGAGUAUAUUCAAGGAGAUGAGGGAUGCUGGUGAGCAUCCAGACGUUGUGACGGUGCUGAGUUUGUUGUCUGCUUGUGCGGACUUGGGAGACUCUGAGACCGGGAAGAGAAUCCAUCUCUACGUCUUGGAAACGGCUUCGGUUUCGAGGUCCAUGUAUAUAGGCACUCCCGUUUGGAAUGCUUUGAUCGACAUGUAUGCAAAGUGCGGAAGCAUAGACAGCGCGAUCCAAGUGUUCAGAGCGAUGAAAGAGCGAGACUUGUCGUCUUGGAACACUUUGAUCGUUGGUUUGGCUCUGCAUCACGCAGAGGGAUCGAUCGAAAUGUUUGAAGAGAUGCAGAGGUUGAAAGUGUGGCCGAACGAGGUGACGUUCAUCGGAGUUAUAUUAGCUUGCAGCCACUCUGGGAGAGUUGAUGAAGGGCGUCAGUAUUUUCGACUUAUGAAGGAUGUGUACAAGAUUGAACCGAACAUAAAGCAUUAUGGGUGUAUGGUAGAUAUGUUGGGGCGAGCGGGGCUGUUAGAGGAGGCGUUCAUGUUUGUUGAGUCGAUGGAGAUUGAGCCUAACGCUAUUGUGUGGAGAACUCUUUUGGGUGCUUGUAGGAUUUAUGGGAAUGUGGAGUUAGGGAAGUAUGCAAAUGAGAAACUGCUCAGUAUGAGAAAAGGGGAGAGUGGUGACUAUAUGUUGCUCUCAAAUAUAUAUGCUUCCACAGGUGAGUGGGAGAGAGUGCAGAAAGUAAGGAAGAUGUUUGAUGAUACAGGAGUGAAAAAACCGAGUGGAUUCAGUUUGGUCGAGGAGGAUGAUGAUAAAUUGAUGAUGAAAUAUCUACUCUCAUCAUAAAAAAUAGGUGUUGUUCUUGUCAUCAUCAUCUAUUAUGUUGAUUUCAUGAUUCUGGAUUUAGCAUAGAUUAUAUAAUGUUAAAAAGGAGAAUUUGAUAUUGUGGAACCUGAUGGUUACAUAAACCACACAGAAAAUUACAAUGGAUAUGAGAAAAGAAAAACAAGAAACACAGAGGAGAUGCAAGUGAAGCUCAAGCUCACAUUCUUACACACCAAAUCAUGUAAUAAAUCGGGGGGAAAGAAAACUCAUAUAUAUAAGGUUAAGACCAGAUCUUUAAUGGUGUCGGGAAAGAGCAAUAGCUGAGAGGAGAAUGAGAAGAAUGAGGAGGACAACGGCAACGAAAGAUCCAAUCAAAGACCCUGAGAUACGCUCACAGAAGGAGUUGAACUGUUGACAAAUAGAAAACCAGUUUGUGUUGUUGUUCCCUUUGUGUGCUAAGUAGACAAUAGCUGCUGCUGAGGAUGCUCCAGCAGUUAUAAGACCCAACAUUGCCUAAAACAUUAGGAGGAUUCAACUGUUUGUUUAACUGUUAAAGCUAACCAGAAGGCACAUGCUUGUAGAGCAGGACAAAGUUCGGUUUCAUGAUCGCUUACCACAUCAAGGAUGAUAAGAAGAACUCUACUGUUCUGAGUCUUGCUCUUGACGAUGUGUACAAAGGCCAGAGGUAGAGACAAGAUUGUUAGAAAUUGAAGAACAUAGUGAAGAACAAGAGAGAGAGAUGUUUAAUCUAGAAAGUAGAGAGAGAGAUAGAGUAAAUAAGGAGAAUCUUAUUUGCUUGAUUGAUUUGCUUAUGGGAACAUCCCAUAUAUAUAGGGGUUACAAGUAUGGCAAAUGGUAGAUGAAAUAUGAUAAACUAAUAAUCCAUUGUCUUGAGACUUUAACCCACCAUACAUGCUUGUCCCUUGUAGUGGCAUCUCCAUUGUCUUGAGACCUUAACCCACCAUGCAUGCUUGUCCCUUGUAGUGGCAUCUCCAUUGUCUUGAGACCUUAACCAACCAUGCAUGCUUGUCCCUUGUAGUGGUAUCUCCAUUGUCUUGAGACCUUAACCAACCAUCUUGUUUCUUAUUGCUUCAUCUUCACACUCCCCCUCAAGCUUGACCAUAGGGACUGGUCAAACUUGGAAACCAUGAAGCAUUCCCUCAUUAAAACCUUUAGCUUGGAAAAACCUCAUGGGAUAAAAACCAAGCCAAGGAAAAAGAGUAGAACACUUCAUGGCUAAGAGGAUUAGUGUGAUGAAAAAUCUACGAGUCCUAACUUGGAAUGUAUGAACUCGCAAACCUUGGUGCUUGCAGCCUUGGUAAAGAUGUCAGCUAGUUGAUCCUCACUUCUUGUGUAGCAGGGUAAGAUGAUCCUUUGUUCCACUGCUUGCCUAACUUUAUGACAAUCCACCUCAAUGUGUUUAGUCCUCUCAUGGAACACACUGUUGGAAGCUAUGUGUAUUGCUGCUUGAUUAUCACAAUGCAUGGUGAUUGGAGUUGAUGUCUCUAUACCCAAGUCUCGAAGUAGGUUUCUGAUCCAAAUCAACUCACUAGUGAGCUUCCUCAUUGCCCUAUAUUCAGCUUCAGCACUUGAGCAUGACACUAUCUUCUGUUUCUUGCUCUUCCAAGUGACAAGAUUGCCUCCAAUAAAUGUACAAUAGCCGGUAGUGGAUCUCCUAUCCACUCUGUCUCCUGCCCAAUCAGCAUCACAAUACCCAACUAUCUCUGUAUUUUUGUUGCAUCCCAUCCACACUCCUUGCCCUGGCGCCUCUCUUAGGUAUCUUAGGAUCCUUUCAACCAUGUUCCAAUGGUGUAUCUUGGGAGCUUGCAUAUUCUGGCUUACUUGGUUAACUGCAAAGCAUACAUCAGGCCUGGUGAUGGUGAGGUAUAUCAGCUUUCCUACAAUUCUUCUAUAGUGUUUAACGUCAGUAUAGGGCUUGUCUUCAAUCUCCCCCUCACGCAGCACCUUAUACCCAUCUUCUAGUGGAGUCUUGGCUACUUUCGCUCCAAGAUUUCCUGCCUCAUUCAAAAGAUCAAGUGUGUACUUCCUUUGAGAUAAGAAAAGCCCCUCUUUAGAGCGGCAUAUUUCUAUCCCUAGAAAGUACUUUAGCUCACCCAAAUCUUUAAUAUCAAAAGUAGACUUAAGAAAGACUUUGGUUGAGAUAAUACCUUCCUUGUCACUUCCUGUGAUGAUAAUAUCAUCUACAUAAAUAAGAAUCACCACAAUUCCUUGCUUGCUUGUGAGUGUGAAGAGUGUAUGAUCAGCUUCUGACUUUACAAACCCUCUUCCAUUGAGAGUUGUACUCAGUUUGUGGUACCAAGCCCUUGGUGACUGUUUUAACCCAUAUAUUGCUUUCUUCAACCUUAGGACAUUCCCUGGCUUGACCAUGUCUUCCAUACCCGGAGGUGGCCUCAUGUAAACCUCAUCCUCCAGCUCUCCUUGAAGAAAAGCAUUUUUGACAUCCAUCUGCCAUAAAUCCCAUUCCAAGUUCACUGCCAAUGAGAGUAGAAUUCUUAUGGUGUGGAGUUUAGCUACUGGUGCAAAUGUAUCCAGAUAGUCUUCUCCAUAGACUUGGGUGUAUCCUCUUGCAACUAGCCUUGUUUUCUUUCUUUCUGGUUUCCCAUUGGCAAGGUACUUGAUGGUGAAGAGUAGACGGCUUGUAACAGCUUUCUUUCCUUUGGGGAGCUCAGUUUCAUACCAAGUAUCAUUCUUGAUCAUGGCACCAACUUCAUCCCCAACUGACGCUCUCCACUCUUCAUGCUUCAUGGCUUCUUCAUAAGUCUUUGGUACAUACUCUUGAUCUAGGUUGCUGAUGAAGACUACAUGCUCUUCAGAUAGUCUCGCAAAAGAACAUGUUGCUUGGAUAGGAUGAGCUACUGCAUUGUUGUUGAAGUAUACUUUGGUGUCCAUCCACUGAGAUGGUUUCUUCACCCUUGUACUCCUCCUUAAUGGUUGAACUUCUUGUUGCAUUCCAUCUUGAUCAUUAACAACUUCUUCUUGGAUAGCUUCUUCUUGGAUAGCUUCCUCGUGGAUAGCUUCGUCAUGGAUAUCUUCUUCAGGGAUAGCUUCCUCAUGGAUAACUUGCAAAUUAGGUUGGUUUCCCCCCUCAUGAUCAGGAUGGACUGCUUCUUCAAUUGAUGUAGCUUCAUCCACAACUGGAGGUAUAUGUGAAGUGCUCGGUACGCCACUUGUUUGAGGCUGGCUGAUGCCUAGGUUUUCCAGAAUGAUUCUCAAGUUGUUUGCCCUAUCUGAAGAUCCUUGUGAGAGAUCCUGAAGGCUUUCCCAACUCUUCUCAUCAUAGUAUCCCUUUGAUUCCACAAACUUAACAUCCCUUGAGACCAUAACUCUUCUUGAUUCAGGUAUGUAGCACUUGUACCCCUUCUGCGCAUGAGUAUAUCCUAUGAACAUGCCUUUGACACUCUUGGCUUCAAGCUUGUUUCUCUGUUCCCCUGGUAUCAAGACAUAGCACACACACCCAAAAACACGCAAGUGAUCAAUUGGAGGUUUUAUUUUGUUUAAUACCUGAAAGGGAGAGUUAUCUUGGAGGACUUUGGUGGGGAUCCUGUUGAUCAAAUAACAUGCUGAGACCACAGCAUCUCCCCAGAACCUCUUUGGAACAUUGGUAUGGAACAUCAUGCUCCUUGCAACCUCCAUAAGAUGGCGAUUCUUCCUUUCAGCAACUCCAUUUUGUUGUGGUGUGUAUGGGCAACUUGUUUGAUGGAUUAUGCCAUGUUUUGCUAAGUGAUGUUUGAAAGCAGUGCUUGUAUAUUCUCCGCCAUUAUCAGACCUAAAAAUUUUGAUCUUGGAAUUGAAAUGGUUAGAUACAUAGUUUUGGAAGUUAAUAAAAGCUUCUAAAACUCUAUCUUUAGUUUGAAUCAAGGUGAGCCAUGUAUAUUUUGAUUUUUCAUCUAUGAAUGUAACAAAAUAUUUAUGGUUCUCCCUAGACAUACAAGGUGCUGUCCAAACAUCAGAGUGCACAAGAUCAAAGCAAUUUUCAUAAAUAGUCUUAGAAUUAGGGAAAACAGAUCUCUGAUGUUUACCAAGAAUACAAGCCUCACAACUUCCACUCUUUAAAGAUAGAUUAGGUAACAUCAGUCCUAAGGCACGAUAAUGAGGAUGACCUAAUCUAGCAUGCCAUAAAACAUCACUAGCUAACACAGAAGCAGAAUUGAAAGCACAAGAUAAAUUUGAAAGCUUGGUGUUUUCAAGCAAGUAAAGCUCUCCCUUGCUCACACCCUUUCCCAGCAUCUUCCUGGUCUUAAUAUCCUGAAAGCACACAUCAUUAGGACUGAAAAUAACAUUGCAAUUUAGAUCAUUGGUUGCUCUCUUAACAGAUAAUAAGUUGGAUGUGAAAGUAGGCAUAUAAAAAGCUUGAGACUCCUUAUCAAACAGUUUCAAGUUUCCUACUCCCUCAAUUGGAAUUCUAUCACCAUUAGCAAUCACUACACUUCCUAGAGCAGGUUUAACAUCACUAAUCAGUCUAGCAUCCCUAAUCAUAUGAUGAGAAGCUCCCGAAUCGAUGAUCAAAGGUCUAGUAGUAUGUGAAGCACUGUGAAUAGAAUUUAAAGCAUUGACACUGAUGUUACCAGAGUUUGCAUUGAUAGCUUUGAUAAGGGCUUCAAUGUCUGACUUGCGGAUGAAGGCAUCAUCAGGGGAUGGCUGGGACAUGGCAUGGGAUGUGGAUCCACCAGUGUGGGUGGUUGAGAUCAUAGCUCUUCCAUCUUCUCCUAUGCGCAUGGAGCCUGGUACUGUGGUUUCAUGAGCUCUUGCUUCAUGUGCUUUGGCCUGGUUGUAUCUGUUGGUUGAAGCAGGUCUGAGGUGAGGAUGGAGGAUCCAACAAUUGGUUUUGGAGUGGCCUAGAUUCUUGCAGUGCUCACAAGUCACAGACUUGUCUCCUCCUCUUCUUGGUUUGAAGUGUGCUUUGUUGACUGAAGCACUCUCCAUCUUCUCAGCUUUGUUUGCCAUAGACAGUUCCCCUUUUCCACCAAAGAGACCAUCUGAGCCUAGCUCCUUCCGAAGUUGAGCACACACAUCAUCAUAGCUUGGAAGCUCUUUAGCUCUCAAUAUGUGUUUAAGUACAUCAUUGAAGCUUGGGUUGAGUGUGAGAAGCAAUCCAAAGACCUUGUCUUGCUCACGCCUCUCUUCUAGUGUACUAGGAUCAGUGGUACUUGGUCUCAGCAUCUCAAGUUCAGACCACAGCUGGCUGUACUUCCCAAGGUGCUUGGUGAAGUCCAUCUCCUCUUGCUGUAAGUUGUUGAUUGCCCUCUUAACCUCAAAAAUUCUGGUGAGGUUUGAAGUGUUGCCAUAUACCUUGUGUAAGGUAUCCCAUAGCUUCUUUGCAGUCUCACAAUGUGAGUAAGACUCCAUGAUAGGAGUAUCAAGUGAGCCUUGCAAGAUAGACAGCACCAUGAGAUCCUCCUGACCCCAUUUGCCUUCAUCUACCACUACAACCUCCUUGCCAUCUUCUCCUUGGGUGAUUUGUCUUGGGGUCUCACUUGUGGUGAUGUGCUCCCAUAGACCUCUUCCUCCAAGAGCUGUCCUGGUCAAUCUCGACCAGGUAAUGUAGUUAGGACCUUUUAGGAUGACUGGAAUCCUAACUAGCUUGUGCUGCUCCAUCUUUGCUUGCUAUUUUCCAGCGGGUAAAAAAUAAAAAAUUCGCCAAGAAGAAAUUUGAAUUUCUGAGGCUAGGCAAGAGAGAAAACAAGGGAAGCCAAGAUAUGUUCUCUAGAAAUGAAGAAAGUAAACCAAACAAGUGAAAGAGUAAGGUGAAUAGAGUAAAUUUGCGGAAGCAGUUUGGUAUUCAAGAGCUUGGAUGCUCUGAUACCAUGUUAGAAAUUGAAGAACAUAGUGAAGAACAAGAGAGAGAGAGAUGUUUAAUCUAGAAAGUAGAGAGAGAUAGAGUAAAUAAGGAGAAUCUUAUUUGCUUGAUUGAUUUGCUUAUGGGAACAUCCCAUAUAUAUAGGGGUUACAAGUAUGGCAAAUGGUAGAUGAAAUAUGAUAAACUAAUAAUCCAUUGUCUUGAGACUUUAACCCACCAUACAUGCUUGUCCCUUGUAGUGGCAUCUCCAUUGUCUUGAGACCUUAACCCACCAUGCAUGCUUGUCUUGAGACCUUAACCCACCAAGCAUGCCACUACAUGGUAUCAGAGCAUCCAAGCUCUUGAAUACCAAACUGCUUCCGCAAAUUUACUCUAUUCACCUUACUCUUUCACUUGUUUGGUUUACUUUCUUCAUUUCUAGAGAACAUAUCUUGGCUUCCCUUGUUUUCUCUCUUGCCUAGCCUCAGAAAUUCAAAUUUCUUCUUGGCGAAUUUUUUAUUUUUUACCCGCUGGAAAAUAGCAAGCAAAGAUGGAGCAGCACAAGCUAGUUAGGAUUCCAGUCAUCCUGAAAGGUCCUAACUACAUUACCUGGUCGAGAUUGACCAGGACAGCUCUUGGAGGAAGAGGUCUAUGGGAGCACAUCACCACAAGUGAGGCCCCAAGACAAAUCACCCAAGGAGAAGAUGGCAAGGAGGUUGUAGUGGUAGAUGAAGGCAAAUGGGGUCAGGAGGAUCUCAUGGUGCUGUCUAUCUUGCAAGGCUCACUUGAUACUCCUAUCAUGGAGUCUUACUCACAUUGUGAGACUGCAAAGAAGCUAUGGGAUACCUUACACAAGGUAUAUGGCAACACUUCAAACCUCACCAGAAUUUUUGAGGUUAAGAGGGCAAUCAACAACUUACAGCAAGAGGAGAUGGACUUCACCAAGCACCUUGGGAAGUACAGCCAGCUGUGGUCUGAACUUGAGAUGCUGAGACCAAGUACCACUGAUCCUAGUACACUAGAAGAGAGGCGUGAGCAAGACAAGGUCUUUGGAUUGCUUCUCACACUCAACCCAAGCUUCAAUGAUGUACUUAAACACAUAUUGAGAGCUAAAGAGCUUCCAAGCUAUGAUGAUGUGUGUGCUCAACUUCGGAAGGAGCUAGGCUCAGAUGGUCUCUUUGGUGGAAAAGGGGAACUGUCUAUGGCAAACAAAGCUGAGAAGAUGGAGAGUGCUUCAGUCAACAAAGCACACUUCAAACCAAGAAGAGGAGGAGACAAGUCUGUGACUUGUGAGCACUGCAAGAAUCUAGGCCACUCCAAAACCAAUUGUUGGAUCCUCCAUCCUCACCUCAGACCUGCUUCAACCAACAGAUACAACCAGGCCAAAGCACAUGAAGCAAGAGCUCAUGAAACCACAGUACCAGGCUCCAUGCGCAUAGGAGAAGAUGGAAGAGCUAUGAUCUCAACCACCCACACUGGUGGAUCCACAUCCCAUGCCAUGUCCCAGCCAUCCCCUGAUGAUGCCUUCAUCCGCAAGUCAGACAUUGAAGCCCUUAUCAAAGCUAUCAAUGCAAACUCUGGUAACAUCAGUGUCAAUGCUUUAAAUUCUAUUCACAGUGCUUCACAUACUACUAGACCUUUGAUCAUCGAUUCGGGAGCUUCUCAUCAUAUGAUUAGGGAUGCUAGACUGAUUAGUGAUGUUAAACCUGCUCUAGGGAGUGUAGUGAUUGCUAAUGGUGAUAGAAUUCCAAUUGAAGGAGUAGGAAACUUGAAACUGUUUGAUAAGGAGUCUCAAGCUUUUUAUAUGCCUACUUUCACAUCCAACUUAUUAUCUGUUAAGAGAGCAACCAAUGAUCUAAAUUGCAAUGUUAUUUUCAGUCCUAAUGAUGUGUGCUUUCAGGAUAUUAAGACCAGGAAGAUGCUGGGAAAGGGUGUGAGCAAGGGAGAGCUUUACUUGCUUGAAAACACCAAGCUUUCAAAUUUAUCUUGUGCUUUCAAUUCUGCUUCUGUGUUAGCUAGUGAUGUUUUAUGGCAUGCUAGAUUAGGUCAUCCUCAUUAUCGUGCCUUAGGACUGAUGUUACCUAAUCUAUCUUUAAAGAGUGGAAGUUGUGAGGCUUGUAUUCUUGGUAAACAUCAGAGAUCUGUUUUCCCUAAUUCUAAGACUAUUUAUGAAAAUUGCUUUGAUCUUGUGCACUCUGAUGUUUGGACAGCACCUUGUAUGUCUAGGGAGAACCAUAAAUAUUUUGUUACAUUCAUAGAUGAAAAAUCAAAAUAUACAUGGCUCACCUUGAUUCAAACUAAAGAUAGAGUUUUAGAAGCUUUUAUUAACUUCCAAAACUAUGUAUCUAACCAUUUCAAUUCCAAGAUCAAAAUUUUUAGGUCUGAUAAUGGCGGAGAAUAUACAAGCACUGCUUUCAAACAUCACUUAGCAAAACAUGGCAUAAUCCAUCAAACAAGUUGCCCAUACACACCACAACAAAAUGGAGUUGCUGAAAGGAAGAAUCGCCAUCUUAUGGAGGUUGCAAGGAGCAUGAUGUUCCAUACCAAUGUUCCAAAGAGGUUCUGGGGAGAUGCUGUGGUCUCAGCAUGUUAUUUGAUCAACAGGAUCCCCACCAAAGUCCUCCAAGAUAACUCUCCCUUUCAGGUAUUAAACAAAAUAAAACCUCCAAUUGAUCACUUGCGUGUUUUUGGGUGUGUGUGCUAUGUCUUGAUACCAGGGGAACAGAGAAACAAGCUUGAAGCCAAGAGUGUCAAAGGCAUGUUCAUAGGAUAUACUCAUGCGCAGAAGGGGUACAAGUGCUACAUACCUGAAUCAAGAAGAGUUAUGGUCUCAAGGGAUGUUAAGUUUGUGGAAUCAAAGGGAUACUAUGAUGAGAAGAGUUGGGAAAGCCUUCAGGAUCUCUCACAAGGAUCUUCAGAUAGGGCAAACAACUUGAGAAUCAUUCUGGAAAACCUAGGCAUCAGCCAGCCUCAAACAAGUGGCGUACCGAGCACUUCACAUAUACCUCCAGUUGUGGAUGAAGCUACAUCAAUUGAAGAAGCAGUCCAUCCUGAUCAUGAGGGGGGAAACCAACCUAAUUUGCAAGUUAUCCAUGAGGAAGCUAUCCCUGAAGAAGAUAUCCAUGACGAAGCUAUCCACGAGGAAGCUAUCCAAGAAGAAGCUAUCCAAGAAGAAGUUGUUAAUGAUCAAGAUGGAAUGCAACAAGAAGUUCAACCAUUAAGGAGGAGUACAAGGGUGAAGAAACCAUCUCAGUGGAUGGACACCAAAGUAUACUUCAACAACAAUGCAGUAGCUCAUCCUAUCCAAGCAACAUGUUCUUUUGCGAGACUAUCUGAAGAGCAUGUAGUCUUCAUCAGCAACCUGGAUCAAGAGUAUGUACCAAAGACUUAUGAAGAAGCCAUGAAGCAUGAAGAAUGGAGAGAUUCAGUUGGGGAUGAAGUUGGUGCCAUGAUCAAGAAUGAUACUUGGUAUGAAACUGAGCUCCCCAAAGGAAAGAAAGCUGUUACAAGCCGUCUACUCUUCACCAUCAAGUACCUUGCCAAUGGGAAACCAGAAAGAAAGAAAACAAGGCUAGUUGCAAGAGGAUACACCCAAGUCUAUGGAGAAGACUAUCUGGAUACAUUUGCACCAGUAGCUAAACUCCACACCAUAAGGAUUCUACUCUCAUUGGCAGUGAACUUGGAAUGGGAUUUAUGGCAGAUGGAUGUCAAGAAUGCUUUUCUUCAAGGAGAGCUGGAGGAUGAGGUUUACAUGAGGCCACCUCCGGGUAUGGAAGACAUGGUCAAGCCAGGGAAUGUCCUAAGGUUGAAGAAAGCAAUAUAUGGGUUAAAACAGUCACCAAGGGCUUGGUACCACAAACUGAGUACAACUCUCAAUGGAAGAGGGUUUGUAAAAUCAGAAGCUGAUCAUACACUCUUCACACUCACAAGCAAGCAAGGAAUUGUGGUGAUUCUUAUUUAUGUAGAUGAUAUUAUCAUCACAGGAAGUGACAAGGAAGGUAUUAUCUCAACCAAAGUCUUUCUUAAGUCUACUUUUGAUAUUAAAGAUUUGGGUGAGCUAAAGUACUUUCUAGGGAUAGAAAUAUGCCGCUCUAAAGAGGGGCUUUUCUUAUCUCAAAGGAAGUACACACUUGAUCUUUUGAAUGAGGCAGGAAAGCUUGGAGCGAGAGUAGCCAAGACUCCACUAGAAGAUGGGUAUAAGGUGCUGCGUGAGGGGGAGAUUGAAGACAAGCCCUAUACUGACGUUAAACACUAUAGAAGAAUUGUAGGAAAGCUGAUAUACCUCACCAUCACCAGGCCUGAUGUAUGCUUUGCAGUUAACCAAGUAAGCCAGAAUAUGCAAGCUCCCAAGAUACACCAUUGGAACAUGGUUGAAAGGAUCCUAAGAUACCUAAGAGAGGCGCCAGGGCAAGGAGUGUGGAUGGGAUGCAACAAAAAUACAGAGAUAGUUGGGUAUUGUGAUGCUGAUUGGGCAGGAGACAGAGUGGAUAGGAGAUCCACUACCGGCUAUUGUACAUUUAUUGGAGGCAAUCUUGUCACUUGGAAGAGCAAGAAACAGAAGAUAGUGUCAUGCUCAAGUGCUGAAGCUGAAUAUAGGGCAAUGAGGAAGCUCACUAGUGAGUUGAUUUGGAUCAGAAACCUACUUCGAGACUUGGGUAUAGAGACAUCAACUCCAAUCACCAUGCAUUGUGAUAAUCAAGCAGCAAUACACAUAGCUUCCAACAGUGUGUUCCAUGAGAGGACUAAACACAUUGAGGUGGAUUGUCAUAAAGUUAGGCAAGCAGUGGAACAAAGGAUCAUCUUACCCUGCUACACAAGAAGUGAGGAUCAACUAGCUGACAUCUUUACCAAGGCUGCAAGCACCAAGGUUUGCGAGUUCAUACAUUCCAAGUUAGGACUCGUAGAUUUUUCAUCACACUAAUCCUCUUAGCCAUGAAGUGUUCUACUCUUUUUCCUUGGCUUGGUUUUUAUCCCAUGAGGUUUUUCCAAGCUAAAGGUUUUAAUGAGGGAAUGCUUCAUGGUUUCCAAGUUUGACCAGUCCCUAUGGUCAAGCUUGAGGGGGAGUGUGAAGAUGAAGCAAUAAGAAACAAGAUGGUUGGUUAAGGUCUCAAGACAAUGGAGAUACCACUACAAGGGACAAGCAUGCAUGGUUGGUUAAGGUCUCAAGACAAUGGAGAUGCCACUACAAGGGACAAGCAUGCAUGGUGGGUUAAGGUCUCAAGACAAUGGAGAUGCCAUUACAAGGGACAAGCAUGUAUGGUGGGUUAAAGUCUCAAGACAAUGGAUUAUUAGUUUAUCAUAUUUCAUCUACCAUUUGUCAUACUUGUAACCCCUAUAUAUAUGGGAUGUUCCCAUAAUCAAAUUAAUCAAGCAAAUAAGAUUCUCCUUAUUUACUCUAUCUCUCUCUCUACUUUCUAGAUUAAACUUUCUAGAUUAAACCGAACAUGCUUGUAGAGCAGGACAAAGUUCGGUUUCAUGAUCGCUUACCACAUCAAGGAUGAUAAGAAGAACUCUACUGUUCUGAGUCUUGCUCUUGACGAUGUGUACAAAGGCCAGAGGUAGAGACAAGAUAAGGUAACCACUUACAACAGCAUUCAACCUUCCUAAUCCACCAAACCAUUAAAGUGUUUCCAAACUUGGACAACAUAAACUCUGUCCAUUUUUGUAUAAAAAUCUUGAUCUCAACUAAAAAAAAAAGCUUUUCUUGUUGAAGGGAGGAUACAUGUGGAGUAGUUAAACAUUAUUACUUGAUGCGGAGUGAUAAGCUAGAAUAAUGUCUCCAUUAGAAUAUGAUUUAACAAACCCCCAAAUGAUGGGAGAUGUUGAAACUCAGAUGGUUGUGGCAAACACAUACUUUGAUUAGUAAAAAAAGAUAUCAAAAUAUACAUUUAUAAUCAUCAGAACAAUUAUAUCAAACUGAAGCAGGACACCAAACCCAAAUAAAAAUAUUUACAAAAAUGUGUUGAAUUUUGAAGAUAUGAUUUUCACGCUUUUGAGUUGGCUUAUUAGUUGAUUAUACUUAACAGUGAUAUAAUACGUCAAAUAACGCAUAACUUGACAAGAAUAAUACGUCUGUCUCUACAUGAUCGUAAAAUUACAUAAGAAGGACACGAAUUUUUUACAUUUAAAAGUUAUCCCCAUUCCCAGAGAGAAGCCUAGGCAAGAAUCCUUGACCAGAUGUCUUGUCUCCUUCUCCUUACAAGAGCUCAUGUUACUAAUCAAAGACCAAUGAGUCUCAAAAUCAAUUUCAUAGCCAGACUUUUGCAUCAUCUCUGAGAGAAGCCUAGGCAAGAUUUGACGUAUUUUAUCAACCAUUGAUUUGAUAAGUCUUUCUACUUACACAAACGACAAGAAUCUUCCAGAAAUAGCAACAUGUACUUGACUGCUGCCGAGAAGCAUACUGUGCAAGGAAAUAACAGAGAGAAAGAGAAGAAGCAAUGCAUAUACCUUUUCAUGUGGACCAAAAGGGACAUGAACAUAGAUUGAUUUCCAAGUGGUUUAUUUACCUGAACAACGUCGUCUUAGCGAGAACUGUGAUAUAUUCUCACUCAUCGCCCAAGUGUUUUUUUUACCUGCAUAUGAUCUUUAAAUACUCUGAAAGAUUGAUUAUAAGGUAAUGAUUGGCGAUAACAUGUCAGAUAGAUGCUUAAGCAUGCUGUAAAACGAGAGGGUCGAACAUAAGUUAUAUAAUUUCAUAAAAAUGGAACUACGCACAACCAAACUAAAGGUUUCUGAUUGUGAUCCGAGGAAAGACAAGGCAAACUGAAAGAUAUUACAUGCAACUAGAUAUGGUUUAACUGGGUAGGAACUUGGCAGUAUUUUGGUCACAAGUGGACAAUGAAAACAAACUUAAAUAUCCCAUCCAUAUAUAAUGGUUCUCCUAGGUACAAUUAGGUGGUUUCAGCUUUGUCAUCUUGUUUGGUUGAAAAGGCUUCAGCUGUGGGCUGUGAGGUCGGCUUCAGGCUUCAGGAACUCACACUGUUUUUAUUGGGACGGGGAAAAAGGUCACAAAGGGAAACAAGCAGUGUAUCAGAAUCUAACACCGGGACAGAUCACAUCAGACUAUCUCAUGAACUUGGGGGCUAACCUGGAUAGGUAAACUAAGUUUAAAACGACUUAAACAAAUCAUAUCGUAAUCUUACCUUUUUAAUCACCCACUAAUAGCUUCUAAUAAUCAUAGUUUCUGCGUCGAAGGCUAGAGGAAUAGCUGGAUAACCUGAUGACGAAACCACAAGAAGUUGUUAGGCAAAUGAAAAACAAAUGUCUGUGCAGUGCAUCGACAUUAGAAACACUUGAUAACCAAAGUUCUAAACGCUAAAGUACUAAAUAUAAUAAAUGUCAUAAAUAAAUAAUCUCACCCAGAACUGCCACUGCGUCCAGAUGCAUAACCUCCAUACACUCCAUAUUGAGUACUACUACUACCACCAACCUACAAAAACACGUCCAAAGAGUCAUUCACAGAGAACUGAUUUGUUGAAAAACAACAUGUAAUGGAAUCUUUAAACAGACAUACUGGUGCACCAUAACGCGAAUAACCUUCAGACAAGCCACUUGAGCCAUAACCACCAGGAUAAUGAUUCGGGCGUUCAGCUCUUCUGCUAUCUCUCCUAUCAUAGUCCAAUCUAUCACCAGCAUCUAGCGCAACAGGAACAUAAGGCAAGACCGGCAUGAGUGUAGAAACAGAACCGUCCCGGUCAAACACAUUGGCUCUUAGUCUUGAUGUAAUUUGUAUGAGAGCAUCCUUGGCAACAUCAAGUUCUCCAGAAAUCUGAAAUAUCAAAAUUGCUUCUGCUGUUAGAAGCAAUUAGAGGAGUGGAGCUAUGCUAUUGUGAAUUUUUACCUGAACCAUCUCAUCAUCUUCAGAUGCAACUUUAGGAAGAUUAUCCUUCCCUAGUACGCGGAUGUUAGCUUUGGUCAUUCUCCUCAUCUCGGUGAUGAUAGCUCCUCCUUUACCAAGAAGACAACCAAUCCUAGAACUCGGCACAAGAAGGCGAGUCGUGAACGAAACAAGUCCAGAGUCUCUCUCCACCUUGUCGCUGCAUUUUGACUGCAGCCUCAUAGCUGCUUCGAUGGUUGGGGAAUAAGUAUCAUCGAAAACCUGAAACAGAUUUAAGACACAGUUCAAGGAACCAAAACUAGAACAAACUAUUCUUACCUAAAAGAAAAAAAAAAGGUCAAAACCUCUCUUGCUGAUAUAGUUAUCAAACAAUCGUUUCCAUCGGUUCUAGCGCUAUCAACUUUAAUGGUCGCUCUCGUUUCCUGUCGAAGCUGAUUGAUCAGAGCACCGCCUUUACCAAUAACACCUGCAAUAUUAUCAGCCGGCGAGACUAGCCGGAUAUAAAAAUCUGUAGCCGCCGGUGGUUCGUUUCUAAGAGUUUGGUAUAAAGGGCGUGACAAAUCUCUCGCAUAUGGAUCCAUCAGCGGGGCUAUCCCCACAAUUCGAGGACCACCGGAAUGGCUCAUGAGUGGAGGAGCAGAGGAAAGAAGGUUCUGAGUGCGUGAAGGAUUCUCAUGGAGGCGGGAAGCAAUCUGAUGCAGAGCCUUCUUAACAAUCAGCACUUCUCCAGAUAUCUAAAAAAAAAAAGAGAAAGACAUUAUAUAGAGACAGACACAUGAGAAAAGGCAAUCAAAAGUAUAAACACACAUACUUGAAUAAGCUCAUCUGAACUCAGGGCACAAAGAGGCAUGUUCCUGUCCUUGAUUAUACGAAUGUGAGCACCAGUCUCACUCCGAAUGUUCUGAACAACUUGUCCACCUCUCCCAAGCACACACCCAAUCUGAUCCGAAGGAACAAGCAUCUUGGCUGUAACAUUCCUCUCUCCAUCAGAUCCAUCUCCACCAUCCGCAGCUACUACUCUAUCAUGAACCCUGAACAAAGCAUCCUGCGCAGGAGAAAAAAGAACUCUCUCUCCAUCUCCACCAUCAUUGGUCGCAUCACUAGCGCUAAAGAUCGUAACCACGCGCUCAUCACACCCUGGAACAGCCUCUCCUAUCUUAAUCUUCGCCUUAGUCUCCAUCCUCAGCUGCUUCACGAUGUCUCCUCCUCUCCCAAUGACACUCCCAAUUUUUUUAACAGGGCAGAGGUAACGGAACACAGUGUCAAUCGCAGGAGAGUCUCUGUCGUCACCGCAGCCACGAUGUCUCCUUUUGUUUUCACCGUUGUCAUCGUCGUCAGAUUGGGGACGAGACCUCUUCCAAUGUGUAUCUCUAUGCUCCGGUGACAUUGUUCAAAGACAAAAGGGAAAGUCUGUACCUUUCAAUCACAAUAUAAAUCAAAUAAUGAGAACUUUGAAUCCAUAGCAAUGUAGCACUUCACAACCAUUCAAACAAACAUGCAAGUAUGCAACUUUGUCAUCUAUUUAUCUAACACGUAUUCAUAAUCAAACAGUUUUAUCGCACAAGACUCAACAAACAAAUCAAAUUUGAACUCGGGACUCUAGUAGUCUAGUCUCUCAAACGGAGAACAACAGGUGGAGAAGGAGCCCAAUAGGUGAAAAAGAUUAGAGAUUCAGAUUCCGAUUACGAGCUCCGAGCGGAAAGUAGGAACCUUUGAUUCUGCUGACGAAUCGAUUCUUCGGAUUUUGGGGGUUAGGGUUCGCGCGGACUUUAAUCGGUUUGGUUGGUUGUUUCGCACUAUAUUUCAGUUAGGGAAGUGUUUAUGAUUUCGGAUUUUACUAAUACGCCCCCAAUGUUUUAACUAUUGCCAUUAUUGCCCCCUCCUUUUUAUCAUCGCUCAUCUUAUUUGGACCUUUAAUGUAAAAGGCUGUUUACAUGUUGCAAUCACUAGUAGCAGUAGGAGCCUUUUCUGACGGGUUAUUAGAUGGAAAGACUUUGUAGUCCGGGAUUGGUGUAUUUCGUGCUCGUUUGGCUCGGUAGGCGAUGCUGUUCUGUUCCUGGAAACCUCUGCUUCUUCAUGUCUCUUUGAGCAGUUGUUGUUUCAUGUUAGUCAAGGUCUUGUGGUUGGGGUUUGACUUUUGGAUGGUAUACCGCUGUGGAGCCAUCUACUUGCUUCUUCUCUGUGAUUGGUUUGCAGAGUGAAGUAUUAAGACGAAGCAGUGGUUUCGAUUUGUAGCUCAUCUCUUGCGAGGACGUGACCAUCUUUUUGCUUGUAGAUGGUGGAGUAUGGGAACACGAAGGUCCGCCUGUAUGAGCUGUCCUUUUAGUUAUUGCCCCCUCUUCGUGUUUCAAGGUUAGACCUUGUGCCUUGGUCUCUCUUGAUUGCUGGCGGCUCGUUUCAGAUGUGGUGUUUGUGAUUUUGGCUCCAUGUCUACUUCAGUCUGGCGUUGGUUUCUGUCAGAUUUGGUUCCUGUGAGAUUGUGGUUUUGGCUUAUAUUGGAUUGUGGUCUCUGUUAUGUUCUUAUGGUCUCAACCCGUGCUUAUUCAGGUUCUUUGGAAACCAAAUGUUGGAUUGUUGUCUGUGUGCAGCUUGACAUUUUCUGGUGGAUUGAUGAGAAUCACUUGCCCUCUUCUUAGUUAUGGUUCUUCAUUGUUGUGUUCAUGACUUUUUGGUAUGCCUUUUUAGUCUCGUAUAAUUUUUUGUGGGUAUACUAAAGUUCAAAAGGUUGUCAAGUAGGAUGGGAAGGAAGUUUUUUCUUUUAUCGAGGUUUGUAACAAAUUGUACCUCAACUUUCGUUAAAUGCAAUUCAUAGAUAACAAAAAAAAAAAAAGUUGUUGCAAAGUCCUGAAGCCGGUCCAGAGGAUAAACCACAAAUUUUCUCGCUUAGGAUAUAUAAUACGGUUGUGACAAAAAAAGAGGAUAUAUAAUACGGAAGAGUAUAAUAUAUUUGUUAAUAAAAGUUGUACUAACAAUGUUAAUGUAUUUAUGAAUAUUAUUAUUAUUAUCAAAUAAAUACAAAUUAUGUUUACAUAUAAAUUUUAACAAAAUUAUAUAAAAGUAUAAGUAAAAAUUAAUAAAAAUAUAAGUAAAAACUGAUAAAAUACAAAUAAAUAUUAUUUUUUAAUGUGAGAUUUUGUAUUAACAAUUGAUUUUAGUAAAGUAUGAUUGUUAUAGUCAAAAUGUUCGUGACAAUAUUAAUAAAUAUUGCUAUACAAUUGAAUUCAUAAAAUUAUCUUUAUAAUUAUUAAUGGAGUUGAAUUAGUUUAAAAUUUUUGAUUUUAAAUUAUAUAAAUAUAUAUAUAUAAUAUUAGGAAAAAAUAUAAAAAUAUGUUGUUAAAAGUUUGCUUACGAUAUUUAAAAGUGUUGGGUCGGCACUGCUUAGACCAUAAUCUUCAAAGGCUGAUAAGUUUUUUUUUGUUUUAUCAGUAGUGACACAAAACCAUACAUAUUUUAUAUAGUAAAUGGUGAAACAGUUAUAAGUUACUAUGGUUGAGAAAUAGCACUAAACGAUAGUAACCAGUUGAUAGUAACAUUAUAUUUUGAAGUCAUGGAUGUAAUAACUACUACAGCUACUACAGUAUCUGACUUGGAUUCGCAACAACCGGUGAUUGAAACUCCGACCCGGAUCCAGCCCGCAAAGCCUAUUUCUUUUUCCAACGGGAAACGAUGCCUCGACCACCAACAUCAUGUGUCUGAAGUGGUUGUUACUUAAAACGGUAUAUAAAUCUUGAAACGUUGACAUAUAUUUCAAGUGCAAAAAGUAAUUAAGAGAACAACAAUUGAUACGCCGAAAUAUAUAUUUUCAAUUGGCAUAUUUCAUGCGUCCACCAACCAAUUUAUGUUACACUUUGAACUCAUAAUUUCCACAACUGAGAGAGUAAAGCUUAAAAUAUUACAUACCGUUAUUUAUUGCCAAAAUACUCAAACAUCAAACUUUGGUUUUCGAAAACUAAACCUGAAAAUAGUUUUUUUUUUCUUUGCUUGCGAAAAGUAAACCUGAAAAGAGAGUUUUUUUUUUCUUUGUUUGGACAAAUUAUGGAAGUGGAGGAGAUUGGGGAGGAGGAGUGGCGACGAAACCACUCCAAUUGGUGUUGGACUCCGGCGGCGUGUAGUCCAUCAGCUCAAUCAUAUUCCGCACAAUGCCAUCCUGUAUUUUUCACUUAAACUAUUAAUUAGUGCAACAUAUAUACCUAAAUAUAAUAUAUAUAUAUAUGUGUGUUUUAACUGUUUAUUAAUGAAAUAUAAUUAAAAAUCCUUUUUAUUGACUAUUUCGAGUUGAGGUAACUGACAUGAAAUUAGAUCUGACGUUCUCGAAAAAUUAUACUGGACUACUUAUAUUAUAUGUCUCGAUAUGUUAACCUUUUCAUCUCAACAGUGAUCUCCAUGAAACAACUCAUCAUGAAAGCACGUGUGUGUUUACCACAAGUUAAAAAAAAAGGUGUGUUUUACCAUAAUUAAAUUUGGAGCAAAACUGGAAUACAAAAGCCAAGUCCAAAACGUAAACCAAUGGUUCAGAAGUCUCGUUCGGAUCUUUUUGACUUGCACUCUUUUGUAUAUAUUGUUGCAACGAAAAAUGUUUAAUAGACAUCUCGAUCUUGUUUACAUUAGUUUUUCUUUUUGUGCUUCUUGAUUACAUUAGUUAUAAAUUUAAAAGUACACCAAGACAAUGAAUCACAAAUACCAUUUAACAAGAAAAGAAAUCAUACGUAAUAUUUUGUUGGGAGAAUUUUGUUCUUCUUUCUUUACAUCCAGUAUAAGUUCAUACUUCCUAAGAAUCGUUAUUUUUUACUAUUUGACAUUUUUUAACCAGAAUAAAUUGAAUUAACUAAACAGAAGUGGGGAACAAUGAAGUACCUUGGAAGGAAAUAGCUCAGCAGUGCUGUGAACUCCUGACAACUUUGUAGUUCGCAAGUUUCUCCCCAUGGCUUAAAAAUUCACAAACAAACACUAUCAGGCGUAAAUUCAAACCACAGUAUAUAUGUGCGUCAAAAGGAUACACUUAAUAGUAUUCUAACAGUGUGAUGAAGACGAAGAAGAAAAUGACAUUAGUUAACGGAGAUUACCAGUGGAGAAGAAUAUAAGUAGUAUAAGAGAGGAAACAAGGAAAACUCUGAAGAAACAAGAUUGACCCAUUGUUGCUGUUCGAAGUUCUGAGGAUCUUAUUUAUAGUAAACUGUAUUGUAUUAUUUUAAUAAUAUGUUAGUUAUUAAUCCAUUCAUAUUUAUAAUAAGUACAACUUUAAUAAAGAGAAAAGGGAACCUUUACUUAAGGUUUUCCAUUUUUCCUGGAAACUGCUUCAGCUUUAGAUCCAAUGAAGAAAGAUUUGAUUGAUUGAUCACAAUACUUAGUUUUAUACCCUGUUUUAUAUAGCUGGGUCAUUAUAUAAAAGAACUAAUAAAACUUAUUUAUGUCUUUAAUUAAUCCUCGGAGGAGUAUUAUGAAGCAAACUCGCACGUGUGGUUACACGUGUAACCCCCAUGACUCCACGUGAUGUGAACUGUAGUCGAGCUCCUCAUGUCUGCCACUACCAAAGAAGCAAAGAAUAUUAGUGACUUUUUUGUAUAAGUUAUUGUUUUUCUUUUUGAAAAAGUUAUUUGCCGCGUAAUUAAUUGGUCAGCUAUUUCAUUAAAUCUGUAUAAAUAUAUGAAAUAUGCCUGAUUUUCUGAUAAAAAAAUACUCCAUUUCUCAUUAAGUUAGGCACUUAGGGUUAUUGUCCAAGAGGUUGGCAAGUAACACUACAAGAAAACAGCGGUAUUCUGACGGACAUUCCGACGGAAAAUAAAAUUCUCGGAAUAUCCCGAAGAAUUUCCGAGGAAACACAAAAUUGGGUUUCUUCGGAAUUUCCUCGGAAUAUACCGAUGGAAUUCCGAGGAAAUAUCAAUCCGUCGGAAUAUUCCGAGGAAAUUCCGAGGAAAAAUGGGUUCCUCGGAAAAAACCGAUGAAUUCCGAGGAAAUAUUAUAGCCGUUGGAGAGCCGUUGGGGGAUUUUACAAAAUUCCGAGGAAAUUCCGACGAACUAGCCUUUUCCGUCGGAAUUCCGUCGGAAUUUCCUCGGUCUGUCGGCAGGAUUUAAACUAUAAAUACAAGCACUCCUCUUCCUCUUCAUUCACUCCAUAUCUUCAUCCUCCCUCUUACUCUAUUUACACACGAAUUUGAUUCAUAAAAAAUAUGUCUUCUUCAAAUUAUUUUCGUUCUUGGAUCGAUCGACCUCAUUUGGAUCCGAACACGAGAUUGCUUACGGAAGAAUACCAACGAGGUAUAACCGAAUUCAUGGGGUUAGUUCACCGACAACCGGAAGCAAAAACAGGUAUGUUAAGAUGUCCUUGCUCUAAUUGUAAAAAUAGAAAGGUUAUUAAAGAGUGGGAUGUUUGGACUCAUCUAUAUUUGAGUGGGUUUACACGAAGUUACAAAAUUUGGUAUCAUCAUGGGGAAACUGAUUAUGAACAUGGUAGUACUAGCGAACCUCAGCCAGCGGUUAGAUUAGAAGAACCAAUUAGAACGGAUGUAGAUUAUGGUGUAGGUACUGAGCAGAUGGUAAAUGAUCAUUUUAGAGGGGAAGAUUUACCCAAUGCAGAAGCUAGGAGAUUUUAUGAUAUGUUGGAUGCUGGAAAGCAACCAUUGUACGAAGGUUGCAGAGAUGGUCAUUCAGCUUUAUCAUCUGCUACAAGAUUGAUGGGCAUUAAAACAGAUUAUAAUUUGGCUGAAGACUGUGUGGAUGCGAUUGCUGAUUUUGUAAAAGGUAUUCUACCCGAGGAUAAUGUAGCUCCUGGUUCAUACUACGAGGUUCAGAAACUCGUAGCUGGUCUUGGUUUAUCGUAUCAGGUAAUAGAUGUAUGCAGCGACAACUGCAUGAUUUAUUGGAGGGCGGAUGAACAGCGGGUUACAUGCAAAUUUUGUGGAAAGCCUCGUUAUAAAGAUACGAGUGGAAGAGUUCCAGUGCCAUAUAAAAGGAUGUGGUAUUUACCUUUGACGGAAAGGUUGCAGAGGUUGUAUCUGUCUGAACGCACAGCGCAACCAAUGAGAUGGCAUGCGGAGCACUCAACAGAUGGUGAGAUCAGACAUCCUUCAGAUGCAAAAGCGUGGAAGCAUUUCCAAUCAAAGUAUCCCGACUUUGCGUAUGAGAGAAGAAAUGUCUACCUUGGAUUAUGUACUGAUGGUUUCAGUCCGUUUGGCAAGAGUGGAAGACAGUAUUCUCUAUGGCCCGUCAUUCUUACACCAUACAACCUACCCCCAAACUUGUGCUUGCGACGAGAGUUUUUGUUUCUCUCGAUUCUCGUUCCCGGACCAGAGCAUCCUAAGAGAUCACUUGAUGUGUUUCUUCAGCCACUAAUAUAUGAGUUGCAACAACUAUGGGCUCAAGGUGCUGAAACAUACGAUGUUUCGUGUAAAGAAAACUUUCAAAUGCGGGCAGUACUAAUGUGGACAAUAAGUGAUUUUCCAGCAUAUGGUAUGUUGUCUGGAUGGACAACGCAUGGAAGGCUAUCAUGUCCAUAUUGUCAAGAUAACACUGAUGCUUUCCAACUAAAACACGGAAGGAAAACGUGUUGGUUUGACUGUCACAGGAGAUUCCUACCACCUGAUCAUCCAUAUCGUAGGAGUAGGAAUUUGUUUACGAAGAACAAGAGGGUGUUUGACAGUCCACCUCCGGAAAUUUGUGGGAAAGAUUUGAAGAUACAACUAAGAGAUUUUGGUGCAGAAAGGACGCCAGAAGUCGGUGGACAUGAGCGUUUUCCGGUAGAUGCUGUUGGAGAACUACAUAACUGGCACAAAAAAAGUAUUUUCUGGGAUCUGCCAUACUGGGAGGAUCAUCUGCUAAGGCAUAAUUUAGAUGUCAUGCAUAUUGAGAAGAACUUUUUUGACAAUCUCAUGAACACGAUCCUUAAUGUUCAAGGUAAAACAAAGGAUAAUUUGAAGUCAAGACUGGAUUUAGUCGAUAUAUGUGCUCGUUCAGAACUUCAUGUUGAUGAGAAUGGUAGGGCUCCUUUUCCCAUAUACCGACUUGAUGCAGCGGGAAAAGAUGCGUUCUUUGAUUGGAUUUCAAACGAUGUGGAAUUUCCAGACGGUUACGCAUCAAAUUUGCGUAACUGUAUCGACAGAAAGGAAGGAAAGUUUACUGGCUUGAAAAGCCACGAUUGCCAUGUAAUGAUGCAGCGCCUCCUUCCGUUCGCCUUCAAGGAACUAUUACCACGAAAUGUUCAUGAAGCAAUUGCAGGGAUAAGUGGUUUCUUCCGCGAUUUAUGCACGAGAUCAGUGACUCUUGAAGGUAUUGAAAAUUUGAAGACUAACAUAGCCGUGAUUCAGUGCAACCUUGAGAAGAUAUUUCCUCCCUCAUUUUUUGAUGUUAUGGAGCAUCUUGUUAUUCACCUGGCAAGAGAAUUGGAACUUGGUGGUCCUGUGCAGUAUAGAUGGAUGUAUCUGUAUGAGCGGUAUAUGUUCCAUUUGAAGAAGAUGGUGAAAAAUUUAAGUAGGGUGGAAGGUUCUAUAGUCGCACAGAUGAUCAAUGAAGAAACUUCAAACUUUGCCGAGUACUACUUUCCAGCAGAAGUUCAGACCAAAAACAGAAGACCUGCUCGGCAUGAUGAUAGAGGCGAACGGGCAACAUAUCAUGUUACGGUUCCAGACAUUUUCACAGACGUUGGACGACUUAGCGGAAAACCAAAGGACCGUCGACUUACUGAGCAGGAGCGCAGUCAUUUGCAAACAUAUUUGCUCACCAACUGCGAAGACGUUCUUCAAUAUGAGAGGUAAAUAAAUGAGCUUACAAAUUUUUAUUUUAACAAGUUGAAAUUUAAAUCUUAAUUAAUUACAUUAUUGUCAUCAUAUACAGGAUUUUCAUGGCAGAAAAGCGGUUCGAGUAUAGAUACGCCACAGAGGACGAACUAGAAGAAAUGAAGCAGAGAGAAUUUACUGGAUGGAUGUUUACUUAUGUGAGUGCUUUAAACAAAUUAAAAUAUAUUUUAUCACAUAUUUAUACUAAUUCACAUUUAUUGAUAUAAUAUAUAUAUAUGUGCUAUUAAUAGGUGUCUGCUGGUUUGGCCAGAGGUGAAACAUUUGACGAUUGGAUACGUGAGAUGGUCGUUGGACCAAACUUUGUUGUGAAGUCAUAUCCGAGAUUUUGUACUCGAGGAUAUGCAUUCACAACUCAGAAGAGGAGACGUUCGAGUACGACUUAUGAUGCUGGCGUUUGUUCUGCAUCAGGAGAUGAUGUAUACUACGGACACAUACAUGAGAUUUUGGAAAUCAAGUAUUUGGGCAUGGUUGGAUUGCGCUGUACUGUUUUCUAUUGUGAUUGGCACGACAACACUCCAGAUCGAGGUGUGAGAACAGAUGCAUUUGGUGUUACAUCAGUAAAUUCGAGGCGAAAGCUGCAAUAUUAUGAUCCUUUCAUUCUUGCUUCUCAGGCCGAUCAGGUAAUUAAAUGUUAAUUAUUCAGAAUGAUUCAUCAUCAUGUGUAUUAAUUUAUAAUUUUUCUAAAUGUUACAGGUUUGUUAUAUCAAGUACCCCCGGGUAAGGAACAGAGAUGAUCCAUGGGUUACUGUUACAAGACUCAACCCGAGAGGCCGAGUUCAGGGAAGUUCUGAGCUGGAAGACCCACUACAACCAAGCACAUCCGGCAACUUAAGUGCAGCAGAAGAUUUAGCUGGAGUUGGCCUUGUAGUCGAUUUAACCGACUUCGGAGAGGAAGCCGUCAUUCACGUAGAGGAUGAACCAGUGAUUGGAGAGUUUCACCAAGAUCCAGAUUCAGAUUCAUCUGGUGAUGAUGACUCGGAAACAGACUACCAUUGAAAUUAUUUUUUUUUUUUUUUAAGAAAUACCGAGGAAAUACCGAGGAACACUUGAUAUAAUCUCUUUCCUCGGAUAUUAGUUAUUUGGUUUAUCUAGCAAGGCAAAGCUGAAUACGAAUGAAAAGCUACUCAAAACACAACCAUAUAAAACGAAGAAACCAUGUAAAAGAAAUACGAACUCAUAAUUAAGAAAAAAAAAACUAAGUUCAAAAUUAAUAGAAAAUAAGACCAUAAAACGUUAGAAUAGAAAAGAAAAUAAAAUAGCGCGGUCGGAAAUCAAAUGGCAAUACUGGCCGGUGAUAGCUCCUACUCCUCGUCUCCUGCUCCAGAUGUUCCUGCAUCGUUGGGUCUCUUGGACCUCUUUCUUACCCUGUGUGUACCACUCGAACCCGAACCAGAGCUGGAUGGAGAGUUGUCCCGAUGAACUACAUCAUCCUUUUGGCAACGACACGGCCUGAUACGUGAAAUGGCAGCCCAGAUCUUGUGUAGCAUGUCGUUGUUUGUCUUUAUGCUCUGAUCUCUCCAAUGUUGUUGCUGGCGCGAAGUGGCGUUCGGUGGAAGCUCUUGCAGCUUGUACUGGCUGGAGUCUGAUGGGAGUAGCUGAUGGGGUUGUGAAUCAUCUGGAAUGGCUUGUGCAGCCUCAUCUUCUCCUUCUUCAUCAACCACGGCCUUGCCUUUGGUCUGAUAUUUUGGCGUGAAGAAGGAUGGCUUGUCUACUAGUGCGGUAGCAGGGGGUAGNNNNNNNNNNNNNNNNNNNNNNNNNNNNNNNNNNNNNNNNNNNNNNNNNNNNNNNNNNNNNNNNNNNNNNNNNNNNNNNNNNNNNNNNNNNNNNNNNNNNNNNNNNNNNNNNNNNNNNNNNNNNNNNNNNNNNNNNNNNNNNNNNNNNNNNNNNNNNNNNNNNNNNNNNNNNNNNNNNNNNNNNNNNNNNNNNNNNNNNNNNNNNNNNNNNNNNNNNNNNNNNNNNNNNNNNNNNNNNNNNNNNNNNNNNNNNNNNNNNNNNNNNNNNNNNNNNNNNNNNNNNNNNNNNNNNNNNNNNNNNNNNNNNNNNNNNNNNNNNNNNNNNNNNNNNNNNNNNNNNNNNNNNNNNNNNNNNNNNNNNNNNNNNNNNNNNNNNNNNNNNNNNNNNNNNNNNNNNNNNNNNNNNNNNNNNNNNNNNNNNNNNNNNNNNNNNNNNNNNNNNNNNNNNNNNNNNNNNNNNNNNNNNNNNNNNNNNNNNNNNNNNNNNNNNNNNNNNNNNNNNNNNNNNNNNNNNNNNNNNNNNNNNNNNNNNNNNNNNNNNNNNNNNNNNNNNNNNNNNNNNNNNNNNNNNNNNNNNNNNNNNNNNNNNNNNNNNNNNNNNNNNNNNNNNNNNNNNNNNNNNNNNNNNNNNNNNNNNNNNNNNNNNNNNNNNNNNNNNNNNNNNNNNNNNNNNNNNNNNNNNNNNNNNNNNNNNNNNNNNNNNNNNNNNNNNNNNNNNNNNNNNNNNNNNNNNNNNNNNNNNNNNNNNNNNNNNNNNNNNNNNNNNNNNNNNNNNNNNNNNNNNNNNNNNNNNNNNNNNNNNNNNNNNNNNNNNNNNNNNNNNNNNNNNNNNNNNNNNNNNNNNNNNNNNNNNNNNNNNNNNNNNNNNNNNNNNNNNNNNNNNNNNNNNNNNNNNNNNNNNNNNNNNNNNNNNNNNNNNNNNNNNNNNNNNNNNNNNNNNNNNNNNNNNNNNNNNNNNNNNNNNNNNNNNNNNNNNNNNNNNNNNNNNNNNNNNNNNNNNNNNNNNNNNNNNNNNNNNNNNNNNNNNNNNNNNNNNNNNNNNNNNNNNNNNNNNNNNNNNNNNNNNNNNNNNNNNNNNNNNNNNNNNNNNNNNNNNNNNNNNNNNNNNNNNNNNNNNNNNNNNNNNNNNNNNNNNNNNNNNNNNNNNNNNNNNNNNNNNNNNNNNNNNNNNNNNNNNNNNNNNNNNNNNNNNNNNNNNNNNNNNNNNNNNNNNNNNNNNNNNNNNNNNNNNNNNNNNNNNNNNNNNNNNNNNNNNNNNNNNNNNNNNNNNNNNNNNNNNNNNNNNNNNNNNNNNNNNNNNNNNNNNNNNNNNNNNNNNNNNNNNNNNNNNNNNNNNNNNNNNNNNNNNNNNNNNNNNNNNNNNNNNNNNNNNNNNNNNNNNNNNNNNNNNNNNNNNNNNNNNNNNNNNNNNNNNNNNNNNNNNNNNNNNNNNNNNNNNNNNNNNNNNNNNNNNNNNNNNNNNNNNNNNNNNNNNNNNNNNNNNNNNNNNNNNNNNNNNNNNNNNNNNNNNNNNNNNNNNNNNNNNNNNNNNNNNNNNNNNNNNNNNNNNNNNNNNNNNNNNNNNNNNNNNNNNNNNNNNNNNNNNNNNNNNNNNNNNNNNNNNNNNNNNNNNNNNNNNNNNNNNNNNNNNNNNNNNNNNNNNNNNNNNNNNNNNNNNNNNNNNNNNNNNNNNNNNNNNNNNNNNNNNNNNNNNNNNNNNNNNNNNNNNNNNNNNNNNNNNNNNNNNNNNNNNNNNNNNNNNNNNNNNNNNNNNNNNNNNNNNNNNNNNNNNNNNNNNNNNNNNNNNNNNNNNNNNNNNNNNNNNNNNNNNNNNNNNNNNNNNNNNNNNNNNNNNNNNNNNNNNNNNNNNNNNNNNNNNNNNNNNNNNNNNNNNNNNNNNNNNNNNNNNNNNNNNNNNNNNNNNNNNNNNNNNNNNNNNNNNNNNNNNNNNNNNNNNNNNNNNNNNNNNNNNNNNNNNNNNNNNNNNNNNNNNNNNNNNNNNNNNNNNNNNNNNNNNNNNNNNNNNNNNNNNNNNNNNNNNNNNNNNNNNNNNNNNNNNNNNNNNNNNNNNNNNNNNNNNNNNNNNNNNNNNNNNNNNNNNNNNNNNNNNNNNNNNNNNNNNNNNNNNNNNNNNNNNNNNNNNNNNNNNNNNNNNNNNNNNNNNNNNNNNNNNNNNNNNNNNNNNNNNNNNNNNNNNNNNNNNNNNNNNNNNNNNNNNNNNNNNNNNNNNNNNNNNNNNNNNNNNNNNNNNNNNNNNNNNNNNNNNNNNNNNNNNNNNNNNNNNNNNNNNNNNNNNNNNNNNNNNNNNNNNNNNNNNNNNNNNNNNNNNNNNNNNNNNNNNNNNNNNNNNNNNNNNNNNNNNNNNNNNNNNNNNNNNNNNNNNNNNNNNNNNNNNNNNNNNNNNNNNNNNNNNNNNNNNNNNNNNNNNNNNNNNNNNNNNNNNNNNNNNNNNNNNNNNNNNNNNNNNNNNNNNNNNNNNNNNNNNNNNNNNNNNNNNNNNNNNNNNNNNNNNNNNNNNNNNNNNNNNNNNNNNNNNNNNNNNNNNNNNNNNNNNNNNNNNNNNNNNNNNNNNNNNNNNNNNNNNNNNNNNNNNNNNNNNNNNNNNNNNNNNNNNNNNNNNNNNNNNNNNNNNNNNNNNNNNNNNNNNNNNNNNNNNNNNNNNNNNNNNNNNNNNNNNNNNNNNNNNNNNNNNNNNNNNNNNNNNNNNNNNNNNNNNNNNNNNNNNNNNNNNNNNNNNNNNNNNNNNNNNNNNNNNNNNNNNNNNNNNNNNNNNNNNNNNNNNNNNNNNNNNNNNNNNNNNNNNNNNNNNNNNNNNNNNNNNNNNNNNNNNNNNNNNNNNNNNNNNNNNNNNNNNNNNNNNNNNNNNNNNNNNNNNNNNNNNNNNNNNNNNNNNNNNNNNNNNNNNNNNNNNNNNNNNNNNNNNNNNNNNNNNNNNNNNNNNNNNNNNNNNNNNNNNNNNNNNNNNNNNNNNNNNNNNNNNNNNNNNNNNNNNNNNNNNNNNNNNNNNNNNNNNNNNNNNNNNNNNNNNNNNNNNNNNNNNNNNNNNNNNNNNNNNNNNNNNNNNNNNNNNNNNNNNNNNNNNNNNNNNNNNNNNNNNNNNNNNNNNNNNNNNNNNNNNNNNNNNNNNNNNNNNNNNNNNNNNNNNNNNNNNNNNNNNNNNNNNNNNNNNNNNNNNNNNNNNNNNNNNNNNNNNNNNNNNNNNNNNNNNNNNNNNNNNNNNNNNNNNNNNNNNNNNNNNNNNNNNNNNNNNNNNNNNNNNNNNNNNNNNNNNNNNNNNNNNNNNNNNNNNNNNNNNNNNNNNNNNNNNNNNNNNNNNNNNNNNNNNNNNNNNNNNNNNNNNNNNNNNNNNNNNNNNNNNNNNNNNNNNNNNNNNNNNNNNNNNNNNNNNNNNNNNNNNNNNNNNNNNNNNNNNNNNNNNNNNNNNNNNNNNNNNNNNNNNNNNNNNNNNNNNNNNNNNNNNNNNNNNNNNNNNNNNNNNNNNNNNNNNNNNNNNNNNNNNNNNNNNNNNNNNNNNNNNNNNNNNNNNNNNNNNNNNNNNNNNNNNNNNNNNNNNNNNNNNNNNNNNNNNNNNNNNNNNNNNNNNNNNNNNNNNNNNNNNNNNNNNNNNNNNNNNNNNNNNNNNNNNNNNNNNNNNNNNNNNNNNNNNNNNNNNNNNNNNNNNNNNNNNNNNNNNNNNNNNNNNNNNNNNNNNNNNNNNNNNNNNNNNNNNNNNNNNNNNNNNNNNNNNNNNNNNNNNNNNNNNNNNNNNNNNNNNNNNNNNNNNNNNNNNNNNNNNNNNNNNNNNNNNNNNNNNNNNNNNNNNNNNNNNNNNNNNNNNNNNNNNNNNNNNNNNNNNNNNNNNNNNNNNNNNNNNNNNNNNNNNNNNNNNNNNNNNNNNNNNNNNNNNNNNNNNNNNNNNNNNNNNNNNNNNNNNNNNNNNNNNNNNNNNNNNNNNNNNNNNNNNNNNNNNNNNNNNNNNNNNNNNNNNNNNNNNNNNNNNNNNNNNNNNNNNNNNNNNNNNNNNNNNNNNNNNNNNNNNNNNNNNNNNNNNNNNNNNNNNNNNNNNNNNNNNNNNNNNNNNNNNNNNNNNNNNNNNNNNNNNNNNNNNNNNNNNNNNNNNNNNNNNNNNNNNNNNNNNNNNNNNNNNNNNNNNNNNNNNNNNNNNNNNNNNNNNNNNNNNNNNNNNNNNNNNNNNNNNNNNNNNNNNNNNNNNNNNNNNNNNNNNNNNNNNNNNNNNNNNNNNNNNNNNNNNNNNNNNNNNNNNNNNNNNNNNNNNNNNNNNNNNNNNNNNNNNNNNNNNNNNNNNNNNNNNNNNNNNNNNNNNNNNNNNNNNNNNNNNNNNNNNNNNNNNNNNNNNNNNNNNNNNNNNNNNNNNNNNNNNNNNNNNNNNNNNNNNNNNNNNNNNNNNNNNNNNNNNNNNNNNNNNNNNNNNNNNNNNNNNNNNNNNNNNNNNNNNNNNNNNNNNNNNNNNNNNNNNNNNNNNNNNNNNNNNNNNNNNNNNNNNNNNNNNNNNNNNNNNNNNNNNNNNNNNNNNNNNNNNNNNNNNNNNNNNNNNNNNNNNNNNNNAAAAAAAAUUAAUAUUUUUUACAUUCCGAGGAAAUUAAUUAUAUUUUUUACUCGAUCGAUCGAUGCGGUUUUGGACGUAUAUCCAUCGAUCGAUCUGUUUAUAAAAAAACGUUCGGAAUAUACCGAGGGACCUGUUCCUCGGAAUAUAUCGAGGAAUAUGUCCGUCGGUAUAUUCCUAUCGAUCAAUGUAUAUAUGUCCAAAAACGCAUCGAUCGAUGAAUGUCCGAGGAAAUAUCCCGACGAAGUUCUCCCUCGGUAUAUUCCGAGGACAUUUCCGACAAACUAGUGAUCCUCGGAAUUUUCUCGGAAGUUUGUUUCCUCGGAAUUCCGUCGGAAAAUUUCGAGGGAUUUCCGAGGAAAGAAGAAAUUCCGAGGAAUUAUUUCCGACGACUUGUUUCGUCGGUAUGUCGUCGGAAUAACGAUAUUUCGACGAAAUUCCGACGAUUUUUUUCCUCAGAAUUCUUGCUGUUUUCUUGUAGUGCAAGGACUUUGAAAUAUGAAAAUAAAAUGUAUGUUGGGUUAUUAGAUAGGAAACAAGAAACCAAGACGCUGAAACUAGAAAAGAAACAUCGAUUACCGUGUUUAUUUUUGAUUAGCUAGGGAACAAGGUUUGACUUAGGUUGAAUAGAAUAUCAUGUUGCCUUAUUACUAUUGUAGCCGUCCACUUGAAAUAAUAACACAUAACAAGAUAAAUGAAUCAAUAACUUAUGUUAUUAAAAAGAUAAAAAACGAAAAAUUAAUUAAAAAUGGUGUCGAAGCAUGUGAUUAUGAGAGGUUUUUAUGAAAAUCAGUGCCUUGCCAAGUUUGACAAAGAUACUCUUUAAAAUAGCCUUUGAAUGGUAGAGGUAGGUAGCUUCGGACCUAUUGACCCCACACAGAACGAAUCUGGGCUUUGUAUUGGGCUUUAAAAACGAAUCUGGGCUUUAAUAUUAGUACUACUACUCAAUAUUAAAGUAUUGGUUUGCUCUUCUUUUAAGACAAACCUUUAAAUAAUGUAAUGAAGCCUACGGAAAGUUAAGUCUGGUAAAGUAGUAGUGACCCACGAAAUCAACAAAGUAAAAAAAAUCAAUAAAUUAAAACAACUUUGAUACAUUUUAAUACGAUACAUAACAUACACACACCUAGGCAGGCAAGCUUUGAUCAAAAUCUGAACGCGUGUGACUCCCCCUCUCUUCCUUCGUAUACGACACGACCGUCCAUCGAUUCGGACCGUAACGAGUGAAACUUUUAAUGAUGACGAACUGAAAUUUUCUUUCCUCUUACAUAUCGAAUUCUCCGACACCAGAUUGCUUCCCUGUUCUGUCUGUUUUUUAAUAUUCUGAUGCGCUAGUUUCAACCGCGAUUACGUUACCGACUUCUCUUCUUAUUUAAACAUCCGUCACUGCUUCGAGGUGUAUACAAAUUCGAUUCUAAAAAAUCGUAUGAACUAGAGUCGAAGAUUUGAUUUCCGAUUAAAUUUUUGUUUCGGUGGGUUUCAAUUGAUUAUUAACGAUCACUUCUCGAUCCGAUCCAAUCAGGUUCACUCCAAUUAUUUUUAUCCUCAAAUCGUAUCUGAUUUGAGUUUUCUUUUUUUUUGUUUUUCCUCCUUCAGGAGUUGGUGGACCGAUUUGAUCCGAAUCGGAUUUGGAAUCUGAGAUGGUACAUCUCCAGAGCUCAAUCUCCGUCGUCGAACAAUCACCGAUCAUGGCCAACUCAUCAGACCUUCACAAGCCAAGAGCCAGCCGUAAAUCAUCAUCAUCAUCAUCAUCAAUCUGCUGCGACGGAUCUCCAUCGGCAGCCAUCGACGUCCUGAUCUUGAUCGCCGUCGUCACGUCCUCGGGGUUCUUGAUCUUCCCUUACAUCAGAUUCAUCGCGGUCAAGUCCGUGGAGAUCUUCUCCGACGUCUCGUGUAUAGUCAAGGAAGAGAUUCUCCGCAACCCCGACCCGGUUGUCUACGGGCUGAUCGCGUUGAGCGUCUCGUGCACGGCGUUGUCCGCUUGGAUGAUUGUUAUACUCGUGUCUAGUCGGAAUAAAUGUGGGAAGCCUGAUUGCAGAGGGCUGGGGAAGGCUAAUGCGGAGUUUGAUAUUCAGCUGGAGACGGAGGAUUGUGUUAAAGGUGGAUCGAGCUCGAGUGUUGUUAGCAAGAAGGGGCUGUUUGAGUUGCCUCGUGAUCACCACCGUGAGUUGGAGGCGGAGUUGAAGAAGAUGGCUCCGAUUAAUGGGAGGGCUGUGUUGGUUUUUAGGGCGAAGUGUGGGUGUUCGGUUGGGAGGUUGGAGGUUCCUGGUCCUAAGAAGCAGCAAAGGAAGAUCAAGAAAUGAAAAAUCUUUUUUGAGAUAAAAGAUUGUAUCAUUACAGGUUGUGAUGAUGAUAUGAUUAUACUUUGAUUAGCUUAUAAACAUGUUUUUUUCUUUUCUUUUGGGAGUUUAGUGAUUUUUCACAAGAACUUCUUACACAAACUAAUAUGAUGUUAAUCUCCGUGUGUUUAAAUAAAAAACCUUUACAAUGAGGGAUAUUGCAGAGAAAAAUGGUUUCUAGUGAAGAACAAUUAUUUCGAUUUUGAAGUUUUGAAUGUGUUCUAAUGUUUCUUGAUUGUGUGCUUCUUUUUUUUAUCUGGCUAUCAUGGUUAAAUGAUUCUAACAUUUUAUCUAUGCUCUGUGUUCUUAUGCAUUCCUGUAUUUUCUGGUAUAUGACCUGGUUGGGAUAAAUAUUAGUGGUUCUUGAUGAGAUCAGGUAAACUACGACAUGUGUAUAUGCCUUUUUGCCCUCCAAGUGUAUGGAUCAUAUGAAAGUCUACUGAACGAAAAAGAGACAAUAAAAGGAGUUUUGGAAAUGAUCAAGGGUUGAGAUUUGUUGCAAGACUAUGAUUUAUAUCAAUCUCCAAUAGUAUGUGGACAUUUAAGAUGCAAAGUUUUUUUUUUUCAAUAGUACAAUCUCUGGAUCAUUCAAGAAGACAAUAAUAUGUUCCAGAGAAGACAAAAGAAACUAGAAACAUCCUCUUCGUUUGAGUCAUCACUCAUCAUCUCAACUUUUUGUUUAUAUAAAUUCUUGAACCUACCAACCAAAACAUCAGAAGACCAAAUCUCAGAAAGCAAGAGUCCUUGAAGCAUAAUCCCAAAGAAGAACAUAAGCAUUGGCUGUGGUGAUGAAAAUGGCCUCUUCAACGUCAGCUUUGUCUCUCCCUCUCUCUAACAUCCCAACCUGUAUUAAUAAGUCCCAAGAGUUUCCAAAAUCAACUCAUCUAUCUAAAUCCAGCCAUAGUCAUAAUCCUCUUCUCAAAACUAAAACUCCAGACUCUAAACUCACCAAGAGAGCCUUGCUGAGCUUAACUGCCUUGGGGCUUACGUCACCUCUAGUAUUGGCUCAUCCCGCAAAGGCUGAACCAGAAGCUCCCAUCGAAGCUGCUUCCAACAGAAUGUCGUACUCGAGGUUUCUGCACCAUCUGGAAGAGAAUGAAGUGAAGAAAGUUGACUUGUUCGAGAAUGGGACUGUUGCCAUCGCAGAGAUCUCCAAUCCAGCGUUAAGAAAGAUCCAGAGGGUUAGGGUUAACCUUCCAGGUUUACCGGUUGAUCUACUCAGGAAGAUGAAGGAGAAGAACGUAGACUUCGCUGCUCAUCCGGUAGAUGUGAACUGGGGAGCUUUCUUGCUCAACUUCUUGGGGAAUUUUGGGGUUCCUUUGGUCUUACUUGGCUCUCUGCUAUUAGCAUUUCCUAGAACCCCUAGUGGACCCAACUUGCCUUUUGGCCUUGGAAGGUAACAUCCUUUAAAUCAAUUUGCUGAUAUUAAACAUUUAAACCCUAAGUUUAAGCCUUUCAUGUAUGUUUUCUUGCAACAGAAGCAAAGCUAAGUUUCAGAUGGAACCAAACACAGGGAUAACAUUCGACGACGUUGCAGGAGUAGACGAAGCCAAGCAAGACUUCGAAGAGAUAGUAGAAUUCUUGAAAACACCAGAGAAAUUCUCAGCCUUGGGUGCUAAAAUCCCAAAAGGUGUCUUGUUGACAGGACCGCCGGGAACCGGAAAGACUCUCCUGGCCAAGGCCAUAGCCGGAGAAGCUGGAGUUCCGUUCUUCUCAUUGUCUGGUUCGGAGUUCAUAGAGAUGUUUGUUGGUGUAGGAGCAUCUAGGGUUAGAGACUUGUUCAACAAGGCAAAGGCUAACUCACCCUGUUUAGUGUUCAUUGAUGAGAUUGAUGCUGUUGGGAGAAUAAGGGGAACCGGUUUAGGAGGAGGAAACGACGAACGUGAGCAGACGCUAAACCAGAUUUUAACUGAAAUGGACGGGUUUGCGGGGAAUACCGGAGUGCUCGUGAUAGCUGCAACGAACAGGCCAGAGAUUUUAGACGCUGCUUUGGUCCGACCAGGGAGAUUCGAUAGGCAGGUAUGUUUGGUUAACCCACAGGCUGGACAUAUUAACCGAACCAGAACCGGUCUUGGAAUUACAUAUAUUUUAACUUAAUUAAGUUGGGGCUCGCAAUAAACAUUAAUAUUUCGGAGGCAAUAUGCGAAUGUUUCAUUUAGUUAUGGUCGGGACCUUUGAACCGAAUAUAAAUUCUAAAACUAAAGCAAACCGGAUCGGUUGGAACAGGUUUCCGUUGGUUUACCGGAUAUCAGAGGAAGAGAGGAGAUAUUAAAAGUUUACAGCAAAACCAAGAAACUUGACAAAGAAGUGUCUUUGAGCGUGAUCGCCAUGAGAACUCCUGGUUUUAGUGGGGCUGACCUGGCGAACCUCAUGAACGAAGCUGCGAUUCUCGCCGGAAGAAGAGGACAAGAGAAGAUUACCCCUAAAGAGAUUGACGACUCCAUUGAUCGGAUUGCCGCCGGAAUGGAAGGGACGAAGAUGAUCGACGGUAAAAGCAAAGCGAUUGUGGCGUACCAUGAAGUUGGACAUGCAGUCUGUGCGUAAGUCCCGGUUUACUAAUGCAAUGUCUUCGGUUUGGUCAGUUUACGUCAAAAUUAAUCGGUUUUUAUUCGGUUCAGGACAUUGACUGAGGGUCACGACCCGGUUCAGAAAGUAACAUUGAUUCCUAGAGGUCAAGCACGUGGUCUCACGUGGUUCUUACCGGGAGAAGACCCCACGUUGGUUUCUAAACAGCAGUUGUUCGCUAGAAUCGUCGGAGGACUAGGAGGCAGAGCCGCCGAGGAUGUAAUUUUUGGAGAACCAGAGAUAACCACCGGAGCUGCGGGCGAUCUCCAGCAAAUAACACAGAUCGCAAGACAGGUAAAGAAAUAUAAAACAUAAUUUUAUAAACCGGAAAUAACCGGUCGGUUCUCUAAUCCUUAGUUUUCAAUUCGCAGAUGGUGACGAUGUUUGGUAUGUCGGAGAUUGGUCCGUGGGCUCUAACCGAUCCAGCGACCAUGCAAAGCGACGUCGUUCUAAGGAUGCUCGCGAGAAGCUCCAUGUCCGAGAAGCUUGCCAAAGAAAUCGAUCAAUGCGUGAAGAAAAUAAUUGAUAAUGCUUACCAGAUUGCCAAGAACCACGUGAGGAAUAACAGAGAAGCCAUAGACAAGCUUGUUGAUGUCUUGUUGGACAAGGAAACCUUAACUGGAGACGAGUUUCGAGCAAUCCUGUCUGAAUACACUCAUCAACCGUUAAAAACCGAGGAUAGAGUUCGAAUCAAAGAUUUGAUUAGUGUGUAAUAAUACAAAUAAAUAAAAUAAUACUAUGGUAGUAUUGGUACUACAAACUUAAACUAGACUUUCACCUAUAAAAUUUUCAUACUAAAGUGUCAAAGACAAGAAAGUGUAAAUUCUCAUGGUGGUAAGAUAAAAAUCUACCUGCCCAAAGAGGACAUGAACCAAACCGGAUUGGGAUUUUUGGGUCUGUUUGUUCUGUGUCGGUCACAAACAGAAAAAAUAAAGUUUUUCUCUCCUAAUUAAUUUGGGUUUGUGUUUUUUUCUUCGGUCUUAAUCGAAUCAAUUUACUUGAGAGUUUCUGCGUCUUCAAUUGUUAUAUAUAUCGAGAGGCGGAAGAAAUCUGCAAUCUCAGGACAGAACGAGGACAAGUAAGUUGCUUUUUGAUUGGUUUAAUUGUAGGUUGACCUAACUUGUUCCGACAACAAGGAAGUUUGGGUUAAGACAAGGUUCUCUUUCAGAUGAAGAUGUGUGAUCUUCCAAAGGAUAUGGCUGAGGAGGUACUCUGUCGAAUUCCGGUGACAUCUCUGAGACCUAUCCGAUCUACUUGCAAAAAGUGGAACAAGUUGUCCAGAUGUGGCGUAUUUGCAAAGAAGCACCUUGCUCAUCAAUCAGAAGAAUCAAAGGAGGGCCGUCUUGUGGUCAUGAUGAUGGAUUAUAGGGUUUUUUUUGAUGAGAUUCAAUCUUUCCAACAAAUCAUGUGUAGUGGAGCGUGAAGCUAGACUUAUUGGCCCAGACGGUUCAGAUCAACUCGACGUGUGUGGAAUCUUUCACUGCGACGGUUUAUUGUUAUGCAUCCCCAAAGGUCACUCCAGGCUCGUGGUUUGGAACCCGUAUUGGGGGCAAAUCAGGUGGAUCGAGCACACACAUAAUUGCCACUUAGUGGACAAGUAUAGGUGUUCUUAUACGUAUGCUCUCGGUUACGACCGUAACAGUAAGUCCCACAAAGUCUUGAGAUUUAUUGAUUUUCUCUCUCAUUUUGUCGAGUUCAAAAUCUACGACUUCAGUUCUGAUUCAUGGAGGAUUCUUGACCUCUUUCCUCGAACGUGGAUGAUAAGUUAUGGUGAACAUGGCCUAUCUUUAAAGGGAAACACCUACUGGUUUGCUUCAGAAAGACCAUCUAUCAAUGGUUUCUUAGUCUGUUUCGAUUUCACAAGAGAGACAUUCGGGCCGCCUUUGUCUCUACCGCGUGUAUCUUAUUUUCAAGAUACCGUGAGUCUAUCUAGUGUUAGAGAAGAUCAGCUUGUGGUUUUCUUCCAGACCUGGGAUAUAUUGACGUUUGAGAUCUGGAUUUCCACUAAGAUUGGUGAUGACCCUAACGCCGUGUCCUGGAACAACAAGUUUUUCUUAUCGGCCAAUAUCAAACAACUCAUUCACCCUCAGUGGCAGUUUCCUGCAUCUGCGAGUUUCUUCAUUGACGAGGAGAAGAAAGUCGCCGUGGUUUUUGAUAAAGACACAGAUAUACGAAACCCCACUCGCGAAGUAGCUUACAUCAUUGGAGUAGAUGGAUCCUUGAAAGAAGCAGCAGAUGUCAGAGAAUGUGCAGACCGUUAUUGUGAUGCAUUUCUUUGCUCAUAUGUUCCAAGCUUAGUGCAACUUAAUUAAUUAGCUCCCCCACCUAUUUAUUUUACUUGUUUUGUUUCCUUCCUCAUCGAAAGACUUGUGUACUCAAUAAUACUCAUAUCUAUUUUUAAGUUCUUUUGUUUUUCAUCCUUGUUUAUGUUUUUUGCCCUAUUUUGACUUCCGUUUUCACAUCAUCUUCCUUUAGACUCAUUUCUUACCUCUGCAGGUUUGUAUGAGUGCCCUCUCUUUGUCUAAUGUUUUCAUCAUUCUAAAGGAGUAAGAAUGGUGUUUGAUGUUUUGUUGGACAAGGAAACCUUAACGGGAGACGAUUUCGAGCAAUCAUGCUGAAUACAGUGACAAGCCGUUGAAUGCCGAUGAUAGAGUUCGAGUCAAAGAUUUAAUUAGUGUGUAAUACAAAAAAAAAAAAUAAUACUUAGUGUUGGUAUUACAAACUCAAACUAGACUUCACCUAUUAAAGUUUCAAAACCGGCCAAAAAUGUCCUUGACUGCUUGGUAAGUUCCGCUUGUUUUUCAUCCUUGUUUAUGUUUUCUUUGCCGGUUUUCACAUCAUCUUCCUUAGACCAAAACUGUCCUCUCAUUUCUUACCUCUGCAGGUUUGUGUGAGUGCCUCUCUUUGGCUAAUGUUUUAUCACUCUAAAGGAGUAAGAUUGGUGUUUGCAGAGCUGUGCGAGCAUUUACGGCUGUCCAAGGCGAAUUUUUUUUAAAAUAAAAGUUUAUACAUUAAAAAUAAUAAGCACUAUGUUUCCAAAUGAUAUAAAUUUAUAUGUUUUAAUAUGUAUUAAGAAAACAUAUUAAAUAUUAUUUAUAAAUGUAAUAUUUCUUGUGUUUACCAAUUACCGAUAACUUUAUAUUAUUAGGAUUUUCAGAAUCAUUAUUAAGUUUUUUCAAUUUUGUAAUUCAUCAUUAUUAACUAAUAAAACAUGCCUAGAAAAUGUAUGUAUCUUUUUGAAAAUUUUUUGUUAUAAAACAUUAAUUAUCUUUUAAGUAAUACAUAAUGUUCAGAAAAUAAUAUCAAUACAAACUACUAUAGAAUAAAAAUAUAUAAGAAAUAAACUAACAAACGAUAUUUUAUCUAAUAUUUACGAAAUUGUUAAGAUUUUAUCCUUAAAUAUGAUAUUUUAGAUAAAAAUAAUUAAGUCACUUAAAUGUUUCAACAAAAAUAAAAUUUUAUAAUAAAAUAUUUUAGAAAAUACACCUAAAACUAUUAUUGUUAACCACUCUAACUACUCUUAUUCAUUAGUAAUUAACAAUUAUUUACAUAUUUGUUAAUUAUGUAACCCAUGUUUUCAUCAUAAUCCAUGGUUUUCUCUAUAACCUAAAUACCACUGUGAUUUCAUUGUAUAAUAUUUGUUUUUUUAUUAUUAUAUUAUGCCAUUAAUGUUUACAUAAGAUGAUGGAUGUCCUUGAAUUUUUUUAAAAGUUUGAUGCCCUAAGAGCAUGUUUAUCGCUGACUCUGAACUAAGUAUCUUAGAGCAUGUUCAUUGAAAUAACCCCUAAGUGGGCUUUUAACCAAUAUUUUAGUAUUAAAAGUAAGUCAAGAGUUUAUGCUAAGAACCACAUAAUUUUUAGUCCUCCAAUGCUAGGUUCUUAAGUUAAAAGUUCUUAAAAAAAAUUUAAAAACAUUUUUUAAGCUAAUACAACUAUGUUAAAGGUUCAUUGUCUCCUGACUUUCUCAAUUGCAUAACAAGAAAACAAAUACAACUAUGUUCAUUGUCUUGUGACUCUCUCAAUUGCAUAACAAGAGCAACAUAAAACAAAGAUCAUUUAAGCAUUACAAGUUUUUGCCAUACCGAGAACAAGAUCAACAACUUACCUAUCAAGUGAUGAAGAAACAAACCAGCUGCAACAUCACGUUCAAGCUCUCCACUCCCAUCUUCUGUAGCAGCCGCAACUUCAAACCUGUAUAUGAUAGACACAGAGUUGAAUUUGAAAUCAAACACGAUAGACACAAUUUGAACUUGAAAUCAAACACGAUAGACACAAACAUGAAUUUUAAUACUUCUGAAAAAGAAAGAAUCCAUUACAUGAUCCAUUUAAGAAACACAAAAGAGGCAACAAGAAGUAUACAAGAAUCUACAAACUCACCAUAUUUCAUUGCCAGACACGGGUCUUGCUCAUCCAUGACCCUGAUCAGUUUUGCAGGAUUUCCAGCAACCACACUUCAAGAAUCCCAAAAAAGGCUGUACAUAGUUACUAACCCACAAACAUUGAAGAUUUUUUUAGACUCACUUUCUUUUAUACCUAUGCGGAGGAACGUCCUUUAACACAAGUGAACCUGCAGCUACCAUUGCCCCAGCACCUAUGCUUAUGUUUCCAAGUACAGUCACACAGGCUCCAAGCAAUGCACCUUCCCCUAUUUUUGGAUGACGGUCGCCGGUUUCCUUCCAUGUUCCCCUAUGACAGGGAACAAGAAACACCAACUCACAUCUGCUUCAAGGAGAGCUCUUCUGAUAUCCUUCAUUGGCUCAGCAAUAUUCUCCUUCGUCAUGACAUCUGCAAGUUCAAAUAAACAUAACUAAAUUUUAACCUUACUCAUCCUCUCUGCAUCUGUUAGUGCUAAUAUUUAAUAUUGCACUGCCUAGGAGUAUAAAUUGAACGGUUUCUCACUUCUUUGUCUAAGAUACAAGUUUCUGUUUUAUGGGUCAAGAGCCAAAACUACCAAAAGCUAAUAGCUUUAGAGAUUUUUUUUUAACUAAUUAUGAUUCAUGUGUUCCAUAUGAUUCUGUAUACAAUUCACCACUCAAUUCAAAUACAAUUGGGACCAAUCGAAGCUAAAAGGUAGAUAAGCAAACAAGAGAUUUAGCGGAUAAUUUUAGAGGCAAAACUAUAUGAAAAGUGUGCCUCCACGUUUAUACACUGCGAUUCAAUCUAUGCCUCGAUGACUAGCAUUUAUUUUCGUUAUUCUUAAAAACAAGCUAAAGGUGAGUGAGGCAGUAUAACAAAAACGGUUCCUUUCCUCCCAAAAGAACAAACAAAACAAGAUACAUAAAUGUAAAAUAGAAGCUGACGAUGAGAUGAGCUUUAGAGAUUUACACGAACCUUCUCCUUUGAGUUUGGUCCAAGCAGCAUCGAGUCCACUCGUCAAUUGACAAAACAUCUCCGCCCUCACUUCAGGAGGACUCCUUGUGUAUCUUCCAUGGCCAAUUGUCUUCGAUUUCACCCAACUCCAUAACGAGAUUUCUUCUUCGACGAAAGACAACGACGAGAUUCUUUGACGCGAGCACCGAUUGAAAGAUCGAGGAAAGCACCAACUUCAUCUCGUUCGUCGACUUCGACUUUUCUUUUUCUCUCAUUACCACAAAACCAAUACCCUAGUUUAACAAGAGCCGGUUCUUCCAUGCACUAUAGUGUAUUUAGGUAUAUACACAUUUUAGUUGUUCCCAGUAAUUUUUUAAGUUGCAAUUACUAUGUUUUCCUAUUGCUUAAAUUAAAGAGAAACAGACAAAAAUAAUACUAAAUCAAGUUUUUGUUCUCAAACUAGCACUCAAGAUCUAAAAUCACAAAAAUAGCACUCAAAAACUAAAAUGAUCAAAAUAGCACAUUUCUAAGUUUAUCAUUUGAAAAUUUUAAUUUUUUUAUUUUUCAAAAUUUGAAAUCUUAUCCCCAAAACCUCAUUUCUAAACCCUAAACCCUAAACUUUAAACCCUAAACCCUAAACCCUAAAAUCUAAACCCUAAACUCUAAACCCUAAACCCUAAACCCUAAACCCUAAAUCCUAAAUCCUAAACCCUAAAUCCUAAAUCCUAAACUCCACCCUUUAACUCUAAACCCUAAGUUUGUGACUUUUGAUAAAACAUUAAGUGCUAUUUUUGUGACUUUUGACCUUGAGUGCUAGUCUGGGAACAAAAACUUGAUUUAGUACUAUUUUUGUCUUUUUCUCAUUUAUAUAUUUUACAUGUAAUUUUAAAUUAAUUUUUAACUUCAUUGUUAUAUGGCUAACAUAUUUAACUAUAUAUAAAAAAUAUUUAUCUUGCGUAUCUAAUAUUUUAUAACAAUUUAUUUUUUGGUUUAGUCUUAUAAAUUCAGUAUUCAACGGCUAAUAUAUAUAUAAUGUUUAUGUAUUUAAAAAUUAACCGCUAAAAUUUAUUAUUACACGACUAACAUAUUUAAUAACAUGUAACAAUUUAUUUAUUCAGUAUAUCUACUAAUUUAUAAUAGUUUAUUUUCGGUAUAGAUUUGUAAAUUCAUUGUUAGACGGCUAAUAUAUGUAUAAUAUUGUAUACCAAUUAAUUUUUCCAUGAUAUCAUAUCUGGAAUUAAUUCUAAUAUUUAUUUCAAUUUUAUGGACAUGUUUAUCAAAUACUCUUAAUAUGAGUUCUACCUCGCGGAGUUCAACUUUUUUGUUCCUCUUUUGUUCGAAGAUUCUUUGGGUCACUCGUUUAAGACGAUCAAUACGACUCAGUCUCAGAACUAGUUUGCGCACAAACCGAGCAAAGAUCCCGUGGCGUUUGUCCUGAAGAAAACUGUUUUUGUAUUACAUGAAAGUAAUUUCAGAAUUUAGUGAAUGUGUGUGUGUGUGUGUGAUCAACUGAUUAUAUAAACCAGUGAUUAUGUAGAUCAUUAUCUGGAACACAUCUUCUUCAAUUUUUUAGAUUCAUCAGAAAAAAAAAGAAAAAAAAACAGAGGAAGAAGAUGGGAAAGAAGGUGGGGGAAAAAGAAAACGAUAAUGAAAGAGAAAAUGAAAAUUUUAUUUACUUUUAGAAAUUGUACAAUUUUUACGGGAGGGUUCUAAAAGUAAUUGCACAUAUUAUUUAUCUACUGUAGUUCCUAAUUGAGUCUUAAUUAAGAGUCGUUCCUUAGAUAAUUAGCUAUUUUUUUUUAAUUCAUAAUUAUCCUAAGAACAUGAUUAUUGGGAGUUCUUAGAAUGAGAUUCUUACUGAAAUAUAAGAACCCGUCUCUUAACUUUUAACUAAAAAAAUUAAGAAACGGCUCUUAAAACUCUUAUUUAAGAACUAGUUCUUAUCUUUUUCAAUUAAAAGUUAAGAAACGAGUUCUUAUAUUACGAUAAUAAUCUCACCCUAAGAACCAUGCAAUAAUCAUGCUCUUGAACCAUACUUAAGAUACCCAAUAAACAUGCUCUUAAGCUAAUUACGAUUAAAAAAGAAGGAAAAAAAAAGGAAAAACACGAGAGGUGUCUCUUAAUUAAGAGAGCCAAGCUAUGUCUCUUAGGUGUGUUGUUGCUCCCCUCUCGUUUCUUCCUCUCCUGAUUGGUGUCUCUCUUGGACGAAAGAGCCACGUAUCUUGACGAGGAAGAAAAACGGCGUCUAUUCGAUCGUCUUUCAAAUUCAUCUCCGCAGAAUCCUUAACUCUUCGCAACGAUUCCAUUUCCAGAUCAGGUAGGGUUUCUGGUAAAUUUUGUAUUUUGAUCGAACAGCGUAGAUUUGUUUAAUUUAACUACUUGUUUUUGAUAAUCAACCAACGGAGCUUACUCACUACUUGUUUUCAAUUCCUGUGAUAGAUCUUGAAAGUUUAGAGCUUUAAAGCCAAUUUGCUGAUCGCUUUGUCCUGUAAACAGUUUCUGGAAAUGAGAAACAUUUACAUUUGUAAAAGCUAAGAUAACUCUCGAGGGUUUAGAGCUUUGUAGACAAUCAUAUUUUGAUAUGAUUUUCUCUGAUUAAACUUAUGUCUUUGAUUUUGGUGAUGGAUUUAGGGAGAAAGCCACUUGCUAGAUUCCCUUCCGGCGAUUGGGUGAUCUCAGAGAUGCCUGUUACACAGCAAGAUCUGAAGCUCGCCGUAUCAAAGGUGUGGUGUCUUUGAUACUGGUUAUAGUGUCACUGCUUGAUUGGAAUGUUUCUGAUGAAGGUUUUCGAUAUAGGUUGGUGACUUUUCGGAUGAUAACCGAUCAAAGAUUAACAGAUCUUUGCAUCGUAUAAGCGCUAUACGUAACCGGAAACUCCAAAUAAUUGGUUUAACGUGUUGAGUGGGACGAGUUGUAUCGGGAAGUGCGGAGAUCAUAAGAGACUUGAUAGAAGGAGGAGGAUCCAUCUUGGUCAUAGGAUCUCCUGGAGUUGGCAAAACAACUUUAAUCAGGUACAUUGAUGUUACAUAUUAUAUAACAAAGUUGUGAUGUUACAUGUGAUAAGAUUAGUUAGUUUUGUAUAGAGAAAUCGCACGGAUGUUAGCUGAUGAGCACAGGAAACGCGUAGUGAUUGUUGACACGUCAAACGAGAUUGGUGGUGAUGGUGAUGUUCCUCACUCUGGUAUCGGCCGUGCCAGGCGGAUGCAAAUUCCAAAUGUGAAUCUACAGCACGAUGUAAGUGUAUGAAAGCUUAGCCUUGAAGUAAAAACGUUUUUGUAACGUUUAAAAAACCUCACACACUAAGAAUGGGUCCUGGAUGUGGAAGAAGUUGCUGAAACUAAGACCAUUGGCAAAGCAGAUGAUAAGAAUGGAUGUUAAUAGUGGCUCCAACACUUCUUUCUGGUUUGAUAAUUGGUCGCCGCUGGGGAGUCUAAUUGAGCUAACAGGGGAACUAGGUACAAUGGAUCUGGGCAUUCCUCUAAAUAGUACGGUGGAAAGGGCUAUACAGCUAUACCGGCCAAAGAGACAUAGAGUAUCCAUUCUUCAGUUGAUUGAUAAAGAGAUUGGGGUGUUGAAGAACAGAGGAUUGAAUCAGCAGGAUGAUAUAUGUCUUUGGAAGAGAGAAAAUGGGGAUUUUAAAGAAGGUUUCUCCACGGCGCAAACUUGGAACAUUACUAGAGCUCAGUCACCGAGUGUCUCUUGGUUCAAAGGAGUAUGGUUUCCUGGUGCUACUCCAAAGUUUUCUUUCCUCAUAUGGAUUGCAAUACAUAAUAGACUAUCAACAGGAGACAGGAUUUUAAGAUGGAAUCCUCAGGCUGUAUCUACAUGCUGGUUGUGUAAAACAGCACCUGAAACGAGGGAUCAUUUGUUUUUUGAGUGUGUUUAUUCACAAGAAGUUUGGUUGAAGACUAUCAAGAACCUAGCAGGUAACAGAAUUAGUAGUGAUUGGUCUAGUGUGGUCCAAGUGGUGGUGAAUGGAUUCCAUGGUAGGAUUGUGACUUUUCUUCUUCGCUAUUGUUUUCAAGCAGUCGCAUAUGCAUUAUGGCAUGAACGAAACGUGAGAAGGGUGAGUGAACCUUCUUUGCCUGCUCGUUGUCUAGUUGCUCGACUGGAUAAGUUGGUCAGGAACAGGAUCACGUCUUUGAGGAAGAAGAAAGGAGAAAAAUAUGAGAAGGCAAUGGAGGUUUGGUUUAGUAGAAACUAAUGGAGAUUUGAACAUUGUAUAGAAACUUGUAGAUUUUAUGUUUUAUGAUUGAGGCAGUGAAAAAUCUGUAACAAGGUUCUUUUGAUUGAAAUAAAUUUAAAAUUCUUUCAAAAAAAAAAAAAAAAAACCUCACACAGGUUAUGAUUGAGGCGGUUGAGAAUCAUAUGCCUGAGACCAUCAUCAUUGAUGAGAGAGGAGUCCAGCUUGUGACUCCCAUUCCUUCAGAGACGAUGUUCCUCAUAAGCUAGUGACUCCCAUUCCUUUGGAGAAUCUUAAAGAGGAGCCUGCACCAUUGCUCAACAUAGAUUUUGCAAGUGAAGUGUUGUCUGACGACGAAAGAUGAAGACUUUCUUCCCACUCCGUAUUUGAAAGCCGGCAGUAACAUAUCAAAGAGCCAAAGAAGUUCACAUGUUCAUGUUUAUACUCGCAAUGUAAAUAGUCUAAUUUUUUUUUAAGAACCCUUAACUUAAGAAACUAUCAUUGGAUGACUAAAAUUAGGUGUUUCUUAACAUAAACUCUUAAUUUUAAUACUAAAAUAUUGAUUAAAAACCCACUUAGGGGUUACCCCAAUAAACAUGCUCUAAGCAAAUAUUUAUUUUUUUACCACUGAAGCACGGCCCUGGGUGUUUGUGGCUUCACUAUUUCAUAGACAUACCUAAUUUUUGUGCUACACAUCUCUUACACAAUCUAAUAUGAUGUUACUCUCCAUGUGUUUAAAUAAAAGACAUUAGACCACUUACAUUGGAGACUCUAAUAAGAGGUUCUAAAAAAAAAAACCAAAAAAUAAAUAAAUGAAAAAUGAGUUAAAAAGAGAGAACCGGUGCCUAAAUAUAACAUUUUUAGAACUGGUAAAGACUAGAGAUGGCAAUUGGGUCUUCCUGUCCCGUCCCGUCCCGCCCCGCCGCGGUCUUCAGUUCAAAUGGGUCUCAGCGGGACAGGCCCGCGCGGGAUGCGGUCUUGUCGAGGGCUGACCAAUCCCGCCCCGCAUAGUACAUGGGCUUUGCGGGUCGGCCCGCGGGACGUCGGGUCAUCAUACCUGCAUAAACGAAACAAUAUGAUCAAACAUAACUCACUUGCGUCUGGACACAGAAACAAACAUCAAAAUAUAUAUAUAAACUCUUGUUCAGUUAUCAAAACUAAUUUUUUUCAUUAGCUCUAAACAUUAAAACAUGCACGAUUGGUUGUUCAGCUAUAGAAAACAAAAGGCUUUGGAAUAUUCAGGGACAAAAUUUAGAAACACAUAAUGACAUAAUCAAGAAACAUAACAACAUCUUGCUUGUUUCUUAACAAAUCAGAUGCCGCAAACGUAUGUAAGUUUCUUGUUUGUUAUCUAAGCUCUUAAACAUAAAACGUUUUUCUUACUUGUGGUUUCGUCUUAGUGAUCUUAAGCAUGCUCUCAUCUCCUCUGCUUUUGAAGCUGGGCUUGGAGACAGCAGUAUUGUUCAAAGAGUCCAUGGGAGCAGCUGUAGAGAACAAAGAUAAGAGUAAAUGCACUAUUAAUAGAUUUGUUGAACAUGGAUGCUGGAUAAUUAGGUACCUGUUGAGGAAGUGUGUUCUGUACUAAAAGUUUGGAGAAGUCGUCACUGUAUAUGGCUGGGGUUAAAACAGAUGAUAGUGAGGCUAUUUUGGAGCAAUUACCUUUUGAAGCUGGUACUCUUCCGGUACGUUAUCUUGGACUCUCACUGCUUACUAAGAGAAUGAAUGUUCAUGACUACAGUCCACUCAUCUCUAGAAUAAGGAAUAUGAUCUCUUCUUGGACAGCGAGGCAUCUGACUUUCGCAGGUAGGCUUCAACUUAUUGGAUCUGUACUUUACAGUAUCACGGCCUUUUGGAUGUCAGCGUUCAGAUUACCAAGCCAAUGUAUUCAAGAGAUUAAUAGUAUCUGCUCAGCAUUCCUCUGGUCCGGGCCGGUUCUAUCUUCUCAAGAAGCUAAGAUAGCUUGGGUUGAUGUCUGUAAACCGAAAGAAGAGGGAGGUUUAGGACUAAAGAAUCUAGCUGAAGCCAAUAAAGUGUCCUGUUUGAAGUUAAUUUGGCGUAUUCUAUCUGUAAAAUCCUCGUUAUGGGUAAAAUGGAUUUGGAAGUAUCUUAUUAGGAAGGGAUCUUAUUGGAGUGUCAAAGAGAAGAGCUCAUUAGGGUCCUGGAUGUGGAAGAAGUUGCUGAAACUAAGACCAUUGGUAAAGCAGAUGGUAAGAAUGGAUGUUAAUAGUGGCUCAAACACUUCUUUCUGGUUUGAUAGUUGGUCGCCGCUGGGGAGUCUAAUUGAGCUAACAGGGGAACGAGGCACAAUGGAUCUGGGUAUUCCUCUAAAUAGUACGGUGGAAAGGGCUAUACAGCUAUACCGGCCAAAGAGACAUAGAGUAUCCAUUCUUCAGUUGAUUGAUAAAGAGAUUGGGGUGUUGAAAAACAGAGGAUUGAAUCAGCAGGAUGAUAUAUGUCUUUGGAAGAGAGAAAAUGGGGAUUUUAAAGAAGGUUUCUCCACGGCGCAAACUUGGAACAUUACUAGAGCUCAGUCACCGAGUGUCUCUUGGUUCAAAGGAGUAUGGUUUCCUGGUGCUACUCCAAAGUUUUCUUUCCUCAUAUGGAUUGCAAUACAUAAUAGACUAUCAACAGGAGACAGGAUUUUAAGAUGGAAUCCUCAGGCUGUAUCUACAUGCUGGUUGUGUAAAACGGCACCUGAAACGAGGGAUCAUUUGUUUUUUGAGUGUGCUUAUUCACAAGAAGUUUGGUUGAAGACUAUCAAGAACCUAGCAGGUAACAGAAGAAGUUGUGAUUGGUCUAGUGUGGUCCAAGUGGUGGUGAAUGGAUUCCAUGGUAGGAUUGUGACUUUUCUUCUUCGCUAUUGUUUUCAAGCAGUCGCAUAUGCAUUAUGGCAUGAACGAAACGUGAGAAGGGUGAGUGAACCUUCUUUGCCUGCUCGUUGUCUAGUUGCUCGACUGGAUAAGUUGGUCAGGAACAGGAUCACGUCUUUGAGGAAGAAGAAAGGAGAAAAAUAUGAGAAGGCAAUGGAGGUUUGGUUUAGUAGAAACUAAUGGAGAUUUGAACAUUGUAUAGAAACUUGUAGAUUUUAUGUUUUAUGAUUGAGGCAGUGAAAAAUCUGUAACAAGGUUCUUUUGAUUGAAAUAAAUUUAAAAUUCUUUCAAAAAAAAAAAAAAAAAACCUCACACAGGUUAUGAUUGAGGCGGUUGAGAAUCAUAUGCCUGAGACCAUCAUCAUUGAUGAGAGAGGAGUCCAGCUUGUGACUCCCAUUCCUUCAGAGACGAUGUUCCUCAUAAGCUAGUGACUCCCAUUCCUUUGGAGAAUCUUAAAGAGGAGCCUGCACCAUUGCUCAACAUAGAUUUUGCAAGUGAAGUGUUGUCUGACGACGAAAGAUGAAGACUUUCUUCCCACUCCGUAUUUGAAAGCCGGCAGUAACAUAUCAAAGAGCCAAAGAAGUUCACAUGUUCAUGUUUAUACUCGCAAUGUAAAUAGUCUAAUUUUUUUUUAAGAACCCUUAACUUAAGAAACUAUCAUUGGAUGACUAAAAUUAGGUGUUUCUUAACAUAAACUCUUAAUUUUAAUACUAAAAUAUUGAUUAAAAACCCACUUAGGGGUUACCCCAAUAAACAUGCUCUAAGCAAAUAUUUAUUUUUUUACCACUGAAGCACGGCCCUGGGUGUUUGUGGCUUCACUAUUUCAUAGACAUACCUAAUUUUUGUGCUACACAUCUCUUACACAAUCUAAUAUGAUGUUACUCUCCAUGUGUUUAAAUAAAAGACAUUAGACCACUUACAUUGGAGACUCUAAUAAGAGGUUCUAAAAAAAAAAACCAAAAAAUAAAUAAAUGAAAAAUGAGUUAAAAAGAGAGAACCGGUGCCUAAAUAUAACAUUUUUAGAACUGGUAAAGACUAGAGAUGGCAAUUGGGUCUUCCCGUCCCGUCCCGUCCCGCCCCGCCGCGGUCUUCAGUUCAAAUGGGUCUCAGCGGGACAGGCCCGCGCGGGAUGCGGUCUUGUCGAGGGCUGACCAAUCCCGCCCCGCAUAGUACAUGGGCUUUGCGGGUCGGCCCGCGGGACAUCGGUUCAUUAUACCUGCAUAAAUAAAACAACAUGAUCAGACAUAACUCACUUGCGUCUGGACACAGAAACAAACAUCAAAGUUUAUCAGACUGAGCAAUACGUGUUCACUAGAAUCACUACCUAUCAAACUAAGCAAUAACAAUUCAAGUUCUAUUAAACUAACCUCAUAUCUAAGCUCUUAAAAAUAAAACGUUUUUCUUACUUGUGGUUUCGUUUUAGUGAUCUUAAGCAUGCUCUCAUCUCCUAUGCUUUUGAAGCUGGGCUUGGAGACGGCAGUAUUGUUCAAAGAGUCCAUGGGAGCAGCUGUAGAGAAGAAAGAUAAGAGUAAAUGCAUUAUUAAUAGAUUUUUUGAACAUGGAUGCUGGAUAAUUAGGUACCUGUUGAGGAAGUGUGUUCUGUACUAAAACAAACAGAGCUUUGGAUAUAGUUCGGUGUAGUCUAUUGCUUAGCAUGUGAAUGAAAUGUCCAACAGUCAUGUCUCGUGGGACCAAGAACCUGCACAGGUCAAAACGUGAUUCAUUCAACUAGUGUAUUGAUAUAUAUUCACAUUUUGUUUAUGUUCUUCCCUCAGAAAAAGAAACACAAAUGAUUUCGUGCAAACUUACAAAGGAAUUCUUAACUAUAGCUUAUGACUACAAAGGACCUCAAAUGGUUUCGUGAACCACAAGUCACCUGCAACAAGAAGAGACCAAGAUAGAUUAGACCAUAACAUAAGUCAGACUCUUGAUACCAACAUGUUCAAGUUCUAACAGACUAACGAUUAGAUCAAAAUGAUAUCUUGAAUCUGCACAAAUUUCAUCAGUCUUCAAGGUUCUGCUGUGAAGCUGGUACUCCCCUGUACCAAACAAACCACUUUGGUGAAGAAUUGUGACUUAGAACUCCGCCACUUAGAGCCCACAACCUGAUGUAGCUCUGUUCUCGGUGAGAAAAGUGUAGCGGGCCUCAAUGUUUGCCCGCAUCCCGCUUCGGCCCGUCCCGCUUCGGCCCAGUACCGCCGCGGUCCUGUCCCGCCAGACCCGCAACUAAACGGGCCACAAUAUCUUUGCCCAAUCCCGCCCCGCAAUGGGCCUUUUCGGGUCAGGCCCGCGGGCAAGCCCUUGAACUGCCAUCUCUAGUAAAGACCCUAUACAUGUUUCUUUGUUAUUGGCUAAUGCCUUCUCUCUCUUCCUCUUCCUCUUCCUCUUCCUCUUAGUCGAUGUUUUUUUUUGGUUUGAGAAAGAGAUCUUCGUCGAUUUUGAUCGAGAAAUGAUCUCUUCUCCUUCUCUCUCCCUCACCGUCUCGUCUCAUCUCUCUCUAUCGUCCACCGGAAUCUACCUCUCUGUUGCCUUCACUCUCCGCUUUCACCCGGACCCGACCCGAUAGAAUCCGAGUAUCCACCGCCGAAGUGGCGGAGGAGGUAGAAGACGGUCCUGUCGAGCUUCCUCCGUCGGCCAUAUCUCCGUUCUCGUCCACUAACUCAAUAUUCGCCACUUCCGAUGACCUCACUCCUCUCCAGCUAGCCACCAGCGNNNNNNNNNNNNNNNNNCACCACCUUCCUCUUCCGAUCGAUUCGACGGCGAGCUAAACACUCCAAAGAGAUGUUAAAGUUUUCAUCUUUCCUCUCGUUCUCAGUGAAUCCGAAUUGAAAGUUUUCGACUUGGUGUGAGAAUUGCAGACGUUUAGAUCGUCUGGAGUGAAGAAGUCGUUGAAAGAUGAAGCGGUGGAGAAACUGAAAGCAAUGGGGGUCGGCUCCGAUUGAAGAAGGUGGUGGUAAGUCGACGACACCAUCGGCGGCUCAGGCGUUUCUUGGUGCAGUUUCGGCAUGUGUCAUUGCUGUCAUUCUCUAUAAGUUCACUACUACCAUUGAAGCAGGACUCAAUCGUCAGACUAUUUCUGAUAAUUUCUCGGUAUCGUUCCUUCUUUUUUCUCUUGGUUCAUUCUCAUUGCUUGUGUCAAAGUUCAUGUUUAUGUCCGUCUUUGCUUUGCUUUGGUUGUUGGGGUUUAGCAAGUAAGGUUGACUUGUGAUCCAAGUAUUAUCAUUGUCUCUGUAUUAGUAAAUGCACAUAACUGAGAAGAGGUUAAAAAAAAAAGAAGUUGAUAAAGUAUCAUCAUGGUCUCUUUAUCUGUAAACGCCCACUCUUGAGAGAGAUAAUAGUAUGGAAUAAAGGCUCCAUAGGCCCAUGAUUUCUGAAUUCAGUGUGCAGCUAGCUAUAUUCAUUAUGUGAAGGGCCCUCUGUUUAUGAUCAUUGCUUGUGUACGUACAUGGAAGGUGAAUGCAUUAAGAGUCUGAGUUUCUGAGUUUCUGAGGAAAGUUUCUGAGUUUUAUCAAACUCUGUGUGAUUCUUCUCGGAAGGUGAAUGCAUUAAGAGUCUUUCUUUCUUUGUUUUAUUUACUCCCUAGGAUUAGAUUCUGAACCUUGAAAAUGGUAAUGCAGAUAAUCGAUGCAGGAGAAACUAUGGAGGAAGUAGAGAAGAAGAUUCAACAAGUGGUGUUGGAUAAAGUUAAAGAGUGUGUUCAAGGAAAGUCUCUUUCUCUCCUCUGGUCAUCUUUUAUGAUUUUUAACCAAUCCACUCUUGUAGAAUGUUUGUGUUAUGGUGAUUAUACCAAGUUUGUGAUUUUCAAAGAACUAUUAUAUCAACUUAACAAGUAUUUUGCAAAAUCUAAUCAUUCAACUUCUUUAAAAAAAAUAAAAAAAAAUUAAGAAUUCUCUCCAUUGGACCAUGAAAAAAUUAAUUACACUAACAUAAGUUCUAAACUUUUCAAAUCAUACAAUUAACUAUUAAAUUAUUUAUUAGAGCCCCUAAUGGGUUCUUACCAUUGGAGUUGCUCUUACAGUGAGGAUUUUGCGGAGAAAACUGGUUCUAGUGAAGAACAAUGAUUUAGAUUUUAGGUUCUGAAUGUGUUCCUGUUUCUUUUAUUAUUUGCUUUUUGUUCUGACUUCAUGCCUAGUUAAUGAUACAAACAUUUAUCUAUGGACUCUGUUCUUAUGCAGUUCUAUAUUUCUGGUUGGUAGUUUUAUUUCUUUGUCUAAUGUUUUGAUCAUUCUAAAGAGUUUGUUGAUGUUUGAUGUUUUGUUGGACAAGGAAACCUUAACGGGAGACGAGUUUCGGGAAACAUUUAUCUACACUGACAAACCGUUGAAUGCCGAUGAUAGAGUUCGAAUCGAAGAUUUGAUUAGUGUGUAAUACAAAAAUAAUAAUAAUACUAUGGUACUGAUAUUAAACUCAAACUGGACUUCACUUUUAAAAUUUUUAAAACCGACCAAAAAUGUCCUUUACCGCUUGGUAAGUUCCGGUUAUCACAACCACGAUACCAAGCAGUAUAAUACCGAUGAGAACCAGCGUGUCGAACCCGAGACGUCAGUAUUUGCCAGAGAUCUUUAGGUAACACAAACAUGGCAAUAUAACUGACGCAGUUGCGCUCAAGAAUGCUCCGACCAAACUCAUGAGAUCACCAAAAAACGGAAGAAGCAAUGCUACAAUCAAAUUGCUAGCAACCAACACCGUACUAAGGAUCAAACCGGCGGCUUUUUUGUUAGGCAGAAACCAUGAAAACCGGCUCCUCAAUGCGUCCAUAAUAGGUGUAACCACUAGGGCAAACUUAGCAAUUGGGUUCACCAAUGUAGUGCAUAUCGCCACUUUUGAAAUAAGUUUAUCAGUCGGAAGAUUCAGUGUUAUCUGUGAUUGAUUCUACAUUUGAUCCAUACAUUAAGUAGCCCAAUAUCGCCACCGAUGCAUAUAUGAAUGUGCAUAUUGUGAAACAUAUAACCAUAACCUUCAAAUAAAACAAAAAGACAAACAAAUUUAGUAUAUAACCAUCAUAUUAUAUAAUGGUAUGUUUUGAUAUAAUGUACGUUUGAGAAUUGGCGUUUGUUUUUCAUGGAAGUAUAUAGAGUAGGGAAAACCGGAUGAGCGCAAUAACAAAACGCGUAUAAGCUCACGGAGGUAGUGACUCCAUUAAUACGAAAGAUCUUUGAGUCAUUGUUCUUGAACCCUACUCCUUCAAAUGCUCCAACCCAAAAUAUAGAAGCAAGAAUCAACAAAUAAGCAAAGACACCACUCGCGUGUGAAACACACAAGAAUGGAAAAAGAUGAAACUGUAACUUCAAUAUUUCAUUCAACUCAAGAAACCCUAAUACAUCGCUAGCCUCUUAUAUACAUGAGGAGGCACAAGGGUACAUCUUAACCUAAAGCUUGAGUUAGCACACGCCAGCAUCAAGUAGCUGGAAUCGGUUCACGGUAAGGAUAGGAUGCUCUGAUCUCCUCUGAGCUGGCUUCUCCGUACACAGAAGACGACAAGAGCUCAAGUUCUUCUUUUUACUCAGAACUGUAUCAUCGGCUAGUAUUGAAACUUCAGUGGGCUUAACGGGCUUGUCAACAUGUUUCUCAAUCGGCUCAGAUGCCAUUACGAAACCUUCUGUACCAGCUGGAGUCUUUGAGGAAGAUAGACUAAUAUACCCCCUCAAACUUGGAGUGGGCGGUAAAGACACGCCAAGUUUGCUGCGGAGCUUGAAAAACAGUUCCUGACUCAGAUAUUUCGUGAAGACAUCCGCAAGCUGAAGGGAAGCAGGAAUGUGCUUGACUUCCAAUGAUUUAGCUGCAACCCUCUCACGCACGUAGUGAUAAUCGAUAUCAAAAUGUUUUGUUCGUUUGUGAAACAUAGGAUUAGCCGUGAGACAGACUGCAGAUAAGUUAUCACAGAGAAGUAGAGGAGUUCGUUGUUGCUGUAGCCCCAUAAUACGCAGAAGAUUCUGUAACCAGACAAUCUCAGAUGCAGCAAUAGACAUAGUCCUAUAUUCAGCUUCAGUAGAUGAUUUUGAAACAGUGUCAUGGCGCUUUGCGGACCAAGAGAUGACGUUAGUACCAAGCAACGUACAGAAACCUCCAGUGGAGCGUCUUGUGUCCUUGCACCCAGCCCAGUCACUGUCGUUGUAGCAAAGCAGAGUAGAGUCUGAGUUAGCCUUGAUAGAUAUGACCAUGUCCACAGUGCCUUUGACAUAGCGCAUUAUACGUUUUAAUAGGCUGAAGUCUGACUGACUCGGUGCGUGCAUUUUCUGACAAAUGAAGUUCACAGCAAACUGGAUGUCUGGCCUUGUCAGAGUAAGAUACUGAAGCUUUCCCGCGAGGCUUCUGAAGUGUGAAGGGUCCGAGAACAGAACGUCUUGAUCAGGAACUUUCUCAAGCUUCAUGGGUAAAGGUGUAGGCAUGGGAGCACAAUCACGCAUGCCAGCAGUGAUUAGAAGAUCAGCUGCAUAUUUCUCUUGGUUCAAGAACAUACCGUCUGCGUAAUGAUGAACCUGAAUACCAAGGAAGUAAUGCAAAGGCCCCAUAUCUUUCAUGCGAAACUGUUUACCAAGUUGAAGUAGAAGAGUGUUCAGUAAGUCUUCAUUGUUACCCGUUAGAAUCAUGUCAUCAACAUAUAACAACAGAUAGAUGACAUCAGAUCCUUUGUGGUAAAUGAACAAAGAGGGAUCAGGGAAGCUGCAUUGAAAACCAAAGGCUAGAAGGAAGUCACUGAACUUGUCAAACCAAGCACGUGGAGCUUGUUUAAGACCGUAAAUUGCCUUCUUCAAGUGCCAGACAUAAUCAGGUCGUUCCAGGUCUUCAAAUCCCGGUGGCUGCUUCAUAUAAACUGUCUCUUUGAGAUAACCAUGUAAGAAGGCAUUUUGAACAUCCAGUUGCCUCAGUGACCAACGUUUUGUGACGGCUACAUGAAGAACUGUUCGGAUAGUAGCUGUUCGAACAACGGGACUGAACGUCUCGAGAAAGUCAACCCCUUGUUCUUGUUGAUUGCCUUUUGCGACCAAACGAGCUCUAAGACAUCUUACUGUACCGUCAGCAUUGAUCUUCUUCUUGUAAACCCAACCACAACCAAGCGGAUUCUGAUUUUCUGCAGGAGGAACAAGCUCAAACGUCUCAGUCUCCACCAUAUUGUCAACCUCUGUACCCAUUGCCUUUGUCCAACCAGGAUGUUUCAAUGCAGAUUUGACAGACUUUGGCUCAGCAUCAACAUCUUUGACUGUAAACAAAGCAUACUUCGGGUUCGGUUUUAUUAUUCCUGCACGAGCUCGUGUUGUCAUCUGAUGAACAGGUUGUUGGAUCUCAUCGUGAAGCUGAGGAUCAUCAAUGAUAUUGUCCUCUGACUCACUCUCAGAUACAACAGGUGAAGGAAUAGGUGGAGGUGGUAUAAUGGCUUCUUGCGCGACAAGUUCCGGAAGAACUGGAUCCUGAACUUCCAUAUGUGGAUGACAUCUCGGUGGUAUCACUUCUUCGUGAGGAGUGGAUGGAGUUACUGAGGUCUGACGAUGCAGAGAAGCGUCUCUCCAGGCAUUGAUCAAAGGAGAAGAACUUUCUUUGUGAUGAUCACUGUAUAUGUCACCGAAAGGAAAAGAGUUUUCAUCAAAGAGGACAUGUCUGCUGAUGAAAAUCUUGCCAGUAGGUGGAUAUAAACAUCUAUAACCUUUGUAUUUCUCAUUGUACCCGAGAAAUACACAAGAUAAAGACUUGGGAUCAAACUUGUUUUGCAUGUACGGACGCAGAGAGGGGUAACAUUUACAGCCAAAGACUCUAAGAGCUGUAUAGGUAGGCGGCUUUUGAUGAAUCAUUUCAUACGGGCUUUUGUUGUCUUGCAGCACCGAAGAAGGAAGAAGGUUAAUCAGAAACGUUGCAGAGAAGAACGCUUCAACCCAGAGAUGUUGAGGUACCUUCCCAUGAAACAUCAUUGUUAAACACGAUUGUAACACCGAGGAGCAGUGUGACCAAAACGUCCACAAAUCUGACACUGAGGGCGUGAGUUGGAGCUUGUGCAUGUAAACUGUUGAUGGAAACCACGACCACGAGUAGAGUAUGAUCCAGCACCACCGUUGUGUGAGAAGCCUCUCCCACGGUUACCACGGUUGUUGUAAUAGCCACGACCUCUGUGAGAGUACCCUCUGUCUGUAUUGAACGCCACAUGAGGAGAGACUUCUGGUGCUUGGUUGAAAGUUUUGAGCUUUUCAUCAAAGUUCACCAACUUAAAAACUGCAUCUUCAUAACUCAUUUCAGGAACUGAGUCCAUUGAGUGUUCAAUAACAGUACAAAUGGACUCAUAUUCUUUACCAAGACCACUUAACCCAGCAUAAAUCUUCUCUGGAUCUGAGACAGGACAUCCUAUAGAGUCUAGUUGAUCACAAACACUCUUAACUUCACCGAGAUACUCUGCCAUAGAUCUCUGAUUUUUCUUCAUACCUUGGAGUUUUCUCUGAAGGUCGAGCUUGCGCGUAGCAGACACCCGAUUGUACUUCUUCCCAAGACUGAACCACACUUCCUGAGCUGACUGGAGCCCAUAAACAGAUCGGAGAGCUUCUUCCGUAAGAGAACCAAAGAGCCAAGCCAUAACCAGUUGGUCUUUGUGGAGCCAUUUGACAAACUCAGGGUUUGCUUCCUCUGUAACUUCAUCACCGUUUCUGACAGACACCGUUGGUGAUGGUCGAGGAGAGGACCCGUUAAUGAACCCGAGAAGAGACUGACUACAGAGGAAUGACUCGAACUGAGUUUUCCACAAGAGAUAGUUUGUAGAAGAUAGUUUCAGAGUAACACAUUGUGUAAUACUGAGAGUUGAAAGAGAUUCUUGAGUUUCAGCCAUGGAUCUACUAACUGAGCUCUGAUACCAUGUGAAACACACAAGAAUGGAAAAAGAUGAAACUGUAACUUCAAUAUUUCAUUCAACUCAUUGUUACCCGUUAGAAUCAUGUCAUCAACAUAUAACAACAGAUAGAUGACAUCAGAUCCUUUGUGGUAAAUGAACAAAGAGGGAUCAGGGAAGCUGCAUUGAAAACCAAAGGCUAGAAGGAAGUCACUGAACUUGUCAAACCAAGCACGUGGAGCUUGUUUAAGACCGUAAAUUGUCUUCUUCAAGUGCCAGACAUAAUCAGGUCGUUCCAGGUCAUCAAAUCCCGGUGGCUGCUUCAUAUAAACUGUCUCUUUGAGAUCACCAUGUAAGAAGGGAUUUUGAACAUCCAGUUGCCUCAGUAACCAACGUUUUGUGACGGCUACAUGAAGAACUGUUCGGAUAGUAGCUGUUCGAACAACGGGACUGAACGUCUCGAGAAAGUCAACCCCUUGUUCUUGUUGAUUGCCUUUUGCGACCAAACGAGCUCUAAGACAUCUUACUGUACCGUCAGCAUUGAUCUUCUUCUUGUAAACCCAACCACAACCAAGCGGAUUCUGAUUUUCUGCAGGAGGAACAAGCUCAAACGUCUCAGUCUCCACCAUAUUGUCAACCUCUGUACCCAUUGCCUUUGUCCAACCAGGAUGUUUCAAUGCAGAUUUGACAGACUUUGGCUCAGCAUCAACAUCUUUGACUGUAAACAAAGCAUACUUCGGGUUCGGUUUUAUUAUUCCUGCACGAGCUCGUGUUGUCAUCUGAUGAACAGGUUGUUGGAUCUCAUCGUGAAGCUGAGGAUCAUCAAUGAUAUUGUCCUCUGACUCACUCUCAGAUACAACAGGUGAAGGAAUAGGUGGAGGUGGUAUAAUGGCUUCUUGCGCGACAAGUUCCGGAAGAACUGGAUCCUGAACUUCCAUAUGUGGAUGACAUCUCGGUGGUAUCACUUCUUCGUGAGGAGUGGAUGGAGUUACUGAGGUCUGACGAUGCAGAGAAGCGUCUCUCCAGGCAUUGAUCAAAGGAGAAGAACUUUCUUUGUGAUGAUCACUGUAUAUGUCACCGAAAGGAAAAGAGUUUUCAUCAAAGAGGACAUGUCUGCUGAUGAAAAUCUUGCCAGUAGGUGGAUAUAAACAUCUAUAACCUUUGUAUUUCUCAUUGUACCCGAGAAAUACACAAGAUAAAGACUUGGGAUCAAACUUGUUUUGCAUGUACGGACGCAGAGAGGGGUAACAUUUACAGCCAAAGACUCUAAGAGCUGUAUAGGUAGGCGGCUUUUGAUGAAUCAUUUCAUACGGGCUUUUGUUGUCUUGCAGCACCGAAGAAGGAAGAAGGUUAAUCAGAAACGUUGCAGAGAAGAACGCUUCAACCCAGAGAUGUUGAGGUACCUUCCCAUGAAACAUCAUUGUUAAACACGAUUGUAACACCGAGGAGCAGUGUGACCAAAACGUCCACAAAUCUGACACUGAGGGCGUGAGUUGGAGCUUGUGCAUGUAAACUGUUGAUGGAAACCACGACCACGAGUAGAGUAUGAUCCAGCACCACCGUUGUGUGGGAAGCCUCUCCCACGGUUACCACGGUUGUUGUAAUAGCCACGACCUCUGUGAGAGUACCCUCUGUCUGUAUUGAACGCCACAUGAGGAGAGACUUCUGGUGCUUGGUUGAAAGUUUUGAGCUUUUCAUCAAAGUUCACCAACUUAAAAACUGCAUCUUCAUAACUCAUUUCAGGAACUGAGUCCAUUGAGUGUUCAAUAACAGUACAAAUGGACUCAUAUUCUUUACCAAGACCACUUAACCCAGCAUAAAUCUUCUCUGGAUCUGAGACAGGACAUCCUAUAGAGUCUAGUUGAUCACAAACACUCUUAACUUCACCGAGAUACUCUGCCAUAGAUCUCUGAUUUUUCUUCAUACCUUGGAGUUUUCUCUGAAGGUCGAGCUUGCGCGUAGCAGACACCCGAUUGUACUUCUUCCCAAGACUGAACCACACUUCCUGAGCUGACUGGAGCCCAUAAACAGAUCGGAGAGCUUCUUCCGUAAGAGAACCAAAGAGCCAAGCCAUAACCAGUUGGUCUUUGCGGAGCCAUUUGACAAACUCGGGGUUUGCUUCCUCUGUAACUUCAUCACCGUUUCUGACAGACACCGUUGGUGAUGGUCGAGGAGAGGACCUGUUAAUGAACCCGAGAAGAGACUGACUACAGAGGAAUGACUCGAACUGAGUUUUCCACAAGAGAUAGUCUGUAGAAGAUAGUUUCAGAGUAACACAUUGUGUAAUACUGAGAGUUGAAAGAGAUUCUUGAGUUUCAGCCAUGGAUCUACUAACUGAGCUCUGAUACCAUGUGAAACACACAAGAAUGAAAAAAGAUGAAACUGUAACUUCAAUAUUUCAUUCAACUCAAGAAACCCUAAUACAUCGCUAGCCUCUUAUAUACAUGAGGAGGCACAAGGGUACAUCUUAACCUAAAGCUUAAGUUAGCACACGCCAGCAUCAAGUAGCUGGAAUCGGUUCACGGUAAGGAUAGGAUGCUCUGAUCUCCUCUGAGCUGGCUUCUCCGUACACAGAAGACGACAAGAGCUCAAGUUCUUCCUUUUACUCAGAACUGUAUCAACGGCUAGUAUUGAAACUUCAGUGGGCUUAACGGGCUUGUCAACAUGUUUCUCAAUCGGCUCAGAUGCCAUUACGAAACCUUCUGUACCAGCUGGAGUCUUUGAGGAAGAUAGACUAAUAUCGCGGAAACAUAAGAAAGAAUCCUCAUGUCGUCUAGCCAAACCGAGGGAAGAAUAAUAAGAGCUACAAGGACGAUGAACAUUUGCUUGCCUCCAAAUUCUAAACCCAUGAAGUUGAACCCAACGUUUGAGAAGAGUUUAUUAAGAUUGUCAUCUUCUAAGAUCAAGAAACUAGUAGCGACAAGGUAAAGCUCGAGGUUCAUGAAGAUGGAGACAACGACACGUCCUGUGUUUCCAAAGGCUUUGUAGCCAAUGUCCGGGUAAGAUCUAAUAAGUGGAUCCAUGUCCAUACAUCUCUUAAUGAGAAUGGCACAAUGGAGAGUUGUAAUGGCUAUGGUGAAGAAUAUGAUCAGACUUAGCCAUCCACCGGAUGCUAAUGCAUAAGGGACUGAUAAUACACUAAUACCUAAAGAAGAACAAAUAACAAAGGUCGAGUGAAUGACUGAUUGUCUAAAGCACACAAGCAACUGUAAUUUUGUUUGUGUUCAUAUGUGAACACAUUACAAGUAUUUUACAAAUUAUAAAUACACACGCAAAGAAACUGUGUUCAAGAUCGUUAUCAAGAUAUGAUUUGAUUUAAGAAGCUUGUACAGGAUUGAACACAUACGCGCCAAUCUAGAUACAAGUCUACAAGAUAAAGUCAAAAUCUUGAUUCAAAAGCUUGAACUAGAAAAUAUAACAUGUUUAGAUGCAUAUCUAUGUUAUUUAUACAUCAACACAUGUGGACAACUGGAUAAGCUAAGUGUUGGAUCCUUGGUUGUGAGUAUAGAACUUGAAUAAGAAUAGAAACUGUUUACAAAUUCUGUACUUCGCAAUUUCCAAAACUUGUUAUGAACUCGCCUCACGCGCUAUGCGAAAACUCUCUCAAACCUGAAGACCUCUUCGUUUCACCUCCUCCGUCGCCGUCUCCGGCGCCUGUCAGCCCCAUCUGGGAUGGCAAAGAAGAAAUCGGCGAAAGGAAAGGGUUCCACUGUUUCCCACGCUCGUCAAAACUCGUCUCCACCGAGUUCCUCUGUAUCAAAGUCUCUCUCUGUUGCAAAACAGAGACCUGAUUCUGAUUCCACCGCUGGAAAGGCUGCAAGCGACCUUUCUCCAGCAAUUGAUGCCCAAACUGCUGUUGUCAAAGCAGAUCCGGCCAUGGAGAUUGUUUCCCCCAAUCUUGAAAACCUAGCUACAGAAGUUACUGUACCUAUUUCGAAAUUCUCUGAUACCACUUCUGCAACAAACACUGGAAUUGAAACAGUGAUAGAAACGACCUCUCCUCAGGAUAGACAAGACGUCCACGUCCCCUCUCCUGCAAAUCCUACAGCUUCACCCUCUACUUCAAGUCCAGCAGAGCUCUGGAAAGGCUUUGUGAAGGAAGCUAACAUAAAGCUCUACCCAAAGGAGAAACCUUUUCUGCUCGACUCAGGCGAACCGUGUGUUACCAUACCAAACGCCGUAGUGGAGAAGAACAAAAAGGCUUGGGAAUGCUUCAUCAUAGGUCAGUUCUAUGACGAAGCCCCUGCUCGGGGAGCUGUUCACGCGAUUGUAAACGGUAUCUAGAGCAAACAUCGCAGAGAUAUAACAGUCUCCAAGAUGGACAACCAGGCUUUUCUUUUCCGCGUCCCUUGUCCUCACGCCCGUAGACGCAUCUUAAGCCAAAGUCUAUGGCAGAUUGAUGGUCUCUCGAUGUUUGUUGCCAAGUGGUCUCCGGGUAUUCAACAGACCAAACCUGAACUCAAGAUGGUGCCAGUUUGGCUUGAAUUUCGUGGAGUCCCAUUACAGUUCUUCAACGGAGAUGCCUUGAAGGAGAUAGCGGGAAUGGUUGGACAGCCGGUCUGCCUUCACCCAUCAACAGAGCAUCUAACAAAUAUUGAGGUGGCAAAAGUCUACACUGUUAUAGAUCCCAGAAAACCGCUGCCAGAAUUCGUAAAUGCUCGGUUCGAAAGUGGUGAGACUCGUCGCAUCUCAGUCACUGGCCCCUUCCUCCCGGCUUUAUGUUCAUUUUGCAAGAAAGUGGGACACUCCAUAUCCCGUUGCAAAGCAGCACCGAAAACCUGCACUCUCUGCAACUCCGUAAGGCACUUAACGGUUGAGUGUUCGAGGUACAAUCGCGAGAAGGCGAAAGGAAAGGCACCUAUAAAAAACUUACUCCCGAUUGUAACGCAGACAAAGGCUGUCUACAGGCCAGUGAGUGGAAAGAGCACAGAUGUUUUGAUCUCCUCGGAUGCUACUACUGGAAAGAAAGAUGAACUGGUAAUACGAACACCACCACAUCCCAAAAGAACAUCAACUUCGCCACGACGAGCCAAGGAGAUGGGUAUUAGGAUGCGAUCCCUGUCCCCCACCAAUAAUCAGUCUCCGCGCGUUAAGGCUCCACAACAGUCUCCCCUCGUAGAGUUCAAUGAUCUGAGGGAUGGUGGUCUUUGUGUGGAUUUGUCUCCUUAUGCAGAUGAUCAGCACUCUAAUGAUGACUCCCUCUCAGCCGGCCACUCCUCUGGUCAUGUGUCUGAAGGCAGCAAGUUUUCAGGAGAGGAGGAUAAUCCGGACGAUGGAAAUGACAAGUAUAUUGAAGUCAUUUCUCGAAGAAUGAAGAAAAAGUUAAAAGGAAAGUCUAGGGGUGGAGGCCCUUUAAUCCUCUAAACCUUAACUUCUUAAAUGGAUCUUUUUUGUUGGAAUAUUAGAGGAAUAAAUGAUCCUGUGAAGCGGAGGGGUUUUAGAAAAUGGAUGCGGAAGAAUAAACCAAUUUUUGGUAGUCUCGUGGAGACACAUGUACAGUUAUCUAAGUCGGCUAAGGUUGUAGAUUCUAUUUUACCGGGUUGGUCUUUUCAUGGAAACUAUGACCACACGGACUUGGGGAGGAUAUGGGUUGUUUGGCACCCUUCGGUUAAAGUAAGGAUUAUCUCGAGUUCUCGCCAAAUGACUUCUUGUGUUGUGAAGCUCCCACAGAUAAAUAAGGAGUUUCUGGUUUCGUUUAUCUAUGGUUCCAACUGCAGAAUUGAAAGACGUACACUAUGGAGCGAGUUGGAAGCAUGCUCAGUAUCUCAGCAGGUGAUUAAUACACCUUGGAUCACUCUCGGUGACUUUAAUGAGAUUUUACAUCCAUCAGAGCACUCAACGACUGAUCAAUUCUCUUUCUCACGGGGCUUGAGGGAUUUCAAAGACUGUGUUGACAGCACUGCUUUGUUUGAUCUUCCCUACUGCGGGAGUUCUUUUACUUGGUCAAAUGGACACAUAUCAAAGAAAUUGGAUAGAAUCCUCACUAAUGCAGCAUGGUUUCAGCAGUUUCCAGAGUCUAUCGGGGUCUUUGGCAUUCCGGGAAUCUCUGACCACAGUCCCUGCUGUGUUUUCUUCGAUCAGUCUAGGCCGAAGCAAAAGAGACCAUUUAAAUUCUUCGCUCACUUGAAUCAACAUGACGAAUUUGUUGAGAUCCGUCGUAACUGUUGGAACUCUUUGAACUUCUCUGGAACAAAUCAGAUAAGAGUCUCUAAAAAGCUGAAGGAGCUCAAGGGAAUUAUUAAAACCUUCAACAAAGAGCACUUUUCCCAGCUGGAGCAACGCGUAGAAGAUGCAUUCUCCGAGCUGUGUCUUGCUCAAGAAAGUGUUCUUACAAACCCUUCUCCUACCUCUACCCAAUUCGUUCAAGACGCUCAUCGUCGCUGGCACGUUUUGGCAAAAGCUGAAGAUUCUUUCUUGAAACAGAGGUCACGGGUACAAUGGUCUGUAGACGGGGACUCAAACACUGCCUACUACCACAUGAUAAUUAAAACAAGACAGGCCCAAAACCAAAUUGUUUUUCUCCUUGAUAGUGAUGGAGCCAUCAUUGACCAGAUUGAAGACAUAAAGAAGCAUGCUGUUGAUUACUACUCAAAUCUGUUAGGUGGCCCUUCGUCUUCAGCUGCCCCUUCUCCAUCGACUAUAGCCUCGUUCUUGCCUCUUCAUUGUUCUGCAGAAGCUGUGAGCCUUCUUGCUGCUGAGUUCAGUGCUUCAGACAUACAGGCAGCUUUCCUCUCCCUUCCAAAGUCCAAAGCCCCCGCACCGGAUGGUUAUCCUGCAGAAUUUUUCAAGGCAAACUGGAGUGUGGUAGGAAAAGAAAUGAUCGCAGCAGUGAAAGAGUUUCUAUCAACUGGGUGUCUUCUCCAACAAUGGAACUCAACGAUCAUUUCCCUAAUUCCGAAGAAGGCAAAUGCUAACCGGAUGACUGAAUUCAGACCCAUAUCCUGUUUCAAUACCCUCUACAAGGUAGCUUCCAAGCUGCUAUCAAACAGGCUUAAAGCUGCCCUGCCGAAGCUUAUCUCCUCUGCCCAAUCAGCCUUCGUUCCAGGACGUCUUCUAGUUGAGAAUGUACUCUUAGCGACAGAGCUUGUGUCUGGAUAUAAAUGGAAAGAAAUCUCAAAGCGGUGUAUGAUGAAAGUUGAUCUACAAAAGGCUUUUGAUUCGCUUAAUUGGGAAUUCAUAUUGAAUACGCUCGAAGCCCUUGGGUUUCCAAGCCACUUCCGGAAGCUGGUAUCUCAGUGCAUAACAACUACCAGAUUCUCUGUAUCAAUUAAUGGUGAGUUGUGUGGCUAUUUUAAGGGGUCAAAGGGUUUACGGCAGGGCGACCCGCUCUCUCCCUAUCUAUUUGUCAUUGCGCUGGAAGUAUUCUCUCAGCUGCUAAAUACGAAGUUUAGAGUUGGGGAUAUUGGCUACCAUCCGAAGACAUCAGACCUUGAGGUAACACAUCUUGCCUUUGCUGAUGAUAUUAUGAUUUUCUUUGAUGGUGAGGAAAACUCCCUUGCUAAUAUCGUUGAUACUAUGGAGUUAUUUGCCACUUGGUCUGGAUUGAGAAUGAACAAAGAAAAAACAGAACUCUUUGCAGGAGGGUUGAACCAGGCUGAAACUACUGAUCUGCGACGUCUUGGUUUCACUCUCGGUUCAAUGCCUAUCCGUUACUUGGGUCUUCCUCUGAUGCACCGUAAGCUGUGCAUUUCCGAAUACAGGCCACUGUUAGUGAAAAUAGCGGGUCGGUUCACUGCUUGGUCUGGUAAAAAGCUGUCCUAUGCUGGUCGUGCUCAGCUGAUAAACUCGGUUAUCUAUGGAACUAUAAACUUCUGGACUUCGGCAUUUGUUCUGCCUAAAGGAUGCUUACAGCAAAUUCAAAGUUUAUGCUCUCGCUUCUUAUGGACCGGAAAUAUUACUGAUCGUGGAAUGGCUAAGAUUGCGUGGAGCACAAUCUGUUUACCUAAAAGAGAAGGAGGGCUCGGCUUUAGGAACCUGGAAAUUUGGAACAAGACCCUUUGCCUAAAGCUUAUUUGGAUGUUAUAUGUUCAACCAAACCUGAACUCAAGAUGGUGCCAGUUUGGCUUGAAUUUCGCGGAGUCCCAUUACAGUUCUUCAACGGAGAUGCCUUGAAGGAGAUAGCGGGAAUGGUUGGACAGCCGGUCUGCCUUCACCCAUCAACAGAGCAUCUAACAAAUAUUGAGGUGGCAAAAGUCUACACUGUUAUAGAUCCCAGAAAACCGCUGCCAAAAUUCGUAAAUGCUCGGUUCGAAAGUGGUGAGACUCGUCGCAUCUCAGUCACUGGCCCUUUCCUCCCGGCUUUAUGUUCAUUUUGCAAGAAAGUGGGACACUCCAUAUCCCGUUGCAAAGCAGCACCGAAAACCUGCACUCUCUGCAACUCCGUAAGGCACUUAACGGUUGAGUGUUCGAGGUACAAUCGCGAGAAGGCGAAAGGAAAGGCACCUAUAAAAAACUUACUCCCGAUUGUAACGCAGACAAAGGCUGUCUACAGGCCAGUGAGUGGAAAGAGCACAGAUGUUUUGAUCUCCUCGGAUGCUACUACUGGAAAGAAAGAUGAACUGGUAAUACGAACACCACCACAUCCCAAAAGAACAUCAACUUCGCCACGACGAGCCAAGGAGAUGGGUAUUAGGAUGCGAUCCCUGUCCCCCACCAAUAAUCAGUCUCCGCGCGUUAAGGCUCCACAACAGUCUCCCCUCGUAGAGUUCAAUGAUCUGAGGGAUGGUGGUCUUUGUGUGGAUUUGUCUCCUUAUGCAGAUGAUCAGCACUCUAAUGAUGACUCCCUCUCAGCCGGCCACUCCUCUGGUCAUGUGUCUGAAGGCAACAAGUUUUCAGGAGAGGAGGAUAAUCCGGACGAUGGAAAUGACAAGUAUAUUGAAGUCAUUUCUCGAAGAAUGAAGAAAAACUUAAAAGGAAAGUCUAGGGGUGGAGGCCCUUUAAUCCUCUAAACCUUAACUUUUUAAAUGGAUCUUUUUUGUUGGAAUAUUAGAGGAAUAAAUGAUCCUGUGAAGCGGAGGGGUUUUAGAAAAUGGAUGCGGAAGAAUAAACCAAUUUUUGGUAGUCUCGUGGAGACACAUGUACAAUUAUCUAAGUCGGCUAAGGUUUUAGAUUCUAUUUUACCGGGUUGGUCUUUUCAUGGAAACUAUGACCACGCGGACUUGGGGAGGAUAUGGGUUGUUUGGCACCCUUCGGUUAAAGUAAGGAUUAUCUCGAGUUCUCGCCAAAUGACUUUUUGUGUUGUGAAGCUCCCACAGAUAAAUCAGGAGUUUCUGGUUUCGUUUAUCUAUGGUUCCAACUGCAGAAUUGAAAGACGUACACUAUGGAGCGAGUUGGAAGCAUGCUCAGUAUCUCAGCAGGUGAUUAAUACACCUUGGAUCACUCUCGGUGACUUUAAUGAGAUUUUACAUCCAUCAGAGCACUCAACGACUGAUCAAUUCUCUUUCUCACGGGGCUUGAGGGAUUUCAAAGACUGUGUUGACAGCACUGCUUUGUUUGAUCUUCCCUACUGCGGGAGUUCUUUUACUUGGUCAAAUGGACACAUAUCAAAGAAAUUGGAUAGAAUCCUCACUAAUGCAGCAUGGUUUCAGCAGUUUCCAGAGUCUAUCGGGGUCUUUGGCAUUCCGGGAAUCUCUGACCACAGUCCCUGCUGUGUUUUCUUCGAUCAGUCUAGGCCGAAGCAAAAGAGACCAUUUAAAUUCUUCGCUCACUUGAAUCAACAUGACGAAUUUGUUGAGAUCCGUCGUAACUGUUGGAACUCUUUGAACUUCUCUGGAACAAAUCAGAUAAGAGUCUCUAAAAAGCUGAAGGAGCUCAAGGGAAUUAUUAAAACCUUCAACAAAGAGCACUUUUCCCAGCUGGAGCAACGCGUAGAAGAUGCAUUCUCCGAGCUGUGUCUUGCUCAAGAAAGUGUUCUUACAAACCCUUCUCCUACCUCUACCCAAUUCGUUCAAGACGCUCAUCGUCGCUGGCACGUUUUGGCAAAAGCUGAAGAUUCUUUCUUGAAACAGAGGUCACGGGUACAAUGGUCUGUAGACGGGGACUCAAACACUGCCUACUACCACAUGAUAAUUAAAACAAGACAGGCCCAAAACCAAAUUGUUUUUCUCCUUGAUAGUGAUGGAGCCAUCAUUGACCAGAUUGAAGACAUAAAGAAGCAUGCUGUUGAUUACUACUCAAAUCUGUUAGGUGGCCCUUCGUCUUCAGCUGCCCCUUCUCCAUCGACUAUAGCCUCGUUCUUGCCUCUUCAUUGUUCUGCAGAAGCUGUGAGCCUUCUUGCUGCUGAGUUCAGUGCUUCAGACAUACAGGCAGCUUUCCUCUCCCUUCCAAAGUCCAAAGCCCCCGCACCGGAUGGUUAUCCUGCAGAAUUUUUCAAGGCAAACUGGAGUGUGGUAGGAAAAGAAAUGAUCGCAGCAGUGAAAGAGUUUCUAUCAACUGGGUGUCUUCUCCAACAAUGGAACUCAACGAUCAUUUCCCUAAUUCCGAAGAAGGCAAAUGCUAACCGGAUGACUGAAUUCAGACCCAUAUCCUGUUUCAAUACCCUCUACAAGGUAGCUUCCAAGCUGCUAUCAAACAGGCUUAAAGCUGCCCUGCCGAAGCUUAUCUCCUCUGCCCAAUCAGCCUUCGUUCCAGGACGUCUUCUAGUUGAGAAUGUACUCUUAGCGACAGAGCUUGUGUCUGGAUAUAAAUGGAAAGAAAUCUCAAAGCGGUGUAUGAUGAAAGUUGAUCUACAAAAGGCUUUUGAUUCGCUUAAUUGGGAAUUCAUAUUGAAUACGCUCGAAGCCCUUGGGUUUCCAAGCCACUUCCGGAAGCUGGUAUCUCAGUGCAUAACAACUACCAGAUUCUCUGUAUCAAUUAAUGGUGAGUUGUGUGGCUAUUUUAAGGGGUCAAAGGGUUUACGGCAGGGCGACCCGCUCUCUCCCUAUCUAUUUGUCAUUGCGCUGGAAGUAUUCUCUCAGCUGCUAAAUACGAAGUUUAGAGUUGGGGAUAUUGGCUACCAUCCGAAGACAUCAGACCUUGAGGUAACACAUCUUGCCUUUGCUGAUGAUAUUAUGAUUUUCUUUGAUGGUGAGGAAAACUCCCUUGCUAAUAUCGUUGAUACUAUGGAGUUAUUUGCCACUUGGUCUGGAUUGAGAAUGAACAAAGAAAAAACAGAACUCUUUGCAGGAGGGUUGAACCAGGCUGAAACUACUGAUCUGCGACGUCUUGGUUUCACUCUCGGUUCAAUGCCUAUCCGUUACUUGGGUCUUCCUCUGAUGCACCGUAAGCUGUGCAUUUCCGAAUACAGGCCACUGUUAGUGAAAAUAGCGGGUCGGUUCACUGCUUGGUCUGGUAAAAAGCUGUCCUAUGCUGGUCGUGCUCAGCUGAUAAACUCGGUUAUCUAUGGAACUAUAAACUUCUGGACUUCGGCAUUUGUUCUGCCUAAAGGAUGCUUACAGCAAAUUCAAAGUUUAUGCUCUCGCUUCUUAUGGACCGGAAAUAUUACUGAUCGUGGAAUGGCUAAGAUUGCGUGGAGCACAAUCUGUUUACCUAAAAGAGAAGGAGGGCUCGGCUUUAGGAACCUGGAAAUUUGGAACAAGACCCUUUGCCUAAAGCUUAUUUGGAUGUUAUAUGUUCCUAAUCCUUCUUUAUGGGCUUCAUGGAUUAGGAAGUAUAAGAUUGGAGAUGAGAGCUUAUGGAGCCUGGACCCUAAGAAGGCAGGCUCGGGAACAUGGAGGUCACUGUUAAACCUGCGUCAUCUAGCUACAAAAUUCUUGAGAGCAGAGGUUGGAAAUGGUGACAAAAUAAGCUUUUGGUGGGAUACUUGGACCCCUCUAGGUCGGUUAAUUGAUUUAUUCGGUGAGACAGGUCCACGUGAACUCUCAAUUCCUCUGUUCGCAUCAGUUGCUGAUAGUUGUGACCAUAAUGGUUGGAGACUGAGAGGUGCUCGCUCACCUGCGGCAGAGAAUCUACACAUUCAUCUCACUAGUAUUCAGCUGCCUACUACCUCCCAAACAGAUGAUGAGUUUUACUGGUUCAUUGAUGGUGAGAAUCUACCGCGAUACUCUGCAUCGCGAACUUGGGGGGCAAUUAGAGAUAGAGCUCCUGCAGUCACUUGGUCAAGCAGUGUCUGGUUCAGAUCAGCAACACCUCGUCAUGCUUUCUUGAUGUGGAUCGCACAGAAUGAUAGAAUGCCAACUCGAGUACGACUAACAAGUUGGGGCCUUGGCAUCUCAUCUAACUGCUGUCUAUGCGACUCAACUCCAGAGACUCGAGAUCAUUUGCUUUUGCGCUGUGAAGUUAGUAAGCAGAUUUGGGUCUUGGUUCUGAGAAGGUUAGGAUAUUCCCACUCUUGCUUCAUCACUUGGACAUCUUUUAUUGAGUGGUUAUCUCUAAGGGAUUCCACAGCUCCACUGAUGCUCAAAAGAAUUGUUGCUCACGCAACUAUCUAUAGUAUCUGGGGAGAACGGAACAAGCGUCUACACGACGGUAUCUCGACUGCUCCUCCAACGACUUACAGGCUCAUUGAUCGUAAUAUCAGAGACACAAUCUUGGAGAAACAGCACAUCAAGAAGACUUUCAAAAACCUUAUGCUAUCUUGGCUAAGGCAUGAUUAGGAAGUCUUCUAUUUAUGGUUUACACUUUGUUUUUAUCUUUUUUGCCAAAGUGCAUCCCAUCUACUCUAAUUAUUUUUGUAAAGUUUUACAAACUCUUCUCAUAUUUAUAAGAAUUUCAAAUCCUUGGCAAAAAAAAAUUUCCAAAACUUGUUCAACAGUACUUUUUUUUUUCCGACAAAGUAACUUUAUUAAGUACAUUAGUAUCUAAUGUAAUCAUUACAAAUCAUAUUGGAAAGCCAAUGUGGAAUUAAUGUAGAAGAAGAUGUAAAUAAGACAUCAGCGUUACAUUUUGUAGCUAAAAUAUGAGCCACCCCAUUUGCUUCUCGAUGAACAUGCGUAAACUGAACCUUUUCAAGUCUGCUACCCCAACUUCUGAUAUCAUUACAAAUCGUAGCAAUACUAAAAUCACCAUGUUCUGCAUAGAUUGAUCUCAUUAAGACCAGACAAUCACCUUCAAAAAUCACAUUCUUGUAACCCAAGGCAAACACACAUUGAAUGGCUGCUAAUAAGGCCUGACCCUCCGCCUCAAGUGGUGAAAGAGAAGUGCCUAAACUAGCCAUUUCCCAGUAUUAUACCACGCCAUUAACGUCCCGAAUGAUCCAGCCUGCAGAGACUUGUAAGCUUUGAGCAUUGUAGGCAGCAUCGAAAUUGCAUUUAUAAUAAGGUAACGUUGGACGACGGCACAUAGAUUGACGCUGUGGACUUCUCAUAAGAGUAGUAUCUUGCACCGUUUUUUGUAACCAGUCACGAACUUCUGCGGUAACAUAACCAGCAUCGCGUUGAGGGUUGAUAACUUGAUUUUUGAAAAUGAGGUUAUUCCUCGAUUUCCAAAUCUUCCAAAGUAUCCAAAAAGGUGUCAACUUCUGUUCCAGUGUCAGGGUUGAUGAAGACUGAAGAUCAAACAGACGUCUCAUGUUGGUUUCCAAGUCGUCAGUAAACGUUGCAGAGUAGCCUAAGGUAACCUGAUUCGACCUCCAUGUUUGAAUCGAAAGUGGACACAUGAAGAAAAGAUGGUUCACCGUUUCAGGGGAACUAGAACAACGAGGGCAGAGGCUAUCCAAAGACAUACCCCUUGUAUUUAAUCUUGUAUUUGUUCCCAAAGCUAAAGUAAUGAGGCGCCAGAAUAACAAAAACAAAAACACGAAAGAAAAAGCAAAAACAAACCUGAUAAAGCGUUAAUGCCAUGGAAAUAAGUCUUGGAGAAAGAGGUAUUGCCCUGUGAAUUAUUAUCGAACUGAUAAUCAUGAAGCGUCGUUUCUUCAUCAUUAAUUGUCUUUACGAUAAAUGGCUCCGACAUGAAAUCUUCCUUCUCGUUCAUAAUUUGUUUUAUCUUUGACUCUUCUCCUUCGAUGUAAGCGAUACAGAGAAAUGAGAUCGAGUGAAGAGAUAUAAAAGUUGCAAGUAAUGAAAAAGCAAAACGCAAAACGCAAAAUGCAAUAUACUUAUAUUUAUGUAUUAGAUCCGAUGAUUACGCAUGAUGAUUAUCAGAUAAUUCAGAUAAAUUUACAUUUCUAUUUUUGGAUGAAAUGUCAGAUAAUUCAGAUAAAUUUAAAUAUUUCUUAUAAGAAUAUUUGAGUGAUUCAGUUUUUUCAGUAUUAAUAAUUCCCAUUUUUAUUCACAUUUAUGAGUGAUUCACAUUUUUCGGUAUUAAGAAUAUCUAUACUAUUAAACAGAUGAAAACAUUUGUGAUUGUUAUAGCGGUUUUGCACCUUGCGUGGAUGUGAAGUAUUAACGAACCUAUAUUGUUUGAACCAUUUUAUUAAGGGGAAUUAGUUGAACCAUUUUGUAAAUAUAUUAAGGUAGACAAAAUUUCACUGACCAUAUAUUUUAUAUACCAGUAUAUGUAUUUAUUAUUUUCAGGAUUGAGAGUUUAGGAUUAUCCUUCUACAUAUAUACACAUUUAGGGACACUGCUCUAAGGUUGACAAAUAUAUAAAUGUAAAUCAUUUUAAUAUAAACUCCAUGGGCUAUAUACAAAUAUAAAAAUCAAUAUUGUUAAACUUGUGUAUUCAGUAGGUCUGAUAUGUGUCUGAUAUGUGUAUUUUUAGCUUUACCAGUCAAAACUAUGUGAAGUCGUGAACCAUAAAUUGUUAAAACCGUAAGUAAAUAUUUUCUGAUUGCAUAGUCUAUAUGUCAUGUGUUUAAAUAAUGAUAGUCCACUCGUGAAUCUCACAAUGUUUUGUUUACAUGAAAGAAAUGAGUAUUAUUUAUUAUUAAUUAAUAUAUAGCUAAUUAUCUUUUAGGCUAUAUUGUAGAUAUGAUCGGCAAAUAUAUAAGUAUCACGGAUGGCUUUUUGAUUCACAAAAAUUUAAAAUAUUUUAUUUAAGGCAAAUCUUAGAAAAUUUAAGAAAUUCAGUUAUAUCACCUAUUAAAUUGAUUAAAUUAUUGUUAAAGAAAUAUAUGGUAAUAUAUUGUUAGUAUAAAUUUAAGAUAAAACCAAAAUAUUAAUAGUCUACUGAAAGGGUCUAACAACCUUGUAUAAAUAAAUUUUUUUAGAGUGAUUCUCUUUUAAUAGAAUAGAUUUUGGGAUACAGGAGAUGUGUACGAGAAGGGUUCUAUUUUAUUUUUCCCACUACAUUGACCACUUUUUCUAUAUGGAAGUUCCAAGUGAUCCGGUAAAGUUUACAAACCCUUUUGCUUUCCUGUUAACUUUCUUAUGUUGACAAAUAAGUUAUCCACUCAUACAAAAUAUCACGUUUUUUAUAACAGUGGAAUAUUAAAACAUUUUGAAAAUGAAAGGUGAAGUAUUAAAUUUGUUUGUUUAAUAUAUACACGCAAAAAUCAGAAUAAAACUGACGAAAGCAAGGUUAUCGCUCACGAUUAGAUUUACUUAUAAGACCCUAAAUCGAGUAAACGACGUGUCGGCUCAAGAGAGCAAUGUUAUAUUAUUAUAAUACCAACUGGAGGGUUAAAAUAUCUAUAAUCUUCUUUAAAUAAUUUAUCCUUGUUGCUCAGCACGAUAGGUCAAAAAAUUUGUAAACUCCUUUAAUCUGUCGCUACGACGGUUUGAACCGGUUCAUGCUUUUAUUAUAUAUUCAAUUUGUUUCAUAAUAAGUUUUAUUUUAACUUUUUUUUGUUACACAAAAAUAUCAUUUUAAUAUUUCACUACAAAUUAUAUUUACUUUCAGCUAAAAAUUAAUGGCAAAAUGCAUUAAUUUUAUAAAUAAUUUUAUUUAUCUAAAAUAUUAUUGAUCAAAAAAAUGUAAAUAAUAAUAAUUUAAACACAUUUCAAUCAUUUUCUUAAUCUGUGUGAAAAGUAUUAAAAUGACACUUAUUAAGAAACAAAAUAAAUAUCUUAUUAGGUUAAAUUUAGAAACCGUCUAUGUCUUAUGAAAUCUUUUUUUUUAAUAUCUUCAGCUAUAUUUAGUAGAGUAACCUCUACAGAACGAAAAAACACUAAUUUUAUUUUACGAAUCAUUUCAUUAUAAUAUUAAAUUUUGUUUGGUCUAAUUGUUUUUUUUCUUGGUCAAACGUUUGGUAUAAGCCAUGUUCGUUUAUUAGACGCAGCGACAGUAAAGAUGAGCGUCUAAAAAAUAACAAACGAUAAAGAAAAAUAACGACAUUGUCAUGUUAUAUAACAGUCCCUCGCAACUGACGUUAAAGCUAUUUCUUCUAUUUUAAUAGCCGCCAUAAAAAACAACAGUUUCAUUACUGUUGCGGCAACAAUUGUUUUGUGUAUAAAUUGAGUCGCAACAUCUUCAAACGAGCUGUUUUUAACGAGGUCUUGAUUGGUAGAGCAUUAACAAUAGCAGUAGCAGUAUGCUAUAGAAGGAGUAUGCUGCAUGAGCUGUAUGCUUUUGUUAAAUUGUUUAAUAGGAUGAUUGGUAGAGCAGUAUGAGUAUACUAUUUAAAAUUAUUAUAAAAAUUAGUAUAUAAUAUAUAAUAUAUUUAUUUUUAAUGAAUAUAUUUCUAAUAUAUAUAUAAAUAUAUUAACAUAUAAAAUUAAUUAGAAAUAAAAUUAAUUUAUUUUAUUUAAUAAUUUAAAAAUUAUGUUUAUAUCGAAAAAAUAUUAUUUUAAAAUAAAUUUUAUAAUUAAAAUAUCUAUUUUUAAAAAUAACAUUUCACAUUUGAAGUAAAUUAAAUUAUAUAAAUUAAAUUAUGUUUUAAAUGUGAAAUACUAUUUAAAACAAUAUUUUUAUUGUAAAUUAAUUUUAGAAAUCAAAAAUUUUAUUUCUGGAUAUAAAAAUAAUUUUAUGAUAUUAUUAAAUAAAAUAAAUGAAUUAAUUAUAUAUUUUCCUUAAUUUAUAAAUUAUAAAUGCAAAUGCUUUUUUAAAAGCUUCAUUUGAGAGCAUUGGCCAGAGAGCAUUUGAGAACAUUAUCAUUUAGUAAAUGCUUCUGUAAAUGUUUUUCUAACAAUUGUUGAUUGUAUAAUGUAGAGCAUAGUGCUAAUGUUAAUGCUCUACCAACCAAGGCCUGAGUGUGGCCUUUGAUAUUUUUUAUCGAAAGUUAUUGCCGCCGCGUUUAAUAAAGCUAUAUACUAUUUUUAAUGAGUUAUUGACGUGGCCUUUGAUAUUUUUUAUCGAAAGUUAUUGCAGCCGCGUUUAAUAAAGCUAUAUACUAUUUUUAGCAAAUUUUAAAUAGAUCACAAACUUAAAUAGCUUCGACAUGCUUGUAAAUAAAAAAACAAUCAAAAAUAAUAUUGGUGUAUUUUAGGGUUAAAAAUAAUAAUAAAUUUUUGAAAGUAAUAAUAAUUAAUUAUAUUUCAAAUACUAAAUGAAGAGUAUAAUAUCUUUUCAUAGAAGGUUGCCAAAAAAAUAUAUUUUCAUAGAAGUAACUACCGAAACUAUCCCUGCCUACUUACCGAGCGGGUAAUUGCCGAUCAAUAAAGAUCGUUGGGGUAUAUCGGUAGUUUAGCAGGGUAAAAAUUACCUUAAAUUAUCAUUUUAUGUAUUUAAUAAAAUCAGGAAAAUUGCAGGAGAAGCUGUCUUCUUACUUUCCCCGCCAAUUGCAUCUCAAUUCUCCCCUAAUUUGUCAAUCUAGGGCUCAACUCUCUCUCUCUCUCUCUAUGACUCCCAAACUUCCUCCAAAAUAUUCCAAAUUCUUCGAAAUCUGAUUUCUGGAAACCCUAAUUUUGGAAUCCGCGACUUCGAUGAGCAAUCCAAGCAGUUCCGGAUGGGAUUCAAGUUCGAAUUUGACUCAGUUCGGGAUCGGCUUGGCCAAUACAGUGCAGUCGGAUGUUGCUUCUCACUUGCCGCUCCCCUCGCUACCCAUAUUCUACGGCUCGACUCAGCCUGGAGAGUUCAAGCUGUUCGAUGAGGCUGGCGAAGGUAUUAGCGGCAACAGGUCGUUGAAUCGCAGCGAGAUUCUCUCUCAGUCUAGGAGAAUCGCUACUAUGCUUGAAGAAACUGACGUUUCUUAUCUGUAAGUGAAUCUGACUCGUCUUCUCCCUUCACACUCAGAAUCUGUUUCGUUGCUAAUUUUGUAAGUCGACUAUCUCUCAAAUUGGUUAUGUGCUGGUGAAAGUCACAGCUAACCUUGAAUUUGAGUGUUUUCUGAGAUUCAGAUUGUGUUUAUUUCUGCACUAGCGUAGCGUAGCUUGUAGAGGGCAUCAACUUAUUGCUUUCUGAUUUAAUCUUUGCAGGGAUCUUAGAAACGAGGCUAGAGCGCUGAACUGUAACUCUGCGGAGCCUUUGCAGUUAUAUGACCAAGUUCUACGAUGCAAUCCUGGAGCAUUUGAGUAUGCCACCCCUGGUAAAUUAAUCCUUCUCAUUUUUUUUUUCCUUUUUGGCUAUAUAGUGUGGAGUGCUACAAAUUUUGAGGAAAAUAUUGGAAGUCUUUAGGGAGAGAAACCUUUUAAGUAUUAGAUUAUUUAGUUGGCAUUUACGAAGAUGCCUUUAAUGCUUGAUACUAGCAGUGUCUUCCUUCCUUUUUCACCCCAUUCAGAUAGUAGUGAACCUCUAUGCUAGGCUCCACUUGUGCUGACUUCUGAGCUUUAAUGGUUUUGUUUACUUGUUAUUGCGCCAGUGUGUGAUAGAUUUUAUAUCUUUGUGUUUAUUAUUUACUACAACUUUUAAGUUUAUCAGGCCCGACCUGCGAACCAGUCUGCACCAGUGAAGAGCCUCAACAUAGAAGUUCUGAGCCAAGUGUUCCUGUCAAGAUUCAACGACAGGCUGAUCAUCAUUUAGGUAGGAGCAUCAAUCCCGAGCCUGUGAAAAGGGUAUUACGAUCAAAUCAUGUUGAAGAUCAUAGUUGGCACUCCAAACCUUUGAUAAAUCAGUCACCAAGAGAUGAUAUUACAACUCUCGACUCUCCACCUGAAACGGUCACCAUGAAUGUAAGACUACCACCACAAUCUUCUUCUAUAAGUAUCUUAUGUGCCGUGGACAUAACUGAAUAAAUUGUAGGAAUCUUCUGCUUCGAAGAAGUCAAAGGGCAAGAAGAAACGUAAAGAUGGCGCUGGCCCUGGUGCGUCUUCAGUUCAGCCAGAUUCAUCCGUGCUUCAAGGUCGGUCUGUCUGUCCUUUUUCUUUUUAUCUUUGCAGUUUCCCCCCUACCCACGAAAUAAUAGUAGUUUGCUAAUGAUUAUUUAGAGUCCAUCGUUAAAAGCUUUUGUGAGAUGCUGGAGGACUUCUGUGGCAGAGCUGAAGUCCCUGGUGAUGAUAGGGAUGGAGCAGAGUGGUCAGUCGUGCCUGUUGAAGAAAUUCGUGUUCUUGUGACUGAGUUGAUGACUAUAAGGUCAAAAAUGCUUCUGCAUAUGGUACCUGUUGAUAUUCUGUCGAGGUUAUUGCACACUCUGGAUCAUCAGAUACAUAGGGCAGAAGGCUUGUCCAUUAAUAGUGAGCAUGUGAGUAAUUUUCUAUUUGCGUCUCUCUUGUUUUAUGUGGGAUUAUUUUCAUGUUGCACUCGACGCAUGGACUAUUAGCUUUCAAUCAAAGUUGUUUUUCUCUAUUUGAAUUAUGAUGAGCUCUUUUUAUUGUGUGUUAAUGUUUAGUAUUAUGAAAGUAGCAAAUAUGUCUUUUUCUUUUUAGCUAACACUUCCUGGUGCAAAAACAUUUCAGUCAGAUUCAGAUUCAGUGGGGUUGGUUCUUGGUGCCCUUGAGUCCAUCCAUGCAUCCCUUGCAGUGAUGGCAAACAGUGAUAUGCCAAAGCAGCUCUACAAGGAAGAGGUGAUUGCUUCUUAGUUUUCCCUGGAAUCUGUUUACGCGUAUACGUCUCUGCACACUGCCACCAUUUCACCAUUUUAACUGACUCAAUUUUUUUAUUUUUGUAUUUCUUAUCAAUCAGGUAAUUGAGAGAAUUCUGGAGUUUUCUAGGCACCAAAUGAUGGCUGUUAUGUCUGCUUAUGAUCCAUCUUACCGCAGCGCAAGUAAACCGGCAGAUAAUGUGGCAUUUGAAGGUUGUUUUCCGAUUUACUUUGGAGUUGGGUGUGCUGUGCAUAUUCUGUAUAGUGCAUGGCAUGUCAUUCCUAUAUCUAGAACUUUAGUUUUAUCCUUGUCUGUAAGCUCAAAGAUAGCCCCUGCACAAGUUAUGUUCUAAUUACAAUAAUCUGACAUAUGGAUAUAUGCCACAUGCUUUUCUAGGUGAUGAUGAUGAUGAUCUCGAUCCUGACAUGAGCUCAGCCAGUAAAAGGCGACGAACGGGAAAAAGUGGCAAAGUGAAGAAGUCGGGAGUGAACAGGUUUACUGAUUUGUACCCAAAUUUUUGUGAUAUUAUUUUCCCAUCUGAUAUCUCUGUUUCGUAGGAUCUCUGGAGCAGUGAAUACUGCAUUACAGAAACUUUGCACUAUUCUUGGCUUACUCAAGGACCUGUUCUUCGUAGAAAGGUUGUCUGACAGUUGCAUUUUACAACUGUUGAAGACAAGUACUACAACAUUUUUGGUGGAAAAUAUCCAACUUCUGCAACUUAAAGCAAUUAGCUUAAUCGGUGGUGUAAGACUUUAAACUUACUCCACAUCUUUGUUGUGUUUUCUCUUUUUAUAUCAGUGUCUUCUUGUCAGGAUUUUCUUGAAGUUUUGUUAAAUUUCGACUUUAAUGCAGAUAUAUAAUUCAUACGCUCAACACCGAACGUAUGUGAUAGAUGAGUUAUCUCAAUUGCUAUGGAAGUUACCUUCCUCGAGACGAGUGCUGAGAACGUAUCUUCUCCCUGAUGAAGAACAGAAGCAGAUUCAAAUGGUCACGGCUUUGCUUAUUCAGUUGGUUCACAACAGCACAAGCCUUCCUGAAACACUGAGACAGGCUUCAUGUGCAAACUCCAUACUGGAGACGCCCGUUGAUGAUGGCUACCUAACUAAAUGUCAUGAGGCGGUUACAGAAACAUGUUGCCUUUUCUGGACUCGUGUCCUUGAACGAUUUGCCAGUGCAAAGGCUCAAGAUGCCUCUGAGAUAAAAGUGAUGAUUGAGAACCUUGUUAAUGAUUUACUGACAGCAUUGAAUCUUCCUGAAUAUCCAUCAGUGUCUCCGAUUCUUGAGGUAAACGUUGUCUGUUACUGUGUUUGUUUUAAUUAGUCAAUGUUUUUUUCCCACUCUGACAGGUUAAGUCUUGCAGGUUCUCUGCGUCAUACUUCUGCAUAAUGGAGGAUUGAAAUCAAAAGAUGUCUCUGCCCGGUCAAUGGCCAUCGACUUGCUAGGUACAAUUGCUGCAAGGUUGAAACAGGAUUCUGUCCUCUGCAGUGGAGACAGAUUCUGGGCGCUACUAGAAUCAGAUACUGAAACCAAACUUGACCAAUCUGUUACAAAAGAUUGCGCUCUAUGUUUAGGUAAAAGGGCUGGGAACUUAUUAGGCUGUCAAAUUUGUCAAAGGCAGUUUCAUGCAGACUGUUUGGGUUUAAAGGAAGUAGACAUUCCAAGUCGAAAUUGGCAUUGUCCGUUUUGCAUAAGCAAGAGACAACUUCUUGUACUGCAGUCUUACUGCAAGACGGACACCAAGGGCACUGUUAUGUUGGAGUCAGAAGAAGAUCCAAAUAUGGUUACACAGACAGAAGUGGUGCAACAGAUGCUCUUGAAUUAUCUUCAGGAUGCUGGAUCUGUUGAUGAAGUGCAUACUUUCAUUUGCUGGUUUGUUCCUGACUCCUGUCAUGCGGAUUUUGCAAUUUAGGUAGGUCUUAUAUGGAAAGUACUUUGUGCAGGUUUUAUCUUUGCCUUUGGUAUAAAGAUGUCCCAAAAUCUCAGAAGAAAUUCAAAUAUUACAUUGCCAGACUCAAAGCGAAGUCAAUAAUCCGUAACUCUGGAGCAACUACUUCGUUCUUGACAAGAGAUGCUAUUAAGAAAAUUACUUUAGCUCUUGGACUUAACAGCUCUUUUUCUAGAGGAUUUGAUAAGAUUCUACACAUGCUCCUGGUUAGUGAAAGGUUUUGUAUGUAUCUUUUUAUUUUACUUUUUAAUUCUCUCUUUCCUCUAACUGUGUUAUUUUUUUAGGCUAGUUUAAGAGAGAACUCUCCCAUUAUUAGGGCCAAAGCUAUGAGAGCAGUAAGUGAGAAAAGUGUUAAAACACAUAAUUAUCUCUGUUUGUGGGUAAAACUAGAAUGCAGUUAUGCUCUACUUGCAAUGAUAAUACAUUCUCAUAUUGACCAUAACAGGUUAGUAUAAUUGUUGAAGCUGAUCCAGAGGUAUUGUGUGAUAAGCGUGUUCAGUUGGCUGUUGAAGGAAGGUUUUGUGAUUCUGCAAUAUCUGUUAGAGAAGCGGCACUGGAACUUGUUGGUAGGCAUAUUGCAUCACAUCCUGAUGUUGGUUUAAAGGUAAAUUGACCUUUUUCCCGUAUUGUUAUGGUUAUAUAACAUUCCCUACUACUGCUGUGUCUUUGCGGACCUAAGGAUUUUUUUUUGCAGUAUUUUGAGAAGGUAGCUGAAAGGAUUAAGGAUACUGGAGUGAGUGUUCGAAAACGAGCCAUCAAGAUAAUACGUGACAUGUGUACUUCAAAUCCCAACUUCUCUGAAUUUACAAGUGCAUGUGCCGAGAUAUUAUCUCGUAUCAGUGAUGAUGAGUCUAGUAUACAGGUAAUCUUUGUAUUUCAGUAUGCAUUGCUGUUUUAUCUUUCUUGGCCUUACAAGAUUUAUACUACAAAAAAAAAUUAUUCGUAGGAUCUUGUGUGCAAAACUUUCUAUGAAUUCUGGUUUGAGGAGCCUCCAGGGCAUCAUACUCAGUUUGCUAGUGAUGCUAGCUGCAUUCCAGUGGAAGUGGAAACGAAAACUAAGCAAAUGGUGGGGUUGUUAAGGAGGACCCCGAAUCACCAGCUUCUUGUAACAAUUAUUAAGCGUGCCCUGGCCCUUGAUUUUUUCCCUCAAGCAACUAAAGCUGCUGGUAUCAACCCAGUUGCUCUUGCAUCGGUACGCCGGCGCUGCGAGAUGAUGUGCAAGUGCUUACUGGAAAAUAUAUUACAGGUCAACAUUGAUGCUUCUUGUCUGUGCAUUGCUGGGCUGGUCAAAUACCAAUAUUUAACAUCCUUCUUUUCUGCCAGGUAGAAGAACUGAGCCGUAGAGAGGGAGACGUGCAAGUGCUUCCUUAUGUACUUGCUUUGCAUGCUUUCUGUCUGGUGGAUCCUGGGCUGUGUACACCGGCUUCAGACCCGACGAAGUUUGUUAUUACCCUACAGCCGUAUUUGAAGAGUCAGGUUAUAUAUGGCCACUAUGAUUAAGAUUCUUGUAAAUAAAUGAUUCUGUUAUGAGCUUCGCUAUGCUUGUUUUCUUUGAAAAAUGGUGGUAGUUAUCCUGAGAAGAAGUCAUAUGUGUGAAAGGUGUGUCCGCAAUAGUAUCUCAAGCUUUUAAAUGUUGCUAACCUCCAAUUCGUCAUGUGUUUGUUGCAGGUUGAUAGUAGAAUAGGAGCACAGUUACUAGAGAGUAUUAUUUUCAUUAUCGAUUCUGUUCUACCCUUGAUCCGCAAGCUUCCUUUUAGUGUCACAGAAGAUCUGGAGCAAGAUCUAAAGCAUAUGAUUGUUCGGCAUUCAUUUCUAACGGUUGUUCAUGCAUGCGUUAGGUACCCUUUAUUACUCAACAACCCUCAUUCCUGGCUCUUUUUUUUGCAGUAUUUUGAGAAGGUAGCUGAAAGGAUUAAGGAUACUGGAGUGAGUGUUCGAAAACGAGCCAUCAAGAUAAUACGUGACAUGUGUACUUCAAAUCCCAACUUCUCUGAAUUUACAAGUGCAUGUGCCGAGAUAUUAUCUCGUAUCAGUGAUGAUGAGUCUAGUAUACAGGUAAUCUUUGUAUUUCAGUAUGCAUUGCUAUUUAAUCUUUCUUUGCCUUACAAGAUUUAUACUACAAAAAAAAUCAUUCGUAGGAUCUUGUGUGCAAAACUUUCUAUGAAUUCUGGUUUGAGGAGCCUUCAGGGCAUCAUACUCAAUUUGCUAGUGAUGCUAGCUCCAUUCCAGUGGAAGUGGAAACGAAAACUAAGCAAAUGGUGGGGUUGUUAAGGAGGACCCCGAAUCACCAGCUUCUUGUAACAAUUAUUAAGCGUGCCCUUGCCCUCGACUUUUUCCCUCAAGCAACUAAAGCUGCUGGUAUCAACCCAGUUGCUCUUGCAUCGGUACGCCGGCGCUGCGAGAUGAUGUGCAAGUGCUUACUGGAAAAUAUAUUACAGGUCAACAUUGAUGCUUCUUGUCUGUGCAUUGCUGGGUUGGUCAAAUACCAAUAUUUAACAUCCUUCUUUUCUGCCAGGUAGAAGAACUGAGCCGUAGAGAGGGAGACGUGCAAGUGCUUCCUUAUGUACUUGCUUUGCAUGCUUUCUGUCUGGUGGAUCCUGGGCUGUGUACACCGGCUUCAGACCCGACGAAGUUUGUUAUUACCCUACAGCCGUAUUUGAAGAGUCAGGUUAUAUAUGGCCACUAUGAUUAAGAUUCUUGUAAAUAAAUGAUUCUGUUAUGAGCUUCGCUAUGCUUGUUUUCUUUGAAAAAUGGUGGUAGUUAUCCUGAGAAAAAGUCAUAUGUGUGAAAGGUGUGUCCGCAAUAGUAUCUCAAGCUUUUAAAUGUUGCUAACCUCCAAUUCGUCAUGUGUUUGUUGCAGGUUGAUAGUAGAAUAGGAGCACAGUUACUAGAGAGUAUUAUUUUCAUUAUCGAUUCUGUUCUACCCUUGAUCCGCAAGCUUCCUUUUAGUGUCACAGAAGAUCUGGAGCAAGAUCUAAAGCAUAUGAUUGUUCGGCAUUCAUUUCUAACGGUUGUUCAUGCAUGCGUUAGGUACCCUUUAUUACUCAACAACCCUCAUUCCUGGCUCUAUAGAUCGUUUUUGGCUUCACAUACGUUCAUUUUUAUUUGGACGAUCACAUAUGUACAUGGAACAUGCCGUCAAGAAACACCAUUCAUCUGUUUUUAAGGAUACUACCUUCUAUCUGAUUAGUGCUACCCUUCAAAUUCGCAGGUGUCUUUGUUCUGUGAGUAAAUUGUCGGGAAAAGGUGUUAGUGUAGUUGAGCAUCUUCUUCAGUUCUUUUUAAAGCGGCUGGAGGCCCAAGGGCCUGAUAACAACCAGGUGAGUUUUCCUUGAAAAGAUCAUGCGUCAGAAUUUUAUUGUGGUUCAACAUUUUAAGUCUUCUUUGAGUCUUCUUUCAUGCACAUGAUUUUACAAGUGGUUUUUUUUCUGGGGUCGGUAUAUUGUACUAUUGUAGCUUGCGUUUGUGUGCGUAAAUCCAGUUGCAUCUGUACCUUCAUUUGGGCCUUUUCUUAUUCUCGUUGGACUGGUAUCUUGUUUAUAGUUAAGCAGAGACAGGUGAUGUCGUUUUGCUCUUGCUUUUAUAAGAUCAUUAUUCUUUUCUGAUGUUGACCUUCAUUGUGGUUUUACUGCCUAAUGAUGGUAACAUUCAAUGUUUACAUAUAUCCCACCUGAGGGCGAGUGUCGUCUGAGUUGUGAUGACUGUUAUUCUUUACAAUGUUCAGCAACGGGUUACCUUGAAGCUAAAUGGUGAACAAUUUCUUGCUAACGCAGAUUGCUGGGCGGUCCCUUUUUUGUCUUGGCUUGCUUAUUCGCCAUGGAAACUCUCUUAUUAGCAUCUGAUAACAACCAGGUGAGUUUUCUUUGAAAAGAUCAUGCAUCAGAAUUUUAUUGUGGUUCAACAUUUUAAGUCUUCUUUGAGUCUUGUUUCGUGCACAUGAUUUUACAUGUGGGUUUUUUCUGGGGUCGGUAUAUUGUACUGUUGUAGCUUGCGUUUGUGUGAGUGAAUCCAGUUGCAUCUGUACCUUAAUUUGGGCCUUUUCUUAUUCUCGUUGGACUGGUAUCUUGUUUAUAGUUAAGCAGAGACAGGUGAUGUCGUUUUGCUCUUGCUUUUAUAAGAUCAUUAUUCUUUGCUGAUGUUGAUCUUCAUUGUAGUUUUACUGCCUAAUGAUGGUAAUAUUCAAUGUUUACAUAUAUCCCACCUGAGGGCGAGUGUCGUCUGAGUUGAGAUGAUUGUUAUUCUUUACAAUGUCCAGCAACGGGUUGCCUUGAAGCUAAAUGGUGAACAAUUUCUUGCUAACGCAGAUUGCUGGGCGGUCCCUUUUUUGUCUUGGCUUGCUUAUUCGCCAUGGAAACUCUCUUAUUAGCACCUCAGGUGGCAGGAAAUUUAAUCUCUCCGGCUGUCUCAGUUUGUUCAAACGACAUCUCCGCGUGGAAGAUUUUUCGUUGAAAGUCAGGUCUCUGCAGGUAUAGUACAUACUGUGCUAGUGUCUUGUACAUUCUCAAUAUUGCAUUAUGCUAGAAUAAUGGUGACCCCAAACUCAUGUAGGCUCUAGGUUUUAUUCUAAUUGCGCGGCCUGAGUACAUGUUGGAAGACGACAUUGGAAAGAUAAUCGAGAGUACAUUAUCAGAUGAAGCAAACGGGCGUAUGAAGGUAAAUAUCGCCCAUCUAUUUGUGUGUUUUCAGUUACUAUGGCAUACAUUUGUUUUAGGCAUGCAUAUGGUUACAUCCUUUUAUUUUAAUGCUCAUGAUCCAGAUGCAAGCAUUGCAAAACAUGUAUGAUUACCUUCUUGAUGCGGAAAAACAAUUGGGAUCCGAUAAAGCUGGUGAUAUCACGGUUAACCCAAUUGAGCAAGGUGGACAUACUGUACCUGUGGCCGCUGGUGCAGGUGACACCAACAUUUGCGGAGGCAUUGUGCAGUUGUAUUGGGAUAAGAUAUUAGGUAGAUGCUUGGACUUUGAUGAUCAAAUUCGCCAGAUUGCUCUCAAGGUUUGCUUUUUUAUAUUAUAUAAUCUUUGCUCAUGUCUCUUUGUUCUUCUGUAAAUUAAUGAGAGAUAUUCUCCCGCAGAUAGUGGAAGUUGUGCUACGUCAAGGUCUUGUUCAUCCUAUUACAUGUGUUCCUUAUUUGAUUGCCCUUGAGACAGAUCCUCUCGAGGCUAACCAGAAGCUGGCCCAUCAUUUACUAAUGAAUAUGCAUGAGAAGUAAUCCUCUUACUGUAUUUUACAAAAUUUUACAUUAUUCGCUCACCAAUAAUUGGCUCACUAACACACCUCGACAUUUUCAUCAGGUAUCCGGCAUUUUUUGAAAGCCGUCUCGGUGACGGACUUCAAAUGUCGUUCAUCUUCAUGCAAUCGAUAAGCCAGGUCUCUUCAGAAUCAAAUCAAAAUCUUCAGCAGAAGGGUUCAACAAACAUGUCGGGAAAAAAUGAUCAUACUAAUACCACUCUCACACAAGCUAGACUUGGAGUCUCUAGGAUCUACAAGCUUAUCCGUGGAAACCGGAUUUCUCGGAACAAGUUUAUGACAUCUAUUGUUCGCAAGUUUGAUAAUCCAACCUGGAGUGGCUCAGUGAUAUCCUUUCUGAUGUGAGUUUUCGCUGCUACAAAAAAAACUAUAUAGUCUCUCUUAGGUAAAAUAAGCACUAACUUUUCUGUCUCUCUUAACAGGUAUUGCACUGAAACCCUUGCGUUACUUCCAUUCACAACACCUGAUGAGCCACUCUAUCUUGUAUAUUCCAUAAACCGAGUUAUACAAAUCCGCGCUGGUGCAAUUGAGUCAAAUUUGAAGGCUUUGUUACACAAAGAUUCUGCAAAGCCUCAGCAUGGAAAUGGAACAUACCAACAAGAUCCGAUUCUUGGACAGAUUCACAUGAUGGACCUAAACACAAAAAUGCAAGAAGAACAAACGCAUUGGAAUUCGUAUGGUCAUCCAGCUCCAAUUGAUCUCAAUGGAAUAGUAUACCAAGAUCCGAGGGAUCAGUUUAAUUCAUAUCAAACCCACAAUGGAGAAGCAAAUGUGAACGAAAUGACCUCAUCUGAUCCGCCUGCAUUGUCCACCGAUGAUCUGCAGAAAAUUAAGGUACUUCUUCAUACUUUAUUGUCCUCUGAUUCCUAUGGUGUUAGAGUUGGGUCUGAAACUUUCACCUCUUCGGUAGGAAGAUUAAACUAAUGUAAACCGGGUCUUGCACAGCUCAGGCUAUGGUUUGAUUUUAAUCAAAUAUAUACUCAAUUUGUUUUUAAAAUGUUUCAAUUUGUGGAGAUAGAUUCUUUACAACAUUUUUUUUUGGGGUUGGCUGCAGAUCGGCCAAGUUCCAUUACAAAUGAUUUAUCCAACUUGAGCACCUCUUAAUAUGAUCGUUACUUGUUUUUAUAAAUAUAUGGCGUUUUUAGUCUCAUGGCAGUUUCUCUUUUGGUGCUCUUUCAGGUUGAUUGCUUAUCAGCUAUAGCUUUACAGCUUCUUUUGAAGCUCAAGAGAUACUUAAAAGUCACGUACAGCUUAAAUGAUGACCGGUGCCAAGUACGAUUCUUUCUUUCGAACUUGAAAUCCCUUUUUUUGCUUUCCUUUUUCUUUAAGCUGAACACGAAAACGUGAUUGUGUUCUCAGGCGUAUUCUCCAACGGAACCAUUGAAGCCAGGAGAUCCUCUGUCUAAACAGAACAUUGCCUUUGACCUCAGCGAAACUCGCACUGACUUACCUUCAACAUAUCAAGACUUGGUUCUGAGGUAUCAGGUAAAAAGCCGCCCUAGAAUUUUUGUCCUCCCCUCUAGAAUCUUAGAUCCAUGGGUAAAGAAAAGAUCAUUUUGUUGCAUUCAACUUCUCUAUUGCAGGAGUUUAAGAACGCGAUGAGAGAAGAUACACUUGACUACACCAUUUAUUCAUCAAACGUCAAGAGAAAACGCCCAACGCCAAGAAAAAGCUCAAGAUCUGCUAAGAAAGCAGUGGCCUGCAAUGAGGACGAUGAUGAUGACGACGAUGGUGACAGAGGCUGGAAUGGAGGAAGCAGUGGUAUGACUGCUCGGAGACUAAACUACAGUACCAGAAAUAGCAACAGAAGGUAAUGUCAGACGGCACUGGCUCCUGUUUUAGAUCACUACUAUAUAUACAGCAGCAACGAAAAAGAGAAUCAGAAUUGGCGAUAUUAUUUUAGGCUCUUAUAAGUCAUAACCCCAAUGUACAGUAUGAUUUCUUACAAAAUUAGGAAGCCAGGAACGAAUUGGUACGCACGUUGUAUAACCUUUUGUUAGGAUGAAAAAGAGAAGAAAUUGAAGUAGAAGAAUAUUAGAAUAGGUAUUUUGUCAGUUUGCUUUUGGAUGGCAUUCAGUAUUCACUAUUGAUUUGUACCCCCUUUCUCAUUGUUUAGGAAAUGGCGUCAUUGUCUAUCAACUUGUUAGCUUUAUUUAUCUUCUGGAGUUAUUACAGCUUGUUGGUAAUUAUAAUUUUUAGAACUCUGCUGUAGUUUUUGGUGGGUUUGUUGUUUCGGUUUUGCUUACUGAAUCUUCGUAGCCUCUUAGGUGAGACUGCGUAUAUACACUGGUUGCGUUUGACCAGACUAUAUAUUAAUAGAUGGGAUAUCCCAUAAUUGAUCGAGCUUUUAAUGGACAGGCAGACAUUUUUCUCACCUAAUAGGCAAAUUCAUAGUACAGCAUACUAUUAAUUUGUCUGAUUUGUUCGAAAGACAUGCAUAACUGAUAUGUUACGCGAUUCUCAAAAGAAAGUGAGUUCAGAAAGUUGAGAGAAAAAGAAAAAAAAAACAUAAAUAGCCGAACCCGAACCAACCUGACCGAGAUGAUUACUUUUAACGAUUGUCAGCACGUCGGUAUAAGCAGGAGUUUGAUGAUGUUCUGAAGCAGCUCAAAAUGACAGCUUCUUCAUUUCAAGGAGCGAUGGUAAACAGAGGCUGCACAGUUUAUUAUAGUAUUGAGCACAAGUUAAUGAUCUCAAAACCAAUCCAUAUAAUAUACGGGAGAGGGAGAGGGAGAGGGGGAGAGAGAGAAAGAUUAGUGGUUACCGUAUCAACGCUGACGGGUUUUCCAUCUUCAGCCAGUAAUUCAGUGAUGGUUCCUGACUUCUCAGCCUGUUUUCAACACACAUCUUCUUCACAUGUUACACAAACACAUAUAACCCCCAAAUAUAUUGACAAUGUACUGUUGUUAUAAAGAAAAUCACACCUCAAUCUCAUUCAUCAGUUUCAUAGCUUCGAUAAUGCAAACAACUUGACCCUUCUGCACUUUAUCUCCGACCUGCACAUUGCAUAAAACAUACCGGACUCACUUGAAAUGUUCAAUUACACUUCAUUCAGAUGAUUUUCUCUCUCUCUCUCUCUCUCUUUUUUUUGGCAUCUUCUUGUACCUUGACAAAAGGAGGUUCACCGGGUCCAGGAGACCUGUAGAAAGUACCAGCCAUAGGACUCUUCAGUGGAGGAUGAGAAGAGGAUGGUGCGGUUGCUGUAUUCGCUGUUGCAGGAGCUGAGGAGGGAGCAGGAGGAGACACUGGUGGAGAUGGAGGCAUUGGAAGGCCUUCCAUUGGAGGAGGAGGCAUCAUCGAGUGAUAAACUGGAGCUGGUUGCUGCGGUAAGGCUUCCUUCUUCCGAAUAACAAUCUCACAGUCGAGCUGCUUCAACUCAAGUUCCACUAUAUCUCUUGAAUCCACAAGCCUUAAUAACAUAACAAAACAAAAGUUUGAUUAGUUCUGUGUAGAGAAACAAAACUAAAAGGAUUGGCAAGGGAACAUGACAUACUUAAGAAGACCAGAGACUUUAGAGAUAAAGUCAGAGAGCUCGGCGGCGGGUUCAGGAGGAACAUUGGUCUUGACGUUUCCGUUCAAACAUCCACCGUUAGUCACUGGUGUAGAAUUAGACACAACCUUCGGGUUUGAAAAAAAAAAGUCGAAAAUGAGUGAGUAACAAGAAGGUUACAUCGUACUAUAUUAGCUGUGCAAGAAAGCUUUUACCUCAUUGGUUGUGGCACGCAACCUCCAGAUUGUAGAUUGAGUCUGUUGAAAGACGAAGGAAACAGAGGAUUAUGAAUCAGUGUAUACUAAGACAGCAACAUGACCGUCCUUGUAGUAUAAAAUAUGUGUACGAAAUGACUACAUGAGUUAUGAAGCAAGAGUGUCACAUCACAUUAUUCCAUUCGAUACAGAAGAAGGACGACUUUAAAGUUCCAUAGUUCAACAUGAGUGUCACAUCUCGUAGAGAAAGCUUGACACUUUAUUACAGGGAUAGAGGAGAGAAGCAGAAGAAAGAAACCUGAGAUACAUGGGAGACGUGAAAAGAGAUCCCACUGGGUUGAGGCUGCCGUCGGAUCCCAGGAAUAGAUUCGACCCGCCGGUUAGGAGCAGAGAUCUUGGCGUAAGGAACCGACAAUGACGCCAUUGUUGAGAUAGGAUGAAAAUGCACUUUGACGAUGUAACCGAGGAAGCACGACGAAGAAGAGAUGGUAGAGAGAGAUGUUUUACACUAUUGAUUUCUCCUAUUUUUUUUUUUUUUUAAUAGUACGUUUUUACACUAUUGAGAUGGUAGAGAGAGAGAGAGAGAGAGAUGUUUUUACACUAUUUAUUUGAUUUCUCCUUUUUUUUUUUUUUUUUUUUUUUUUUUUGUUCUGGUUUCGAUACUUACGAAGAACACCAAUUUAACUAACUUUCAACAAACUUUGUCAAUACUUGUUGUUGUUACUAGUAGGGACAACCCUCACUUUCUCAUGAUUUCACUCGUGUCUUUCUUUGUGCCUCACUGUCUGUAUCUCUUAUUUCUUUGAAUAACCCCUUAUAUACAUUUUUACGUGCCCUGUUAUAUAUAGUAUGUCUGUAUGUGUUCAGCUAAACCCCCAUCGAUCGAUGUGUUACUGAUCAAUGGCAUGUAUCUCCUCAAGUUUUAAGAAGGUGCACUUGCUUCCAUCAGAUCUGCCUUCGUUUCAUAAAAGCCCAUAUGGGUAUAUACUUUUUUCUUCCUUUCUGAAGGUGGACACUAUUUGUAGAAAGACCUUGUAUAGUUGUAUAGGGGUUUUAUGUUUUAAAUGGCUGUUGAAAUAGCCAGAAUAUACCCAUUCCAAAGCGGAUUUUGCAUUAACAAAUACGAAGCCGUUAAAUUUUUGUUCUUCACAGAAAUUUAAAAGUAGGUUUGCCCCACCUGUUAGUAUUCUAUGAAGCUCAUCUUAUAUGGCAGUUAAUCCAAAUUCAAACUGGAAGUUAGUUUUUUUUUGGGUAAAAAUACUGGAAGGUAGUAGUUAUAUCUUUCUGAACCAGAACUUAACCAGAGCAAACCGAAUUUUGUAAAGAAAUAUGAAAUAUUUCUAAUUUGUUUGGGUGGUAGAUCAUAUUAUUAACAAAGCUUUUCAAAGAUACUGACAAUAGAGAAUAGAGAUCGCUCAUGCAGGAACCAGUUUCGCUCCAAGAAGAUGAACUACAACAUCUGAUCAUCUUGUGUUGUGGUAUUUGAAACUUGGGGUCUCAGUGGUGCAGUUGAAUGCCUGCUCGACAUUUUCAAUGGUUAGAGGAAAAUAACAAGAAGCAAUUGUAUCAGCUUUUACUAAUAAGCUCAUUUGUUCUAAGUAGGUCCUCUACUAACUACUGUCUGUCGAGCCUAUGUGUAUGCAAAGAGGUUCAUUGUUCUGAUUAUUUAUAGUUUGGUGGUCUGGUUUUGGAAAUAAGUACAGUCUGAGCGAACCAAGGUGCGUGAAUCCAAGACUGGAUAGGUGUGGGAAGGUUUCACUACGUUGGAUCAAGCUAGAGGUGAUCUUGAUUUGGCUUAAUAAUUUUACUAUUUAUUCUGUAUUUAUUUAGAAAUAUCCACGGGAGAAGAUCACAUAAAUAACAGUCCUAAUGUAACUAUUAAUUUCUACUUAAAACAUGAAUAGUUUAUAGGCGUGUCCGGCAACCAAAAUCAACCAACUAAUUUGUGGGUCCCAAAGAUGCCGCUAUUUGUAAAUUUUCUGGUGGUCAACCGGAAUCGAACCUCAUGUAUUAAUAUUUAUUAUUUAAAUUAUCAUAUCUUAAAUUUUAUUCAAAAUAAUGUGAACUACGAUAUAUUUAUGUUUGUUCAUAUAUUUUUAAGAUACAACAAUAUUCUACAAACAAUUGUUGUAAGAUAUCAUUUUGUAAAAUGUGUUUUUUUAACGUUUAGUUAAUUAUGCUAUUACAACGAUGAAAAAUAUUACAUAGACAAUUCUACAACCGACAAUUCUACCACCUUAUGAGAAUACACGUCUGACUGCGUUAUUCCAAGCCGCCCUAUGAGAUCCAUGUCCGAUGGUACGCUAUGCACCAUGCCGAAGACUCUUGUAACCUUUUUUUCUUUUCCAUAAUCUGCAUAAUUUAGAUUUUCUGGGGUUUGAACUCUAGACUUUUUGAUGUAGAAGCAUUAAUGAACAUUUAGGAUAUGACUGGUUUCUUCGCUACCACCCGCAAACGCAGCUUUUGCGGUUGGUAGCGGUUGUUGGUGUUUUGCAACAAUCACUCAAAUCGAUCUAAACUGCUUCAAAUCGCUAUAAACCUCAUAAAUUCAAAAGUUGGGUUCAACUAUCGUUUGUGGUUGCAGACGGUACAUGAAGAUUAAUUUUUUUAAAUAAUAUAAAUACAAAAAUUAAAAUUAAAAUUAAAAUUAAAAUUAGAAUUAUAAAAAUACUAAAAUAUAUCUAUUAUAUUUUAAUUAAUAUUAUAAAAUUUUAAAAUAAAAUAUUUUCUAUAAUUUUUUAAAAUUUAAAACUAAAACUUUCUAAAUAUAAUUUUUAUAUUUAUUAUGAUAUUAUGAUUUUUUAUAUUUUAUAAUUAUAUAAAAUGUAAAUAUUGUUAAUUUAUUAUUUAACCGCAGUCAUAAGUAUACUACAAACACGCCAAUUUCUAACCGCAGAAUCAGUCGUACAAAUCUCUUAGAACCGCUAGAAACCGCAAUCACUCGCAUCCGCAAACUCCCGCAACCGCAACCGUUGCGUUUGAACCAGUACUGCCUUAGUCAAACUAUUCAACUUUGUAAAAUGUGUUAAGAAUGAGAUUACUCGUAAAUUUUUAAUAUAUUAAAAAUUACCAUAUCUAGCAAUUACUAUAUUUUUUUUUUUUGAUCAAAUCUAGCAAUUACUAUAUUUGAUUACAUAACGGUAUGGAGUACGCUGAGUCGCUGACAGAAAAACUGUAUUGAGUACAUAUUGCUGAAAGUGAAAGGUGUUCUAAGUGACCGCAUUCCAACUCAAAGGUAACAUGGCAAACCAUAUUAUUGAGUUGUAUAGAAAUCAGCUUUUUGGGUGGUCAACGUACACAAACCGUGUUAUAUUCGCAUUUUUUCAGAUCUGGUUUAGGUUUUUAUUUUGAUUUAUUUAAUAUUACAUAUGUUUCAACCACACUCUUCUCGGUAUAUUUUAUUCAUUAAACUAGUGUUAAAUAGCUUGAGAAGCACUUCAAAAAGUGUGACUGAGUUUCUAAGCAAAGUGCAAUCAAGUUUUGUCCAGCAGACUCCACCGCACAAUCACUUAGGUACUGAUACAAAAUGUUUUUAAUAACAAUAGAUUAAGACGUACAUUAUUGAUACACCAACCCAACCUUCGGGAAGUAUAUCAUAGACUAUCAAAUGAACAGUGACGCACAUAAAACAAUGUUUUUUUUUUUUUGAAAAAAGGCUACACAUAAAACAAUGUUGUAUUAUGUAUCUACAAAAUAAUUAACACAAGGGUAUCUUUAUUAACUAUACGUGUAAAGUUGUAAAUUGAGAGAAAGAUACACAUGCAUUGUUAUUCCUUAACCUUUUGAAUUUUCCUUUUCCAGUAAACACUAACACUAUUAUUGGUGUUUUGAUGUAUAGGCAUGUUCUUUUUCUCCACGAGUGCGGUAGCGUCAGCGGCUUAAAAACAAGAAGAAAAUAUUGUAAUUAACGCCAUCAUUUUUUGAGUUUGUGUCGAUGUGAUUAUUUUACUGAGUGUUGUCGAUGAUGUUAGUGACGCUGAAAAAAAAAGUGUUCAUCGGAAUUGCCUUCCUGGUCAAACGAGGACGUCGCUGCCAUUUAUUCUCCACAUCCUUAAGCCUCAAGAAACUUACAAUUAGGCAUUAUUUUGAAUGCUUGAAGCUGACGUUGCGAUUCUUUACCAAACAGGGUUUAUCAUGUAUCUUUCUGAUUUUGUAAUUUUUUUGAUCAAAUAUGUAUCUUUCGAUAAUCUGCCGCUAACACCAGUACAAAACGUAGUAGGAAAUUAUAAGAGUUUUGUAUAUUGUGUGGAAAUUAACAAAGUGAUACUUUCCCCAUUGCUGGCAAAAUCUCUGAAUAAUAAAUGUUCUUUUAAGUUAAAGUAGUUGCAUUUAUGUUGGUCGGAACACUAGAUUGAAAGGAAAAAGGGACCAUGAAUAUUUUGUUCCCAACAGGCAACAUAUCUUAUAUAAUAAAAAAAUGUUCCUCUCUCCCGGUGAAUCCACGUCAGUAAGUCAAUUCCUCUCAGUGUGACAUGUGUGCAAUUCUGUUUUUUUCAUCUUUUUAAUUUGUUUUUUUGAGCUUCACGAGUGGGCUUCCGCUUUUAUUAAAUGAGUUAUUGAAAAUUAUUUUCUAAACCCAAGUCCACCAUCCUCCCUUUUAUAUAAUAAAGAAAUGUUUAUCUCUCCUGGUGAAUCCACGUCACUAAGUCAAUUCCUCUCAGUGUGACAUGUGUCCAACUCUGUUUUUUCAUAUUUUUAAUUUGUUUUUUUGGGCUUCACGAGUGAGCUUCCGCUUUUAUUAAAUGAGUUAUUGGAAAUUAUUUUAUUAGCCCAAGUCCACCAUUCUCCCUUUUCUCCAACCAAAAAAACUGAGAUAGACCACGUCUGUAAUCCAAACAUUUUUUUUUUAAAUUUAAACAAACUUUUUUUGCGUCAAAAACUCCAAAAGAUUACAUCUAAGCCUGCGAUUUAGGUAAAUCUGGAAAAAAUCGAUUAAGUUAAACUGUUUUCUGUUUUUUUUUUUUCAGACCGAGAAAUAUCUAUAUAAUUGAACUAAACAGAUAAAAUGCUGUCACUUUAUGUUGAUGAACCGUGAAUCAAAUCCUAAUUUAUCAAGUAAAACAGAGAAGAGGAAAGUGAACGACGAAACAUAAUUAGAUGAAUAGGGAGAUUAGGUGGUGAAGAAGAAGAUGGGAUCAGGUGGUAAAGAAGAAGGUGAGGUGGUUAAACGAAGAAGAUGGAUGAGAUGAAAAGGGAGAUUAGGUGAUGAAGAAGAUGCAGUGAGGAGGUGAAGACGAAGGUGAGGUGAUGAAAAAAGAAUACGGGUCGGAUGAGAUAGUGAAAGAAAGAAGAAAAUUAGGUUUAGUCCGCUGAGAGAGAAACAAUAAAAGUACAUUUUUUUUCUUUUUUAGUUCAUUUAACCUUUCGUUUAAUUUUUAUGUAUCCAAUCAAGUUAAAGUCCACUAAUAACCCAAUAACUAAAGUUAAUUAAUACAAAAUAUGGAUAUUAGACAAGAAAAACUCAAUAAUGCAUUCACAGAUCAAUUUAACUGGAAAAUUUUUUUUACUAGACACCUAAAAACAUGACCAUCAAUUUAAAAAUAAUACAUAAGUGACAUUAUUCUCAAAUCAGAACCCUAGAAUACAUCAUAAUUUAUUUAAAAUAACAUAACUAAUAAAUUUAGUUAUACUACUAUAACUUUUAUAAAAUUUAAAUUUAGCCUAGAUGUAUGGUAUAAUAACAUUUUAAACAUUUUAUUAUAAAAAAUUCAAUAAUUUUAAAUAAAUUAUAUUUAUAAAAUAAUAUAUAUUUAUAUUUAAUACAAGAUUUAGCUAGCUGUUAAUAAAAACACAACCAAUCUAUCUAUAACACUAAAAUAUAAUUUAGUCUCUUCUUAGAGAGACAAUUACCUAUCCCUCAUGUUAACACGUAAACUUUAAAACAUUAAUCAUCUAGCAUUAUUUUCGGUUUUUUACUAGGAUCUAAUGAUUUUUGGUUUUAUCAAUUUGAUAGAUAAACUGAAAUAAAGUGCUAAAACAUUUAUUAUUAUUUUUAGCUUCCACUCUGAUUAAUUGAUGCCAUAUUAGAAUUUGUUCGGUUUGGUAUUGAUUUUGGAUUCAAACUAGAUCUAGCUUUAAAAUAAUAUUACAAUUCAAAUUCUCUUUGUAUAUAAACAGAUGAGUUAAUAUUGCAUUUGUAUUUUGAGUUUGUUAAAUAUAUGCAUAUAAAUUAAAAUUAAAAUAUUUUUAAAGAAAAAAUCUGGUUUAGUAUGGUUACACUACACUAGCAAUAAUAAAAAAAGGUACUCUCCUUCAAUAGAUUAUAGUACAACAUCAUGAAAUCUCAACAAGAACCGGUGUAAUGUCAUCCCAAGGAAAAAAUAAAACCUAACUAAUUAUCAAAAUAACAUAGUUUAUUUAGACUUAAAAAAAAAGAAAAACAAGUACAUAAUUUAGCUACUAUUUAUAUUUUUAACUAAUAAAAAUUAAAAUAAUUAUUUACUCAAACUAUUUCGAUUGUUUUCGAAUAUACAUCCCGUCCGUAGGACGGACCGACCUAGUAUAUAUAUAUAUAUUUAUGUUUUAAAAUACUAGAAAAAAUCUAAGAAAAGAAAAACGGAUACAUAGUAUUUACUAUUUAAUAAACUGAAUACGUGUAUGCGAUAAAUUUUUGGUUGACAUAUACGAGAAUACAGUCUAUUAAAGUUGGUCGAGAUCCAAUCUCUUGACGGUGUAGUAUGUCAAAUGUUUAACGUGUCUUUAACACUUGAACACCACCUGCCAAACAUUGUGAGACCCCCAUCGUUUUCUUUGCAACCUUUUACAUUUAAUCUUUAACUGAAAGUGUUAUUAGCUUAAUAUAAUUUUUUUGAUCAAGCAAUUAAAUUAAAGUAACCCGAAAACACUUUUAAAACGCGUUACACUUUGACGGUUUCAAGGGCAUUUUAGGAAUCUCAACACCUAUAUAAACUCCCUACUCGCCCCGCUCUUCUUCUCCAUCGCCAGAUUCAGCGAUUCCCCCAGCUCCGUUUCUUCGAUUAUUGUAUACCACUAGCUUGCCACAAAGGUAAAACGAUCAAUUGUAUCUUUCUCUCUGGUUAAUCCGUGCUUUCAAGAUCCAAUUUUGUGAUCCGUGUUUGGGUUCGAUCUGUGUCGGUGAUCCGCAAACGUAACUUAAUUUCUCUCUGCAUGUACCAGAUCUGAGAUUUUGAUUUGAAUUUCUCGCUUUAUGUUUAUCAUUUUCGUUGAAUUUCGAGCUCAUUGUUAAGCAUGAUCAUGAAUGUUUGAUCACUGUUCUGAUAUUAAUUGGAUCAUGUUUACGUAAAUCUAUUUUAUUUGUACAUCUGGUUUUCCUUAAACCGGAUCUGGGUUUUCCAUAACCGGAUCUGGGUUUCCUAAAGUUUUGAUUUUUAUUGUGGAUUCUACUUGUCAAUGUUUAUAGCUGUUAUUCAAAUUGCUAAUGACCUUUUGUUCAUUAAUAUUGUGUAAUAUAUUUAAUUUAAUCUCUUACUUGGUGUUUAUUUAUGUUUAAUUCAGGUUUUAAACAAGCAAAAAAAAAUGGUGAAGAUAUGCUGCAUUGGAGCUGGAUACGUCGGUGGUCCAACCAUGGCAGUCAUCGCUCUAAAAUGCCCAUCCGUUGAAGUAGCCGUCGUUGACAUCUCCGUGCCCAGGAUCACCGCCUGGAACAGCGACCAGCUCCCCAUCUACGAGCCUGGUCUUGACGACGUCGUCAAGCAGUGCCGUGGGAAGAACCUUUUCUUCAGCACCGACGUUGAGAAGCACGUCAGAGAGGCCGACAUUGUCUUUGUCUCUGUCAACACACCCACCAAGACCCGCGGUCUCGGAGCUGGCAAAGCUGCCGACUUGACUUACUGGGAGAGCGCUGCUCGUAUGAUCGCUGAUGUGUCCGUUUCCGACAAGAUCGUUGUCGAGAAAUCGACUGUUCCGGUUAAAACCGCAGAGGCCAUUGAGAAGAUUCUUACGCAUAACAGCAAAGGGAUCAAGUUUCAGAUCCUCUCCAACCCUGAGUUUCUCGCUGAAGGAACCGCUAUUGAGGAUCUCUUCAAGCCUGACCGUGUCCUAAUCGGUGGCCGCGAGACGCCUGAAGGGUUUGCAGCUGUUAAAGCCUUGAAAGACGUUUACUCCCAAUGGGUCCCUGAAGAGAGGAUCCUCACCACUAAUCUCUGGUCCGCUGAGCUCUCCAAGCUCGCUGCUAACGCCUUCUUAGCUCAGAGGAUCUCGUCGGUUAACGCGAUGUCAGCUCUCUGUGAAGCAACGGGCGCCAAUGUCACGGAGGUCUCUUACGCUGUCGGUAAAGACUCACGUAUCGGUCCCAAGUUCUUGAACUCGAGUGUUGGCUUUGGAGGUUCUUGUUUCCAGAAAGACAUCCUCAACUUAGUCUACAUCUGCGAAUGCAACGGCUUACCUGAAGUCGCUGAGUACUGGAAACAAGUCAUCAAGAUCAACGACUACCAGAAAACCAGAUUCGUUAACCGCAUCGUCUCCUCGAUGUUCAACACCGUCUCCAACAAAAAGAUCGCUGUUCUCGGUUUCGCCUUCAAGAAAGACACUGGAGACACGAGAGAGACACCAGCCAUCGAUGUCUGCAAAGGCUUGUUAGGUGACAAAGCUCGUAUCAGCAUCUACGACCCGCAAGUCACGGAAGAGCAGAUCCAGAGAGACUUGACCAUGAACAAAUUCGACUGGGACCACCCGCUUCAUCUCCAGCCCAUGAGCCCCACCACUGUGAAGCAAGUCUCGGUCGCUUGGGACGCGUACGCUGCGACCAAAGACGCUCACGGUAUCUGCAUUUUGACCGAGUGGGACGAGUUCAAGAAGCUGGAUUACGAGAAGAUCUUUGAUAAUAUGCAGAAGCCGGCGUUUGUUUUCGAUGGUAGGAACGUGGUGGAUGCUGAGAAGCUGAGGAAGAUUGGGUUUAUUGUUUACUCUAUUGGUAAGCCGUUGGACCAGUGGCUCAAGGAUAUGCCUGCUCUUGCCUAAACCAAAACCAAACAAAACCUCUUCCUUAGCUUUUUUUAUUUCAUUUUUUCCCCCGAAUUAUUAUGUUUUUCAUACAAUUUUUUUUCCAUUUUAAUAUGUUUUGAACAAUAAUUGUCGGUUCUGUUAUUCUUAUGAAAAUCCAACAGAGAUUUUUAGGUUUGGUUUCUGUUGGUAAUUAUGUACCUUGGGUUAUCAUAUAUUGUAAGUUUUUCAAGUAUUAUUACAUGUUAUAAAAAGUUUUCUCCAGUUGGAAAUUACAUUCAUUUCUACAUGAGCAUAAACAUAAGCUAAAUCUUUUUUUAAAAUAAAUCCUUGAAAACCCUAAACCCUUAGAAUCAAAACCAACAAGCACCAAAGCAUAUCAUGUCUUAAAAAUAAUAUUUGGUAAUAAGGCCAAAACCAAAAACGUAUGAUAAACCAGUGGUGGUAGUCCAGUGGCGCUUGAGGGAAUAAAUCCAAUACGGCGAACCGUGGUUCGAACCCCGCUAGCCACACGGAUAUGGGUUAUUGCUUUCGGCUCAUUUGAAUGCCCAGGAGAGGGUUUAUCCGUGGACUGUACCUCCACCGGGAGCUAGGUCUGUGUCUUUAAUAGAUCUGGGUUAGGUCUGUGUCUUUAACAGACAUAGAUUUAACUUUUUUUUGUCAAAAAAAAAAAACGUAUGAUAAGAAGCCAAAACCAAAGGAGUGGUUGGUGGGGUGAUGAAACGUGGAAAGAAUAGCGCGAGUUUCUUGGGGGAACAAGUCUAAUUUAGGUCAGUUGAAACUGCCAAAAUGAUGUGACUUUGAAUCUAGGUUUUACAGAACUGAGCUUGGAAAAGGAGCUAUGGAGUGUUCUGAUUCAGCUCCUGAGAUUAGUACUGAACCUUAUAAGAGGAACGUUGAGCAUCAAACGCAGGUUAUGCAACAAAAUAUUCGUCUAAUCAAAGCUCUAGGUGGUCAAUCAGACGUUCCAUCAGUAGAGGAUGAAUCCAUAAAUAAAGAAAAAAAAUACUCUUGGGACCGACACAAGUGUAGUACUGCUCCUGCUUAAGGAAUUUCAGGUCGGUUCAUGCUUUGGGUGGCCACAAGAAGUGUCACGGCAAGGGACAACACUCAAAAAAAACACAGCAUUCCGGUUUGAGUCAAAUUUUUUGACGAUUUGAAAAGUCAUACUAGAAUGUGUCGGUCGGGUCUAUGCCCUAUGGUAUUCAACAAAAUAAUUGAGCAUAUAAAAUGAAAUUAAAUAACACUACUUUUUGUAAUAUGUUCAGGUUCAACGAAAACGACACAGAGAAAUGUACGGCAAUCUUUGUACCUAAUUUUGAGGAAAAAAUCCCUAUGGUGAAAUUGGACCUACCAGCUAUUAAUUAGCUAAGAUAUAACAUCAAAUUAAUUGUAUUAAACACACCCAGUUUUCAUGUCAGAGGACGCGGUUUACUGUGCUGAGUAAAUAUCUAAUUAUCAUGUAUGGUGGAAAAGCAAUUUAAUUGUCAAUUUUCAUUAUUACUAAGUUUGAAUAGGAAAAUUAGUUAAUAUAUCAAUCAUUUAAAAGAGGAGAGAUGGAAAAGCAAAACUCUUUGCUUAGCCAUGAAAAUAUAGGUGGAGACAGACAAAUGUAUAAUUAGCAAUCUACAAAACAAUCCCUAAACUCAAGGUUAAGACACGAAUUCAUUAAUACUCUCACUUAAUUAUUAUAGAUCUUGAAAUAAAGUAUAGUUUUUUUUAUUUUAUUUUAUUCUUUUUAUAUAUCCACCGGCAAAACGAGAGAUCACUGAGAACAAAAGCUCUUUGUUAUUCAUCUCUUCAUUCCUUUCUUCUUCUUCUUCUUCUUCUUCCUCAGCUCUUAGAAUUCGAAUCAGUAUAAAAGACGUGACUUUGUGGCAAACCCAUUUACGAUUUAUCGUAUUGAGCGGGAAUCUCAAAUUUUGAUUGGUGAUCGGGAAAUCUCCAAUGCGGUCUACGAGAAUUCCACAAGGAAGAAGAAGAACAGCGACAAGGAACCAAUCAGAGAAGAAGGAGGCUAGAUCGGGAGAUCGGAGAGGAGGAAUCUGAUCUGAUGUUGUGUUUGGGAUUGUUACGAAUUAGGGUUUUCGAAUUCGUCGUCGUAGUGGUGGUGGGGAGGCACGAUCAAUGAUGCAGCUUCACAUAUCGCCUAGCAUGAGAAGCAUCACGAUCUCGAGCAGCAAGGUCGCAGCUCGUCACAUCUCUUACCGAACUCUCUUCCACACCAUCUUGAUCCUCGCCUUCUUGUUGCCUUUCGUCUUCAUCCUCACCGCUCUCGUUACCCUCGAAGGUGCCAACAAGUGCUCCUCCAUUGGUAAAAUAAAAAUCACCUCUUUUUAGGAUCUUCCGACAAAAAAGUUUGCAUCUUUUUAGUGUCCACUGUCACAAGCAUCUUGUUGUGAUCGUACUAGAAUGGGGCUUACGUCAAUCAAGUUUUUUUUUUUUGGAUUUUUCUUGUUAGGUCCCCCACUGAUUAAAUUUUGUAGGAUCUUGCUAUAGUUUUUUGUUAUUCUAUAUGCUGUCUUGAGGUAUCUCGGUUCUAUGCUUUGUUUAUAUGGUUUAGGAUGUUCAUUUGCUGAGUUCGUUUCACUUGAAUGAUCUGCUUUGCUUGAUCUCUCUCAUUAAAGUUUCUUCCUUCUUUACUCUCAGAUUGUUUAGGGAGGCGGUUAGGUCCACGUCUUCUUGGUAGGGUAGAUGAUUCAGAGGUGAGUUGUUGCUUUUCUUUACUCUAUUAUUUUUUCUGUAUCUUCUUGAAUAAUAUUUUCCCAUCAUGUCUCUCUCUCUUGCUGCAGAGACUAGCUAGAGACUUUUACAAAAUCCUUAACGAAGCAAGCACUCAAGCCAUUCCAGAUGGUUUGAAGCUUCCAGAUUCUUUUAAUCACCUUGUUUCGGAUACCAAGAACAACCACUAUGAUCCCAAAACAUUUGCUCUUGUCCUGCGUGCCAUGGUACUACGCUUUGUCUCUAUAGUGAGCCAUAUAAAUUAGAAGAUAAUAUCUUUAUGUGAUUGUGUUUAUAUCUCUGCCUUGAAACAGAUGGAGAAGUUCGAGCGGGACAUUAGGGAAACCAAAUUUGCAGAGCUAACGAACAAGCACUUCGCAGCAAGCUCCAUCCCCAAAGGCAUACACUGUCUCUCCCUAAGACUGACGGACGAAUACUCCUCCAACGCUCACGCUCGUCGUCAACUACCUUCACCAGAGCGUCUCCCUCUCCUUUCAGAUAACGCUCACCACCAUUUCAUCCUCUCCACCGACAAUAUAUUGGCUGCAUCGGUCGUGGUCUCCUCCGCAGUGCAGUCAUCUUCAAACCCUGAGAGAAUCGUCUUCCACAUCAUCACAGACAAGAAGACCUACGCCGGUAUGCAUUCGUGGUUCGCCCUCAACUCUGUGGAUCCUGCUAUAGUGGAAGUUAGAGGUGUUCAUCAGUUUGACUGGCUGACGAGAGAGAAUGUUCCGGUUCUGGAAGCUCUGGAGAGCCAUAACGGUCUCAUGAACUAUUACCAUGGGAGUCAUAUCGCUGGGGCAAACCUCAGUGAAACAACUCCGAGGAGAUUUGCUUCCAAGUUGCAGUCUAGAAGUCCUAAAUACAUAUCUUUGCUCAACCAUCUUAGAAUCUAUAUACCGGAGGUGAAUCUUAUAAUGUUUCAACUUUCACUUGUGAUUCAUUCAUAUGCCAAUUUUAAUCUUCUUUUUUUUUUUGGAAUAUUAGCUUUUUCCGAACUUGGACAAGGUGGUGUUCUUAGACGAUGAUGUAGUUGUUCAGAGAGACUUGGCUCCGCUUUGGGAUAUUGAUCUUGGUGGUAAGGUCAACGGAGCAGUGGAGACUUGCAGGGGUGAAGAUGCAAGUGUGAUGUCAAAGAGGUUAAGGAACUACUUCAAUUUCUCUCACCCGCACAUAGCAAAGCAUUUGAAUCCUGAAGAAUGCGCUUGGGCGUAUGGAAUGAAUGUAUUCGAUCUAAAGGCUUGGAGAAAGACGAACAUCAGAGAAACGUAUCACUCAUGGUUAAGAGAGGUAAAUCAAAGAAGCCUUGCGCUCUUUUUGUUAUCUCACUCUCUUACUGUGUUUGCUUUUGGUUUUUGAGCAGAAUCUGAAGUCGAAUCUGACAAUGUGGAAGCUUGGAACGUUGCCUCCUGCUCUUAUUGCGUUUAAGGGUCACGUCCAUAUUAUAGACUCGUCAUGGCAUAUGCUUGGUUUAGGCUAUCAGAGCCAGACCAACGUAGAGAGUAUCAGGAAAGCGGCAGUGAUCCAUUACAAUGGGCAAUCAAAGCCGUGGCUGGAGAUUGGUUUCGAGCAUCUCCGGCCGUUUUGGACAAAAUACGUCAACUACUCGAAUGAUUUCAUCAAGAACUGUCACAUCUUGGAGUAGCAAAAGACGAAACUUUCAGAUGGGAUUAUAUUGAAGGUAACUACGGGUGUAAGAGACAGAGGAAGAUAUUAGGAAGAGAAGAGAUAAAAACAGGAGCAGAGCAGUGCAGGUUUUACUCACUCUAAAAAGAUUUAAGAAAUAUUAGUUUGCUACAUACAUAUAAGAUACUUGUUGCAGAGCAAAGGGGAUGAUGCUACUGCUGCUGCAGGUGCAUAAGAGAAAGGGAGAGAUAAAAAAAGAUUCAUUCUUUAUGUAGGAUAGAAGGUACCCUUUUUUGAAAAUUCGUUCAGAGAGAAUAUGAAAAUUAGUGAGUCUUUUAUAAGAAUGAGAAAGAUUGGAUUAUAUUAAAUUUAUAUUGGUUAUGAAGGGGGUGAUAUGAACAGAAAAGGGGUAGUGUUUGAUAGUUGAAGAGCAAUGUAUAACACUUUUGUUGCUUUUGCUCUACAUCUAUCUUAUUAAUAUAAUUUCUGGUUCUUUAGAAAAAUGUCUUCUUUGUUAGCUCUGCAUAGUCAUUUGAAGCUGCUGUGAUUUAUAAUUCAAAAAAAAUAAAUGGAAUGUUAAAAGGUUGAGCAUUUUCAUUGGCGUGCAUAUAAGAUGGGAAGAAGGAGAGAAAGGAAUGGGAGCAUUUGGAAGCAUUUGAUUAUUAAGAUCCCAUAACUAUUGAAGUAGUAUUCAAAAGGUGAUCUGAAACAGAACAAAUAUGUCUGUUUAUGUUUUGGACAUGGAUUUUAACAACAACAACAAAAAGUGCAAGAACAGAGUACAGUUAAAAUAGCUUUGGGAGAUUCAAAUUAUCUUCUUCAAUAUUUUCUUUCCUGUAAUUGUUUUGGGUGAGCUUUUUGAUUGCUUGAGGUUUGGUUUGAAAUGUAAUUCUGAUUCUUAACAGUGGAAUCAUAGAUAACAUUUUCAAAUCUGCUGUCAAAACUCUUGAGAUAAAUUACUGCAGAAUAAGAAACUGAGAGUGGAUUAAACUGUUUGGUUACACGCGCUCCAUAGCUGCAAGUGGGGUUACACUGUUUUAUUUCUGCUACAGUCGUACUUGGGCCGGCCGACCUCUUAAGCCCAAGUUUCGAAAAAAUAUAUUUUCUAUUUAGACGGCUCAUAUUAUUUCCACAUCGGAAAAUCAAAUAAUUUCUUUGAGAUAACACGUGUCAGAAGAAGUUCCAGACUCAUCCCGAGGGAUCACGAAGGCUCUUCGGCGUCGUUUAGCAUCUUCCUCUCCCUUCUUUAUUAUUUCCUCUUCUCACUUCUCUUGCAUCUCGCUAACUAAACUACACGAAAACACAAGCAAAAAGCGUUAUCGUUUGCUCAAUUCUUAAGUAAACAUCUCGCCGUUUCAGCGAAUUUAUACUAAACUCCCUGUUGUAAUACAUCUCCCUUUGUAAACUGUACCGUUUUUAAUUUCUCCGAGCAAAUGGCGACGGCUAAGACGACUGCUACGGCGGCGUUUAGUAGUAUCGUCGGCGGCGUAGGAUCAGACUCCCGAAAGGUUUCUUCUUUCUCUCACCUCCAACCUUCCGUGGCUUUUCCGGCGAAACCCAGCUCCUUCAAAGCGCUGAAACUAAAGCAGAGCGCGAGGCUCACUCGAAGACUUCAACAUCAACCGUUCGUCGUCCGAUGCGAAGCUUCUUCUAAUGGAAGGGUAAAGUCUCAAACUUUAAGCUUUAUUUUACUGUAAGAAUGAUGAAACUGAUAACGAACACAUGAUCUUUGAAUUGUAUAGCUUACACAGCAAGAGUUCACAGAGAUGGCGUGGCAGUCGAUAGUCUCUUCACCAGACGUGGCUAAAGAGAACAAGCAGCAGAUCGUGGAGACGGAGCAUCUCAUGAAAGCUCUUUUGGAGCAGAAGAACGGUUUAGCUCGCAGGAUUUUUUCGAAGAUCGGUGUGGAUAACACCAAGGUUCUUGAAGCUACGGAUAAGUUCAUUCAACGCCAGCCAAAGGUGUAUGGAGAAGCUGCUGGUUCGAUGCUUGGACGUGAUUUGGAAGGGUUGUUUCAGAGGGCGAGACAGUAUAAGAAAGACUUAGGGGACUCUUAUGUCUCUGUUGAGCAUUUGGUUCUUGCUUUUGUUGAUGAUAAGCGGUUUGGGAAGCAGCUGUUUAGGGAUUUUCAGAUAUCUGAGAAGAGUUUGAAAACUGCUAUUGAGUCCAUUAGAGGGAAACAAUCAGUCAUUGACCAAGGUUGGUAACUUCAUUUGACGUUGAGAGUUUGUAAGAGUCUAGAGACUUGAGUGUUUAUGUUUUGACAGAUCCGGAAGGCAAGUAUGAGGCGUUGGAGAAGUAUGGUAAAGAUUUGACAGCGAUGGCGAGAGAAGGAAAGCUUGAUCCUGUGAUUGGAAGAGAUGAUGAGAUCCGUAGAUGCAUUCAGAUUCUCUCAAGGAGGACUAAGAAUAACCCUGUGUUGAUCGGUGAACCUGGUGUUGGUAAAACUGCAAUCUCAGAAGGGUAAGUUGUCACUACACUAAACUUCAGAAACUUAAACCAUAUGUUUAUGUGAUGCUCAGAGGAUUGUGCAAGGAGAUGUGCCUCAAGAUAUACUACUUUUAAAACAGGCUUGCUCAGAGGAUUGUGCAAGGAGAUGUGCCUCAAGCAUUGAUGAACAGAAAGGUAUUCAACUAUAACAUCAAAGUUUUAUCUUCUUUUCUUCUUACAAUCGUUUGCUGGUUUCUUUGCAGUUGAUAUCUCUUGAUAUGGGGGCACUUAUUGCUGGAGCAAAGUAUCGAGGAGAAUUCGAAGAUAGACUAAAGGCUGUACUUAAGGAGGUCACAGACUCAGAAGGCCAAACCAUCUUAUUCAUCGAUGAGAUCCACACAGUUGUUGGCGCAGGUAUGGACCAUCGUUUGUUUGUAUAAGAACAAUUUGUACAUUCAGCAAUGAUUUUGAAGAAUCUUCCUUCUUUCAGGUGCGACUAAUGGGGCAAUGGAUGCUGGUAACCUACUAAAACCAAUGCUAGGUCGAGGCGAGCUACGCUGUAUAGGCGCAACAACGCUUGACGAAUACAGAAAGUAUAUAGAGAAAGAUCCAGCCUUGGAACGCAGGUUUCAACAGGUUUACGUUGAUCAACCUACCGUGGAAGACACUGUUUCGAUCCUCCGCGGUUUGAGAGAAAGGUACGAACUCCAUCACGGAGUUCGCAUCUCAGACAGUGCUCUAGUGGAAGCCGCCAUCCUCUCUGACCGUUACAUCAGCGGCCGGUUCCUACCUGACAAAGGUUUGUUACCAUUUCAUCAUCAUAUGAUCUUCGUUAAUACACAAAUGUUACUAACUUAUUUGUUUUUUCCAGCAAUCGACUUGGUUGAUGAAGCAGCAGCCAAACUAAAAAUGGAAAUCACUUCAAAACCCACUGCUCUCGACGAGCUCGACCGUGCGGUGAUCAAGCUCGAAAUGGAGAGACUCUCACUCACCAACGACACAGACAAAGCUUCAAGAGAGAGACUAAACCGAAUCGAAACGGAGUUAGUCUUACUAAAGGAGAAGCAAGCGGAGUUAACCGAGCAGUGGGAGCACGAGAGGUCCGUCAUGUCCCGUCUCCAAUCCAUCAAAGAGGAGAUAGACCGAGUAAGCCUCGAGAUCCAGCAAGCGGAGCGCGAAUACGAUCUAAACCGCGCAGCAGAGCUCAAAUACGGAAGCCUAAACUCUUUACAGCGUCAGUUAAACGAAGCUGAGAAGGAGCUUAAUGAGUACUUAAGCUCUGGCAAGUCUAUGUUCAGAGAAGAGGUGUUAGGCAGCGACAUAGCAGAGAUCGUUAGCAAAUGGACUGGCAUCCCUGUGUCGAAGCUUCAACAGUCCGAUAGAGAUAAGCUUCUACACUUGGAAGAGGAGCUGCAUAGACGAGUAAUAGGUCAGAACCCUGCAGUCACGGCCGUAGCCGAAGCGAUUCAACGGUCCAGAGCCGGCCUAUCGGAUCCGGGCCGUCCGAUAGCUUCCUUCAUGUUCAUGGGACCGACGGGAGUCGGCAAAACCGAGCUGGCCAAGGCCCUCGCUUCUUACCUCUUCAACACGGAGGAAGCUCUGGUGAGGAUCGACAUGAGCGAGUACAUGGAGAAACACGCGGUUUCCAGGCUCAUCGGAGCUCCUCCCGGAUACGUGGGCUACGAGGAAGGAGGGCAGUUGACGGAAGUGGUUAGGAGAAGGCCAUACUCGGUCAUACUCUUCGACGAGAUUGAGAAGGCUCAUGGAGAUGUGUUCAACGUGUUUCUCCAGAUCUUGGACGAUGGGAGGGUUACUGACUCUCAGGGACGUACGGUGAGUUUCACCAAUACGGUUAUUAUCAUGACCUCGAACGUUGGCUCGCAGUAUAUCUUGAACAGCAACGCGGAUGAUGAGGGGAGUGAGCUUGGUUAUGAGACGAUUAAGCAGAGAGUGAUGGAUGCUGCGAGAUCGAUCUUUCGUCCUGAGUUUAUGAAUAGGGUUGAUGAGUAUAUUGUUUUCCAGCCUCUUGACCGUGAGCAGAUCAACAGCAUCGUCCGGUUACAGGUAUGUAUGCCUUUUCAGUUCAAAUAAAAGUUUGAAUAAUUUGGAUAAAAAGGUAUUUUGGUAAUUAGUUUUUUUCCUGUAUUUUGGUUUAUAAUUAAUAUUUUAAAAUUAAUUGAUUAUUUUAAUUAAAUAUAGUUAUUAUUUACAAGUAUAUAAUCUAUAUUAUAGAAAUUUGGGUAUUCAUUCAAUUCUCGGCUCCCCUUCUCAUUCGGUUUUUUGGUUCUAGAGAUAUAGGAUCUGAUUCGGUUUUUCAGUUCCUGGAUAAAUGUGUCCAGCACGGUUAUGCUGUUCAAGCCCUUACUGAAUCACUCUUUUUGUGUUAUAUUCCACAGCUGGCUCGUGUGCAGAAGCGGAUUGCGGAUAGGAAAAUGAAGAUAGAGAUCACAGAUGCGGCGGUGGAUCUUCUCGGAAGCCUCGGGUAUGAUCCGAACUACGGAGCUAGACCUGUCAAGCGUGUGAUACAGCAGAACAUUGAGAACGAGCUCGCCAAAGGUAUCUUGAGAGGAGAUUUCAAGGAAGAAGAUGGGAUUCUGAUCGAUACAGAGGUCACAGCGUUCUCCAAUGGUCAGUUACCUCAGCAAAAGCUCACAUUCAAAAAGAUUACGUCAGAAACGGCAGAUGCUGAGAAGGAGGAAGAAGAAGCUUUCUCAAAACAGAGCAAUUGAAAAACGACACCUUUUGGAGCCCAAGAAGUUUCGGACUUUAUAGUACAUAGCUUCUAGUGAGUUGGUUGUGACAGAACAGAAUGAUAACAUUUAUCUCAAUGUGAGAUAUAAACCAUAAGCUAAUAAGUUAUUGUGCUGAUGUCUCAAAAUCCAUAUUCUCUGAAAAUGCAAUAUAUAGUAACGUUAUAUAGUUCUCCUGUGACCUCUUAUAUAUUGGGCUUGAUUUAUUAGAGCAUGAUUAAUCCAUGCUUUUAAUUUGGGGUUUGACACUUUUUGUCUUUUUUUUUUCUUUUUUUUUUAUAUAUAUUUAUGCUAAGAACCGAUUUUUAUAUUUUUUAUUUAAGAAAAAAACUAAAAACGGUUCUUAACGAAUUUCAUCCUAAGAAUUCGGAUUAAUCAUGGUAUUAGGCUUGUGUGGCAUUUCCCCGUAUAUCUGCCAAAAAGACAUGAUGCAUCUGUUGCUUCUGCAGUUUAGGUGAAAUAUUUAGUUUGAAAAAAAAAGCUUUGCUUUUCUUGGCGUAUCGAACUGUAAACCAAAAGAAAUGUCGUGUUCAAAAACUACAAGGUCAAAAUUGGUAUUUAAAUGUUUCUGUUUGUUGGAAUUUGAGUCUCUCGAAGGGAAUGUCGACCAACCAGAUACAAUCGAAUAAGAUAAUGUCACGUUCUAUUUGCAAUCUUGUGCCCACUUGGCUCCUAAGUUUUUUCGUCUUGGCCUUAGCUUACAUGCGGACAUGAAAGAAAGAAAAAAUAGACACGAGUUAUUGCACAUGGUUUUCUUGUCUUCUUGCAAUAUGCUCGAAUAGUACAUUAGACAAUAUUCCACAUUUUCGCUAUUAUUUUUUUAGAAAUAUAUUAUUGCUAAAUUAGGCGUUUGUUUAUUUAUUAAAAUAUGUCGACAAAAAUCUAUAUGCAUUAUUAAGUGGUUGGUGAUCUAGUGAUCUUAAAAGUCAUUAAUCAAGAUCACUAGUUCAACUCUAUUUAAAAACACAAUCUAUAAUAACUUCUGAUUCUGAACAUACACUUCGAAGAUUACGGACCGAAAUUCUACCAUUAUACUUUUUCUCCUUCACUCCAUUCAUGUGUAUUCCACUAAUCCCUCUCACUUAAAUUUCGACCAUGUCAUUAUCAUUCAAAUGGGUGUAAUCCGUUCAAAUUGGUCGUGACUCGAACUAUAAACGUAUGGUAUGGUUUUAUACGACUCUCACCUUGUGGAAACUUCACUGUCAGGUACGUGGCUGAUACCACAGGUCCCCAAAGGUGCAUUAUUAUAAAGCAGCACAUUUUCUCAGAAUUUCAAGAUUAAGUGGGUAUCUGUAAGAUGUUAACCAACAAAUGCCUAACUACGAGAGAAGAUUUUGCAGUAUGUUUCUUUUUUUUUUCUGCAACCAUUACAAUAGUUUAUUCUGCCUUUAACUUUUUGAUGAUCAAAUAAUUUAUUUUAUUCACAACGUUAAUAUCAGAGUGUGUGUUAGUUAUAUGGCUUACGUCCCAUGUGGUCAAUCCAUAGGUAGGUACAUUACGUAUAAGUAAACAAGUAUCAAUUUAUCAUACAACAAAAAAAUCUAUCAAUGAUUAUAUUAUGAUGAUAGAGACAAAUAUCAAUAUAGAAUCAUGAAGCAUAUUCUUUGUACAAUUGAUUGCAAAAUAUCAAGUCUGUGAAACCGUUUUUACUGCAUGGUAUGAUAGUAAAUUAUUUAUACGUACACAUACUACACGUCUAUAUCCUCAAAUUAGAAUUAUAAGAUGUCCUAUUAUAGCAAGUAAAUUUGAUUAAAGCUUAUCUAAAUUUCAAUGAUUGAGCAAUAAGAAAUAACUUCAAUGAUUAUAGCAUGUACAUUUGAUAAGGCUGAUCUAAACUUGAAUGAUUCAACUAUAAUAGACACUCAACUUCUAUAAUAAUUGAAAUGGGUCAGGUCCACAUUGGGUCCCCUUGUAAUCUUCAUGAUCUGUACGGAAUCCAAUUUGUUCAGUGUCUCUGUUGUGGGCCAAUGCUACCUCUUUACUAACCACACACAUCUCUGACACUUGACAACUCACCCCUCAUCGUCAAAAUCCGGUUCGGUUUCCGAAUUAGGUGAAACUUCGGUUUAGUCUAUUGCACCGGAUCCUAACAAUAAACCGAAUCCUAUCAGAGACGUACGUAUCACACACUCUCCCUUCCCCUAUACAAUCUAUCAAAUACCUCUCUCUCCAAUCUCCACCUGCAAAUCUUCUGUCUCUCCCAUGGUGGUUCCUCUGUUUCAAUCAUGCCCUCUCACACCAACUUCCUCUUCAGGUAUAGUUUUAUAUUAAUUCGUUUAAAUGUUCAGUAAUUUCGAAAAUGUAUUUUUGUUUCUUCACUAAACGGUGACAAGCUUCCUAUGAGAACGUAUUAUUUUCUCGAGAAACAGUUUUCCUGGAAAAUCACUUCGUUUCCUUAACUGUUUUAUACCUUUGAAGCCGCCAUGCAUAGAUCGAUUUGCCUCUUAUGCUCGUUUAGUGAGUGAUUCACGAUUCGGAUUUUCAGGUGGAUUGGACUGUUUUCUCAGAAACUCCGCCGGGAAACAACUGGAAUCUCGGAAAACAACGGUGGAGAAUCGAGCAGCAGCAGCAGCAGCGACGACACGCCGGUGCUGAGCUCCGGCGAGUGUUACGCAUGCACUCAAGUAGGCGUACCGGCCUUCCACUCCACAAGCUGCGAUCAAGCCAACACGCCGGAGUGGCGCGCCUCAGCCGGGUCCUCCCUAGUCCCGAUCCAGGAAGGAUCCGCACCCGACCCGGUUCGAGCCCGGCUCAGACGUCUCAAGGGCCCGUUCGGGGAAGUUCUCGAUCCCAGGAGCAAGCGCGUGCAGAGAUGGAACCGCGCGUUGCUUCUAGCUCGCGGGAUGGCCUUGGCGGUGGAUCCGCUCUUCUUCUACGCGCUCUCCAUCGGGAGAACUACUGGACCCGCGUGUCUUUACAUGGACGGCGCGUUCGCUGCUGUUGUAACGGUCGUUCGCACGUGCCUCGACGCUCUUCACCUCUGGCACGUGUGGCUUCAGUUUAGGCUGGCUUACGUCUCGAGAGAGUCACUCGUCGUUGGGUGUGGGAAACUCGUUUGGGAUCCACGCGCCAUCGCGUCACACUACGCACGCUCCCUCACUGGCUUCUGGUUUGAUGUUAUAGUCAUCCUCCCGGUUCCGCAGGUUAAAAACUUUUUCAGAAAAGCCUUCAAACUAUUCCGAUAUUAUUGAAAUAACCAUAAACAUUUUAUUAGAGUCAAUUAAGCCCCCACGAAUCAAUCGAAAGUGUUAUUGUUUGCUUGCAGGCUGUGUUUUGGUUAGUGGUGCCAAAACUGAUAAGAGAAGAGAAGGUUAAGCUGAUAAUGACGAUCCUUCUGCUGAUCUUCUUGUUCCAGUUCCUCCCCAAGAUUUAUCACUGCAUCUGCUUGAUGAGAAGGAUGCAGAAGGUCACUGGUUACAUUUUCGGAACUAUUUGGUGGGGUUUUGCUCUUAACCUCAUCGCAUAUUUCAUCGCUUCUCAUGUAAGUCCAUGCUAAGAAAAUGAUUAUGCACAAAAUCAACAACUAAAUAUCAAAUUCCAUGCUGAGAAAAUGAUACUAAAGCUUGUCUAUUCAUGGAAUCUUUUUGUGUGGUUACAGGUAGCUGGGGGAUGCUGGUAUGUUCUUGCAAUACAGCGUGUUGCUUCUUGUAUCAGACAGCAAUGCAUGAGGACCGCGAACUGUAACCUGAGUCUGUCUUGCCAAGAAGAGGUCUGUUACCAAUUCGUGUCACCCACUAGCACAAUUGGAUUUCCUUGCUUAUCCGGAAACCUCACUAGUGUGGUUAAGAAGCCUAUGUGCUUAGACUCUAACGGACCAUUCCGAUAUGGUAUCUACGGUUGGGCACUUCCGGUCAUCUCCAGCAACUCUCUUGCGGUUAAGAUACUUUACCCUAU